GGCAAAAGCGGAGAUUUAUCGCACCAAACCUCAUCAAUAUACUGAACUAUUAUCAGAGACUCACAAAUGGGCUUUCCAUUGUGGAUCAGAACUGGGAUUUUCUUAUGAACUGGGUUCAUCUCAAGAAGCAAAGGGCUCUUGUUCCACAGGUCCUCCUCUCUAUAUUCAUACUUGAGACCCUUCUCUGCCAGGGCAACUCUGACCCUCAUACCAAACAUGCUAGGCCAGAAAUCCAACAAGAUAAUCUCGUCUGCCAUUGCUACUAAUGUGAUUGAUAAGAUUCAAUCUCUUUAGUAUUGAUGAACAACACAGGGCAAAUUGCUGAGUAUUUAUAGCAAAUUUCAGAGAGUGGGUUAAACCCUUGGAUACUUCUAGGAGGUGGUGAUGCUCAUUCCUUAUCUCAGCUUUCAUUUUCAUUUUCCAUUCUAUCUGGGUUUCGUAUCUCCAGAAUUUGUGAAUUAUGCAAACUUUUGUUAUGGCAUGGUAAAAUAUAGAAGCGUCACGAUAGUUGGUUGCUUCCACGACAUCUCAUUGCUUUGAUCAUUCCACGUCAUCGCUUUCGCCAGCCCUGUCAAUUAAGUACACUGGUCCUCCGCAUAAUUUCCACCACAAAAAUGAUGUUGCAAGGAAAAAAAAUGAUAUUGUAGGGAAAAGAAAAUAGAACUUGUAUACUUUUAGAUCGACAAGUCACUAUUGGUCCCUUCCUUAGUUCUUAGAUUCCUGAAAUUAAAUAAAUAUUUAAACUUUAUGUGUAUUAUAAAUAUUUAAAAUUUCAGUGGUGAUUGUAUUUUUAUCUAAGAUCUAAUUUUUUUUUUAAUUUGAAUAAAUUAAGUAUUGUUAAAUAUUUAAAUUUUUUAUAUUUUAAUUAUUAGUAAAUGUUAAUAAAUAUUAAAUUACUGAUCUUUUACAUUACAAAAAUAUUUAUAAAAUAUAAUAUUUUAUUUCUUGUUAAAUUAGUUUGCAAUCCAGCAUAUUUUUUAAUAUUUAAAUAUCAUAAUUCAUUAACAUAUUAAAAUUUUAUAAUAAAUAAUUAUGUAAUUGAUAAGAAAUUGGUAGUAUGAUAAUAAGUAUAAUUAUGGGGUAUUUGGUAAACUCAAUAAUUAUUAUUUAAUGACUUAAGUUGAUUUUAAGUAAAAUUAUAUUUAAGUUAUUGACUUAAAACUUAUCACUUAAUUUUUACUUUAAAUAUUAAGGUUGUUUAAUAAAAUUAAUUUAAAAUUUAUUCUAAAUCAUCAAAUUGAUAUACUUAACCCCAUAAUUAUAAUGAGGGUAAAUGAGAUCGAGUAACGAUGGAAGUUGUAUAAUAGCAAAAGAAAUCGUGGAACUAAGAUAAAUGAGGGUAAAAAGAUAAAAUGAAAACAUGGAUUUAAGAAUAAAUUAAUUAUUUUUACUUAUUACUUAAAGUUGUUUUUUACUUUUAAGUUAUACCAUUAAAUUAUUUUACCAGCUGUAUUUAAUUUGUUUAAUAACUUGAAUUAAGUUAUUAAGUUGAUUUACCAAAUUCCCACUUAGACUUGUUAGAAACUAUUAGAACUUUUUCUAAGUUAGUAUAUGUUUAGAUUUGAAGAUUUGUGAUUGAAAUAUAUAUUCUUUUUUAAAUUAAUCAUUGAUUUUUGGAAUUUUAUCGGAGUAUCAACUUUUAAUUUAUAUUUUUUAAAAUUAUUAAUUCUAAUAAAUAUUUAGAUGAAUGUGAAUUAUGCUUUAGAAUUUUGAUUAAAAAAAUCUUAUUAGAAUUGAUAACUAUUUUUAUUUUUUAUAAAGCUGAAUUUUAAAAAUUUAUAUUAAAUAUUUUUCUAAUUUAAAUUUUAUGAUUUUUAGUGUAAUUUACUUUUUAAUUUUGAAUGAGUAAUCAAUAAUAAUUUGCGGAAUUCAAUUUUAUUAAGAAUGGGAUAAAUUAUGGGGUAAAAAUAAUGGAAACAUGUGGGGAUUUGAAAUUUUGUAAAUUUAUCUUUUAGCUAUCAAUUUAUGAGAAAAUUUUAAAUCUGAUUUUUCUUUAAAAAAAAUGAAAAAUGAAAAUGAAAAAAAAAAAACAAAAAAAAAAAUCAAAUAUAUUUGAUGCUUUUUGUGAAUGACAACUUUGUUAAUUUCUAAUAAAUUUAUUUCUCACUCAAAUUAUAUAAAAUUAACAUAGUUUAACUAUUUUUUAAAACAAGUUAUCUAUUCUUUUUUAAAGGAAUUUAGUUUAAAUUUUUGUGAAAAUUUGUAUUUAAGCAAGUACUCUUAAUUAAUGAUUAAAAGCUUUUUUAUUUUUUAGUUUUUCCCCAUAAAGAAUUAAAUAUUAUAAUUAAUCCUAGUUUUUUCAAACUCUUAUAAAUAGGAGACUUGGGUCAAUGAAAUGGAUACCUCAAAGUUAUUUUAGAAAUCUGUCUUUUCUCUAAUUCUAGUCUCUCCAAAAGAAAACUUUUUUUUAUCAUCUAAAAGGUAUGUGAUAAACUUCUACUUUUAUAUUAUUUUCUAUUUAAUUUAUCCUUUUUUCGAUGAAGAAACUAGAAAAUAUUUUUUUAUAGACAAAAAUUAUGAAAAAAAAAAAUCGCAACUAGAAGUUAUAAAAAAAAAUGUAAAAUAUGUACAAUUGUAUAGCUAGAGGUUAUAUGAGAAAUUAUAAAGUUAUAAAAAUAUAAAGAACGACUUACAUGUAAUUUCUAAUUUCUUUUAAUCAUAAUGAUAUAACCAAAUGUUACACAAAACAAAAUUGUAUAGUCAAAAGUUAAAUAAUGAAUAUUUCAUAGCCUAAAGAUGUAUACAAAUUUACACAUUUUUGUUAUGAUAAAAAUAAUCCAUAGCCAAAAACUAUGUAAGGUAUCAAUUUGUAAUUUUUAUUUUGUUAAUUCUACAUGAUGUUCAUGCAUUUCUUUUUUACCAUAUUUAUAAUAAUCCUUUAGCGAUAAAAUAUAACAAAAUCUUAAAUCAUUAUGCUUUUAUUAAUGAAUAUAAACCUGAUAAAAUAUUGUUAGAUAAUUUUAUUCAUUUAUUUAUAAUUUAUUUUGGUAAAUUGAAAUAUUAUUCUAAUUAAAUUAUUUCAAAUAUAGUUUUCAAAUAAUGUCAAAUCUUACCAAGUUUGAGUUUGUUACACUCCCUAUUUCAGGCAAAACUAUUUAUAUGGAUUUUAGAUGCUAAAAUUCACCUAAACGAUAUGAAUCUUGAAAAGACCAUUAAAGAAUAAAAUGAGGCAUCCUCACAAGAUCGCACUGGAGCAUUAAUAUUCCUUCAUUAUCACAUUGAUGAAGGAAUAAAAGGUGAAUUCCUUACAAUCAAAGAAUUUUCAUCCUUUGAAAUAAUCUAAUGGAAUGAUACUUUGAUCCUUUGGAAUAAUAUAACAUAAUGAUAUGGCCACCACGAGAUUAUAAUCCUUCCAAAAGCACAUCAUGAUUGGAUGCACUUGAGAUUACAAAAUUUCAAGUCUGUCAAUGACCACAACUCGACUUUAUUCAAAAGUUGUUCACAAUUUAUAUGGAGAAAAAAUCAUUAAAGAAUAUAUCCUUGAAAAGACAUUUACUAUUUUCCAUGCCUCGAAUGUACUCCUAUGGCAACAAUAUCAAGAGCAUAAUUUCACUAAAUAUUUUGAAUUAGUUUAAUGUCUUCUUAUGGCUAAACAAAAUAAUGAACUUCUACUUAAGAAUCAUCAAUCUCAUACUAUUAGGUCUGUGUCAUUACUUGAAGCAAAUGUCACAUCCGUCCAAGCUCCUAGACAUUGAGUUGGACUUGGACAUGAACAAGGCUAAGGACACAGUCAUGGUCAUGGUAAACAUAAUUCUUGGUACCAUGGUAAUUAUAGUCAUUAGAAUAGACAAAACAAUUCAAACCAUUAGAAGUGGAAUAAUUCAAAGGUGCAACCUAAAAAGGAUAUAUAUAUAUAUAUAAUCACAAAACAAACAUGAUAAUAAGAAUGAAUGCUAUAGAUAUGGUAUGAAAAGGAUGUAUGUAGGAUUUAGAAAUGACCUACGAGGAACAGGAAGACCUCAAAUUCAUUAUGAGGCUUCUAUAAUUUAAUAUUUAGACCCAAAUAAGAAUGGAUAGAACCAUGGUCCACCUUAAAAGAAAAGUUUUUUUUUUUUUUUGAAGAAUUUACAUACUUUUCUUAAGAAUGUACGUAUUUUUCUUAAGGAUGUACGUAGACUUUGAAAAUGACAAACGAGGAAUGGGCAGCCUCAAAAUUAUUACAAGGCUUCCAUAAAUUAAUAUUAAAAACCUAAAUAAGGCGAAAUAAGGUCACAAUCUGCUUUUAAAAAAACGCACAUAUUUUGUUUUUUUAAGAAUGUACAUGUUUUCCAUAAAAAUAUAUGUAUCUUUUCUUAAGAAUGUUCUUAAGGUUUAGAAAAGCCUAACAAGGAAAAGAAAGACCUCUAAUUCAUUCUCAGGCUUCCAUAAGUGAAUACCUAGACCUAAAUAAGGUCAAAUAGGAUUAUAGUCUUAAGAUAGAGCUCUUAAGAGCAUAACAUGGUGUAUUAAGUUUGAAAUUCAUUAUUUAUUUAAUGAUGUUCCCAUUUCACUUUUAUCUAUCUUUAUUCCAUGUAUUAUAUUUUAUGAGAAGUCUUGUCAGCAUCUUUUGCAUUGUACAUGACUUAGGUGCAUUAGGAGUUGCACAGAAGAUCUUUAAGCCAUGGGUUCCUUGCAAAUAAUUGACUUGUUCACAACCGGUUUAUGGGUCUAGGCAACCCUUUAGAAGUUGUAGUGCACCACCUCCUAAUUAGAGGGAUGGUUGGUCUUCGUUAUCGGGAUGGGUUUCCCAUGGUGAGUACACUACUAUGUAUGAUUACAUGUUGGACAAGACCUACGAUGAGCCAUGACUUAAGACUAUCAAGUAGUCAUGACCUCACCAAGCUACUUCAUUGUGUUAUCUCUCAACCUUGAGAGAAUAUCGAGAUUGUGUUAAAAUUAGCAAUGACUUUUACCUAUGAGUGAGAUCGUAAGUUGGAUCAUAUAUUCCCUAUGGAUUGGGUCACUGUUGAUGGAAGUCGGUAACAAUAGGUAUUCUCAAUAGACACCAUGAUAUCUCAUGGGAUUGAGACAACGUGUCCCCUUGGGUGAUCCUAAGGGGAUGUGUUCAUGGAAACUAUGGCCAUAAUAGUUCCUUAAGUAGAACUUGACACAGGCUCUUUGAGAGCUAAGACAUGUCAAUUGAAUAUACAAUAGGAGGAUUUGUAACUCAAGGAUAGUAGAGGUAGUCUUGAAAGGUUGAUAGCUUUCACCUUGUUAGGCUAGAACACCAGUUCAUGGGGAGAGUGAACACAAUGGAUACUAGGUCACAGACCCGAGUACAUAGUGUCUCGUUGUUAUUUACAUAGGAUAUUGGAGUUCAAUUGAUUCUUUGUAAUAAGAUGUUGAAUCAACUUCAUAAUUGGAUCCUGAGGGAGUUAGUACUCUUAUGGAUCCUAAUGGUCCCCGCUCUAAGCUUAUAUAUCUUUUUGGCAUAGUUAUGAGUGUCGAAUUGACUCUAGGUUCACUUUUGUGCAUAAGGGCAUUUCGAUAAUUAUGCAAGAUUGCAUAAGGGUAAGUGAACAAAGUCUAUAGAUUGAGCUAAUUAAUUAAUUAGUAGGCCCUAUUAGGUUAAUUAAUCCAUUAGGAUCCAUUUUGGGAUAAAUUAAGUUAUCCAAAUCCAUGUGGGCUCAAGUCACUUAAGCCUAGUUAGGAACCCUAUAAAUACCCCCUAGGGGUUAGAGUCUUCAUCACUUUUGUCUUCCACCAUUUAGACAGAAAGAGAGCAAUAGCCUCUACCUUUCGUUCUUCCCUAUUGAAAGUGUGCCAAGAAUAAAUUUGAGUCAUCAGGCAAAAGACCAUGGGUUUACGAGACUUCCAACAACUUCAAUGUCAUCUUCAACACUUGCAAUUUAAGGUUUGAAACAUCCAAACCUAAAGGUUAGCACUUUAACCAUAAAGAUCAAUUUAAAAAAAUAAAUAAAUAAAUUGGUAUUGUUUCCGUUCCUUAGAUCUACGAUGCCAACACACAGUUCGCUUGAAAAAAAUGCAAGUAUUUUCUUCAAAAUAUAUAUAUUUGUUCAGAAUGUAUGUAUUUUUGUAAAAGAUGUACCUUAGGUAGGGUUCCACCAUGCCAAAUGAGGUUUGGGAAGCUUUCAAAUACAUUUCGUAGAGUACAUAAGUCAAAUCUUAGACCCAAAUGAGUGUGAAUCUGUCAUGUUAAGUUGAAAUCAAAUGUACAUAUCUUUCUUAAGGUGUUAUAUUUUUCUAAAAAAUGAACUUAUGAGUGUUUAGCUAGGUUGGCAAUUCCGGAAAAAAUUUCUAAGUGUCCCCUAACUUGGUUUACCAAUCCCUCUUCGGACUACAUGACCUUUGAAGAUUAAGACUUUGCUAAAAGGUCGAGGUAUGUAGCCAAGUCUGUAGUGAUUAAAUGUGAGCCAACCCUAUUUUUUCAUCUUUAAAUGAGUAAAGAAAGCUGAGAGAAAUAUUGUUGGUGCAAGGCUUUUGUUCCCCUGUUUCUAGAUCGAUCCAGGUAUAGGGGCAAAUCAAUCCAACUAACCUAUUUUUAAGAUCAAUUUUCAACCUUUGGAUUAAGGUUUCACUCUCAUUUAAAAUCAAAUCUCCCCCAUUUCUGGAAAUGGUGACUGUAGUAUCCGUAAGAGAUUUUUUUUCUUUCCUCACCAUUUAGAAGGUGUUUACCUAUGAAGAAAAUCCAUCCAAGUUUUCCAAGAAUUUUUUUUAAAAAAAUGGAUUUUCUGAAAAUGAACAAGGGUUGAUUUCUAAAACAUUCAUAUUUCAUUCUCUUGGUUUUGUGCAAAAACCCAUUUUCUUCUUGUAUGAAUUCAAGAAGAAAUCGAGCUUAGUGCAAACUCCAAGUGUGUCCCGAAAGAAGAAGCUAAGAAGCUGAAAAUGAAGGUACUAGUCAAGUGGUUUGGGAAAGAUUGGUUGGCUUGAGCAAGGUAAAACCUUGUAUUCAGAUUUUAUUUUUCAUAGUGGAUGUUUUCAAUCAGUAAUAGGCCCGUGGUUUUUUAUCUCUUCGGAGAUUUUUCAUGUAAAUUUAUGGUGUCUCAUUGUCUCCCUUUCUCUUCUUAGCAUCAGUUUUCAAUUUCAACAAUUUAUUAUAAUUUUGAUUGUCUACUAUUUGAUUGAAUGAUGAAGAGAAAUGACUAUGAAUCAUCUUUGAAGUUGUUUCUAAUUGUUAAUCAUUGAUAUUUUGAGGUAUAUUGAUCUUGCUUUUAUCAAAAUUUAGUUUAAGUUGAUUUGGGUUUGGGAGUGUUAGAUCAUGUGCAUGUGAAUUACAUUUGAAUAUUGUUAGGGAGUGUUGUUGCAUUCAUAUAUGCAUGUGAUUUAUAAUUUGUGUUUUUGAGACUGUGUGAAGAGAAGAAAAAUAUUCAAAAAGUUUUAAGGUUUGCUAAUUUGAGUUGAGAUUUUGUUUAAUUGGUCAAAACACCUAUUCAACCUCCCUUAGGUGUAUUCCACUAUUGAGAUUCACCUUUUCAAUUGGUAUCAGAGAGGGUUUUUAAAGCAAAAAUCAUUUUCGAUCCUUAAAUCUCAAUCAGGGAACCUCAUUAAGAGGGAGCUUCCAUUAGAAGACCACCUUUCUUAACCAGUGAAAAUUUUUCUCAUUGAAAAGUGAGAAUGCAAUAUUUUCUCAAAAUGCAAAGUGAUAAAAUUUGGAAUGUCGUUGAAUUUGGUUAGUCUCCACCUAAGGUGUUAGAUAGAGAAGGUAAAUUAACAAAUGUUAUCAAGCCAAAAUUGAAAUGUGAUAGAAGUGAAAAUGAAGCAAGUGAGAAUAAAGCUAGAGCCAUGUUCUCCAUCUUCAAUGCCAUUAGUACGAAUGAAUUUCAUAGCAUUGCCACAUGCACUUUGGUUAAAGAAGGCUUAGGAUAUCCUCUAAGUGACUCAUGAAGGAACUAAUGUCGUGAAAAUGUCCAAGCUUCAAAUGUUGACAUCUAGGUUUGAGACCAUUAGGAUGGAUGAUCAUGAAACUUUUAGAGAAUUUCAUGCAAAAUUGAUGGAUAUUGUGAAUUCUAACUUCAAUCUAGGUGAAUCCAUCUCUAACUGAAAGAUAGUUAGAAAAAUUUUAAGAUCUCUUCCAGAUAAAUUUAGAGCUAANGUUACCGCCAUUGAAGAGUCUAAAGAUGUGGAUUCCUUGAAGAUAGAUGAACUUGUAGGUUCUCUCCAAACCUUUGAGAUGAUGCUUGUAUCACCUAGGAAAGCUAAGGGAAUUGCUUUAAAAGCUAUUAAAUAAGAGUCCCUAAGUUUCGAAAGUGAGAAUGAUGUCAAAGGGUGAGCUUACUAAGUUUACUAAAAAAAUUAAGAAGUACAUGAAAUUCAGAAAAUCCAAGAAAGAAUCAAAUGAUGGUAAAAAUGGAGGAACUCUAUUAGAAAAAAAGAAGAAUAUGGAGAAAUGUGUGAAAAAAGAGUUGGUGAUUGAGUGCUUUAAAUGUGGAGGAAAUGGGCAUUAUGCCGCCAAAUGUCCCUCAAAGAAAAAAAAAAUGAAAGAAGGUCAUGCAAGUCACUUGAAGCAACAUAGAAUCUUGUCAAUCAAGUGAAAAAGAAUCCAAUGGAAGUGAAGAAUACACUAACUUCAUAGCCUUUGCUGCAAGUGUCAAUGAGAAACCACUCAAGAAAGAGGUCUUAAGUGAGUCAUGAGUCAAGUGACUCCAAUGAUGAUGACAUGAAUUUUGACAUAGCAUAUGAGACUUUGUAUAAGGAAUGCUUGAGCCUUAAACAAGAACAAGUCAAGUGGAAGGCUUCUAAGAAUAUUCUAAUCAAUGAGAUUGAUGUCUUGAAGGGAGAAAAGAAGGCUUUGCUUGAAAAAAUUGGAUUUCUUGAAAAUGACCAUUUGGAAGUGAAAAAAAAAAUAUUAUGUAUUGAAAAGUGAAUCAAAUGUUCAAGGAUGAGUUAAGUCUUAAGAAGAAAGAAUCACAUCCUAGCUCUAAGAGGAUUAAUGAGUUGAUCAAUUUAAGGCGUAAAUCUUUUGAUAAACAAGGCUUAGGAUUUGUUGAUGCAAAUACUACUCCAAGUAGUGGUAAAACAAUUUUUGUUAAGCCUUGUGAAAAAUAAUAUCCUAAGAAAACUCAUUCUCAAAUCAAGUUUCAUUGCAAUCAUUGUGGCAAAAUGGGACACAUUUUUCAUAGAUGUUGUACAAGAUUGUUUGAUAACUUUCAAAGGAAGUUGACCAACCUAAUGAAUGAAUGUUAUGCUUUGAAGAAUAGGUUAUUGAAUGAGAAUAAGAGAGUGUCCAAGAAGUGCUCAAAGAUCCCUCAUAAUGGUGAGUUGAAAGGAAGCACUUUGAAUGAAAAGACAAGUCUCAAAUGUUAAACAAAUUUGGGUGUGAAUGAAUUAGUUGAAGUGUUUUGUUGUCCAUACCGCACUUAGAGCUAGUGAGUCACACUCAUGGCAUCUUGAUAGUAGAUGUUCACAUCAUAUGACUAGAAAUAAAUCUUUGUUCACUUCAUUCACUGAAUUUGAUGGAGGAAAUGUGACAUUUGGAGAUGGUAAUGUGGCUAGGGUGAAAGACAAAGGUACCAUUUGUGCCCCUGACAUUCCUAAUCUUGAAGAGGUCUUAUAUGAAGGUUUAAAGGCUAACUUAAUUAGCACAAGCCAAAUGUGUGGGAAUGAGUUCAAUGUAAAAUUUUCACAAACUUUUUGCAAGGUGUUUGACUUGAAUGAUGUAAGUGUGAUGAUUGGCUUGAGAACUUGUGAUAAUUGCUAUGUUGUUAGUAAAAAAUCUCCUUCAUCCUCUUCUCUCGUGUGUGGAAGUUCUAAAAUUGCAUGUGUUAAUCACUUGUUGCAACAUAGAUUGUUACAAAAUGAAAAAGAGCAUCCCAUUGUAAAAGUUAGGAUUGGUAGGGGGGAUUUGAUGAUGCCAAUGUUAUUGAUAGGCUAGAGAACCAUGUUCUUCAUUAUAGAUAAAAACAUGUGGACAUUAAGCAUCACUGCAUUCAAGACUUGGUAGAAGACAAGGUUGUUUACUAGAGGUUUUCCCUAUAGAGAGUCAAAUUGCUAACAAUGUUACUAAACCUUUGGACAUUUCUAGGUUUGAAUCACUUAGGAGCCCCAUAGGUUUAUAUAUUCUCUGUUUAACUGCCUCUAGAACUUGUCUAGGACUCCUCUUGCAUAUCCUUGAGUCCUAGUUGUCUUCCUAAGUUCCCAAAUAUCAUCAACUUGAUGUUCUUUUUGUUUUGGUUCAAUAUUUUCUCCAUUUUUCAUAAAUUUUCAACAAUUGUUGAGUUCAUGAGAGUGACAUGCUUAUUCAUUUUGUUUAAAAGUUAAAUUAACUCAUAAUGAUCUUAAAAGCUUCAAGAUGUAUUUAUCUCCAUGGCUUGUUUGAUAAACAUGAUAUUGAAUCCUUGCUAUUUUGAUUUGGUUAGAUAAACUACAAAUGAUUAGCUUCAUUUCUAUUAAGUGAGUAAGAGCUCAUUGUUGGACCUUGUGUUUGCAUAAUGGUGAAUAAUGCUCUUUAAAGUCUAAAUGAAAACUUAUACCCAUUUAAUGAGCUUUAAAGAGUGAGUAAAGACACCUGGAAUAUCCUUGAGAGGUUGAGAUGAUCAGUCUUUGAUUGUUUGUCCUCUCUUUGAAAUUAAUUUUUUUUUAAAUGAAAAAGAAAAGAAAAAGAAAAUAUGAAGUUUCCCGGAAUGGAUAUGGCUCCGUGGCAAUGUUUCAAGAAUUAAAAAGCCUCCAUUGCAAGAGUGGGACAUCCCUUAUGUUGUUAUGUUGUAAAGACAUCCUUAGAGAUCCUCAAGUCAAAAAUUGAUCUUAAGGGUAAAACUUAAAGCUUUGUAUUCCUUUCAAUGCUAAAUGUGAAAAGCAAAUAGUGUAUGAAUUUUAUUAAAGGGAUGUGAUUAGGUCAUGUUGAACAGAAAUCUGGCCAAGAGAGAUGCAAAUUGACUUUGAUUACUACUCAAAAAGUACUCUUUUAUAGCUUGAAACUAACUGUUUUAAACACUUUUGAGUAGUAGUUAAUACAUUUUAACUCAAUUGGCACAUUAAGAAACCUAGCAAGGGUUACUAAUCAAUUUUUCGCAAGUUUUGGUGUUUUUGGUAGCUAUUUGAUCAUUGAAACAAGCCAAGAAUGAGGGAGAAUUUUGUGAAAUCCAUGGCAAUGCAAGUUAAAGCUCAAAUACAUGAAGAAUCCAAGCUUUGGAGCACUUCAUAGCCCUUUUCCAAGCCAAUUAGAGAUGCAAGAAGGGAAACCAGAGGAAGAAAUCCAACAACCAGCAUUUCCGCAUGGCUGUGCGAAAUUUCGCACACCAUACGAAACCACUUGAGGCAACCAAAAAAUUUCUCACAUCAUGCGAAAUUUCCCAAGGUAUGCGAAAUCUUCCUGUGCACCAACUCCGUUAGAUUUUUAUCUCUAGAUAUUUUAUGUAAUUUCCUAUUUUCUCCUUAUAAUCAACUUAGAUAUUUUCAUAUAUAUUUUUUUAUAUAUUUAGUGUGUGUAACAUCUUUUGAUAUAGACACACAGGGAUGUAAUCAGAGAACGCUUGUAAAUUCCCCGUAGUAAGAAAUAUACAAAGCUUUUGCUCUGUCUUUUCUUUUCAUUUUGUUUUCACUCUUCUUUCUAGUCAAACAACCUCUAAGGAUGAUUUCUCAGGGGAUGAGUGGCUAGGUUUUACGUUUCUUGGAGCUAUGGAAGCUAGGUGAAGGACUCGAAUGCAAAGAUGGGAGUUGUCCUUACUCUAAAUGAAAGUAGUUGUUAACCAUUAAUGGUUUUUAUUUUAAGGUUUAGCUUUAAAUCCCUUAAAAGCACCUUGAAUGGCCAAUACUUGGUAAGCUUUUUGAAUUCUAUGGAUGCUUAGUGCUAGAUCCAUGGAUGUCUAUUAGUUAUCAUUUAUGAGCUAUUGGAAGGUGGUUCAAGGUGAGAGUCUUUAGUGUGUCAAGCCAUUAAUGGGAAGCAACUAUUAUUUUUCAUGAACCCUUUGGAUCAAAUCUUAAUUGCUAAAAAUAAAAUCGGUUCGGGAGAUAACCAUCCUUAUAUUAUUGUCCCCAACGCGAGGAAAAGAUCCGGAAUCUCCCCCUUUGUCUAAGGAACCCAAUCCUAGUGACCUAAAGCUCCAAGAGACCUUUUCUUUGUAGUCAACUUCACCUAUUAUUUUUGCUUAACUUAAAAUCAAUCUUUGCAACCACAAUUCCAUUUUCUUUAAAAGCUAAUUUUCAUAAGGAAAAACACCAUUUUAUUUCCUUCACUAAAGUCAAUUGUACGAUGAAAACCCAUCCUUGUGGACGAUCCUAGAGCCACUAUACUAUGUUAGCUAUGCUACCCUAGUGUGAGGUGAUUUAGGUUUUAUAAAUUUUGUUGAUAACACCCGUCUAAGCCAGAAUCAAAUGGCAUGACUACAAUGGGGAUGAAUCAGACUUCUUGGAACAUUAUCUUGAAUUUCUCUAGGAAGGAAGAGUAUCUUGAAAAUGAUUUUUGGCUCAUAAAUGAAUAUAGGUUUCUAAGUGGAAAUUAUUUAACAUUAUCACCAUUUUAUGGUGUCAUGAGUGAGUUUUUUUUAGCUUAAGCUUCCUUGUUAGAGUGUUGAUAAUCAUUUGUUUUUUACCUAUUCAUUUGAUAAAUUUGGAAAGUACUUCAAUCUCUAUGUUUAUUAAUUUUGUCUAUUGUUAUGUUCUUGGAAGCAUUUUUGUUCAAUGUGAAUCAAUUCUAACUCAUUAAUUGAAAGAUAAGUAUGUCAUCCUAUUGUAUCUCAUCUUUGGUCGAUCAAUUUUCAUUUUUUGGAAAGCCUAUUCGUGUAUUUCUUGUGAUUUUUCGAUAGUUUUUGCCUAAGUCAUUUUUCAAUUGGGUGUCGAUCGAUCUACUGAAUUUGUGGAUCGAUCCAUUAUGUGCACAAUGUAGUGACCGAGAGCCCUUGAAUGAAUCUUGGAUCGAUCCACCAAGAUCGAUACCACCUAGUACUUGUCUCUCACACACUUAGCCAUUUUUUUCAAAUUUGGUUUGUUCAAACCUAUGUGACUGUGUAUCAUCAAGAGCACAAUUGAAAAUUGGAUCGAUCCACCAAGGUCGAUACCACAUAUGCAUUUGUGAAAAAUUCCAUUUUUGCCCCCAACUAGUUAUACUCAUAUGGUUUAAUGGAUGAGGGGUAUUUUCAUAAUUAAAAGUAAAAAAUUGAAAAAGUCAAAAUUCCUAAAUCUGUUUUUCCCAAUUCAUUUCUUUCAAAAGCCCUAGGUCUUUUGUUUCAAAGAAGAGAACUUCUCUACUCUAAGCUUCUCUUUAGCCAUCAUCGUCGAUCCAUCAUUCUGGCCACUACCAUCAAAAGUCUCUACCACUAGAAACCUUUAUCGUCAGACUUCCUUAUCUGGUGAGCGUUUCAGGUCUGGCCAAUCCCACUAGACAGCCUCGUCAAAUAGCCUAGAAUUGUUGUGUUGCUCAACUCAUGUCAUCAGCUUGUGUGUCUCUUCUUAGUGCGUCGGUGUUUUCGAAAAUUGCCUUCUACAUAGUAUGUGUUGGCUAGGACCUCCUGUGUGCAUCACUAGAUUGUAUCUCAUUCAAUUGGGAUUCCAUUCCAGCAGUUGGAAAUUCCAAUCAGCCCUUAGGACUGUGUUUUUCACAGCACAAUCAACACAACGCAAUCUACACUUCUGGAAAUUGUGUUCUACAUAGCCCAUUUCUCUUGUUUUUUUUUCUACUAUUUUCCAAUGUCCGUGUCUUCAAUGCAACUUAUUUGCAAGAGUUCUCAUUUCCGGCAACCAUUAUUGUUUGAUUUAUCCAUUUUUUUCUCUUCUAUUAGUCUCAUUUGGAACUUCUCUGCUCUAAGCUUCUCUUUAGCCAUCAUCGUCGGUCCAUCAUUCCGGCCACUACCAUCAAAAGUCUCUACCACUGGAAACCUUUAUCGUCAGACUUCCCUAUCUGGUGAGCGUUUCAAGUCUGGCCAAUCCCACUAGACAGCCUCGUCAAAUAGCCUAGAAUUGUUGUGUUGCUCAGCUCAUGUCGUCGGCAUGUGUGUUUCUUCUUAGUGCGUCGGUGUUUUCAAAAAUUGCCUUCUACAUAGUAUGUGUUGGCUAGGACCUCCUGUGUGCAUCACUAGAUUGUAUCUCAUGCAAUUGGGAUUCUGUUCCAGCAGUUGGAAAUUCCAAUCAGCCCUUAGGACUGUGUUUUUCACAGUACAAUGAACACAACGCAAUCUACACUUCUGGAAAUUGUGUUCUACAUAACCCAUUUCUCUUAUUUUUUUCUCUACUAUUUUCCAAUGUUCGUGUUCUCAAUGCAACUUAUUUGCAAGAGUUCUCAUUUCCGAAAACCAUUAUUGUUUGAUUUAUCUAUUCUUCUCUCUUCUAUUAGUCUCAUUUGGAUUAUUUAUUUAUUUAUUUAUUUUUAUUUUUUUGUAGAGUCCUCUCACAGUAGUUUUAAUAGUUUGAGAUUUCAUUUUUGCCUUGGAGUGUUCCUAGUUUCUAGGAAUGCUAAUCCUAGGCUUUGGUUGUUCAUUUUGAGUGGUCUUCAUACAUUUUCAUGCUUGAAAUCUAUUUUCAUGGUGAUAAAGCAUUUUUUGAAAGUUUUUAAUUGAAACCAUGUGAUAGGAUUCAAGAGGAGAUUCUCAUAUCCUGUGAUGGGAGUCAAGGGAAGAUUCUUGUAUCCUAUAAUUUUUUUUUCUGGAAUGUUGAUAUGGAUACUUGGUGAUAUGUGAAUAUUUGAUUUUUGGGUAUUUGACAUUUUGUUGAAAAGUGGAUGUUUGUUGAUUUGGAUGUGAGAUAUUCUGCUAUUGAAUUCUCAUCCAUUUGUCGUUUUUCUUGGAUAGAAAAUGGGAAAUUAUAACUUUUUGUCUCCUGCUAGGACAAAAAGGAGAAAACAUUUUACAUGGAUGUUGAUAUGACAUGUAGUUGAUCAUGACGGCUUCUUUGUGUUUUGUUGCUUUGGAUAUUUGAUAUGUUGAUCAUGAUCACCUUUUUUGUAUAUUGAUGGAUAUUUGACACGUUUUUGAACUCAUGAAUGCAUAUUAAUUAUCUUUAGACAAGUUAUUUUUGUGGAUAUAUGUGGAUAUUUGUGUGUCAAUUCAUUUGAAACUUAUGGAAGUGUCUUGGUAAUAUGUGCAAGUGCUACUAAUGUUUUUUCUUGAGAUUUAUUUGCAGGAUUUGUAGUACCUUUAGUUAGGUUUUGAGUGAGUGAGUGGCCUUGUAUGAGAGUUGGGUGGGACUUACUUGUAUUCAUUUGUGUUGUAAAGGGUUUUGUCCCAGAAUUUUCAAAUGGGGAGAUUUUGAGUGUUUAGCUAGGUUGGUAAUUCCGGACAAAAUUCCUAAGUGUCCCCUAACUCGGUUUACAAAUCCCUCUUCGAACUACUUGACCUUUGAAGAUUAAAACUUUGCUAAGAGGCUGAGGUAUGUAGCCGAGUGUGUGGUGAUUGAAUGUGAAUCAACCCUGUUUUUUCAUCUUUAAAUGAGUUAAGAAAACAAGGAGAAAUAUUGUUAGUGCAAGGCUUUUGUUCCCCUUAUUAUGGAUUGAUCUAGGUGCAAGGGCAAAUUGAUCCAACUAACCUAUUUUUAAGAUCAAUUUUCAACCCUUGGAUUAAGGGUUUCUUUCUCAUUUAAAAUCAAAUAUCUCCCAUCUCUAGAAGUGGUGACUACAACAACUAUGAGAGAGUUUUUUCUUUCUUCACCAUUUUAAGGGUGUUUACCUACGAAGAAAAUCCAUCCAAGUUUUCUAAGAAAUUUUUUUAAAAUGGAUUUUCUGAAAAAAAAAAAAAAAAAAAAAAAAAACAUAGGGUGAUUUUUGAAACAUUCAUAUGUAAUUCUCUUGGUUUUGCGCAAAAACCCUUUUUUUUUCUUAUGUGAAUUCAAGAAGAGGCCGAGAUCGAGCUUGGUGUAGACUCCAAAUGUGCUCUAAAAUAAGAAUGUGAGAAAGUGAAAGUGAAGGUACUAGUCAAGUGGUCCGGGAAGGAUUGGUUGGCUUGAGCUAGGUAAAACCUUGUAUUUAGUUUUUAUUCUUCAUAGUAGAUGUUUUCAAUUGAUAAUAGGCCCAUGGUUUUUUAUCUCUUCGAAAAAUUUUCAUGUAAAUUUAUGGUGUCUCAUUGUCUCAUUUUCUCUUCUUAGCAUCAUUUUUUAGUUUCAACAAUUUAUUAUAAUUUUGAUUGUCUAGUAUUUGAUUGAAUGAUAAAGAGAAAUGGCUAUGAAUCAUCUUUGAAGUUGUUUCUAAUUGUUAAUCAUUGAUAUUUUGAGGUAUAUUGAUCUUGUUUUUAUCAUAAUUUAGUUUAAGUUGAUUUGGGUUUGGGAGUAUUAGAUCAUGUGCAUGUGAAUUUCAUUUGAAUAUUGUUGGGGAGUGUUGUUGCAUUCAUAUAUUCAUUUGAUUUAUAAUUUGUUUUUGAGACUAUGUGAAGAGAAGAAAAAUAUUCAAGAAGUUUUAAGGUUUACUAAUUUGAGUUGAGAUUUUGUUUAAUUGGUCAAAACACCUAUUCAACCCCUUUAGGUGUAUUCCACUAUUGAGAUUCGCCUUUUCAGAACCUAUACUUCUACCAUGCUACAUGAAGUUUUGGAAGGCAUAAAAUACAUUUUGAGGCAUAUAUAAGUCAAAUCUUAUAUCCAAAUUAGGUUGAAUUGGGUCAUGGUUAACCUCAAAUCAAAUAUAUGCAUUUUUCUUACGAAUGUAUAUAUAUAUAUAUAUAUAUAUAUAUAUUUAAGAAUAUAGUUAUUAUUGUAAAGGAUGUAUUUUUUCUUAAGAAUAUACUUUUUUUUGUAACAGAUGUACCUAGGGUUCUCCCAUGCCAAAUAGGGUUUGGGAAUGCAUCAUGAGGUAUAUAAAAGUUAAAAUUUAGACUCAAAAUAGGUCGAAUAAGGGAAUGAUUCAACUCAAAUCAGAUGUAAAUACUUUUCUAAACUUUUAUGCAUUUUUUUAAAGCAUGUACACAAAGUUAUAUCAUGUUGAAUAGGGUAUAAGAAGACCUCAAAUGCAUUCCAAGACCUACAUAAGUGAAAUCCCACACCCGAAUUAGGUUGAAUGAGGAUAAGAAUCCACAAUGAAAUGAAAUGUACAUGUUUUUAUACUAGAUGUACCUAUUUUUCUAAAGGAUGUACUUAUUUUUAAAAAAAAGAUAUAUGUAUUUUAAGAAAUAUAAAAUUUAAUUAAAGAAAUGUUAAUACAAUUUUUAUGAAAAUAAUUUUUUUUCUAUUUUAUGUAUAUAAAAAAGUUAAAGAUUUUAAUUAAAAAGUUAGAACCAUGAUCAAUUUUAAAUCAUAUGAAAAAUUAAAACGAAUGUUAAUAUGAAAGUUCAAAAAUUUAAAUUAAAAUGAUAUAACAAAAAUAUUUUUAGUUUAUUUAAAUGUUAUAAUUUUACAUGCCCUAUCAAUGUCUUGUCAAAUUUUUUUAGUACAAAAUGGAAUAAUAAGUGAAUACUCUUUUAUUUCUUUAAUACAAAAAAUACAAACCAAGCAUCUCUCAAAAUCUUGUUCCUUGCUCUUGAAUAUAAAGUAAGAUAAGCUCGUGAACUUAUUCACAGUAAAAGUUUUGCUAACCUACAGUCACGCAACACAUGAAGGCAUUAUUCGACUUUAUUCAGGCAUCGAACACAAUUCGGCAAAGCUGCUAUAUGUCUUUUGAAGUGAUUUUCAUUUGUCAGCAACUUGUUGUGCAAAGCCAGCCACAAAAAGGAUCUAAUCCUUUGGGAACCCCUUCAUUUCCACAAGGCCAUCCAAUUCUUAUUCAAUUCUAUCCAGCAACUCUCUUCAAUCAGUUCAUAAGUCGACUUGGUAGUUGACAACGCUGACAUGAAGGCCAAAAAUAGUGGAGGAUUGUACAAGAGCACAUAGCACUUGACCCAAAUUCUCAAAAUUUGCUGUUGAAAAGUUUUUAGCCUAUUUGGCCAUUUCAUUAAAAAAAAAAAUUUAAAUUAAAAAAAAACUAUUUUUAAAAAUUCAUAAAAUUGUUUGUUAGUUGUUUUCUAUUUGUAAUUUUUAAAAAUAAAGUGAAAUAAAAAAACAUAUUUUAUAAAACAAAUAGAAAUUGUUUUCACCAAUUUUUAAAGACAAAAGAAAAAUAUAGAGGAAUUAAAAAAACUAUAAAAACCAAAUAAGAUUGAAGAUGAUAUCAUUCUUCUUUACCUCUUUCUACUAUCUAAUACUGAUACUGAAAAUCUUCAAAUAUAAUAUUCUUUUAAAUUACAUGUGUUUUUAUGAAUUUCAUUUAAUUUAAGAAAUUUUUCAUUGAUAAAAUAAAUUCUAAAUCAAAUUAUACUUUAUACAUAAAAUUUACUAAUGUUUAAAAAUAACUUAAAAGUUAAAAACUGAUUUAGUUAGUACUAUAAAGUCAUGAAACUCACUAACAUUGGAAUGCCAUAUAGCAAAAUUCAUUUGAAUGUCUUGGCUAGUUUUUUCUUUGCAUAUAAUCAUAUUUUUACAAUUUUUUUCACUUAGUAAAUAAUCACCAAAUCAAGUAUGACUUAAUGCAUUGAAUUUAUUAACAAGUCUAAGUAAUUCUUAAAAAUAAAUUGAAACGCAAAUAGUGAUCCAAUUAAUACCAUAAAUUUAUGGACAAAAAUUGAACUUGAAUGACUUUAUUGUUUCCAAUUUUGUUUCAUUGGACAAAUAAACUUAAAAUUAAACCAAACUUAAUGUGUUGAAUUCAUUAAUAAAUUUAGUAAUUUCUAAAAAAAACUUAAAACUCAAACAAUGAUGUAAUUAAUAUUAAAAAUUUAUUGAUGAAAAUUGGUCUAAAACUACUCUAUUAUUUUUCUUCUACAUGGAAUCAUAUUUUCCCAAUUUUAUUUUACUAUAUAAAUAAACUCAAAAUUAAACAAAACUUAACAGUCUAGUAAUUUUUAAAUUAGAAUAAUAUUUGAAAUAAUUUAAUUAGAAUAAUAUUGAUUCGACUCAUGGUAGCUUAGCUUUAAAGGCGUAUCAACAAAAUUUAUACCUUGAAUACUAUUACUAAAGUAGCCAAGCUACUAUAGCAUAGUGGUUCUAGGAUCGUUCACUGGGAAGGGUUUUCGCAAACACAAGUGAUAUUCAAAUUAGGAAAAUAGGUGAUUUUCUUAUGGAUGUUAGCUUUAAAAGAAGAUGUAAAUGUUUUAGAAAGAUUUAAACUAAUCUAAGCUAACAUUAAAGACUAAAAUGAAAGGGUGUAAAAACAAGUUUCUCAAAGAUAGGAUAGCUAUGCUCUGGCUCUUAUGCAAAUUGGAAAUCUCAGGAUAGGCUCCUCGCGUUGGGGUUGCAACUAUGGUGAUGCUUGCUUCCCGAACCGGUAUGGAUUUAGCAAAUCAAGUUUUAAUCCUUUAAAAUGGCAAAACAGAUGGUAGUGAAUUUCAUCAAUGGUUAUUCACCUUAGACUUCCUUUGAAUGGCUCGUAAGAGAUAACUAAUGGUCUAAAGCCAAAAGCUUACCAAAUAUUGGCAACUCAAAGUCAUUCCAGGUGAUAAACUUACCUUUCAAUGGCCAUUGAAAUUGGUUCUAACGGAUUAAUGCAAAACUUGGAAUUGAAAACCUCACCUUCCAAUAGCUCGUAGGAGAUAACUAAUGGAUAGUAAUCCAAAAGCUUAUCAAGUAUUGGCCGUUGGAAGUUGUCCAAAGGAAAUAAAAACCAAACUUUGCAUUAAUGAACCUUUAAUGAAAAACGACUACCUUACCUUCCAGGUGCGAGAAAUUUCCAUGGGAGUGCAUCCAAGCCAUCACAUAACAUCCAUACUUUGAGAAACUAAAAGUUUUAGCCAAUCAUCCUCUGAGGAAAAGCCCUCAGAGGCUGUUUGGCUACUAAGAAAAUAGAAACAGGGAAGAACAGGAGAAAAGAGCAAAACAGAGCAAGGCUCUGUAUAUUCUAUAUAUUGAUCGAUUUAUAAUUACAACGGAUGCAAGGGAAUAUAUAUAGAGAAGUUUUUCCAAUCCUUCCUAGCUAAGAAAUCUUAUGAUUCGUGGAUUACAAGGAGAAGAAUGGAAAUUUAUACAAAAAUAUCUAAAAGAAAAGAUCUCGUGUGGAGUCGGUAGAAACAGGGGAAAAUUCGCACGUUGGAGUUCCAAUUUCGCACGUUGAUUUGAGGUGUGCGAAAUUCUCGCACAGUGGACUGAGGAAUUCGCACCUUGAACAGUGGUGUGCGAAAUUGUCCCUCAGCUUGAUGCAGUUGUCUUCCGAAGGCCAUAUCUUUCUCAAUUCAGCUCCAAAUCGUACAUGGUUUGAACCGUUGGAUUCUUGACUUUCUGAGCUUUGAAAUGGUAUAUAGCAUGUAGAAAAUGGACUUCGGGAAGUGCUCCAAAAGUGCCAAAGAAGACUGCAGUUGCUGUCCUCUGUUUUCCUCUUUGCUUCUUUUUGCUUCUCUUUCCUCUUCUCCAUUGUUCUUUCCUUGCAUACUUUGAACGAAUUUGGCAAAGGGCUAUGGAGCUCCAAAGCUUGGUUCUUCAUGAAUUUGAGCUUCCAAAAGCUUUGCCAUAACUUGUCCAAGUAGCUCCUCUAUCAUUUGGCAUGCUUGAAUUGAUUCAUAAGCUGAUAUAAACAUGUAAACUUGCCACAAAAUGGUUAAAACCAAUUACUAAGGACCUUAAUGAAUUAAUUGGGUUAAAUGAAUAUGAUUACUACGCAAAGGUGCUUAAAACCAUUAUAAUUAGGUCUACAAAAUAACACUUUUUGGUAGUAAUCAAAUAUUUUAAUUUAUUAAAAUAAAUCAUAAAUAAAUGAAUAAAAUUAUCUAACAAUAUUUUAUCAAGUUAAUAUUUGUUAAUAAAACUAUAACAAUUUAAGAUUUUGUUAGAUUUUAUCGCUAUAGGAUUAUUAUAAAUGUGGUUUAAAAAAAUGCAUGAACAUCAUGUAAUAUUAACAAAAUAAAAAUUACGAAUUGAUCGCUCUAUGGAUUAUUUUUAUCAUAACAAAAAUGUGUAAAAUUGUAUACACCUUUUAGGCUAUGAAAUAUUCAUUAUCUAACUUAUGAGUGUACAAUUUUGUUUUCUCUAACUUUUGAUUAUACAUUAUAAUUAAAAGAAAUUAGAAAUUACAUUGAAGGUUGUUUUUUAGAUUUUUUUUAACUUUAUAAUUUAUAAUAUAAACUCCAGCUAUACAAUUGUAUAUAUUUUUUAUAACUUCUAGUUGUGAUCUACAAUGACUCUAUUGUUUCUCUUCUAUAUGAAACUAUAUUUUUUAUUUAUUUAUUUCACUAGACAAAUAAAAUCCAAAUUAAACAAAACUUAAUCCCUUAAAAUAAUUAAUGAGUUUAGUAAUUUUUAAAAUAACUUAAAACUUAAAUAGUGGUUCAAUUAAUAUUAAAAAUUUAUGGAUAAAAAUUGGGUUUUAAUGAGUCUACUUUUUUUCUAUACAUACUUAUAUUUUUAUAAAUUUUUUUAUUAAAGAAUAAACUUCAAAUCAAGUAAUUGAAUUCACUAACAGGUUAAUUUUUUUAUUUUUUUUUAAGUUACAACCUAGUAAAUAGAUCUAAUCACUAUAAGAAAUAAUAUAUGAAAACCAAUUGUAGACCCCAAAAUUUGUCCUAAUUUUAUUUUUACAUUGAUAUUGAGUUCAAUUUUAUCCUUAGAUUUAAAUUUCGAUUACAUCUUAAUUGUUUAACCCACUUACACUAUUUUUUUUAUUUUUUCUCUCAUCUCUCCUCUCUCUUCAUCUUUCUCCUCAUUCUACCUACUCCACCUACUUCCCUUACCCAUUUCCUUCUCUUACACGUCUAAGCCACUCCCCAUACCCCCUCCAAGCUUUUUUUUUUUUUUUUUAUCAUCUUUCUCUACUCUCCUCUCUUCACUUUUUUUUUCUCUCCAUCAUUCCUUCUUCGGGCUCCCUUCCAACACCACAACCACUCCACAACCCACACACCAGACACGGUCAACUUCCCCAUCUCCUCUCUUCCUUCUUUCUUUUUUUUUUUUCCUUCCCCUCAACUCUCACACAUGACGGUCCCCAUUUUCUCUUUCAUUUCUUUUCUCCUUCUCACAGUCCUUCCCUCUACAUUGCCAUUUUCCAAAAACUCCCACUGUCACACGCUCCCCAUCUUCCUUCAUUUUUUUUUCCUGUUUUUUUUCUCUUCUUUCUUCUUUCCUUUUCCCCUCUCCACACUCCACGGCCACUAUUGGCCCUCCACUGCCCGCCACUACCAGUAGCCACUGCCAACAACCACCACCCGCCACUGUCUGCCAGUCAUUGCCAACUAGCAAUCCUACCAUCCAUAGUUCUAAAAAAAAUGGGUAAAUUUCUGAGAAGAAAAAGGCUAUGCUUAGUUAAGAAAAACACCCAAAAGGGAGGGUGAAUUGGGUUUUUAAAAUCUUUUCAAUCACAACAAAUUUAAACAAAAUAUAAGCAAAGCAAAGAGAUAGAGUUUAGAGAAUUCAAACUCGGGUUUAUAGUGGUUUGGCACUUCCUUGCCUACGUCCACUCUCUUCAACCUCCUAACCGAGUGAGGAUUCCACUAACUUGAAGCUUCAACCAAGCUUCCAAUCUUCUUACACUUGGAUUCCGGUUUCAAUGGGCUCUUACACAACCUCUUCAAGAUUCAACCCUUUUGAAGGCUUUAACACUUAGAUUGUUACAAGAUAUAAUCACUCAACCUAGCUUAAAGAUGGCUCAAAUACAAGACAAAGCUAGGAUGACAAACAAGAGUGCACUAAAGGAUAUGCAAGUGGUGAUUUAAUGCACUAUGAAAUAAAUGAGAGCUUUUUUUAUCAAGAACAGGUAGGUAGGCUUUGAAUGCAAGUGUUAUCUUCACAAUAAAUGAAGUGGAGCUCUCAAUUUAUAGGUUUCUAAGCUCGGGAGUCAAAAACAACAAAAGGCAACCUCGACCGGUUCACUAGCCGUUGAAGCAUUUAAUGCAUGACAGGUUACCGUUGCCUCAACCGGACCUCGAUCAAUAAGGGAAUCACCUCGACCGGGAAGAGAAGGCUACUGGGAGAGAGAGAAGGUUUUUGACCUUCCUCGACUGGACGACCUCAACCGGUUCUCGACCGGACGACCUCAACCGGUCGACCAGUUCCUCAACCGGUUGACCGGUUGGCCAUAGCCUCGACCGAUUGAGCCUUUUUGGCCCCGAAAAACCUAUUUUUUUAUUUCUUUCUUUUCUAACACUUAGGCAAGGUCUUUAGGUAAAUUAUUAAGCCAAUUUUGAAACAUUUUGCCUAAGGUAAAUUAGUUAAAAACUCGGGUUUUAAUGAAAUCGAUGUUUUAAAGAAUAAACCGAGUUUUCUAAGAUGCAUGAAACGUAUGAAAAUCCUAAGUGCACUCAUGCAUUCAUCUUACAUUAGGUUCCUAUGAUCACAAGUCUUCCAAGCGUCUCGAUCUUGUAUGCAUUUGGUCUUUUGAUGAAUUUUUGAGUUUAUACCUGAGAUUCUUAGACAUUAAACCAAUUAGUCACUUAACCAUGGUUUGUUAUCAUCAAAACCCGAUUAGGAGAACCCUUGGGCUAACAAUUUCCUUUUUACUUUAUUUUAUUUUGAUUUUUGUAUCUUUAUUUUUUUAUUUUCGUUUGCACAGUAAUUGAUUUAGACUUGGAUCUAUUGCUUAUUAGUUAUUUAUUUGGGCUUAUUGGAUUGGGUUUGAGAUAUUAUUUUCUUUGGUCAUGUGUAUUAUUAAUGUGGGUUUGUUGAUUGAUAUGAAUUUUUGACCCAUAAUGUGGGUAUGAAUUUUGGGCCCACAAUGUUGGUGGAAUUUGAUUGAUGACUUGAAUAUUUGAUAUGAGCCUGACCAAUUUAAACUAUUUAAUUUGGAUAUGGGACAAUUAUGGUGUAUAUUAAAUUAGGCUUGGAUUAUGAGAUAUUAAAUUUAGGCCUAAUUGAAUUUAUUUUAUUUUGUGAUAUUUUGGGCUUGGCUAAUUGUGUUGUAUUUUGAUUAUUAAUUUGAAAAUUUUGGAUUAAGAUUUAUAGCAUGUGAGAUGUUUUUGUUAGGUUAUAUUUGUUCAUUUGUGCCCAUUUUGAUUGACAAAAUUUAUGAGACUAAUUUGAAAUUUGAAUUUGAGUUUGAAUAUUUGUUUGGGAUUUUGUACAUCUUUGGAUAUUUACAUUUGAGCUAUUUUGUUUUUGCAUGGGCCUAUUCUACAAUUCUGUUGGCUGAGUACAAAUUUAUGAUACACGGAGCACGAAAUUUUAUGGAAGAAUAAAAAAGUUGUAUGAAGACAUUAAACUAGUUAUAAGCUUAUUUGGGUACACAUUUUAUUUCCCACUUUUAUUUGAUUUUAUUUCUAUUAGUUCUUGUAAAUAUUCGUUUGUAUAUAUUUAUUGUGUACAGAAUUGAAUAUUUAACAAAUCAAAAUUUUCAUUUAAAUAAGAGGAAUAAUUCAGUAAAUAUGUUCUAAUAAAAUAAUAAUUUUAAAAUAUUCUUCUUAAUAAAAGAAAGUUUUUUUUAUUAAUAAAAAUUCAUAAAAAUGCUUUUAGAAAAAUUCAAAAAAAUUGUUUUUAAUAGAAUUUGAAAAAUUAUUUUUAAUAAUAAUUGUCCAAAAAUGUCUUUGUUUAAUAAAAAUUGUCCAAAAAUUGUUUUGUAAAUAAAGUUGUCCCAAAAAUUAAUUUUUAAUUAAAAAUUCUUUUGCAAAUAAAGUUAUAUUCUUUUUAAUAAUUUGUACAAGUCACUUUUCUUUUACUACAAGAAAACUUAUUUUUCCUGACAAAAAUUUAGGGGCGAAUUGUAAUUUUGUCGCUAAAAAUUACUUUUACCGAUGAAAUUUUAGAUAUCGUUGCUAAUGUCAAAUUUAUGAAAACUUUUUGUAACGAAUUUGAAUUUUUCGUUGCCAAAAGAUAUUGCGGGAAAAUUUGGCGGCUUUUUUUGGCGCAAACGCUAUUGUGAUGAAAAAAAUACUAUUUGCCAACGAAAAUAUUUGUUACUAAAUACAAUUUUUUUGUGACGAAAAUAAUUUCCUUACUAAAAGUUACAAAUUUUUAUCCAUAUUUGCUUACAAAAUGGUUUCAUCAGUAAAUAUAUUAUUUUCUGACAAAAUGAGUAAUUUUGUCACUGAAUAGUGUUGCUAAAUUGUAAUAUUAAUAAGUCAUAUUGACAAAUAGAUAAAAGGUUUAUGCUAUAAAAUAAUAAUACGUAUUUUUUGAGACUUGAUAUUUAAAUUACAAUAUUUUAUUUAUAUAUAUAAUAAUAAUACUAAUUAAAGAUUCAUAAAAUUAAAUACUAGAAUAUAGAUUUAUAGAAAUUUAAAUGUUUUGUUAUGUAAUAAUAGUAUUGUUAUGAAAUAAUAAAAAGGUAAAUUAUUUAAGCAAUUAAUUUUUAUAGUGUAAUAUAUAUGUUAUAUUUUUUUUAUAUAGAUAAUAACAAAUAAUCCAAGAUAUAAUAUAAAUUUAUUUAAAUUUCAAUAUUAUUAUAUGAUGUUAACCAAACAUAAAUAAUUUUAAAUCUUUUUUAUUAUACAAUGUAAAAGUUAUUUUUGCAAGUUUAAUAUAGUAGUAUUGAACUUAAAUUAGCUAUGAAUAAGUAAUGAUCCUCUAAUUUGUUCUCAUUCAAAAUCAUGUCGUCUGAAGUAAAUUUAUACUAAUAUUUAACUACCUAGUUUAAAUUAAUAGAUUUUUAUAAUUAUUACUUGGUUUUUAAAUAGUUGUUCAGAAUUGAAAUUAUCAAAUAAAUUACCUAGUGUCUAUAAAAACAUUAUAUUUGCAUAGAAUUUCAAAUAAUACUUGUGUGUAUAAAAAAUAUCAUAUAUUAUCAAUACAUAUAUGAUUGCAAUUAAAUAUUAUAUGAUAUGAUAUAUGGCAUUAUAUGCCUCACUACUAUAAUAUUAAUAACAAAAUAAAAAAUGUGUCAUAUAUAUAUACACAUAUUAUAAUGGGUAUAUGAAGAAAUUAAUAUAUGAAUGAUAUAAAUUGUAACAUUUUAUAAUAAUCAACAGUAUUUGAAAGCAUAUUUAAUGUUAAAAUGAUAAUUUAUUUACUUUAUAAUAAGUGAAUAAUUAUUAUAUUUUUAUUUCAUUCAUGAUUUUUGUGCUUUCAAUAAUAAAUUAAAUGGAAAAUAAAAUUAAAUAUUGAAAAUUAAUAGAAUUAUUAAAACUUUAUCUUAAUAUUUUAAUAUUUAAAAUGUAUAUAAAAUUUAGGUGUAAACAUAAUUAUAUAUAAUGUAGGCACUUUAAUAACUCAAAUGAAUGACUAUCCUAGUGGUGUAUAGUUAACUUCGUAAGCUUGGGAAGUCUGAACACUUUAUUGAUCUCAUUAUAAAUUUUUAUUUUUAAUUGUUAAAUAUUAAUUUAUCAUAAAUGAUUACUUAUUAAAAAUAAAAUCAUAAAUUAUAUCACAAAAUAGUAAAUGUUGUAUACUAACUUGUAAAGAAGUUUUUAUAUUUGUAUACAAUUUUUUAAUAAAACAUGUAAAACAAAUAUAGUUAUAAAAAUAAUUGUAACAUAUAAUAAAAUAGUAUAUCAUUUACAUUUAUAGUGUUUUAUUGCAUUUGAUAUUUUUGUUUGAAAUAUAAGAGAAAGAAAAUGAAAAAUAUAAAGAUGACUUGUUGACACGAAUUGUUGCACUUAGGCUUAUUCACUUUGAAAGUAAAUUUAUACUAAUAUUUAAUUACCUAGAUUAACCUAAUAAAAAUAUUUUUUUUAAUUAUUGUUUAGUUUUUAAAUAAUUGUUAAUAUUAGAAAUUAUCAAAUAAUAACCUAAUUUUUGUCAAGAUAUUCUAUUGACGUAAAUUCCAAAUAUGGUUUAUGUUUAUAAAGAUAUCAUAUAUCAUUAAUGAAUAUAUGAUUGUAAGUUAAAUAUCAUAUGAUACAAUACAUUGUACCAUAUGCAUAACUACUAUAUUAUUAUUUUAGAAAAUAAAAAAUGCAUUAUAUAUUAGUAAUAUAUUAUAUACAUAAAAACAAAAAUUGUAAGGUAUCUAACCACUUCUUAAUUAACAAUUGAUUAGUUUAAUUUUUAAAUAAUUUUAUGAUGUAUUAAUGAUCUUUAGCUUAACUACUAAAAUAAGAUAAUAAAUUAUGCCACAAAAGUAGCAACUAUUAUAGCUACUAAUUUGUUAAGGAUUGUUUUACACUUUUAUAUGUUUUUUAAUAAAAUAUUUAAUCUAUGAUUUUUAUUCCUUGCUUUAAAUUUCAAUUUUUAUUUUACUCUAAUUUCUAAUAUAUAAAUUCUGAUUUUUAAAUUUUUAAUUUUUAAUUUCUAAAUUUUAAAUAAUACAAAACUCAUAAAUCUUACAUUUUAUUUUUAGUCAAUUUUGUAAUUUAUAAAUUCUAAUUUUUUUAUUUUCUAAAUUUUCUAAAUUUUAAAUAAUAAAUAGUCCCAAUAAUAGGCAAAUAAUAAAGUUUCAAUUUUAUUUUUAAUCUAAUUUUUAAUUUAUAUUUUAAAUUUUUAAAUUUUUAAAUUCUAAAUUUUAAAUAAUAUAAAACAUAUAACAUCAUGAAAUGCAUUAAAUGCGCCGAGUUGUAGCAGCAUGCUACUGAGAUUUGGUUGUAGAGACGGCACAAUGGAUGGUAUGGAGUAUUGGUUGGGAAAUGAAAUGAAAAGAAAGUGAAAUAAAAAAGAAAAAAACAAAUCUCCCAAGCACCCACGUAGCACUGGGACUUUGAAAAGUGAGAAGACUUUCUCACCAACUCUCCAUCAUUUGCCUACAACUUUGAAAAUGAAAAAGAGCAUUACUUCCCACCACAUCUCUAACAUCUACCAUAACCUCCUGAACCUUCCACCAUUUUCACCAUCUCAUCUACCUUCUUAAAAAAUUGUUUCCCACUUGCAAGCCAUAUUCACCAUUCUCCACCAAAGUUUACCGAGCCGGCAAAGCUUCUUAUCUACCAUUUUCAUCGGUCUGUUAUACUACAGAAAUCUACCACUNNNNNNNNNNNNNNNNNNNNNNNNNNNNNNNNNNNNNNNNNNNNNNNNNNNNNNNNNNNNNNNNNNNNNNNNNNNNNNNNNNNNNNNNNNNNNNNNNNNNNNNNNNNNNNNNNNNNNNNNNNNNNNNNNNNNNNNNNNNNNNNNNNNNNNNNNNNNNNNNNNNNNNNNNNNNNNNNNNNNNNNNNNNNNNNNNNNNNNNNNNNNNNNNNNNNNNNNNNNNNNNNNNNNNNNNNNNNNNNNNNNNNNNNNNNNNNNNNNNNNNNNNNNNNNNNNNNNNNNNNNNNNNNNNNNNNNNNNNNNNNNNNNNNNNNNNNNNNNNNNNNNNNNNNNNNNNNNNNNNNNNNNNNNNNNNNNNNNNNNNNNNNNNNNNNNNNNNNNNNNNNNNNNNNNNNNNNNNNNNNNNNNNNNNNNNNNNNNNNNNNNNNNNNNNNNNNNNNNNNNNNNNNNNNNNNNNNNNNNNNNNNNNNNNNNNNNNNNNNNNNNNNNNNNNNNNNNNNNNNNNNNNNNNNNNNNNNNNNNNNNNNNNNNNNNNNNNNNNNNNNNNNNNNNNNNNNNNNNNNNNNNNNNNNNNNNNNNNNNNNNNNNNNNNNNNNNNNNNNNNNNNNNNNNNNNNNNNNNNNNNNNNNNNNNNNNNNNNNNNNNNNNNNNNNNNNNNNNNNNNNNNNNNNNNNNNNNNNNNNNNNNNNNNNNNNNNNNNNNNNNNNNNNNNNNNNNNNNNNNNNNNNNNNNNNNNNNNNNNNNNNNNNNNNNNNNNNNNNNNNNNNNNNNNNNNNNNNNNNNNNNNNNNNNNNNNNNNNNNNNNNNNNNNNNNNNNNNNNNNNNNNNNNNNNNNNNNNNNNNNNNNNNNNNNNNNNNNNNNNNNNNNNNNNNNNNNNNNNNNNNNNNNNNNNNNNNNNNNNNNNNNNNNNNNNNNNNNNNNNNNNNNNNNNNNNNNNNNNNNNNNNNNNNNNNNNNNNNNNNNNNNNNNNNNNNNNNNNNNNNNNNNNNNNNNNNNNNNNNNNNNNNNNNNNNNNNNNNNNNNNNNNNNNNNNNNNNNNNNNNNNNNNNNNNNNNNNNNNNNNNNNNNNNNNNNNNNNNNNNNNNNNNNNNNNNNNNNNNNNNNNNNNNNNNNNNNNNNNNNNNNNNNNNNNNNNNNNNNNNNNNNNNNNNNNNNNNNNNNNNNNNNNNNNNNNNNNNNNNNNNNNNNNNNNNNNNNNNNNNNNNNNNNNNNNNNNNNNNNNNNNNNNNNNNNNNNNNNNNNNNNNNNNNNNNNNNNNNNNNNNNNNNNNNNNNNNNNNNNNNNNNNNNNNNNNNNNNNNNNNNNNNNNNNNNNNNNNNNNNNNNNNNNNNNNNNNNNNNNNNNNNNNNNNNNNNNNNNNNNNNNNNNNNNNNNNNNNNNNNNNNNNNNNNNNNNNNNNNNNNNNNNNNNNNNNNNNNNNNNNNNNNNNNNNNNNNNNNNNNNNNNNNNNNNNNNNNNNNNNNNNNNNNNNNNNNNNNNNNNNNNNNNNNNNNNNNNNNNNNNNNNNNNNNNNNNNNNNNNNNNNNNNNNNNNNNNNNNNNNNNNNNNNNNNNNNNNNNNNNNNNNNNNNNNNNNNNNNNNNNNNNNNNNNNNNNNNNNNNNNNNNNNNNNNNNNNNNNNNNNNNNNNNNNNNNNNNNNNNNNNNNNNNNNNNNNNNNNNNNNNNNNNNNNNNNNNNNNNNNNNNNNNNNNNNNNNNNNNNNNNNNNNNNNNNNNNNNNNNNNNNNNNNNNNNNNNNNNNNNNNNNNNNNNNNNNNNNNNNNNNNNNNNNNNNNNNNNNNNNNNNNNNNNNNNNNNNNNNNNNNNNNNNNNNNNNNNNNNNNNNNNNNNNNNNNNNNNNNNNNNNNNNNNNNNNNNNNNNNNNNNNNNNNNNNNNNNNNNNNNNNNNNNNNNNNNNNNNNNNNNNNNNNNNNNNNNNNNNNNNNNNNNNNNNNNNNNNNNNNNNNNNNNNNNNNNNNNNNNNNNNNNNNNNNNNNNNNNNNNNNNNNNNNNNNNNNNNNNNNNNNNNNNNNNNNNNNNNNNNNNNNNNNNNNNNNNNNNNNNNNNNNNNNNNNNNNNNNNNNNNNNNNNNNNNNNNNNNNNNNNNNNNNNNNNNNNNNNNNNNNNNNNNNNNNNNNNNNNNNNNNNNNNNNNNNNNNNNNNNNNNNNNNNNNNNNNNNNNNNNNNNNNNNNNNNNNNNNNNNNNNNNNNNNNNNNNNNNNNNNNNNNNNNNNNNNNNNNNNNNNNNNNNNNNNNNNNNNNNNNNNNNNNNNNNNNNNNNNNNNNNNNNNNNNNNNNNNNNNNNNNNNNNNNNNNNNNNNNNNNNNNNNNNNNNNNNNNNNNNNNNNNNNNNNNNNNNNNNNNNNNNNNNNNNNNNNNNNNNNNNNNNNNNNNNNNNNNNNNNNNNNNNNNNNNNNNNNNNNNNNNNNNNNNNNNNNNNNNNNNNNNNNNNNNNNNNNNNNNNNNNNNNNNNNNNNNNNNNNNNNNNNNNNNNNNNNNNNNNNNNNNNNNNNNNNNNNNNNNNNNNNNNNNNNNNNNNNNNNNNNNNNNNNNNNNNNNNNNNNNNNNNNNNNNNNNNNNNNNNNNNNNNNNNNNNNNNNNNNNNNNNNNNNNNNNNNNNNNNNNNNNNNNNNNNNNNNNNNNNNNNNNNNNNNNNNNNNNNNNNNNNNNNNNNNNNNNNNNNNNNNNNNNNNNNNNNNNNNNNNNNNNNNNNNNNNNNNNNNNNNNNNNNNNNNNNNNNNNNNNNNNNNNNNNNNNNNNNNNNNNNNNNNNNNNNNNNNNNNNNNNNNNNNNNNNNNNNNNNNNNNNNNNNNNNNNNNNNNNNNNNNNNNNNNNNNNNNNNNNNNNNNNNNNNNNNNNNNNNNNNNNNNNNNNNNNNNNNNNNNNNNNNNNNNNNNNNNNNNNNNNNNNNNNNNNNNNNNNNNNNNNNNNNNNNNNNNNNNNNNNNNNNNNNNNNNNNNNNNNNNNNNNNNNNNNNNNNNNNNNNNNNNNNNNNNNNNNNNNNNNNNNNNNNNNNNNNNNNNNNNNNNNNNNNNNNNNNNNNNNNNNNNNNNNNNNNNNNNNNNNNNNNNNNNNNNNNNNNNNNNNNNNNNNNNNNNNNNNNNNNNNNNNNNNNNNNNNNNNNNNNNNNNNNNNNNNNNNNNNNNNNNNNNNNNNNNNNNNNNNNNNNNNNNNNNNNNNNNNNNNNNNNNNNNNNNNNNNNNNNNNNNNNNNNNNNNNNNNNNNNNNNNNNNNNNNNNNNNNNNNNNNNNNNNNNNNNNNNNNNNNNNNNNNNNNNNNNNNNNNNNNNNNNNNNNNNNNNNNNNNNNNNNNNNNNNNNNNNNNNNNNNNNNNNNNNNNNNNNNNNNNNNNNNNNNNNNNNNNNNNNNNNNNNNNNNNNNNNNNNNNNNNNNNNNNNNNNNNNNNNNNNNNNNNNNNNNNNNNNNNNNNNNNNNNNNNNNNNNNNNNNNNNNNNNNNNNNNNNNNNNNNNNNNNNNNNNNNNNNNNNNNNNNNNNNNNNNNNNNNNNNNNNNNNNNNNNNNNNNNNNNNNNNNNNNNNNNNNNNNNNNNNNNNNNNNNNNNNNNNNNNNNNNNNNNNNNNNNNNNNNNNNNNNNNNNNNNNNNNNNNNNNNNNNNNNNNNNNNNNNNNNNNNNNNNNNNNNNNNNNNNNNNNNNNNNNNNNNNNNNNNNNNNNNNNNNNNNNNNNNNNNNNNNNNNNNNNNNNNNNNNNNNNNNNNNNNNNNNNNNNNNNNNNNNNNNNNNNNNNNNNNNNNNNNNNNNNNNNNNNNNNNNNNNNNNNNNNNNNNNNNNNNNNNNNNNNNNNNNNNNNNNNNNNNNNNNNNNNNNNNNNNNNNNNNNNNNNNNNNNNNNNNNNNNNNNNNNNNNNNNNNNNNNNNNNNNNNNNNNNNNNNNNNNNNNNNNNNNNNNNNNNNNNNNNNNNNNNNNNNNNNNNNNNNNNNNNNNNNNNNNNNNNNNNNNNNNNNNNNNNNNNNNNNNNNNNNNNNNNNNNNNNNNNNNNNNNNNNNNNNNNNNNNNNNNNNNNNNNNNNNNNNNNNNNNNNNNNNNNNNNNNNNNNNNNNNNNNNNNNNNNNNNNNNNNNNNNNNNNNNNNNNNNNNNNNNNNNNNNNNNNNNNNNNNNNNNNNNNNNNNNNNNNNNNNNNNNNNNNNNNNNNNNNNNNNNNNNNNNNNNNNNNNNNNNNNNNNNNNNNNNNNNNNNNNNNNNNNNNNNNNNNNNNNNNNNNNNNNNNNNNNNNNNNNNNNNNNNNNNNNNNNNNNNNNNNNNNNNNNNNNNNNNNNNNNNNNNNNNNNNNNNNNNNNNNNNNNNNNNNNNNNNNNNNNNNNNNNNNNNNNNNNNNNNNNNNGUUCUAGAAGUUAUCAAAAAUGGAUUUUCCAUGGGGAAGAACAUGAAUCUCAACCUAAUGAGCAAAAUGAUAUUGGUGUUGAUACAGAAAUUGUUGACGCUACUGAUGCUGAUAUCCUUAAUGAAGUUGCGGAUGCAUUAAAUGAUGCAUGUGGACACAUAGACAAUGAUAUUAACUUAGAGGAAUCUACUACUCAUGGAAAAUUUGAUUACUUACUUGGUGAAGCUAAUAAAGAAUUGUAUCUAGGUUGUAAAAAGUUUUCUGCUUUGACAUUCCUUGUGAAGUUAAUGCAUAUUAAAGUCCUCAAUCGUUGGAGUGACAAGUCUUUUGACAUGUUACUCCAAGUUUUAGUUGAUGUUUUUCCAGAAAGAUCAAACAUUCCAAAGACAUACUAUGAUGCUAAGAAGAUGUUAAGAGAUUUGGGCUUAGGAUAUGAUUCAAUCCAUGCAUGCAAGUAUGAUUGUGCAUUGUUUUGGAAGGAGAAUGAGACUCUUGAUAAAUGUUCAAUGUGUGAUGAGCCACGAUAUAAGUUCUGUAAUGGAAAAGGUAAAAAAAUUCCUCAAAAAGUAUUGUGUCAUUUUCCACUAAAAUCAAGGCUACAAAGGUUAUUCAUGUCAAGGCAUACAGCAUCAGCUAUGAGGUGGCAUAAAGAAAACUGAAUCAGUGAGGAGGGAGUCCUAAGGCAUCCAGCAGAUUCUGAAGCUUGGAAGGAUAUGGACACCCAAUUCCCUUGGUUUUCGCAAGAACCUCGAAAUGUUAGAUUAGGGCUUGCAACAAAUGGUUUCAAUCCAUUUGGGAGCAUGAGUAAUAGUUAUAGCAUGUGGCCAAUUGUUCUUGUGCCAUACAAUAUGGCACCAUGGAGAUGUAUGAAAGAGAUGUUUUUCAUGUUAUCAUUACUAAUUCUAGGCCCACAAGCCUUAGGGAGAGAUAUUGAUGUAUACCUACGUCCUUUGAUAGAAGAAUUAAAAGAGUUAUGGCAUGAAGGUGUUCAAACAUUUGACAUGUCAACAGGAGAAAACUUUCGCAUGCAUGCAUGUGUUUUAUGGACAAUAAAUGACAUUCCUGCUUAUGGGAACUUGGCUGGGUGGAGUACAAAAGGAUAUAAAGCAUGUCCAGUUUGUAAUGAAGACACAUCGUCACUAAGUAUUAGAAGUAAAAUAUGUUACAUGGGUCAUCGACGUUUUUUACCUCUUGAUCAUGGAUGGCGAAGGAGUAAACAACACGAUGGUAAGCCGGAGUUUCGACCACCGCCAAGAAUGUUCUCUAGUGAUGAAAUAUUGCAACAAUUGUGUUGUCUUAAACAUCAGAAGCCUAGUAAGCAUCCAAACAACGUUGAUAGAAAGCAAAAACGGGUGCCUGAAGAAUUAAAUUGGACAAAAAAAAGUAUUUUCUUUGAGUUGGAGUACUGGUCAAAGUUGAAGUUGAGACAUAAUAUUGAUGUUAUGCAUGUUGAAAAGAAUGUAUGUGAUAGUGUUGUGGGAACUUUGUUAAAUAUUGUAGGAAAAACAAAAGAUAUAAACAAAGCUCGCUUAGAUUUGGCUGAUAUGAAUAUAAGGAAAGAAUUGCAUUUGCAAAUACAAGGGAACAAAUUGGUAAAACCCCAUGCAUGCUACACAUUGACUGUAGAGGAAAGGAAAGAGUUCUGUAAGUUUCUAAAGUCUGUUAAAUUUCCAGAUGGUUAUGCUGCAAAUUUAUCUAGAAAUGUUAGCAUCAAUGAUGGGAAGAUCUCAGGGUUAAAGAGUCAUGAUUGUCAUGUUUUGCUGCAAAAAUUACUCCCUAUCGCUAUUCGUCCAUAUUUUAAUAAAGAUUUGUGUACAACACUGGUUGAGUUGUGUAGUUUUUUCCAAAAGUUAUGUGCAAAGACCUUGUACAUGAAUGAUUUGGAAAAAUUAGAAGAAGGGAUUGUCUUAAUAUUGUGUAAGCUUGAAAGGAUAUUCCCACCAGCUUUCUUUGAUGUCAUGGUUCACUUGAUGGUACAUUUACCACGUGAGGCCAAACUUGCUGGACUAGUUAGUUAUCGAUGGAUGUAUCCAUUUAAGAGGUACAUUUUUACCUUUUUUGUUUAUUAAUAUUCUCAUCUAACUAUGUUACACAAUACAUGUGUUAAGGCUUAUUUAUUAACACUAUUUCUAUUUAGGAACUUAGGAACAUUGAAAAGAUAUGUGAGAAAUAAAGCUCGACCAGAAGGUUCAAUUGCAAAGGCAUACAUCGUGAAUGAAGCUUUAAUGUUUUGUUCAAUGUAUCUUACUGGAAUUGAAACACGUUUUAAUCGAAGUGAAAGGAACGAAGAUCGAUUUGAACAUCGAGUACAAGAAUGUCUUUCCAUAUUUUCAUAGCAAGCUCAACCAUUAGGCUGUCGAUAACAUCUCCAAUUUUCGAAGGAAGAGUUAACUAAGGCACAUUGGUAUAUCAUGAAUAAUUGCCCAGAGUUGAGACCAUACUUAGAGUAAGUUUUAGAAUCAACAUUAAAGAUAUUUCUUUAAUACCUCGUUACUUAAUAUCUAUUUAAUGAUGUAGUGAACAUACAAAAGAAUUGGAGAGGACAAGUUCACAUAACUUAGAGAAACGACAAGAACAAGAGUUUCCUAAGUGGCUUGCAGAUCGUGUAAGUUUUAUUUGUGUAAUUUGCUUGCUACAAUAUAGUUGUAAUGAACUAAUAUAAUUUUAAUAAUAUUUGAUAUUAAACUAUAAAUAAUUAUGUACAUUUAUAUUGUAGAUGAAAGCUUUGCAUGUUAAACAAUCACCAGAAGCAACUGAUGAACUAUACUCAUUAGCGUGUGGACUAGAUAAUCGAGUCCACACAUACAUGGGUUGUAUUGUUAAUGGAGUUCGCUUCCAUACAAAAGAUCAUGAUGAUCGGCGUAUCACCCAAAAUAGUGGGAUAUGUGUUUCUGGGGAGCAUGAUGGUGAGGAGGUUGAUUUCUAUGGUGUUUUAUCAAAUGUGGUUGUUUUGAACUAUGUCUUGGGGUAUAAGGUUAUUCUUUUCAAGUGCACAUGGUUCGACACAAACCAAAAGAAGAAGAGAAUAAAACAUGACUAUAAUUUUACCACAAUCCAAGUUAUCUCCACCUGGUAUGACAAUGAUCCUUUUAUACUUGCUACACAAACACAACAAGUUUUCUACCUAGAUGACUACAAAAAUGGUCAUAAUUGGAAAGUAGUACAAAAAGUGAAUCAUAGACACAUGUGGGAUGUACCAGAAAGGGAUACUAAUAUAGAAAUCGAUGAAGAAGUGUGCGGGGGAAGUGAUGAAGAAGCUUACCAAGAUAAUGAAUCUCAUGAGCUUAACUGGUUUGUAGAGCAAGAUGAUGGAUUUGAAUUUCAACGAUCUGACCGCUUAAACAUUGAUCUAGAAGUUGUUAAUGAUAAUGUUUUGAUUUUAGAGAACAUGAAUGACAAUGAUGAUAACUUCAUAUGUGAUGACAUUGAGGAAGAAGAUGAAACACUAGAUGAUUAUGCUAAUGAGAAUGAAAUGUGGCUUUCAAGUGAUAGUGAAAGUGAAAGUGAUUAAAGAGACUGGUAAGCUACAUUUUAUUUACUUUAUUAUAUGUUAAAUAACAUAAUGUAAUCUAGGUCUAGUUCUUUAAAUUUNNNNNNNNNNNNNNNNNNNNNNNNNNNNNNNNNNNNNNNNNNNNNNNNNNNNNNNNNNNNNNNNNNNNNNNNNNNNNNNNNNNNNNNNNNNNNNNNNNNNNNNNNNNNNNNNNNNNNNNNNNNNNNNNNNNNNNNNNNNNNNNNNNNNNNNNNNNNNNNNNNNNNNNNNNNNNNNNNNNNNNNNNNNNNNNNNNNNNNNNNNNNNNNNNNNNNNNNNNNNNNNNNNNNNNNNNNNNNNNNNNNNNNNNNNNNNNNNNNNNNNNNNNNNNNNNNNNNNNNNNNNNNNNNNNNNNNNNNNNNNNNNNNNNNNNNNNNNNNNNNNNNNNNNNNNNNNNNNNNNNNNNNNNNNNNNNNNNNNNNNNNNNNNNNNNNNNNNNNNNNNNNNNNNNNNNNNNNNNNNNNNNNNNNNNNNNNNNNNNNNNNNNNNNNNNNNNNNNNNNNNNNNNNNNNNNNNNNNNNNNNNNNNNNNNNNNNNNNNNNNNNNNNNNNNNNNNNNNNNNNNNNNNNNNNNNNNNNNNNNNNNNNNNNNNNNNNNNNNNNNNNNNNNNNNNNNNNNNNNNNNNNNNNNNNNNNNNNNNNNNNNNNNNNNNNNNNNNNNNNNNNNNNNNNNNNNNNNNNNNNNNNNNNNNNNNNNNNNNNNNNNNNNNNNNNNNNNNNNNNNNNNNNNNNNNNNNNNNNNNNNNNNNNNNNNNNNNNNNNNNNNNNNNNNNNNNNNNNNNNNNNNNNNNNNNNNNNNNNNNNNNNNNNNNNNNNNNNNNNNNNNNNNNNNNNNNNNNNNNNNNNNNNNNNNNNNNNNNNNNNNNNNNNNNNNNNNNNNNNNNNNNNNNNNNNNNNNNNNNNNNNNNNNNNNNNNNNNNNNNNNNNNNNNNNNNNNNNNNNNNNNNNNNNNNNNNNNNNNNNNNNNNNNNNNNNNNNNNNNNNNNNNNNNNNNNNNNNNNNNNNNNNNNNNNNNNNNNNNNNNNNNNNNNNNNNNNNNNNNNNNNNNNNNNNNNNNNNNNNNNNNNNNNNNNNNNNNNNNNNNNNNNNNNNNNNNNNNNNNNNNNNNNNNNNNNNNNNNNNNNNNNNNNNNNNNNNNNNNNNNNNNNNNNNNNNNNNNNNNNNNNNNNNNNNNNNNNNNNNNNNNNNNNNNNNNNNNNNNNNNNNNNNNNNNNNNNNNNNNNNNNNNNNNNNNNNNNNNNNNNNNNNNNNNNNNNNNNNNNNNNNNNNNNNNNNNNNNNNNNNNNNNNNNNNNNNNNNNNNNNNNNNNNNNNNNNNNNNNNNNNNNNNNNNNNNNNNNNNNNNNNNNNNNNNNNNNNNNNNNNNNNNNNNNNNNNNNNNNNNNNNNNNNNNNNNNNNNNNNNNNNNNNNNNNNNNNNNNNNNNNNNNNNNNNNNNNNNNNNNNNNNNNNNNNNNNNNNNNNNNNNNNNNNNNNNNNNNNNNNNNNNNNNNNNNNNNNNNNNNNNNNNNNNNNNNNNNNNNNNNNNNNNNNNNNNNNNNNNNNNNNNNNNNNNNNNNNNNNNNNNNNNNNNNNNNNNNNNNNNNNNNNNNNNNNNNNNNNNNNNNNNNNNNNNNNNNNNNNNNNNNNNNNNNNNNNNNNNNNNNNNNNNNNNNNNNNNNNNNNNNNNNNNNNNNNNNNNNNNNNNNNNNNNNNNNNNNNNNNNNNNNNNNNNNNNNNNNNNNNNNNNNNNNNNNNNNNNNNNNNNNNNNNNNNNNNNNNNNNNNNNNNNNNNNNNNNNNNNNNNNNNNNNNNNNNNNNNNNNNNNNNNNNNNNNNNNNNNNNNNNNNNNNNNNNNNNNNNNNNNNNNNNNNNNNNNNNNNNNNNNNNNNNNNNNNNNNNNNNNNNNNNNNNNNNNNNNNNNNNNNNNNNNNNNNNNNNNNNNNNNNNNNNNNNNNNNNNNNNNNNNNNNNNNNNNNNNNNNNNNNNNNNNNNNNNNNNNNNNNNNNNNNNNNNNNNNNNNNNNNNNNNNNNNNNNNNNNNNNNNNNNNNNNNNNNNNNNNNNNNNNNNNNNNNNNNNNNNNNNNNNNNNNNNNNNNNNNNNNNNNNNNNNNNNNNNNNNNNNNNNNNNNNNNNNNNNNNNNNNNNNNNNNNNNNNNNNNNNNNNNNNNNNNNNNNNNNNNNNNNNNNNNNNNNNNNNNNNNNNNNNNNNNNNNNNNNNNNNNNNNNNNNNNNNNNNNNNNNNNNNNNNNNNNNNNNNNNNNNNNNNNNNNNNNNNNNNNNNNNNNNNNNNNNNNNNNNNNNNNNNNNNNNNNNNNNNNNNNNNNNNNNNNNNNNNNNNNNNNNNNNNNNNNNNNNNNNNNNNNNNNNNNNNNNNNNNNNNNNNNNNNNNNNNNNNNNNNNNNNNNNNNNNNNNNNNNNNNNNNNNNNNNNNNNNNNNNNNNNNNNNNNNNNNNNNNNNNNNNNNNNNNNNNNNNNNNNNNNNNNNNNNNNNNNNNNNNNNNNNNNNNNNNNNNNNNNNNNNNNNNNNNNNNNNNNNNNNNNNNNNNNNNNNNNNNNNNNNNNNNNNNNNNNNNNNNNNNNNNNNNNNNNNNNNNNNNNNNNNNNNNNNNNNNNNNNNNNNNNNNNNNNNNNNNNNNNNNNNNNNNNNNNNNNNNNNNNNNNNNNNNNNNNNNNNNNNNNNNNNNNNNNNNNNNNNNNNNNNNNNNNNNNNNNNNNNNNNNNNNNNNNNNNNNNNNNNNNNNNNNNNNNNNNNNNNNNNNNNNNNNNNNNNNNNNNNNNNNNNNNNNNNNNNNNNNNNNNNNNNNNNNNNNNNNNNNNNNNNNNNNNNNNNNNNNNNNNNNNNNNNNNNNNNNNNNNNNNNNNNNNNNNNNNNNNNNNNNNNNNNNNNNNNNNNNNNNNNNNNNNNNNNNNNNNNNNNNNNNNNNNNNNNNNNNNNNNNNNNNNNNNNNNNNNNNNNNNNNNNNNNNNNNNNNNNNNNNNNNNNNNNNNNNNNNNNNNNNNNNNNNNNNNNNNNNNNNNNNNNNNNNNNNNNNNNNNNNNNNNNNNNNNNNNNNNNNNNNNNNNNNNNNNNNNNNNNNNNNNNNNNNNNNNNNNNNNNNNNNNNNNNNNNNNNNNNNNNNNNNNNNNNNNNNNNNNNNNNNNNNNNNNNNNNNNNNNNNNNNNNNNNNNNNNNNNNNNNNNNNNNNNNNNNNNNNNNNNNNNNNNNNNNNNNNNNNNNNNNNNNNNNNNNNNNNNNNNNNNNNNNNNNNNNNNNNNNNNNNNNNNNNNNNNNNNNNNNNNNNNNNNNNNNNNNNNNNNNNNNNNNNNNNNNNNNNNNNNNNNNNNNNNNNNNNNNNNNNNNNNNNNNNNNNNNNNNNNNNNNNNNNNNNNNNNNNNNNNNNNNNNNNNNNNNNNNNNNNNNNNNNNNNNNNNNNNNNNNNNNNNNNNNNNNNNNNNNNNNNNNNNNNNNNNNNNNNNNNNNNNNNNNNNNNNNNNNNNNNNNNNNNNNNNNNNNNNNNNNNNNNNNNNNNNNNNNNNNNNNNNNNNNNNNNNNNNNNNNNNNNNNNNNNNNNNNNNNNNNNNNNNNNNNNNNNNNNNNNNNNNNNNNNNNNNNNNNNNNNNNNNNNNNNNNNNNNNNNNNNNNNNNNNNNNNNNNNNNNNNNNNNNNNNNNNNNNNNNNNNNNNNNNNNNNNNNNNNNNNNNNNNNNNNNNNNNNNNNNNNNNNNNNNNNNNNNNNNNNNNNNNNNNNNNNNNNNNNNNNNNNNNNNNNNNNNNNNNNNNNNNNNNNNNNNNNNNNNNNNNNNNNNNNNNNNNNNNNNNNNNNNNNNNNNNNNNNNNNNNNNNNNNNNNNNNNNNNNNNNNNNNNNNNNNNNNNNNNNNNNNNNNNNNNNNNNNNNNNNNNNNNNNNNNNNNNNNNNNNNNNNNNNNNNNNNNNNNNNNNNNNNNNNNNNNNNNNNNNNNNNNNNNNNNNNNNNNNNNNNNNNNNNNNNNNNNNNNNNNNNNNNNNNNNNNNNNNNNNNNNNNNNNNNNNNNNNNNNNNNNNNNNNNNNNNNNNNNNNNNNNNNNNNNNNNNNNNNNNNNNNNNNNNNNNNNNNNNNNNNNNNNNNNNNNNNNNNNNNNNNNNNNNNNNNNNNNNNNNNNNNNNNNNNNNNNNNNNNNNNNNNNNNNNNNNNNNNNNNNNNNNNNNNNNNNNNNNNNNNNNNNNNNNNNNNNNNNNNNNNNNNNNNNNNNNNNNNNNNNNNNNNNNNNNNNNNNNNNNNNNNNNNNNNNNNNNNNNNNNNNNNNNNNNNNNNNNNNNNNNNNNNNNNNNNNNNNNNNNNNNNNNNNNNNNNNNNNNNNNNNNNNNNNNNNNNNNNNNNNNNNNNNNNNNNNNNNNNNNNNNNNNNNNNNNNNNNNNNNNNNNNNNNNNNNNNNNNNNNNNNNNNNNNNNNNNNNNNNNNNNNNNNNNNNNNNNNNNNNNNNNNNNNNNNNNNNNNNNNNNNNNNNNNNNNNNNNNNNNNNNNNNNNNNNNNNNNNNNNNNNNNNNNNNNNNNNNNNNNNNNNNNNNNNNNNNNNNNNNNNNNNNNNNNNNNNNNNNNNNNNNNNNNNNNNNNNNNNNNNNNNNNNNNNNNNNNNNNNNNNNNNNNNNNNNNNNNNNNNNNNNNNNNNNNNNNNNNNNNNNNNNNNNNNNNNNNNNNNNNNNNNNNNNNNNNNNNNNNNNNNNNNNNNNNNNNNNNNNNNNNNNNNNNNNNNNNNNNNNNNNNNNNNNNNNNNNNNNNNNNNNNNNNNNNNNNNNNNNNNNNNNNNNNNNNNNNNNNNNNNNNNNNNNNNNNNNNNNNNNNNNNNNNNNNNNNNNNNNNNNNNNNNNNNNNNNNNNNNNNNNNNNNNNNNNNNNNNNNNNNNNNNNNNNNNNNNNNNNNNNNNNNNNNNNNNNNNNNNNNNNNNNNNNNNNNNNNNNNNNNNNNNNNNNNNNNNNNNNNNNNNNNNNNNNNNNNNNNNNNNNNNNNNNNNNNNNNNNNNNNNNNNNNNNNNNNNNNNNNNNNNNNNNNNNNNNNNNNNNNNNNNNNNNNNNNNNNNNNNNNNNNNNNNNNNNNNNNNNNNNNNNNNNNNNNNNNNNNNNNNNNNNNNNNNNNNNNNNNNNNNNNNNNNNNNNNNNNNNNNNNNNNNNNNNNNNNNNNNNNNNNNNNNNNNNNNNNNNNNNNNNNNNNNNNNNNNNNNNNNNNNNNNNNNNNNNNNNNNNNNNNNNNNNNNNNNNNNNNNNNNNNNNNNNNNNNNNNNNNNNNNNNNNNNNNNNNNNNNNNNNNNNNNNNNNNNNNNNNNNNNNNNNNNNNNNNNNNNNNNNNNNNNNNNNNNNNNNNNNNNNNNNNNNNNNNNNNNNNNNNNNNNNNNNNNNNNNNNNNNNNNNNNNNNNNNNNNNNNNNNNNNNNNNNNNNNNNNNNNNNNNNNNNNNNNNNNNNNNNNNNNNNNNNNNNNNNNNNNNNNNNNNNNNNNNNNNNNNNNNNNNNNNNNNNNNNNNNNNNNNNNNNNNNNNNNNNNNNNNNNNNNNNNNNNNNNNNNNNNNNNNNNNNNNNNNNNNNNNNNNNNNNNNNNNNNNNNNNNNNNNNNNNNNNNNNNNNNNNNNNNNNNNNNNNNNNNNNNNNNNNNNNNNNNNNNNNNNNNNNNNNNNNNNNNNNNNNNNNNNNNNNNNNNNNNNNNNNNNNNNNNNNNNNNNNNNNNNNNNNNNNNNNNNNNNNNNNNNNNNNNNNNNNNNNNNNNNNNNNNNNNNNNNNNNNNNNNNNNNNNNNNNNNNNNNNNNNNNNNNNNNNNNNNNNNNNNNNNNNNNNNNNNNNNNNNNNNNNNNNNNNNNNNNNNNNNNNNNNNNNNNNNNNNNNNNNNNNNNNNNNNNNNNNNNNNNNNNNNNNNNNNNNNNNNNNNNNNNNNNNNNNNNNNNNNNNNNNNNNNNNNNNNNNNNNNNNNNNNNNNNNNNNNNNNNNNNNNNNNNNNNNNNNNNNNNNNNNNNNNNNNNNNNNNNNNNNNNNNNNNNNNNNNNNNNNNNNNNNNNNNNNNNNNNNNNNNNNNNNNNNNNNNNNNNNNNNNNNNNNNNNNNNNNNNNNNNNNNNNNNNNNNNNNNNNNNNNNNNNNNNNNNNNNNNNNNNNNNNNNNNNNNNNNNNNNNNNNNNNNNNNNNNNNNNNNNNNNNNNNNNNNNNNNNNNNNNNNNNNNNNNNNNNNNNNNNNNNNNNNNNNNNNNNNNNNNNNNNNNNNNNNNNNNNNNNNNNNNNNNNNNNNNNNNNNNNNNNNNNNNNNNNNNNNNNNNNNNNNNNNNNNNNNNNNNNNNNNNNNNNNNNNNNNNNNNNNNNNNNNNNNNNNNNNNNNNNNNNNNNNNNNNNNNNNNNNNNNNNNNNNNNNNNNNNNNNNNNNNNNNNNNNNNNNNNNNNNNNNNNNNNNNNNNNNNNNNNNNNNNNNNNNNNNNNNNNNNNNNNNNNNNNNNNNNNNNNNNNNNNNNNNNNNNNNNNNNNNNNNNNNNNNNNNNNNNNNNNNNNNNNNNNNNNNNNNNNNNNNNNNNNNNNNNNNNNNNNNNNNNNNNNNNNNNNNNNNNNNNNNNNNNNNNNNNNNNNNNNNNNNNNNNNNNNNNNNNNNNNNNNNNNNNNNNNNNNNNNNNNNNNNNNNNNNNNNNNNNNNNNNNNNNNNNNNNNNNNNNNNNNNNNNNNNNNNNNNNNNNNNNNNNNNNNNNNNNNNNNNNNNNNNNNNNNNNNNNNNNNNNNNNNNNNNNNNNNNNNNNNNNNNNNNNNNNNNNNNNNNNNNNNNNNNNNNNNNNNNNNNNNNNNNNNNNNNNNNNNNNNNNNNNNNNNNNNNNNNNNNNNNNNNNNNNNNNNNNNNNNNNNNNNNNNNNNNNNNNNNNNNNNNNNNNNNNNNNCUUAGUGAACCGUCAAAACCAGGCCCUGGGAGAUUGUUUGAGACCAUACAAGGAUUUUUGGAGUCUACAAACCUUGUUGAAAUUUGAUGUUGUCUCAAGUCCAGCAGGAAUCUCCAUGUAAACUUCUUCCUCUAAGUCACCAUUGAGGAAGGCACUCUUCACAUCAAGUUGGUGAAGCGACCAAUCAAGAUUAGCUGCCAAGGAUAAAAGUAUACGAACAGUAUUGAGGUUGGCAACUGGAGCAAAAGUUUCUUGAUAGUCAAUGCCAUAGGAUUGGGUGAAUCCUUUGGCGACCAACCGAGCCUUAUACCUGUCCAUAUUACCAUCUACCUUGUAUUUUACUGUGAAAAUCCACUUACACCCAACUGGUUUCUUACCUCUUGGGAGGUCAGUAAUUUCCCACGUACCAUUCUUUUCUAGCGCCCGAACUUCCUCAUCGACUGCCGCCUUCCACUUAGGAUACUUGAAAGCUUCCUGAAUAUUCCGAGGAACUUGUAUCUCUGUGAUGCUAGAAGUGAAUGCACGAAACGUAGGUGAUAGCUUAUCAUAAGAAAUAAAAUUUCCAAUGGGAUGCUGAGUGCAUGAUCUAACUCCUUUCCUCCAAGCUAUGGGCAUAUUAAGAAUAUCAUUUUCUAACUCGAAAUCAACAGUACCAUCAAGAGCGUUGUUACCUGGAAGUUUGCUUGGAUUAGGACCCGGUUCAGCCUCAUGGGUUUGUUGAGAAAGUGCUCCUUCCUCCGUUUCCUCUUGGAUGUGCUCCUUAUCCCACAAGUCAACAAUGGACUCAGGCUUAUUAAAUGACUCUGGAGGAAUGUGAUUUUCAGUGGUGAUGGGUGACUCACUGAAUGACUCAAGAUCCCAAAAUUGAUAUUCCUGAGUUGAAUUCUCCCCCUGAAUAUCGUUUUUGGGAUAGUAAGGCUGGGUUUCAAAAAAUGUGAUAUCCAUUGAAUUGUAGAAUUUUCUUGUGACUGGAGAGUAACACUUAUACCCUUUUUGAUUUGAAGAAUACCCAAGAAAGAUGCACUUGAGUGACCUAGGAUCAAGUUUACUUCUUUUUUGUUGAUUGAUAUGAACAAAGACAGAGCACCCGAAAAUUUUGGGUGGGACGGUGGAGAUGAGACGAGUAGUCGGAAAGGAUUUUAGGAGUGUUUGACAAGGUGUUUGGAAUUUUAGUACCCUAGACGGCAUCCUAUUGAUGAGGUAGGCUGCCGUAAGGACAGCUUGCCCCCAGAAUAAUUUUGGAACAUUCAUGGAGAACAUUAGUGAUCUAGCCACCUCUAACAAAUGCCUAUUUUUCCUUUCAGCGAUUUCGUUUUGUUGUGGGGUAUCAACACAUGAACUUAAGUGAACUAUCCCUUCUUGUGCUAGAAAUUCUCCUAGAAUGGAGUUGAAAUAAUCCCUAGCAUUAUCAGACUUUAGAAUUUGUAUUUUUGACUGGAAUUGGGUCUGAAUCAUAUUUUUAAAAUUUUUGAAAAUUUGACUCGUUUCAGAUUUUUCUUUCAUGAGGAAUACCCAAGUUAAUCUAGUGUGAUCAUCUAUGAAUGAGACAAACCACCUAGUACCAGUUACAUUUUUUAUUCUUGACGGACCCCAGAUAUCGCUAUGAUCAUGAGAUGGACUAGACUCUUNNNNNNNNNNNNNNNNNNNNNNNNNNNNNNNNNNNNNNNNNNNNNNNNNNNNNNNNNNNNNNNNNNNNNNNNNNNNNNNNNNNNNNNNNNNNNNNNNNNNGGGAAGUGAUGAAGAAGCUUACCAAGAUAAUGAAUCUCAUGAGCUUAACUGGUUUGUAGAGCAAGAUGAUGGAUUUGAAUUUCAACGAUCUGACCGCUUAAACAUUGAUCUAGAAGUUGUUAAUGAUAAUGUUUUGAUUUUAGAGAACAUGAAUGACAAUGAUGAUAACUUCAUAUGUGAUGACAUUGAGGAAGAAGAUGAAACACUAGAUGAUUAUGCUAAUGAGAAUGAAAUGUGGCUUUCAAGUGAUAGUGAAAGUGAAAGUGAUUAAAGAGACUGGUAAGCUACAUUUUAUUUACUUUAUUAUAUGUUAAAUAACAUAAUGUAAUCUAGGUCUAGUUCUUUAAAUUUAUGUUAUGUGUUGUGAUAUUCCUUUUUUAUUAUUAUUUAUUUGUCUUUAUUGUUAUUUUAUUAUAGAUGACUCCUGGACGAAAGCGGUCACCUUCUGAGUUAACUCAACCACCCACAACAACACCCAUGACUCCUUUUUAUGUCGAUGUUCCAAUGCACACAUCCAAUGAGGGCACUAGUAGUUGUAAGAAACUUCUUACAUUUAUAUAUUUUACUUAUUAUAAUUUUGUAAGAUAUUUUUUUUUUAAAUUUUAAAUUAUAAUGAGUUGUAAUUUAAUUUUAGUCUUUUUAUUAACUCUUAUUAAUUGUUAAAGUUUAAUCAAUAAUUUCAUGGUAGCACCUAAUAAAGAAAUUUAAGAGGCAAAACUAGAGGUGUCAUUCUUGACAAACUUAUUGAAGCUAAUGGGGGCAAACCUCUUCCGAUCACAAUCAAGCCAUCUAAUGGGAAGCAAACAGGAAAAUAUUGUGAGAAAUUGUCAAAUGAGAUUGGGUUAAUAGUGAGACAACAUGCACCUGUUAGAGUGGAAAAAUGGAACCAAAUGCCUCGAGCUGAGAUCAAUACAAUGCUUGAUCGAAUCAAGGUAAAGUUGCUUGAAAUAUAUAUAUAUUUUUUAGCUUGUAAUUAUAACUAAUUGUUGGUUAUCUCUAAACUUACUUUAUCUCAUAUUAGUUCUUCCCUUGUUUGACUAUGAAGGAAAAGUUUGCCCUAGAUUUGACACAAGAGCAUGUGAAGAAAAGUUUAGAAAAACAAUUAUCUGACCGCUUUAGAAAUUGGAGAUGUGAUUUGCACAAGCACUUCAAAAAGUUCCCAACUGUGGUGGAGGCUAAGCGAAAUCCUCAUGAAUCUGUGUCAAAUCAGGAAGAUUGGGACUACUUUUGUGAUAGAUUUUCAAGUGAAGAAUUUAAGGUAAAGUUUUCAAUGAAUAAUCAUUCAAACCUAUUUCUUAUUGAAUAUUCUACUAACUAUAUUUAUAUUAUUUUCAAUAAUAACUAUUAUUACAGCGUCGUUCAGCAAUCAAUUCAGUAAAUAGAUCAAAGAUGCCUUUUCAUCAUCGAGGAGGCUCUCGUUCAUUUAUCCAACAUGGUCUACAAGUGGUAAAAUAUAAAACUAAGGUUCUUUAGUUAUUCAUAUAACUUAUAAUUCUUAAUAUUAAUGCAUAAUACUUGACAGCCAACAGAGAAUGGAGAGAUGGUUGGCCAAAUUGAACUAUUCAAACUAGUUCAUUGGAAAAGUCAAGAUGGAUGGAUAAAUCAAGAGGCUAGAUAUUAUUAUGUAAGAUUAUUUUGAUAGCUUUCUAUGUUUAAAUCAUGUUUGGGAUUAUGAAUCUUUGUGGAAGUGUCAUCGUGAUAGUUUAUUUACCAUGUUUUGAUAAAUAAGGCACUUCCUUGGUAGUUUUCAUAAAUCUAUAAAUUUUGAUUUGGUUAUUGAUUGCUUGGGUGUUCAAUGUUGUUAAAUUGAUUAAUAGCAGGGAAAAUUUGGCAAAGUCUAAAAAUUAGGAGAGACUAUGCCAAAAUUUCUAUUGAAAUUUUAUCUUACCAACUUAUUAUUAUAACUUUUCUUACUCAAAAUUACAUUUAAGAUUAUUAGUACUUGUAAAGUAUUAUUAUAUCAACUUGUAUACUAGAUUCUUAUUUCAAUUUUUAUAUUAUUUAGUGUGUGAUUACAAGCUAAUUAGGUUCUUCUUAGGUAGAAUCCUUGAAGUAAACUUUUGUUUGGGCAUUAACUAAUCAUAAAUCUUUAUUGUUAAAUAUUUGAUUAUGUGGUUGGUAAAAAUUUGUGGAAAUAGUAAAGAAUUAAAGAGGGAUUAGUAUAUUAUUAACUUGAAUAUAUAAUAGGUCAAAUUUUGGAAAAAAAACUAAGAAAUAUAAGAGAAUAUGCCAAAAUUUAAAUAGGAUUUUUAACUUGUUAACUUCUUGUUAUAAUUUUCUUUGCUUAAAAUUAAGUUGAGAUUCUAUGUACUUUUCAAUUUUUACCAUUUUAUUAUGUAUAUAAGAAUCUUGUUUAUGUGAUAACAAGUUUAGAUACUUUUUUUAGCCAUUUCUUUGCUUAAAAUGAAGUUUAGGAUUAUAUGUGCUUGUGGGGUGUUACAAUAUUUGUAUAAAAAAUAUCAUAUCCUUAUUUGAAAUCUAAUAUUAAGGGACUAUUCCAAAAUUUAAUUAGGAUUUUUAACUUAUUAACUUCUUGUUGUAAUUUUCUUUACUUAUAAUUAAGUUGAGAUUCUAACUACUUUUCAAUUUUUAUCAUUUUAGUAUGUAUAUAAGAAUCUUGUUUAUGUGAUAACAAGUUUAGAUACUUUUUUAGGCAUUUAUUUGCUUAAAAUGAAUUUUAGGAUUAUAUGUGCUUGUGGGGUGUUAUAAUAUUUGUAUAAAAAUAUCAUAUCCUUAUUUGAAAUCUAAUAUUAAGGGACUAUUCCAAAAUUUAAUUAGGAUUUUUAACUUGUGAACUUCUUGUUAUAAUUUUCUUUACUUAUAAUUAAGUUGAGAUUCUAACUACUUUUCAAUUUUUAUCAUUUUAGUAUGUAUAUAAGAAUCUUGUUUAUGUGAUAACAAGUUUAGAUAUUUUUUUAGGCAUUUCUUUGCUUAAAAUUAAGUUUAGGAUUAUGUGUGCUUGUAGGGUGUUACAAUGUUUGUAUAAAAAUACCAUAUUCUUAUUUGAAAUCUAAUAUUAAGGGACUAUGCCAAAAUUUAAAUAGGAUUUUUAACUUUAUAACUACUUGUUAUAAUUUUCUUUACUUAUAAUUAAGUUGAGAUUCUAACUAAUUUUCAAUUUUUAUCAUUUUAGUAUGUAUAUAGGAAUCUUGUUUAUGUGAUAACAAGUUUAGAUCAUUUUUUAGGUAUUUCUUUGCUUAAAAUUAAGUUUAGGAUUAUGUGUGUUUGUGGGGUGCUACAAUGUUUGUAUAAAAAUACCAUAUUCUUGUUUGAAAUAUAAUAUUAAGGGACUAUGCUGAAAUUUAAAUAGGAUUUUUAACUUACUAUCUUCUUGUUAUAAUUUUCUUUACUUAAAAUUAAGUUAAGAUUCUAACUACUUUUGAAUUUUCACCAUUUUAGUAUGUAUAUAUUAUUCUUGUUUAUGUGAUAACAUGUUUAUAAACACUUUUUUAGGCAUUUCUUAGCUUAAAAUUAAGUUUAGGAUUAUGUGUGCUUAUGGGAUGUUACAAUGUUUGUAUAAAAAUACUAUAUUCUUGUUUGAAAUCUACUAUUAUUUACCAUAUAAUAACAAAUUAAGGCACUUGGAUGUUUUGUUGUGCUAAAAAUCAAUUUGAUUAUUAACUAAUUUGAAAUUCCAAUGCUUAUAUUUAUUAUAUAUAGUAGGUAUAAUUUAAAAAAUAUCUACUAAAUAUGGGAGAUCAUGCCCAAAUUUAAUGGAAAUUUUAAUUUACUAACUUAUUAAUUAUGUUUUGGUUCUUUUUUUUUUGUUUUAUUUUUUAUUUUGCAUAUAUAGGAGAAGAUGUUGGAGCUUUAACGCCAGCCUAUUGCAGAAGGAGCUGUGGCUAUGACUGAGGUAGAAAUUUGUGAGAAAGUUUUGGGACAAAAAUCAGGAUAUGUCAAGGGCCUUGGUUUUGGCCCUAAACCAAUCUCAUUUUCUAAAUCUAAACCAUCAUCUUCUGAGCGUGAAAAUGAGUUGGAGCAUAGACUUAUUGAGACUCAACUACUUGUGGAGACUCAACAACAAUAACUUGAGACUCAACAAGAUCGAAUUGACCAAUUGGAGGCCUUCGUACAAAAACAAAAUCAACAACAUCAUCAACAAUUUGAAGAAAUAUUGCGUCAUCUAUGAUCAAGCCAAGGGUCCUCAUGAUCCCUUUUUUUAUGAUGUGCAUAUGAUGGACGUUCAUUUCUUUUUUUUGCCUAUGCUAAUAUAGUUGUUUUGUGAUAGACAUUUUGUUAAACUAAUACUUUAUUUUGUUUUGUAGUUAUAUUAGCGUAGAUAUUAUACUACUAUGAUCACAUGUUAUGGUUACAUAUAUUAAUUACCAAUGAAGUUAUGUGAUAUAUAUUUUGAUUUUUGUAAGCAGGUUUCAGAAUUAACCUUUCUAUUAUAAUUAAUGUUUUAAAUACCAAAUGCCAUACAUUUGUAAUAUGAAAAAUAAAAAAUGUAAAUACAUUUCCUGACAAAAAAAAAAAAUUGUUACUAAAGAUAUUUCCUGAUGAAAUAUUUUUGUUGCUGAAGAUUGUUGUAUCAUCCACAACUAAUUUAUAAUUCACUGGCAUACGUUUUAGGGACAAAAUCAUUUUGUAAAUAAAAGGAUUUAGCAACGAAAUGAAUUUGUCAGUAUUAAUGAUAAAUAUUUUAGUUCAAAAAAAUCCUUUAGCAAUGAAAUAUCUAUUUCAUCAAGAAAAACUUUUAGUGACAAAAUGGAACUUUCGUUGGGAUUGCAAAGCAUAGGGAGACGAAAUUAAAUUGUUACAAAAAAUAUUUGGCAGCAAAAUAAAUUUGUUAGCACUAAGUAUUGACGACUUUGAGGACAAAAAUUUAUAUUUUUUAGUGGCAAAAAUUCUUAUUUUUGUUAAUGAAAAAUUUCGUUGGGGAAAAUAUUUAGUAACAAAAUUUUUAUUUCAUCAGGGAAAAUAUUGGGCGACGAAAUAGGAUUUUUGUCGGGAAACUUUUAGCGACGGGUCUAAGGCAACGAAUGUGACACGAAACAUUUUUCGUUGGGAAAUAUUUUUGCAGACGAAAUUUCGACUUUUAGUGACAAAAUAUUUUAUCAUUGAAAGUUAAUUUUCUUGUAGUUAAAUGAAAACAAAUUGAAAUACUUUUGUAAAUAAAAUUGUAAUUUUUUUUUGUAAAAGCAAGUAAAAAUCAUUUUUGUUGCCAAAUUGAAAUUUUGCAAUAAAUUAUUUUGAUAUAAUAAGUGAAAAUAAAUUUUUUUGAAAAUUAAAUACAAAUGAAAUUGAAUUAAAUCAUUAAUUAAAAAUAAAUUGAAACUUCUUUUUUGGCAAUAAAAAAAAAUUAAAAUCAUUAAUUUAAAAUCAUUUUUAAUAAAUACUUUGAAAUUUCUUGAAAAUUAUUUUUUUAAUAUUUUUUUUUAGUUCAAUAAAUCAUUUUGCAUAAUUCUCUUAUUAUUUAUUUUGUGUAUUCUUGUAAUUAGAUUUCAUCAUUAUUUUUGUGUAUAUUAAUUUUCACCAUGACUUGUACAUACUCAUUUACAUGAUUAUUUUUCUUGGUAUCCAUAAUUAAUUAAUUAAUCAUCACAAUUUCCUUAAUUCAUUUAGUAGAGGGCAUACGUAUACAAGCUUAGAGGGGUGUUACAGCUCAUUACAAUACCUUCCCGAUAUGUAACGGGGGACUCAAACUCAAUUUUUCACAAACUUGUUUUUACUUCGAGAGUCACAUUUAAGGUUUUUCUUUUUUAUUUUGUUUUUCCCUUAAAAAAAUAAAACAAAAAUCAGUAACGACUUUAAGUCUUUUUUAAAAAAUCAUAUUUUUUACCAAAUAAAUAAAAAACGAGUCUCGUUGUCGAGUGGAGACGCACAUGAAAAACGUAGGUCCACACCGAUAUAUUAUAUUAUUUUUUAAUUUAUUUAUAAUUUAAAACUAAUUUCAUUUUUUAUAAGACCUCAAUUAAAUUUCUAUUAAUUAAAUUUAGAAUAUUUUUACAAAAUCAAUAUAGAAAAAUUAUUUAAAAAAAAAAAAAAAAAAACCAACUUGUAGACUCCUUCUCUUGAGCUCUAUUUUUUUUAUGGUCUGAAACAAGGGGGCAUGGCAUGACCCAAGGGAGAAAUUUUCGAUUUUUUAGUGAAGGAGGGGACACCUCCCAAGAAGGUAGCUGCCUUGGACGUGUGGCAAGGGAGAUUGGCUGCCCAUGAAAGUGGUUGCAAGCCCAUGCUUGCUGUGAGGUGAAUAGGAGAGUGGGUGGUGGCUUGCCAAGGAAGGGAAAAAGAGAGAGAAAAAAGGGGAGUUAGAGCUGAGGGCAAGGGUGGAGCCAGAGAGAAAGGAGAAGCCCGAAUGAGAAGAAGGGAGAGGUACGACAUUUACCAUGACUCUUUGGACUCACUUGAUGUAUAUAAUCUCCUUAUUUUUCUCUUAAUAGUUUCGAGUAGAUUAUUCGAACAUAUGUUUCGUUUUAUGGUUCAUAGUUAUGGUUUGGAUGCUACUAUCUCUUUCAUAUUUUUGGUUUGUUUUGAGAGCAAUGAAGCUCUGUUUUAACCUCCUCCUCAUGGCCAUUACCGUGCUCAUCAUCCACCCCCAAUACCCACAUCGUCACGCACCAAUAUACCAGCUCCAUUUCAUCACCAUCCCACGUUCCAUGCAUGGCUGUCACCCUCACCCAUCCUCCCAAUCACCUUUUCUCUCUCUACCCGCCAUACCCAUCCUUCACCCGCAUGCGCGGAACCUGGUAUAUUUGGCUGCCCACCAUGCCCGCGUUCAGCUCAUCUCCACAGGAACCCCCAAAGCCGCCCGUCUACACGCGUGUGUCCCAUGCAUGCAAGCCGCCCCAUCCCUCAUUUUUUUUUGCUGCAUGCACCGCGUCGACAAGGCGUCUGCUCCUCACCAGCCACCAUCACCCGCUCCAGCCAUGCGGGCAUUUGCACCAGCCACCAUGGCGGCAGCAUCUCUUGGAUGCCAUGGGACUACCACCAUUGCUCCUUGAAGACUUUGAAGACUAAAAUAUGAAGAAUUUGAAGACAAACUAUGGAGGAACACAGACUCAAUUCAUUCUGUGAUUCUUUUUUUUUUUUUUACAAUGAAAGAAAGCAUAAAUAAAUAGCCUACAGAUAUGAGAUAAUUCCGGAAUGGUACACUAUCACUGGACGGAAUUUCCCUUACAUGGAAAGUGUUACAUGGAAAGUGAAUAAACUACCUUGCUAGAAUUACUCCUAAAUCAAUUAUAAUAAAGGUUGUACAUUACACUAAUUCAGGGAAGUAAACAGAGGAUGCUAAAUAUGGGGAGGAACAUGCACAGGCAGGAAGGCGACGUGGGCUUGAUUUCCAACACUCCCCCUCAAGCCGCGUUGUAGAUGUUGAUCAUUCCAAGUUUUUCUGUCAGAUCUUCGAAGUUAACUCGAGCAAGAGCUUUUGUGAGAAUGUCAGCCGUUUGAUAGUUUGUCGGAGUGUAGCUGACUUUGAAAACUCCUUCUUCAAUCUUUUCCUUGAUAAAGUGUCGAUCUAUCUCCACGUGCUUAGUUCGAUCAUGAUGAACCGGAUUCUUAGCGAUACUGAUGGCAGCUUGAUUGUCGCAGUAUAACACCAUGGGAUGCUUCAAUGGAACCCAUAAUUCUUCUAGCAGCCUGUUCAACCAGAUUUCCUCGCAGAUACCUUGUUCCAUAGCACGAAAUUCUGCCUCAGCACUGCUACGGGCUACCACUGACUGUUUCUUGCUUCGCCAUGUAACCAAGUUCCCCUAGACAAAUGAACAAUAGCCUGAAGUUGAUCUCCGAUCAGUCACUGAACCUGCCCAAUCUGCAUUUGAAAAAAUCUCAAUCUCUUUCUUUGUUGUUCUUUGAAAGAAAAGACCCUUUCCCGGUGUCAUCUUGAGGCACCUCAAUAUUCUGAUCACAGUAGUCAUGUGUUUUUCGGUUGGAUUAUUCAUGAAUUGACUUACCACACUAACGGAGAAGCCGAUGUCUGGCCUUGUAUGAGAAAGAUAGAUGAGUUUCCCCACAAGACGUUGAUAUCUUCCUUUAUCAACUGGCGCACUUCCAUCACUUUCUUCCAGUUUGACAGUUGUAUCCAUAGGUGUUUCUGCUGGCUUGCAUCCUAGCAUUCCUGUUUCAUUCAAUAAGUCCAGAACGUAUUUGCGUUGUGAGACUGCUAUACCUUUCUUUGACCUAGCAAUCUCCAUUCCGAGAAAGUACUUGAGGUUUCCAAGAUCCUUGAUCUCAAAUUCCUUUGUCAGUAAUUUUUUAAGUAAGUCAAUUUUCUCUUCAUGAUCACCUGUCACNNNNNNNNNNNNNNNNNNNNNNNNNNNNNNNNNNNNNNNNNNNNNNNNNNNNNNNNNNNNNNNNNNNNNNNNNNNNNNNNNNNNNNNNNNNNNNNNNNNNGAUAGUGCCACAACAUAAUUGCACUAUUGUUAUUUUGACAUGAAACCGAAAAAGAAUUACUACCAACUGCCAUUUGAGGUUGUUCUUGUGGAUCGUGGCGCUCCUUAAGGAUGUAGAGUCCAGAGCAUUCCUCAGCAUUGCCAAUCGUCUUCCCCGAAUCCAAAUCCUGAAAUUCACAGUGAGUGGAGGAAAAAUUAGUAAUACACCUCUUUUCCUUAGUGAGUUUACUAAUUGACAAUAGAUUACAGUCCAAGUUAGGAACAAGGAGAACAGAGUUGAGAGUAAGAUCCCUUGAUAGCACAACUGAACCUGUUCCGGCAACCUUUGAUAGUGAACCAUCUACUAUUCGGACUGUUAAAUUAUUUGGACAUGAGCUAUAUGUAUCAAAAAUUGUCGCAUCUCCCGUCAUAUGAUCAGAUGCUCUUGAAUCCACGAUCCAAGGUUUUUUACGUUUCUUACCAGCAGUGAAGGCACUCAAAAAAUUACCUUUGUGAGCCAAGGUUCCGGAACCAAUGACCUGGUUGGAAGAUGAGCCAGUUUGUGACUGUACUGACAAAAGAGGAGACAGUAGUUUCUGAAGCAUCUCCAUUUGCUCCUUAUUAAAAGGGCUAGCUUCAGGUUGUGGCGAUUGUUCAUCGGUAGCCACAUGAUUGCCUCGUCCUUCUUUCUCAGGUGGUUGACGUGGCUUCCAAUCUACUGGCUUUCCAUGAAUCUUCCAACAAGUUUCUCUUGAGUGUCCCGGCUUUCUGCAAUGAUCACACCAAGGUCUACCUCCUUUAAUUUUUUGACGGUUGUCAAAAGGAGCGAAUUGAGUCUUAAGAGCCGAGCUUUCUGCCAUAUUCAAUUGUUGAUGGGAUCCCAUCAUGAGAUUUUUCCGACUUUCUUAGCAACGGACUUCAGAGAAUGCCUCUCUGAGGCUAGGUAGAGGUUUUACUCCCAUGAUUCUUCCUCUAAUUUCAUCAAGAUUUUUGUUCAAGCCUAACAAAAAUUUAAACACACGUUUCCCUUCGACAAUCUUUUUAUACAACAAACCAUCUGUAACACAAUUCCAGUUAUGAACCUCAAACGUAUCAAGUUGACGCUGAUUCGUCCCUAGCAGUGGAAGUGGCAAUGACACCAUUUGAUUCGAGGUUCGAUCCCCGGCAACGGCGCCAUUUGAUUCGUCCCUAGCAGCGGAAGUGGCAAUGGCACCAUCUGAUUCGGGGUUCGAUCCCCGGCAACGGCGCCAUUUGAUUCGUGCCUAAUUGGUGUCUCAGCUGAUUCGUGUCCAGCUGGUGCUCCUUGAUUGAGGGAUUAAUCAACAAAAUUUAUAACCUAUUACACCAUAUACUAGGGUAGCAAAGACAAAGCUACUAUAGCAUAGUGGCUCUAGGAUCGUUCACUAGGAUGGGUUUUCACUUCACAAAUGAUGUUAAUUCAAAGUUGAAUUGGUGCCUUUUCAUUUCAAGGUUAGCUUUAAAAGAAAACAUAAAGAUGCUUGAAUGAAAAAAAUUUGGUUUUAAACUAACCAAAAAUAGUAACUGAUUUUACUUAUAAAGAAAAGUGUUUCUUGGAGUUCAGAUCACUAGGCUCGUUCCUCAUACAAAAUGGAGAGUUCCGGUCACUUGUUUAUUUUCCUCGCAUUAGAGAAUUAACAUAUAGUUCCUUCUCCAACCGGUGUUGUACAGAUGCUUCCCAUUAAUGGGUUCAAACACUAAAUCUCUCUCACUGAUGCAUCUUGCAAUGGUUCAUGCCUCUCACGAGCACUUACCAUUCAAGAUGAUCUUUAACCUUGGAUUUCCCUUCUCAAACUCGCAAGAGAUAACUAAUGGAUGUCUCCUUGGAGUCCAAAAGCUUACCAAGUGUUGGCUAUUCUAGAAAAUCCUACCUACAAGUCACCUCCCAAAGGCUCGCAAGGGGUAAACUAGUGCAUUUCCAUGGUUGGAAAUCACUUGCCUUACCAAGUGUUAGCCCAGGUGACUCUAAGGUGUUUUAAGUUAACUAAAAACAUAGAAAUCACUAACGGGUUACACUUUCUCUUCAUUAAAAACUAAAACAACAAAACUUCCAAAUUAUGCAUGUGGAAACUUACCCGGCUUUCCUCACUCCAAGAGACAAAAAGCUUAGCCUCUCAUCCUCUGUGGAAAAAUCCUCAGAGUUUGGUUGGCUAGAAAAUGAAAAUGAAAGAGAAGACAAGAAUAUAUAUCAAAAACAGAGCAAGUGCUCUGUUCGUUGAUUCUAUAUAUUGGAUUACAUGAUAUAUCUGAUUACAUGCCCCUCUUACAGUGGAUGCAAGAGAGUUUAUAUAGGAAUGUUUUUCCAACCUUCCCAACUAAGAAAUCUUAUGGUUGGUGGAUUACAAGGAGAGGAAUGGAAAUUUAUACAAAAAUAUCUUAAGAAAAGAUCUAAAAGAGUCGGUGGCAAAUAUCGGGAAGCAUUAAGGACCAUUUCGCAGGUGAAAAUGGUGUCUGCGAGAUUUCGCAGACACUCAAGAGGGCUGCGAAAUAUUUUCGCAUCAACAAGCUGAACUCGCAGGACUGCGAAAUUGGCUUCCACCUUGAGGUUCUCAGAGUUCCAGCUUGUGGCAUGUAUCGGGUAGCUUCAGGAGGAAUUCCAUAGCACUGUACAAAAAGGCUGCGAAAUUCUCGCAACAAAAGGCUGAAUUCGCAACACUUUGGAGUGAUCUGCUUGCAAUGGCUGUAACUCCUUCGUUUCAACUCCAAAUCGUGCACCGUUUGAAGCAUUGGAUUCUUGACUUCCUGAGCUUUGAAAUGGUAUAUAGAAUAUAUAAAAUGGACUUCGUGAAGUGUUCCAAAAGUGCGCAAGAAGACUGCAGUUGGCUUUCCUCUGUUUUCUUCACUCUGUUUUCCUCUUCUCCUUGCUUCUCUCCUUGCAUACUUUGAACGACUUUGGCAAAGGGCUAUGGAGCUCCAAAGCUUGGUUCUUCAUGAAUUUGAGCUCUUCAUUGCUUUGCCAUGGAUUCCAAAUAACUCUCCUCAAUCUUGGAUUGUUUUGGUGAUCAAAUUACUAACAAAAACACCAAAACUUACACAAUUUGAUUAGAAAUGAUUGCAAGGGUCCUUAACAUGUUAAUUGAGUUAAAAGGCAAUAACUACUACUCAAAAGUGUUUAAAAGGAUUAAUUACAAGCUACAAAAUAGCACUUUUUGAGUAGUAAUCACUCCCCCCAACCGACAUAUUGCUAGUCCCUUAGCAAUGAAGGUGAUAAAAACUAAGUAAACUAUAAUAAUAUACAUAAAAUGGAUCAUGCAAAUCACUCCAAAAAAUGAUAUGAGUGGCAUGAUGGACAUCCAUGGAUCAAUAAAGAUGUGAAACUCAACCUAUAAUAAGAGUUGUCAAAGCAUUCACUUGAUCAUAGAGUACAAAGAAUGGAUAUUAUGCAGGUUUAAGCAUCAAAAGAAUUUCCACUCUCAAAAGAUCCAAAUCAAAUUCUUCCACUAAAAGCUAAGUGUUAAUGUGAUUAGCUUCCGAGUAUAGUAUGGAUAACUAUCAUCUCCCCCCAACCUAAGUCUUUCUUUAAGCUUAGCAAAAUUAACCAUCUCUUGAUAGGCUAGGAACGCACCUCUUAUUCACAAUUCUUUUCACUUACUAAACUUAACCAAUUCACCCAUGUAACAAGCAGAGGAUCGGUGACUCCCAACCAAUAAAGGCUUAGGGCACCAGGCUUUAAAGGCUUUCGCCACCCCUUCGGACCAUGCUCAGGUUUCAAGGCAAGUAAAGAAGUUUAUUCUUUUUUUUUUUUUUCUUUUUCUUUUUUCUUUUUUCUUUUUCUUUUUCUUUUUCUACAAAGACUCAUUGGUCUUUAUGAGGUGUCCCAACACUAUUAAAGAGAGGUUAAGGGUGUCAAAUUAUGAUUUCUCAAGCUUAGAGGGUGAGAUAGUUUCACAUCUUAUAACCGGAAUCUAAUGUAUGUGUGUGCGAAUAGCUUAAGGUGGAAGAGAUAAGUUUGCAUGCAAUGGGAGUUUCAACAAUUCAUCAACUUUUAGAAGAGCAUAAUACAAACUCUAAGACUCAUGUAAUCAAGUUGAAACUCGACUUCUCUCAUUUAAUUUUGAGAGUUAAUCCUUAAUAUCCAUGGAGUUUAAAGCAAAAAUUUUAAAAAUUAAGCAAAAAACAACUAAAUUACCAAAAUAACUUAGCAUUAUUAACAAUACUUACUUCCUCAACUCUCCCCCCAACCAAGCUGAACAUUGUCCUCAAUGUGACAAAAGCGAUUAAAAAAUAGGGAGGAAGUGGUACCUCCUUAGUGACAUGGAGUCUGAGUCGUAUAGGAGAAACCACAUGUUUCAAAGAAAACAUAAAAGAGUUAGUGAGUAGAGGAAAUAAAAAAAUGCCAAGUUUAAACAAAAAAUGAUGUCUAUGUAUGAUGCAUCAUCAGUAAUACAUCCAAUCCCAGAAUAUAAGACAUCAAAACAUGGAAUUAUCUAUACUAAUAUAAUAUGUAAAGACAAAAAGUAAAGAGAUGAUCAUGUAAUGGUAAGGUCCUGUGGAGCUGAUGUGUCUGUGGUGGCCUCUUGAAUGGGUUGGAUCAGGAUUUUGGCCUCUGUUCUGGUAGUCUCCUUAAGUGGCAUGGUCUCCUCAGCUGGAGCUCUCAGUUAGAGCUAUGAGCUUUGAUGGUUUAAGGAGGUCAGAAAUGGAGUGAGAGGCUUGGUGUGUGUGAUCUCAAGGUGUGCGGGGCUCUCCUCUUCAGAUGCAUGGUUGCAGAGCUCUAUUGGCAUUUUAGCAACUUCCCUUGGCUUUGCAAAGUGUUUUUGCAAAUCACCCUCCAUUUUGCAAGUCAAUUUCGCAAUUUGAAGGCCCUUUCUAAGCUUGGAGGUGAUUUCAUAGCCAUUUCGAAGCUUGGAGAUCAUUUCGCAGAAAAGUGGCAUGUUCACAGACCAUUUUUUAAGCUUGGAGCAUUUUCGCAGCUCAUAGGUGAUUUCGCAGCCAUAUCGAAGCUUGGAGAUCAUUUCAUAGCCAUUUCAAAGCUCAAAAGUGAUUUCGCAGGUGUAUCGCAGCUUCAAAAUGAGGGGAAUUGUGCUGCAAAUGGCACUCGUGUGCCAAAAAGUGGUUUCGCAGCUGCGAAACACCCUUCCAAAUGGCGUCUCGGCUGCGAAAUUCCCGUUUAGCUUUGCGCGCUUGUCUUCAAACGGCCAUAACUUCUUCAUUUCAAAUCCAAAUCGAGUACCGUUUGAAGCUAUGGACUCCUGACUUCUCAAGAUUUGAAACGAGAUAUCAUGUGCAUAAUUUGAGCUCCAGAAAGUGCUUCAAAAAUGUGUCCAACAGUAGCGAAAUUGAGGUGCGACAUUUCCGUUCAUAGUUUGCACAGUCAUCUUCAAAUGGCCAUAACUUUUCUGUUUCAAAUCCAAAUCAAGUACCGUUUGAAGCUGUGGACUCUUGACUUCCCAAGCUUUCAAAUGAGAUAUUGUAUGAAUAAUUUGAACUUCGGGAAGUGAUCGAAAUGUGUCCAACAAUUGCCAAAAUGGGGGUGCGGCUGUGAAAUUGGGAUUUUUCAUGUUUUGGAACUUCGCAGCCGUUUCGUAGCUGCGAAAUGAGGGUUACUGUGCUGCGAAAUGGCACUCGUGUACCAAAACCGGCUUCGCAAUUGCGAAAUACCCUGCGGAAUGGAGCUUUGGCUGCGAAAUUGAGAAUUUUCACGCUUUGGAGCUUCGCAGCCGUUUCGCAGCUGCGAAAUGAGGGUCACUGUGCUGCGGAAUGGCACUCGUGUGCCAAAAGUGCUUUCGCAGCCGCGAAAUCCUUUGCGAAAUGGGACUUUUGUUGCGAAAUCAGCCUUUUUCACUUCGCAAUGCGUUUCGCAGCUGCGAAACAUAUGCUCCUGUGCUGCGAAGUGGCACUCGUGUGCCAAAAUGGGUUUCGCAGCUGCGAAAAUUUUCGCAGAGACUUCUACAGUGUUGCGGAAUGGUUUGGCAACAAAAUGCCGAUUUCGCAGAGGCUGCGAAAUCUCGCAGACCCUUGUUUUUCCCCUGUUUUCGCUCCGUUUGACUCCGAUUUUGCUCUGAUUUUUUUUCUUCAAUUUCUUUGCAAUUCCUCUUGAUUUUGAUCAUUCAAAAACCUAUAUUACAUCAAAACAAAUUAGAAUUAAAGCAUUGAAAUCAAAAUUAAAGCAUUGAAAUCCAAAUUAAAACAUUGAAAUCAAAAUUAAAACAAGAAAUUAACAAAACAAAAAGAUAUGGACUAGCUAGUCUUUAAAAAGACUAAGUCCAUCAAAAAAUUUGCUCAUGAUUUAGCUUGCCCGGAUCCCAUAUGAAGCUUACAUCCCUCACUUGAGACUUGGUUUGUAUGAUUUUGCCAUACAAAGCUUGGAGAAAAGGUGGAGGCAUGCGUUUCAUCAUUUCUUCCUUGAUGACUAUCCUCUGUGGUUCUCUUUGUACAUUAAUAUCAUAGCCAUCAUUCUCUAUGCUUUCCCCCUUUUUCUUUCCUUUGAUUUCCUCCCUAUUUUCUUUCUCUGUUUCACUCUCUUCCUUAUGCUCUAGCUUGCAUGUGGGCAGAUCAACCUCUUUACCACUCCUCAGAGUGAUCACUUCUUCAAUUUCCUUCACCAUUGAAGAUUCUCCCUCUUGAGCCUCCACUUCAUGGAUGCCCUUGGAAUUUUGACAAGGUUGAGAAGGAGAGUUUUCUUUCUCUUGCACUAUGUUGAGGUUGGCAAGCCUUGAGAUUGAAUCUUGGAGAAUAUCUAACUUUUGAGAUAGAUCAUUUUGCAUUUCAUCCAUCCUUUUAUUCAAAGUACUCUCCACUCUAUCAAUUCUUUGAUCGACUCGAGCAUUGGUGGCUUCUUGCUUUUCAAUAAAAUCUCCCAUGACCUUGCAAAGAUUCACCAUAGCUUGUUCAAGGUUUGAGGCUUGCUGUGGUGCUUGAGCAGGUUGCUGAUACUGAGGUGGCUGUGGUUUCCAAGAGAAAUUUGGAUGGUCCCUCCAAUUGGAAUUGUAGGUGUUGCAAUCACCAAACAUUUCCCUCUCGGCUGGAAUGGUAGGACACUCAUCCACCAAGUGCUCAUAUGAUAGACAAAUGGCACAAGGCAUAGCUUGCAAUGAUGACUGAGAGAUGGCUUGCACUUGUUGCAUAUUCGUCAUUUCUAGCUUUUCCAAUCUCCUUUCCAUAGCUGCAAUCUCUGCCUUCAUGUUCAUACCAUCAUUCAAAAUAUACAUCUCACCCUUAGCUUUAGGUUGAGAUGUCAUUCUUCCCAUAUCUCUAGCAUUUGGUUCAUUCCAUCCUCUUGAGACUUCAGCCACAUAACUCAUGAAGUUCAUGGCUUCCUCUGCUAUGGUAUUCAAUAUGGCAUGCACAACUAGCAAUUUAUGAAUUAAAAACAGAGAACACAAAAGAAAAUAAAAGAAAAACAAUUCAAAGAAAGAAAAUUAAGGUAAACUAAAAACUAAAUAAAAGGUAUACUAAAAUAUGAACAAUAAAGAAAUAAAAAGAGUUAGUAAAAGGAAAAGAAAAGUCACCAAACUUGUGAUGAAGAUCACAAGUACUCUAGAAAGGUGAUAUCACUGUAAAGUGGCACCAUCCCCGGCAACGGCGCCAUUUGAUUCGUCCCUAGCAGUGGAAGUGGCAAUGGCACCAUUUGAUUCGAGGUUCGAUCCCCGGCAACGGCGCCAUUUGAUUCGUCCCUAGCAGCGGAAGUGGCAAUGGCACCAUCUGAUUCAGGGUUCGAUCCCCGGCAACGGCGCCAUUUGAUUCGUGCCUAAUUGGUGUCUCAGCUGAUUCGUGUCCAGCUGGUGCUCCUUGAUUGAGGGAUUAAUCAACAAAAUUUAUAACCUAUUACACCAUAUACUAGGGUAGCAAAGACAAAGCUACUAUAGCAUAGUGGCUCUAGGAUCGUUCACUAGGAUGGGUUUUCACUUCACAAAUGAUGUUAAUUCAAAGUUGAAUUGGUGCCUUUUCAUUUCAAGGUUAGCUUUAAAAGAAAACAUAAAGAUGCUUGAAUGAAAAAAAUUUGGUUUUAAACUAACCAAAAAUAGUAACUGAUUUUACUUAUAAAGAAAAGUGUUUCUUGGAGUUCAGAUCACUAGGCUCGUUCCUCAUACAAAAUGGAGAGUUCCGGUCACUUGUUUAUUUUCCUCGCAUUAGAGAAUUAACAUAUAGUUCCUUCUCCAACCGGUGUUGUACAGAUGCUUCCCAUUAAUGGGUUCAAACACUAAAUCUCUCUCACUGAUGCAUCUUGCAAUGGUUCAUGCCUCUCACGAGCACUUACCAUUCAAGAUGAUCUUUAACCUUGGAUUUCCCUUCUCAAACUCGCAAGAGAUAACUAAUGGAUGUCUCCUUGGAGUCCAAAAGCUUACCAAGUGUUGGCUAUUCUAGAAAAUCCUACCUACAAGUCACCUCCCAAAGGCUCGCAAGGGGUAAACUAGUGCAUUUCCAUGGUUGGAAAUCACUUGCCUUACCAAGUGUUAGCCCAGGUGACUCUAAGGUGUUUUAAGUUAACUAAAAACAUAGAAAUCACUAACGGGUUACACUUUCUCUUCAUUAAAAACUAAAACAACAAAACUUCCAAAUUAUGCAUGUGGAAACUUACCCGGCUUUCCUCACUCCAAGAGACAAAAAGCUUAGCCUCUCAUCCUCUGUGGAAAAAUCCUCAGAGUUUGGUUGGCUAGAAAAUGAAAAUGAAAGAGAAGACAAGAAUAUAUAUCAAAAACAGAGCAAGUGCUCUGUUCGUUGAUUCUAUAUAUUGGAUUACAUUAUAUAUCUGAUUACAUGCCCCUCUUACAGUGGAUGCAAGAGAGUUUAUAUAGGAAUGUUUUUCCAACCUUCCCAACUAAGAAAUCUUAUGGUUGGUGGAUUACAAGGAGAGGAAUGGAAAUUUAUACAAAAAUAUCUUAAGAAAAGAUCUAAAAGAGUCGGUGGCAAAUAUCGGGAAGCAUUAAGGACCAUUUCGCAGGUGAAAAUGGUGUCUGCGAGAUUUCGCAGACACUCAAGAGGGCUGCGAAAUAUUUUCGCAUCAACAAGCUGAACUCGCAGGGCUGCGAAAUUGGCUUCCACCUUGAGGUUCUCAGAGUUCCAGCUUGUGGCAUGUAUCGGGUAGCUUCAGGAGGAAUUCCAUAGCACUGUACAAAAAGGCUACGAAAUUCUCGCAACAAAAGGCUGAUUUCGCAACACUUUGGAGUGAUCUGCUUGCAAUGGCUGUAACUCCUUCGUUUCAACUCCAAAUCGUGCACCGUUUGAAGCAUUGGAUUCUUGACUUCCUGAGCUUUGAAAUGUUAUAUAGAAUAUAGAAAAUGGACUUCGGUAAGUGUUCCAAAAGUGCGCAAGAAGACUGUAGCUGGCUUUCCUCUGUUUUCUUCACUCUGUUUUCCUCUUCUCCUUGCUUCUCUCCUUGCAUACUUUGAACGACUUUGGCAAAGGGCUAUGGAGCUCCAAAGCUUGGUUAUUCAUGAAUUUGAGCUCUUCAUUGCUUUGCCAUGGAUUCCAAAUAACUCUCCUCAAUCUUGGAUUGUUUUGGUAAUCAAAUUACUAACAAAAACACCAAAACUUACACAAUUUGAUUAGAAAUGAUUGCAAGGGUCCUUAACAUGUUAAUUGAGUUAAAAGGCAAUAACUACUACUCAAAAGUGUUUAAAAGGAUUAAUUACAAGCUACAAAAUAGCACUUUUUGAGUAGUAAUCAGACGCCAUAGACGAGUAAGAGUAUUGAAAUAUUCAGUUAACGUAAGGUUUCCUUGACGCAAAUCGUGGAGGAUGCCUUCAAUCUGGAUGAUUUCAGAUGUGUUUUCCUUGUCUGAGAAAGUUUCUUUUGCAGUGUCCCAGAUUUCUUUGGCAGUAUCAAAUGAUAGAAAAUUUUCACCAAUAUCAGUGGUCAUAGAGUUGACUAGCCAGGACAUGACCAUAUUAUUUUCUGCUAUCCACUUUUUGUAGGUUGAUGCUGUGGUUUUUGGUGCCACCGAAGCUCCGGUGAUGUAGUCAUCUUUCUCCUUUCCCUGUAUAAACAUUAAUAUGGACUGAGACCAUUGCAAAUAAUUUUGCUCAUUCAGUUUAUGGGCUGUGAUUGGAAGAUGAGAGGUUUCCAUCUGAUGAGAGGAUGAAGACGAUGAGAUGAUGAUAUCAGAAGUAGAGGAUGAUGAGUUGGUAGCCAUUCCAAAGGCUGGACCGUAUUUAGGCAUAAACUAGAAGAAUAGAAUUGAGUAGGAAAAAAAAAUACUGACUAAAGAUGAAGACGAUGAGACAGGAUUAAACCUGCUCUGAUACCAUGAAGAAUUUGAAGACAAACUAUGGAGGAACACAGACUCAAUUCAUUCUGUGAUUCUUUUUUUUUUUUUUUACAAUGAAAGAAAGCAUAAAUAAAUAGCCUACAGAUAUGAGAUAAUUCCGAAAUGGUACACUAUCACCGGACGGAAUUUCCCUUACAUGGAAAGUGUUACAUGGAAAGUGAAUAAACUACCUUGCUAGAAUUACUCCUAAAUCAAUUAUAAUAAAGGAUGUACAUUACACUAAUUCAGGGAAGUAAACAGAGGAUGCUAAAUAUGGGGAGGAGCAUGCACAGGCAGGAAGGCGACGUGGGCUUGAUUUCCAACACUCCUCUCUCCAUGGUGUCGCCGGUGGUGGGAGCUUCCUCUAAGGAUGAUAUCCAGGCGGAGAGGCAAGCUAUGAAGGAGAUGAAGUCUUGGGCUUGAGAAGAAGCCCAACCCAAGCAUGUUGAUGGAGCCAUGCCAUCUCAAAUAAGUGGGAUGUGAGGGGAAAUGAUGCCUUGGGCUUGCCCAUGGUGGGAAUGGAUUUGGGCUUAAGUUGAGGCACCAGGCCCAAGCUAUGAUGAUGAUGGUGCCUUGGGAAGAGAAUGUGUGAAGAAGAACCCAGCAUUUUGGACAAAUCCCUCAUCAUUAUCAAAAUCUGAGCCAAUCGCCAUGAAUCAAUGGAAAAAAAAUGCUUUAAAUCAACAGCAAAGACAUACCUUCUUGUCUACGUAGUCCGCCCAGAACCUGGCCUGAGCUCUCUGGUAUGGGUCACUAGGCAAAAGCGGAGAUUUAUCGUGCCAAACCUCAUCAAUAUACUGAACUAUUAUCAGAGACUCACAAAUGGGCUUUCCAUUGUGGAUCAGAACCGGGAUUUUCUUAUGAACUGGAUUCAUCUCAAGAAGCAGAGGGCUCUUAUUCCUAAGGUCCUCCUCUUUAUAUUCAUACUUGAGGCCCUUCUCUGCCAGGGCAAGUCUGACCCUAAUACCAAACAUGCUAGGCCAAAAAUCCAACAAGAUAAUCUCGUCUGUCAUUGCUCCUACUGUGAUCAAGUAUUGAUGAACAACCCAAGGGAUAUUGUCAAGUAUUUAUAGCAAAUCUCAGAGAGUGAGUCAAAACCUUGGACAUUUCUAGGAGGUGGUGAUGGCGUGAUGCUCAUUCCUUAUCUCAGCAUACACUUUCCUUCCAUAUUAUAUCCUUAUCUCGGUUUUCUUUCUCUCUCCAGAAUUCCAAAAUUUUAAGUUUUUCUAUAUUUUUUUAUCAGUCUAGAAUUUUUUUUUAUCAAAUCUCAGUUUAAUGUAUUCACUUUUUUUAUUAAAAAAAAUUAAAAAUGUCAGUUGAGAUAUUCUUAUAUUUUUAUCAUUUGUACAAAAAUAAUUUAAUUUUAAAAUUAAUAUCAUAUUUAAAUCCAAAAAUAUUAUCAGAUAGAAAGCAAUUUAGCGUUUUUUUAUAUAUAUAAUAUCUGCAUUCAAAAAAAAAAAAUCAGCACAUUUAUUUAUUUUUAAAAACUUAUUAAAUUUUAAUUUUACUAGUAAAUAAUAGAAAUUAAAAUAAUGAACUUGUGCCAUAAGUUUGUGAGAGAAGUAAACUUUGGUUAUGGAGCAUCCAAUGCUCUGGUUGCUUCCACGAGAGGUCAUUGCUGUCGUCAGCCCUGGUCAACUAAGUACACUUGUCCACUCCAUGAAAUAUAUUUAUGUUAUUUUUUAUUUUAAAUUUUUGGUAGGAGAACUCUUCGCUAUGAGAAAAAAACACACUCUCAAAUGUGGGAGAUUGUCAUAAAAAAAAAAUUAAUAAUAAAUAAUAAUAAAUACGGGGUGAUCUCACCACUUACAUAUCUCCUCCGUCAUAAAACCAGAAUCAUUGAAUAUGGUUCUAGUUUACUAUGGUUCUAGCUUUAUGGCUUGAUUAAAAUUUACAAUUUUUUGUUUGUAUUAAAAUAAAAUAGAUAUAUAUUUUUUCAUAAAAAAAUCAUAUUAAAUAUUUUAUUUUAAUUUUAAAAUAUUUUUAUAGUUCUUUGCUCUUAAUAGAUAAAGACAAAAGAUUUAUACUCUAUUUAGUAAUUAUUUUUUGAAAUAAUUUUCUGUUUUUGAAAACCAAAAAAGAAAAAAAAAAAACAAGAAAACAAGAAAACAAAUUUGACAAUUUUAAAAAAAAAAAAUUGAUCUUAAAAGCAAAAAUAUGGUAUUUUUGAAAACAUAUUUUAUUGGUUUUCACUUGAUUUUUUUAUGGUUAUUUAAAAAGUAAACAUGCAACAUAAAGAGUGAUUAAAAAUAAAACAUUACACAUAAAAUUUAUUAUUAAAAUAUAUUUAAAAAUAUAGAAAACAACUUAAAAAUAUUUCUAUUCCAAAACAAAUUUUUUGUCUAUAAAAUAUCAAAAAAGAAAUUUCAAAAACUAUUUUUAAAAAUUUAUUUUUCAGAAUUGUUUUAAAAAUAAGUACACCAUAUAUAUAUAUAUAUAUAUAUAUAUAUAUUAUGUAUGUGACUCAUUUGCUCUAAUUGGACAUGAUCUUCCAUUUUUGUAGGCCUAGGCUGACAUAAAGGGCUUUCACUUUUUUUAUGGGCUUGAGGCUUUCACAUAUCCCAUUCUACAUCCUAGAACCCUACGUACAUCAAUUGAAAAAAUAGAUACGUCGUAUUAAAAAAUAAGCACAUCUUAAAAAAUAAGUACAUCUAUACUUGACUCAUUUGUCCUAUUUUGGACAUGAGCUUUCAUUUUUAUAACUGACUCAUUUGGCCAAUUUUUUGAGGUCUUUGCAUAUCCCAUUUUGCAUAGAAGAACUUUGGGUAUAUCCUUCAGAAAAAAUAAAUACAUCAUAUUGUAAAAAUAAGUACAUUCCCUUAAAAAAUAAUUGGUACAUAUUAUUUUCAUUGUAUAGGUGACUUGUUUGGCUUAUUCUUGUUUGGCAUGUCUUAUCCAACUUGUUUUAAUACUUGUUUAUGUGACAUGAAACGAUGGAAUGGACUAGAAUCUCCCCUGUGACAUUUAGUCAACUUCAAAUAUCUUAGUAACUCUAGUUAGAAUUGUUGAUUAGGUCAUCUAUUUGAACUUUUAUGCACCCUAAUAUCUUGUGAAACACCCUCUAGGCUCUAUUAUAUGGUAGAUAGCUUUAGAAAAUGUCCCUUUUCUUUUUCAUAUGUAAAUUUUUGUCCUCAUCUGGAACCUCCUACAAACCCUUUCCAAUCCUUUACCACUUGGGCAAGCCUCAAGUGGUACCAUUAAAGUGAUAAGCUUUAGAAGAUGUUCUUAUCACUCUUUACUUCAAUUUUUCCUAGGUUUUUGCCAUAUCUAAGGAUGAAGCAACCAAAAUCCCUAAAACUUUUAAAAUUAGCUAGGCUUCUUUUAUUGUAAAGAGUUUGAGUAGCAUCAAUUUUAUAGUAAAUCUAUUAAUUAUGUAAUAAGUUGUAUUAACUUCCUCUACUCAAAACUGUUAAACUAAGCCAUUUCCAUUAAGCAUCUGGAUGCCAUAUGUUGAAGAGUUAUACUUUCUCUUUGUAAAUCUAUUUUGUUAUUAGUUUCUUGUAGGUUUUUAAAGGCAUAUGUACAUUAGAAGUUACUCAUUCAUUCAAUCCGUCCAUCUCCAAAGAACAUGAUGCUUCCUUCAUAUUCAAGAAGGCUUGUAAAUUUUGUUUCAUCACUGUGUUAAGCAACUAUGAUAAAUAAAUAAAUAAAAAACAGUAUGAGUUUUCUUCUAUUACCCAAAUUCUAUGAAAUUAUUUAGAAGCUCUUUUUGGGGUAAUUCAAUUUUCUGCUUUGUUCAAGGGGCUUUUUAUUUUCUUUCAUUUUAUUUUGAAAAUCAUUAGGUUUUCUUUUCUUGAUUCCCUUUUCCACUGUCCUGUUAAUCUGCAUUGAUAUUAUUUAUCUUAAUUAAAUUAGCAUCACAAAAAAUACUUUUAUUUACGUACGAUCUUUAUUAGAGAAUAUGAUAUAUAUUAUGAGUCCAAAUCUUAAUGAUACAAGCUUUUAGAAAAAUUGGUUUUGUCAAUAAGAUAUUAAAAUGUCAUUUAGUGAAAGAUCAUGAGUUUGAAUAUGUUUAUUUCUCUAAUUAAGCUUUUAAUUUUUUUUUUAAUAUAUAGGUUUAUGAGUUUGUUUUAAUACUUGUUUAUGUGACAUGAAACGAUGGAAUGGUAGUUAAAAACUCUUUUAUUUCUUUAAUACAAGAACACAGCUCAGCAAACCCACCAACCCUCAGAAAGGGAUUUCAACCGGAAAGAUUAACGAUACAAUUUCAAAGAAAAAACUUAAGCAAACAGCCAAACACUCAUAUAUAUUAUCUAAUAUUAACUAAACAACACUACUCAAUAGCCCAUGAUGUUUCCCUUUUACUCUAUACCAAGCUUCUUUCUUAUCCUCACAACAAAUCCAUGUGCCCCUUCUACUCUAUACCAAACCUCUUUCUCAUCCCCAUGAUAAAGCCAUGGACCUUGUGUGGGUCUUCCAGAGAAGACGACACGCUCUCCUUUUCCAUGCACCUCUUGGUCCAAGCUACCAACUUGGGGCACUCCGCCUCUAUGCUGAAGUUGCCAAAGGUCUCGUAUGCAUAAAACCAGCAAGAGAAGGUCACCAGGGCCACAUCCACAAACCCAAUUUUUUCACCCCCGAAGUAAGGCUUCUCUCCAAGCUCUCCUUCCAAAAGCUUGAGGCACUCUAUGAAUUCCUUCUUGCCUGUUUCCUGCUCUUCUCCUUUGGUUGACCAUAUCUUCCCUCCAAGUUCAUAGAGCUGUGGAAAACAAUAAAGUCAAAAGAGAGAAAAGGGUUAUUUUUUUGGAGCAUUUCAUCAAGUUUCAACUUUCCGUAUAGUUGGACAAGUUUAUUAAGGACCCUUCAGCAUAGAAAUCUCANNNNNNNNNNNNNNNNNNNNNNNNNNNNNNNNNNNNNNNNNNNNNNNNNNNNNNNNNNNNNNNNNNNNNNNNNNNNNNNNNNNNNNNNNNNNNNNNNNNNAAAAAAAAAAAAACAAAAAACAAAAAACAAAAAAACAAAAGAAAAUGCUUUAAAUCAACAGCAAAGACAUACCUUCUUGUCUACGUAGUCCGCCCAGAACCUGGCCUGAGCUCUCUGGUAUGGGUCACUAGGCAACAAUGGAGAUUUAUCCUUCCAAACCUCAUCAAUAUACUGAACUAUUAUCAGAGACUCACAAAUGGGCUUUCCAUUGUGGAUCAGAACCGGGAUUUUCUUAUGAACUGGGUUCAUCUCAAGCAGCAGAGGGCUCUUGUUCCUCAAGUCCUCCUGUCUAUAUUCAUACUUGAGGCCCUUCUCUGCCAGGGCAAGUCUGACCCUCAUACCAAACAUGCUAGGCCAGAAAUCCAACAAGAUAAUCUCGUCUGCCAUUGCUACUACUGUGAUCGAUAAGAUUCAAACUCAGUUAUUCAAGUAUUGAUGAACAACACAAGGGAAAUUGUCAGGUAUUUAUAGCAAAUCCCAGGGAGUGGGUUAAAACCUUGGAACUUCUAGGAGGUGGUGGUGCUCAUUGCUUAUCUCAGCAUUCAUUUUCCUUCCAUAUUAUGUUCUCAUCUCAGUUUCGUUUCUCACUCCAGAAUUCCCAUAUGUAUUUUUUUAUUAAAUAUAAUGCUUCCAGAGAGGUCAUUGCUUUGAUCAUUCCACGUCGUUGCUGUCGUCAGCCCAAGUCCAUUAAGUACACUGGUCCAUUCUUGCAUCCUUUUGGGCGGACAAGUCAAACUAUUUUAAACUUUGUGUUUAUUAUAACUCCUUAAAAUUUCUGUGAUGUUUGUAUUUUUAUCUAAGCUCUAAACUUGUUUUUAAAUUCCAAAUCUACUUUAUUUUUACGUAUGAAAAAUAUCUAUAAAAUUAAUUAUUUUAUUUCUUUUUAAAUUAAUUUGCAAUCUAAUAUAUUUUUUUAAACAUUUAAUUAUUAUAAUUUAUCAACAUAAUAAAAUUUUUAUAACAAUUAAUUAUAUAAUCAAUAAAAAAAAUAGUAAUAGGAUAGUAAGUACAAUUUCUAAUUAUAUGUUUAAAAAAUUUUUAAACAUCUUGAAAGUUGUGUGGUUUGAUGACAGUCAAAUACUUGUAAGUGUUUGUAUAAUAUUAAUAAGCAGUUGAUAUGGCUUAAUUUUCUUACAUCAUUAUAUUAUAGCUUCCUAUUAGCGCUNNNNNNNNNNNNNNNNNNNNNNNNNNNNNNNNNNNNNNNNNNNNNNNNNNNNNNNNNNNNNNNNNNNNNNNNNNNNNNNNNNNNNNNNNNNNNNNNNNNNGAAUCUUGUUUGACCUAAACUUCACCACCACAUCCAGGCAGCUUGCUUGGGCUGAGAUUUGGUGCAGGGAUGGGAGCCGAAGUGCUCCUGGAGAUGCAUCUGCAUAGACUGUCUUAUUUAGCUGUGAAUUUGUAAUAUGUAACUCUACUGGCAGCAAAGAUAAACAAUAAUGAUGAUGAUAACAAUGAUAUAAGGAAAAGGGUUCAAACUUCAACUCCCCCUCCAAACACUAAUCCCAUAAAUAUUACUAUACUCAGAUGGUUACAACUUAUUUUCGACACAAUAACAAAAUUAACUGAAAUAAAAUUAUUCUGGGACAUAUUCCUAAAUAAUAGAAAACGUUUACUUCUAGACUUCUUAGUUGAAAGCAAUACAAAAACCCAAAAACAACAAAUCAAUCUUUCAUGUUCUUAACAGUUACUGUUCAAACACUUUUUGUGAUCAAUAAAAUAACAAAAAACAAACAAAAAACAAAUAUGGAAAAUAAAAUAACUGAUUCUACAUCUCCACUGGUUUUAGCUACUAGUCAAACACCUUCUGGACUUGGUUCUGGUUGACAUUGGCAUGUUCCAUUGAGAAAACAGAGUCAGGAACCAGGAAUUUUAAUGCUUACAUCUUCUCAAUUAUAAAACAUGGUGAGUGAAUGAAAGUGAUGUGUCCUGGGCUUGUUCUGAGGGGUAGAUGGUUUGUGAUUAUCACACAGGGACCUUGUUUUAAAUUUGUGACUUAGAGUUUGGUUAUUUGCUAAUAUUUACUUGUGGGGUUGAAGCAAGGAGAAGGUUUGUGCAAAAAUAGGAUUAUCUUCAGUGAUUUUUAUGGGGCUCCAUACUAAUGGAUGGACCUUUUAAUGGACACCUGCACAUGUUCUUUGUUUCAAGAUUGUCAAUGAGAGCUAGCACAUACAUCAUGAAUAUUUAGCAUGGACAAGGUAUCCCUAUAGUAGUAAAGAGCAUACAAUCAAUGCUUGAAAUGUCCAGAUCACGUGCCUAAAAGGAUGGGGCUUACUUGUUGAAUAGGCAGAACUACAAAAAAUCAUGGUCUGAUAAAGAGUUAAGACUGAAUUCAUGAUAGUUGACACUGUUAACGAAAGCAAUAUUUCUAGCAGUCAUUGAUCAGUCAUGACAGUAAAGAUUGCACUAAUAAACUCACACAUUGUUUACAAGGGAACACCUACCUGGGGACAUACCACUUGGAGAGAUAAAACAGCUAGAGUAUGAAAUUUAAACCACACAAAUCCCAAGGUAACAUUUUUUUGACAAACCAUAUGUAUUUUUAAACAAGGAAAAAGGCAAAAUAUUCUACAAAAUUUCCUGCACAAACAAUGGGAAGGGGGCUCCAAAAUGAGUCAAAAAGAUGGUUUUAAUUUCACCAUACACACAUAAAGCAGUUUGUACUUGGCUUGAUACUCAACCUAUAAAAUAAGAUAUAUUUUUUUUAGUCUUCUCUUUUGGAGAAUAUUAAAAAUAGACAGAAAGAUUCAGAUGAAUUAGAUGUCUUCUGCUCCAAGCGUCCAACUAUCUUGGACUUGUUCAACUCUGGAUUCUGUUUCUUUUAUGGAACUCGGUUUCCUCAGAAAGAGGACACUGGGAAAAGACAAGCAAUUAAGAAAUGCAGUAUAUAUCAGAAAAUAUCCAAAGGCAACUGAUAUUAUAUUGUUGUUUUUCAGUAAAUAUCAUUUGUCAACCAAGAAAUGCACCAUCAGUGUAGUGCUACCAGUGCAACCAAGAGGACUGAACUGACACUUAGAUAAGAUUAUCGGAUUAAAUCAAAGAAUAAGCCUAUAUUAAGGUUAAGCAAAACCAUAUCCAAAAUGAGAUUUCAAAAUUUUAUUCCAAGGGCAGAUCGUACAACCGUUCUACUUCCAGAAACACAAACUAAAAGAACAUUAUAGAAUUCAGCAUAUAUGUGGAAUUCAAAAUCAAAUCCAACUUCUUAUAAUAAAAUAAAAUCAGCUAUUGAACAUAAAAAUUUGCAACAGAACAUUAUACCAUAAUAAUAUCAGAAACCAAAUAUUAUCUUUGUUGGCCUUCAACAAUUUGAAACUUUUCCCCAUUCUUAUUUGCAUGAUUUCUAAAACCCACAAUGAUUGGUUUUAUUUUGAAUGUAUUUUACUUAGUUUUAAAGCUGAAGGUAUGUUUUAUUCAUCAUUGGUGUGUUUAAGUGCAAGUGAAGUUCCAAGUUGGUCACUUGUCUUCUUCAUCUUCAAUAUUUGCUUUACAGCAUCUUAUUAGUUUCAUCCUCACCUCUUGCUACCAGAGAUGAAAAAUAAGAUACAAAGGCAUGCCUUACCUCUUGCCUUCAAAAUUACUCAUGUCUCUGUUCCCUCAGGAAGAGCCACCAUCAUCUCAAUCUCUCGUCCAGGCCAUGCCUAUGAAAAAAUGUGAAACUGUAAAAAGAAUUCCAUAAGAUGAAUUUUUAAGGCACAAAAUUUGGAGCUGUUAGUGUAAAGAAUCUAACCAUUGUCACAAACAUGGAAUAAUUCAUUCAAUCAAACACCAGCUUCAACAACUAUGCAUACCUUAGAGUGUAACUACUGAAAACGGAAUGGUAAAAUUAAAAUUUCUGCCCAAACAAAACUAGGGGAAAGAGUAAUAAAAACCAGUUCAAACUUCCAUGACAAACAUAUUGAAGAACAACUAAUAGAUCAAUUUCAUAAUUCUUUGAUCAAUUUGAGCAUUAAGAAUCAGGAGCAACUUAACAAUAUGAAAAGGUCAUAACACACUCAGUUACAAAUAACACCCAGAUAGAAUUUUGGAAAACCAAAUACAAUAUGUAAAAAAGGUUAGAUCAAAUGUCUGCAAUAGCUGGACAUCAAAUCAUACAAAGAUUUAGAUCAGAUAUUUGGAUCAUUGCAGGUAGCACAAUUCCGACUGGCCCCGUUGCAAUGAGAGCAAUGUACAAUUAUCUGUUCUCUAAAUUUGGCCUGAUUCGUUGCCGUCGAGGUCUUCCAAGACAACGUUUUGUAACAGGAGGAUCAAGAGAAACAUGCACAUAACCAUUUGGAUCAUGCACAUUUCCAUUUGAAUGAACUGUUGGCAGAUUCUGAAACUCAAGUGGAUGCAAAGUGCCAGAAUAAACCAUUUCCUGCUUGAACAAAUGAUACCAAUCAUCAACAAAUUCAUAAAUAUCUUGGUUCAUCUUCUGUAUCAUUGCGCAUGCAUGCUCACAUGGGAUGCCCGACAUCUGCCAAGCCAAACAAGUGCAAGUAUGCUGCCUCAAGUCAACACUUAUCUUUGCCUUCCCAUCUGAAAAUGUUUCGCUUUUGGCAAUGUUAUGCAAGAGUUUAUCCUCAGUUUUUGGGCCAAUGGAUCUUUCCCAACUCUGCAUUGUGGUUUUAUGCUCAACUAACAAAGAGGCUAGCAUAUCCAUGUGCUUCUCAAUGAAACUAAAUAUUGUGUGAUGUUGUUCUUCUUUGACCCAAGCACUAAAUGACCCAAAGAUAUUAGUAUUCAUUUUGUCCCAACGCUUUUUAGGGAACUUUGACAUCGCCCAGUGUUCAGGAUUGUUAUCUUCAACCCAUUUGGCCAAGUUAGCAUCAAAUCUCCUUAAGUUCUCCAUUGCACUGUUGUAACCAAUUUCUAACCUUGCAUAUGCAACAGCAUCAAGUAGUUUAAGAGCGUUAUCUUUACCUUCCCUUCCCAUCAUCAACUGGUGGCUAAAGUCCUCCUUUAGAUGACAAUAACAAUAUGCAUGGUUUUCAACUCCAAAAACCUCUGCAACACUACGAAUAAUCGCAUGAUGCCUUCCAGAAAUGAUGACCACCUCCAUUUCACCAACUAACUGCUUUAGCCUCUGUAAGAACCAAAACCAGUUAUAAUAAUUUUCCGAACUCACAAUGGCAUAUGCUAAUGGAAACAUGUCAUCAUCAGCAUCAUAUGCCAAGGCUGAAAACAAAGCACCUUUGUGUGGCCCACUCAAGUUGGAUGAGUUAAUGGAUAUGAUAGGUCGGCAUCCCAUUAAAAACCCAUGCACAAAAUCCAUGUGCAAUGAACAAUUGCAUGAAAUUACCUUCGUCUGAGGAAGUCCAUUCAGCAAUUGUCCCAGAAUUAGUUUCCAUUAACUGCUUACAUAACCAGGGCAGCAACUUAUAUGAAUUGUGUAGAAGACCAAAUAUUCUCUCCUUCGCCUUCUCUUUACAUUUCCAAGCUUGAUUGUAGGUCAAUUUCACUCCAUGCUGCCUUUCAAAAUCUUCACAGAUUUGACGGGGCAGGUAAUCAGGGUUAGCCCUUAUCAUAUCAUCAAUUAGAAGAGCCGCUUUAUUUGGUCGUAAUGCAGGCACUGAUGAAGACUCCUCCUGUGCAGAAUGAUUAUGUUAGUUUUCAAAUGUGUGCACUCUCACAAUUUUGGUAGCCCCAACACCACGAGCAGUUAUCUUCCAAGGACAUCCACCAGCUGUGCAACAUGCAGUCAUGUGCUUUAAAGAAUUCCUCUUGAACUUGUAGUUGAAUCGUCCAGCUAAGGAGGUAAGGUAUAGUGCAUUCCGGAAUUCAUCAGCAUUUGUAAAAAUUUCCCACUACCUGAUAUAGCCUUUCCAAGAGUACUUGAAACUGGAGGAAUUGCUUCUAACUCUAUGCAUCUUGAUGCAACUUCAUGUCUCUGAAUGAUGUUAUCAUCAUUUACACCUUGAGAUGAUGAUGAUGGCGAUGAAAAAUGAUUGUUGUCCACAUUAACACUGCACGAUUAACAUAUUCAUGUAAAGUUAGAAUAAAAAAGGAGGAUAAAAUUUAAUCAUGCUGAUAAGCAAGAUAAUAUGCAGGUGUGACUUACAAAGUGCUUUGUUCAUCUAUUACUCCUUGCUUUACUCCUCCAUUAUGAGCUUCAAAUGCAUAGACUCUUGAGAAACCGUCAUUGAAGAGGACCAUGCUAUAUAUGUCAUCAUCAUCAUCCAAUGGCUGGAGUAAAGAUUUAUCAAACUUCAAGGUGCACUUAAAUGACAGACUAGAUGGGUCAAUUUGGACUUUCUUACUUGCUUUAAAAACAAAUUCAGCAUGUGAGAUUCCUUGAUUAAUACAUAUGCCAUUAGUACAUCCACCUUUAUAAUUGAUGGACCCAUUGUCAGCCUUUAUGAUCUCCCCUCCAAAAUAAAGAUAGCAAUAUAUUGAUAUUACUUUCCAUUUACCUACUAUAAAAUAAUGCAACCAAUCCAUUAGUAUGUGCUAUACUUGUUCAAGCCUUCAAGGUAAAAACUACACUUAAUUUUGGUUCCAACGGUGAAAACUAAGUUCAAAUCAUGUAUAUAAGAAGGUUUAAAACAACACAACAUCCCAAAAAGUCUAAUAUAUGAUAACACUACACCCCAUAAUUUAUACCUUGUGCCUUUUUAGGAACUAAAGUUCCCUAGAAUUGAGGUAAGACGGUACGAAAAUCAAUUGGAAAUGAAAGCAAAGAGAUAGCAUAGAAUUUAAGAGUAGCAUAAAUCAUAAGUAAAUAUUAUUUAUAAUUUUGUUUUUUUUUCGAUAACUGAGGAACCUUCUAUGGCCAAGCCCUUAAGACUCUCCAUGGGGACCCAAACCUUGGGGUGUUGACCACACUCUAACAACCAGCACCAAGUAAAUCAAGGUAUCAUCAGUAGCAAGAUUCAGGGACCACACCUCCCAACAUUCGCCCUGACCAACUGGGCUACUCUGGCAGACUAAAUAUUAUUCAUAAUUUAAAAAGGAAAAAAGAAUCCGAAAGAGAAAACAGUACAAAGUGCCUAUUCUGAUUUGAAGCAGAGAAAAAAAAUGGAAGUUUGACCUUUUUGUUUUCUUAAGAUGUAUAAUAGCGGUUUGACUUCUAAUUCAAAAGUGUUACAAUAGUUAAGAAAGCCUUAAAAUUGCUAAUUGAAGUAGGUUCAUUAUUGUUAUUCAUUUCAAUACAAACAAAAGGUGGUUAAAGGGAUAUUGUAACCAAGUUUUGAACAAGAUAAGAACAAAAGUAAAAUUGUCAUUCUGAAACCAGCCUAGUUUCAACACAGCCAUAUUCCUGCUCUGGUUCACUCUAAUAAAUAAAAUUUCUUGUACAAUGGAACCACAUCUCAUGAGCUAGGGAACAUCUGGUUUGAAGGAAAGAGCUGCAAAUGCUACUUGGUCAUAGCUCUAUUUUAACUAGGUAUCCCUAUUUUUGACUAAUAUAAGGGAUAAAGUAAAAGAGCAUGCACAUGUGGACAAGCGCACACACACAGAGACAGAAAUUUAUAGGAAACUGCAUCAAUUCUACUAGAUUAUUCAUAUUUGAAGAAGGGGAAUGAAGUGUGGUACCAAAGCAAUUCAAUAUGUAAAAGUUUCACAUAUUUCAAUCACAAAAAUAUUUCUACUUCAAUGCAAUUUUUAAGAUGCUAAUAAACUUUCAGAAACCUUAGCAAGUAAUUUGCCAGGCCAAAAGAAGUAAUGAAUUGCAUUUACAUCCAUAUAAUAACAAAACAUCUAAAAAUCAAAGCAACAUCCUAUCUCCAUACAAACUCAUCCAGCUUGUAAUAGCAAUGACGAAGGAAGUUAAAGGAAUUAAAUCAAAUUUAUUAAUUCCGUUGAGAACAUAUAACAAAUGCAUGAGAGAGAGAGAGAGAGUAAAAAAACUUAUUUAAUAAAUGAAACUUUUUAAGGCCAUUAUUUAUUUUUCCCUGAGUAAACAAAAAUUUAGUAGCAUAAAUCAUGGACGGAUGCAUAUGUAUCUAUGUGUAUACAACCAUCAACUAAUAUUUAUCACUUAUCAGCACAAACAAUAAAAAUCUAGAACCAUGAUUCAUACACUCAAAACCCCAAAUCUGCAGGGGAAAAUGAUAGCAAAGCCUGCCAACUUUGUCUCCGGAUGAAACUCCUGAUAGAUUGCAACUUUUAGCAUACAUCUGUAUGAAGGCCCAAAAGAAAUAAUAUAAAAUCGAGUCCAUCGAUAAGGUAACAUGUCACAUAUGAAUCAAUCCCUUGAAAGUUAUACAUGGGACAAAUUUCAAAAUUCAUUCAUUUCUUGUAGCUACAAUUUGAACAAAAACUCGGGUUUCAUCUACUUGAUUCAGUAAAUACAACAAUAUUUAUAUCUCACAUGGGUCAAUGCAGUUUAAAACAUAUUUCUUAACCAUUAAAUUGCUUUGGGGUUCUGUUAUACAUACUUCAACAAAACUUUGUCUUAAAAAAUUUCUAACUCGUACUUUGUACACAGAAUAUAUGGUUACUUCAUUCUUUAUAUAGCCAAGAAGUAUUGUAGACAAACUAUAGCAGAUACAGCAUUAUUUUUAUGCAAUUAACUAGAUACAAUAAUUUAUAUUAAGCAGAAAGCCAUGGUCACCAAAAAGAGGGGACCAAAGAAAGAAUUAGGUCUCUAAAAUUACAGGCGAAAUUGCAUAAAACUUAAUGAAGUUCCUGAAAGGACGAAAUCGUGGCGAAAUUGUUACUGUGAUAAAUCACAUAAAUUAGGAAAUCAAACACCUCACAGGAACAACAAAUCUACCAAAAAGAGCAGAGCCAAAUAGUGAAAUUGAUAAUCUUUAUCAUUCAUUUUUUCAGUAGAAUUGAAGCUCUCACUACAAAAUUUUCCCUGAAGUUUGAUGGAAUUAAAGUCCCUGAAACUGGCAACAUUUUAGCAAAUGAAGCCUCCUCACGAAGACAAAAUGCACAACGAGGGUGUCUUUGAACUCGAAACAAAUUGAAGGCUAAAAAGAACAUAAAAAAUUACAGGGCCCUUCAAAAUCAUUAAAAAAAAAUUAUAUUAAAAUAGAAUCCAGUCCACAGCUGAUAAUGUACGAUAUUGGGCUGUUUGGAUGGUGAGAAGGUUAAAUAAAUAGGUGUUGGAACAUUUACCUAUAAGAGAAAGAAAAUGGGUAAACUUGGGUGACGGGCCUAGAGCCUCCUUUCAUUCAUGGUGUUUGAGUUAAGAAAUUUCUGAGGACUGUCGGAGAUUUUCCGAAAUUUUCCCGCCUUUAGGGUUCUGCUUUACAUGCAGGAGAGGUGAGAGGGUGCACGGAUGUCUAGUGUGGUGCAAAAUCCAGCAGCACUAUGCGUGUGUUGCGUUUUUGCUAAUUAAUAUAAUUAUUUUUUAUUCAAUAUUCAUAAAAAGUAAUAAAGGAAAAAAAUAUCAAUCCAAAACUACCCUACUCGCUCUUAUUUUAACCCAAAGUUUGAAAUCCAACAAAAUUGAUGUCAAAGUAUAAUUUGAAUACAAAAGUCAUUUUUACUAAAAUUAUUAUUAUUAUUUUAAAUAAUGUUAGAUUAGGUUUGACAGUGAUUUUAUAAAAUAUUUAUAAUCUUUUUAAUACUUUAAAAGAUAAAAUUUUUUUAAGUGUUACAAAGUUCAGAAACACUUCCUAAGAUUACUAUCAAACGCAUUUUUAAUAUCUAUGCUUGUUCCAUAUGGUAUAAGUGUCACAUUUUUUUUUUCUUUUUUAUAAAUUAUAAUUAAAAUAGUAAAAAGAAAAUCUUUGUUACUUCUAAUAGAGAUUAGAUAUUGAAAUAUUAAGUAUGUUUGUUAAUCUCUCAAUUUAUUUAGAACACAAAAAAAAAACAUGUUUAAUAAUAUAAAAUAGAAAACAUCAUGGUAUUUUUUGAGAAUAUCUUUUGGUUAUAUUCAAUUUUUUUCAUUAUUUGAUGAGAAUUGUUUUAAAAAAUAAUUAUACAAAUAUAAAAAAAAUGACUAAAGAUAAAAUAUUAUAAAUAAAAAUUAUUUUAAAACAUUUGAAGUUUUCAAAUAAAUUUUUAUUUUACAAAAUAUCAAAAAAUUAUUUUCAAAUUAUUUUCGAAAACACCUUGUAGAUAGUUUUUAUAACAAAGCUUUUUUUUUUUAUGCCUAAUGAAUACAGACAUUUGAAAAGGAAAAAAAAAAACUAUACAGUACUCAAUUUUUGUGAGAGUAGAGUUUGAGGUUAAAAUACCAUUUAAUUUAUUUAUUAAAACUAGUAAAAUCAAUUAUUAUUUUUAAAAAAAAAUUAAAAAAAUAUUUAUUUGAUAAUAUUAUAAUAAUUAAUUAAAAAAAAUUGUAAGAUAUUUAUUUUAAACAAAAUAUUUAUUUAACAUACAUGGUCACUAAUGUUGGACACCUUCCCACUUAGUAGAGUAACCUAGAAUAUUAAUACAUUAUAAUGAGAGUAGAUGAUAAAAAAAUUUGCAAAAGGAACUCAAAAUAAGUGACUUUCUACUACAAAGGGUGCUCAACAACAAGAGAAACCCAAAAGAUGGAAAACUAGGGCUAAAUUAUGAAGACUCUAUCAAAUCUACCAUGAAGCUGGAAUUUGCCUUUUCAAAAUUCAAUCCAUUCAAGGGCAACAACUCAAUUGCUCAUGAAAUGUUAUUGAAUUCAAAGACAUUAUUCAUUGAAGUAGUGAAAAAUACAUUGUUGAUCUAUGUAUCCCAAAUAUUAAGUGAUGGGAAGUAGUGAAAGUGCAUUGUUGAUCUAUGUUACCCCCAAAAAAUAAGUUGACCAUCACCUAGGAACUUUGGAGUCCUUAAUAAGAGCAUUAUGUCACAGACUUAGUCUUUUCCUAAGCUUGUGCAACACUUAGACAAGUCAAGACACUUGAUCUUGCUAAGUCAGCCUAUCUCCUAAUGUUUAGCUUGCUAGGCUAAGAUGCUCACGACUCGGAAGCUUGAGAAGGCGUAGUAGGCAACUCUUAAAGAAUGGAAGUUGUUAUUACUCAAGGAAACCUUUACAAGUGCUUUUGGGAACUCACUUGCUUGGUUAGGAAGUGAUUUGGGUGGUCCAUUGGCCAAAUGAGGCCCUCACCUAUUUAUAGGCACCAAUGGAACUCUCUGGAACCUUGGAGGGUUCCUUACAAAUUAAGAAGAUUCUAGAAUACCCUACACAAUUCUAUGUACAACCCUAUGUACAAGAGAUCUCUAGAAUUCUUUAGAAAGCCUUGGACUCCUCUCAUGCCUUCCACCAUAGUGUAGAGAUGUGUGGACAUCUAUAGGCAUCUCUAGAACCUUCCACACUCUUCCCUCUAAUAGCUUAGUGUAGAUGGCUCCAAGAGUCUCUAGAAGCUUCUUGGGCUCUAUAUAAAUCCAUGAGGAGGCUCAUUUGAAGCAUCCUAUGACACUCUCCCCAUCCUAUUCCGUUGACGUCUUUUUUGUUGCCUCUUUCUGAAACCUCUCGAUGUGUUUCCAGAACCUUCUCAAGGCAUCCGCAUAUUCCCAGCUUACAUGCCUCCUAGGUAGUCCUUUCCAUCGGACUAGAUACUCUAUCACAGGAGGGACCCUUAUUCUCCUGGUGACCCAUUCAACCAGGAUAUUUUUCACCUCCUUUUCUUGUGAGGCCUCGGAUGGAUGCAGAUCCUUGCACUUUCGAUGCUUGGAGUGCUGCUUCCUCUUACCCAUCAAGUUCACCUUUCCCUUGGUGACCUUGUCGAUGUAUGUGCGGGCUACCUUAGCUUGCUCCCCUUUUGCCUCCUUUACUUGCACCCUUGAUAGUAAGGAGGUCUUAGGCGUACUAGACUUUGGGUUGAAUUGGAGGGCACCUAGUAACUGCAUCAAGCCCAUAUGUGCUUCGUCCUCCUGUUCCCUCUCCUUGAUCAUGGCAUUGAGCGCCUUUCUCUUUGGACAAUCCCGUGCCCAAUGUGGAUCGUCACAUAGGAAGCAUUUGAUUUUAGGCGUAAACUCCUUCCUUUCCACCUUACCCCUUCCUUCUCGAACAUUAAGCGUCUUGCCUAAUCCCAUUCUAAGAGCAUUGUGGUCCCUUGAGACCUCAUCUCCCCCACCCGUGGCGUGGCUAUCCUCCAAAGACUCAACCUUGGAGGAGUCUCCCCUUUUGUAGUCCGUUAAAGACUCUGCUACUGCCAUAGUAGUGGCUAAGUCUUGAACACCUCGACGCCUUAAUUCCUGCUCGGCCCAUUCUUGUAGGUUAUCCAUGAAGUUGAAUAGCAACUCCUUCUUAGUCAUAUUAGGAAUCUCAAGCAUGAGUGAAGAGAAUUCCUUAACAUAGUCUCAUAUCGAGCCUAUAUGCUUGAGACGCCUCAUGUUUUUCCUAGCCAAGUAGGCCACGUCCUCAGGGUAGAAUUGCCUUUUGAUUUCCCUCUUGAAGUCUUCCCACGUCUCUAUGGUGCAAAUGUCUUUCUCCAUAUCGGCAAACCUCUAAUGCCACCAUAGAGUAGUUGUGUUAGUGAGGUAGAGGGUUGCAAUCCUUACCUUAGCCGCCUUAUUAUUUAGUGCGAUAGCCUUGAAGUAUUGCUCCAUAUGCCAUAAGAAGUUGUCCAACUCCUUAGCAUCCCGCUUGCCACUAAACCAUUGUGGCUUCAACACCUCCACCCUAGAUGCCUCUUAGGUGGCCAUGACUUGUGCCAACACAACAGCCUUAUAGAUGGCCAACUCCUGCCUAACCUCAUGGUCUUGGGACUCCAUUCAAGUGGCCAAGGCCUUUAUCCUUGACUCCAUGUUAGCAAGCAUGCUAAAGACCUUUUCUUGGAAAGACAUGAACUCCUCAUGUGACACCGGUUGAACUUGUGAGCCUAGCACCCCCUCACGAAGGUCUUAGAUAUGCUCCCUUAGAUCCUCAAUACCCUUCUCCAUGCCUUGCUCGAUCAAGUCCACCCCUUCCCGGGUGUCUGCCAUGGCUAGCUCCACCUUGGCUAGCCUUGCCUCCAUGUUGGCUAUGGCAUCACGAGACUUAUCCUUCCUGCCCUUGCCCCGUGCAGUAGGCUCGAUCUCCCUUCCACGGGUUUGCUCGCUAGUCUCCUCCAUGUUAGAGCCCAACAUGCUUUCUUUACUAUGCUCGUUUCAUAGCCGCGCUCUAGUAUCACUUGUCACAGACUUAGUCUUUUCCUAAGCUUGUGCAACACUUAGACAAGUCAAGACACUUGAUCUUGCCAAGUCAGCCUGUCUCCUAAUGUUUAGCUUGCUAAGCUAAGAUGCUCACGACUCGGAAGCUUGAGAAGGCGUAGUAGGCAACUCUUAAAGAAUGGAAGUUGUUAUUACUCAAGGAAGCCUUUACAAGUGCUUUUGGGAACUCACUUGCUUGGUUAGGAAGUGAUUUGGGUGGUCCCUUGGCCAAAUGAGGCCCUCACCUAUUUAUAGGCACCAAUGGAACUCUCUGGAACCUUGGAGGGUUCCUUACAAAUUAAGAAGAUUCUAGAAUACCCUACACAAUUCUAUGUACAACCCUAUGUACAAGAGAUCUCUAGAAUUCUCUAGAAAGCCUUGGACUCCUCUCAUGCCUUCCACCAUAGUGUAGAGAUGUGUGGACAUCUAUAGGCAUCUCUAGAACCUUCCACACUCUUCCCUCCAAUAGCUUAGUGUAGAUGGCUCCAAGAGUCUCCAGAAGCUUCUUGGGCUCUAUAUAAAUCCAUGAGAAGGCUCAUUUGAAGCAUCCUAUGACAAAUAGCUCAAAAUAAAAGAGGAAAUCCAAGUAUUGAAAAAAAGGUUAGUUUUCUAAAUGUAGUUGACAUCAUUUGAUAAGGUAGUGCCUUAAAAUUAUGCUAGUUCUAAAUAAUUUGAGAGGGCAUAUGCUCUAAAAAUGCAAAUGAUCUAAAUAUAGGAAGAGAAAUCCAAUGAGAAAAAGAAAAAGAAAGAAGACCGUUAUCAAAAGGAAUUUUGGAAUUCAUGAUAAAAAAAAAAGAAGGAAAGUGGCCUACUCACGUAAUCCAUUAUGCAACUCUACUAUGCCUACCUAUGGUCCACUAUAUUUGAUGCUAUUAUAGUUAAGUUAACCCUUGACACUACUAUAAUUGAGUUUGCUAUUGACAUUGUUGCAACUAAGUUCACUAUAUUACAACCAUACUCACUAUUAUAGUCUUCUUACAAACAUACUCAUUAUCCGUACAUCUUUCGAAGGAACCCUUCAAGAUCUCAACUCUUUUACCUAUUAAGUGUAUCUUAAAUGAGCCUUCUAACUAUUGAAUUUUGAAGGUAAGACAUUAAUUCUCUACAACAUCAUCGAGAUUCAUCUCCAAUAAGGGUGGAUCUACCUUAAGAAUAGUGUUUUCAUCAUGGAUCUACUUUAAGAAUAGUAUUUUCAUCAGACCUUAAUAAUUCUAAUAUGAUAAGUACCUAAAUUCCCUUUUGUUAUUUCAUUAUUUGUUGAUGUUUUGUGUUCAACUUAGUUUAGACUUAGUUUCAACCUUCUAGAAUAUUUAAAAACAACCACGGUUGAAAAUUUCUCUUUUUUUGUUGAAAUUUCGAUGAAAUAUCGGUUUCGGCGAUCGGCGAUACGAAAGAAGGGAGCGAAAUGUCGAUGGAGAAAUUUCAGCAAAUUUUGGUUAAAAUCGUCGAAAAAUUGGCUCAUAGCGAAAUUUCGACGAUUUUUCUUAACUUUUUCGAUUGGUCAACACGGGUUAACAUGCUACAGUGCUUCUGUUACAGUGAAAUGCUACAAUAUGCCAUUACAGUGAAAGCUUGAUAAAAAUCCAAAAUGCUAUAGUGUGCUACUAUAGUGAAAGCUUGAUAAAAAUCCCUUUUAGUUUGUUGUUGGGGAGACAAAAGCUUCAAUUGAGGUGUGGUGAACCAUUAGGGCAAGUAUGCCCUUUGUUAAAUAUGUUGCACCAAACAUAUUUAUAUUAAAAGUCAUCAAAUAAACAAAAUAUUAAAAGAACAUUUUAAAUAACAAAUUAAUUAUAAUUAUUUGGGAAAAUUGUGUUUUGGGCCUAGCUAGGCCCAAAAAUUAAUGUAUGGUCCAUAUAAGUUUCAUAUUUAAGCCCAACACCCAAUAAAAGAGUGGAAAUUGAGAGUAAGGAUAUUGUCUUUAAAAAAUCCCUAAAAUACCCUUGACUAUUAAAUGAAAAAACUAACCAAUCACCUCACCUUUCUCAUUCUCUCUUUGACUUUUUUGCCCUUCUCUCACCUAUUUAAUAGUGGAACCAACUUGAAUAAUUUUUCUUCAUCAAAUAUGAAAGAUGGUUAAAAAUUAUUAUUACCAAAUGUAUUUUUGAAGUGAAUAACUUUUAAAUACCUUAUCAAAUAUUAUUCUUUUUUUCAAACUUACAUAAUAUAUAAUAAAUAUCAUUCUUUAUUUCAAACCUAUAUUAUUUCUUUAUGUAUAUUAAAUAAUUUUUAAACACCUAAAAUAUUAGUAUUAUUUGUUUACUCUAACUUGUAAAUUAGAUAUUAUCAAAUAUUAUAUUUUUUCAAAUUUAUAGAACAUAUAAUAAAUACUUUUUAAAUACCUCAUAGAAUAUUAUUAAUUUUUUUUUCUAACUUGCAAAUUAGACACAUGGUGUUUAUUAUUAUUUUGAAUAUAAUGUAAAUACUCACAUGCAUAUAUAUAUAUAUUAAUCAAGAAGACAAUAUUUAUAAGACUAAUUUACCAACCUUCCAAUAAUUUUGAAAAUGUAAAUAGAGUAAUUGUCCGAAUUAAAGUCUUCAAAAAUAUUCAAAAUUUCUCCAUUCCAAAAUUACCUAAUUGCUCUCCACACUAAUCCUAAAUAUUUUUGAAUAAAGAUUUAAAUAUUUAAAACCAUUAAAAUAAAUACUUUCUUAUUAAAGCAAUUUUUUCAAAGUAAUAAGAUAAAAAUCAUGAAAUCUUCAAAACUAUAAUUACAACAAAUAUUUUUAACUUUAAAACUAAUUUCAUAAUUUAAAUUAAUGAUUUUAAAAAAUAAAAAUGUUAUAAAAAUAAUUUUUUUAUUUUUAAUGCCAUUUAAAUAUGAUUUUUUUAAUCUCUAUUGAUAACAAUGAAAUUAUAUUUACAAAGGCAAAAUAGUAAAAAUAUAUAUUUCAUUUAGUUUACUUAUAAUGAACAAUUCAAACAUGAAUGAUUUUAAUUUUAUUUCCUAAGUGUUAAUUUUUGUAGAGAAUGUCUUAAUGACAUAGUUUGGUAAAAAAAGAAAAACAAAAUUAUCAAUAAUCGUCUUAAUGUCAAAUUCAAGUUAUUUAAAAAUCGUAUAAAACCUAUUAGAAGUCUUGUACACCCUUGUACACUUAGCACAUUUCCCUUGUACAGUUAGUGUAAUAUCCUUGUACAGUUAGUGUAAUACCCUUGUACAAUGACACAAAUUUCAUAUAUCUCCUAAUUUAUAUAUCCAUGUAGGUGUAUUAAUCAUAUUUUCAAUGGUUUGGUUGAGAAAAUGGUGGAUGACUUAGGGUCAAAUUUUUUCCCCAAAUAUCAUUAUUGGGAAAAAUAUUAGAAUUUUCAUGUAAGAAUUAAAUAAAGUGCAUGACAUAGGUGUACAAUCAUUGGGUGACAAGGAAAAUAAAAAAGUAGUUUAGAGUCAAUUAAAAUCAUUCACAAAGGGUAAUAUUGUACACUUUUGUACAAUUAGUACAUUUCCCUUGUACAGUUAGUGUAAUACCCUUGUAUAAUGACACAAAUUUUAUAUCCCUCCUAAGUUAUGUGUCCACGUAGGAGUGUUUAACCAUAUUUUCAAUGAUUUAGUUGAGAAGAUGGUAGAUGAUUUAAGGUCAAAAUUUUUUUUCUCCAAAUAUUAUUAUUAUGGAAAAUAUUGGAAUUUCCAUGCGGGAAUUAAAUAAAGUGCAUGACAUAUAUGUACAAUUCAUGAGUGAUAAAAAAAUAAAAAUAAAGGAAUGACUCAUAAUCGAUUAUAAUAUUUCACAAAGGGUACCCUUGUACACCUUUGUACAGUUAGCACAUUUCUCUUAUACAGUUAGUGUAAUACAAUUGUACAGUGACGCAAUAAAUAAAUAAAUAAAAUUUAUUACUUUUUUAUUUUCAUAUAAAAAAAAUAGUACUAAACAAGGUUUUCAAUUUCAUUUUAAAAAAUAGUUUUCAUUUUUUAAUUAAAAAUAUUUUCAAAAGGAGACAAUAUAGAAAAUAAAAAUUAUUUUUAAAAAUAAAAAAUAAAAACUAGAAAAAUAUUUUAAAACCAAACUCAAAUAUAAUCUAUAUAAUAAUAAACAAAUUUGUAACAUUUCAUAUAACUUAUUACUAAAAAUCAUGUUCAAAAAGUUAUUAAAAUAAGGAAGAAAGAAGAUUAAAAAAAAAAUAAACAUUUUAUUUUAUAAUAGUAAAAAAAAACUUUAAAAUACAUUUUAAUAUAAAAAAAAUUAAAAUAGUGAAUAUAUUUAUUUUAAAUAGUUUUUUAUUCAUUAAAUUAUUUACUUCUAAAAUAUAAAAGACAAAAAUAAAUGUAAAAUGUAAUUUUUAUUUAUUUAAAUUAAUAUUUUUUUAGAAAGUAUUUUUCAAAAUAGUCUUUGAAUCAUUAAUAUAAUUUUUUUAUUUAUAAUUUAAAAAUAAAAAAAUAAUUUUGAUUUUUCAAUUAUUUAUAAAAGAGUUUAAAAAAAUAAUGAAAAAUCCAAAAAUGAUUAAAUAAGAAAGAAUAGUGGCAUGUGAAGAGUGGUAGAAUAAAGACAAAAAUGAGUCAAGUGGGUAUUUUUGUCUAUUCCUAUCUCAUAUCCUUGAAAUCAAUUAUAGGUGUUUGAAGGACUCUUUAUUAAUUACCAAAGCCAAAUGGGUCUAAAGCCCAAUUCUCCCUAAUUAUUUUAUAAUUAAAUAAAAUUUUUUCAUUUAAUUGAUUACCAAAAAUAUAAAAUUAUUAUGAUAAUUUUCUUCAUAGUGUUUUUAAUAUCAUUAAUAAAUUAAUUAAAUAUUAAAAAGUUAUACAUAUAUCACAAUUCAUUUUAUAUAAUUUAAUACAAUUGAAUUAAAUGAAUCAUAAUUUUAAUAUUAAAUAUAUUUUAAAAUUAGGCAUAUUAUAAUCAAAUAUCACAAUAUUAUUAUGAAAUAAUAUUUGAUAUAAUUUAAUAAUAAAUGUACACUUAUCAAAUUCUUCAGCAAAACAAUUUUGAAAUGUCUAUUAUAUUUCUAAUUACAUUUUUAUAAGGUUUUUCUUACAUUCCUAUGAAUUUUGAUUAAUUUUAGGUCUAUCGAUAUUUUUUUUUCCAAAAUAUCUGUCGAUAUAUCUCUGAUAUAUCCGUAAUUACCAAUAUUUUUAUCCUUAAAAACAACACAACACCACUUGUACCAAAGGCAUAACACCCACUAAAUUUAGUUAAGUCAUUGAGGGACCCCCAAUUACUUUGAAAGAUUGGAAUGACACGUGGAACCACUUAUAUUCCAUGGAUUUCUUAUGUUAAUGGGAUUUUUUAAAAUUUUUAUUUGGUAAUUGUUGUGAGUAUUAAGUGGUAAGGUAUGACAAAUUUGAUGAGGACAUUCUUUACAUUUAGAGAUCCUAGCAUAUGGGUUCAAUUUGUCUUACUCUUCAUUAAGAAUUAACUUUCAAGGAAAUGUAGUUAAGGAUAUCAAAUGGAGGUAUUCUACAUCAAUUUUGAUCUAAAAAUUUAAGGUUCUAGUCAGGCUGAGCUUUUACCUAAAAUUAUUUAAAAACGUUUUAGGAUCAUGAAAUUAUCAAAAAGUUUAAGCUUUACUUUGAUUAUGACCAUCAUUACAAGUAAUUAUAUAGUACAUGUCUUUCAAAAUUUGUGAUAAAUCAAUAUUUCUUGAAUAUGUUUAUUAUAUUUGCUUCUUAUUAAAAUGCAUUAUAUAUAUAUAUAUAUAUAUAUUAUUUGAAUGUUUUGCUCAAAACUAGAUUUUUCUUUGGAUAUUGGUACUUAGGUAGUUAAUUAACUUCUUGUUAAAUCUUGUAAAUGGCAUGAUUAUGAAUGAUGAAUGUAUUUACUUUUAACGUUAUAAUACACCCUAGACCAAAUUUUUAUGAGACGAGGUACAAUUGGCAUCCAAAUAACCUAGUUAAUGUGCCAUGUGAAAAAAGGGUUGCAACACUAGCAAGUAGCUAAUAUAUAAUGUGAAUGUGCUUAGUAUCAUGUGAGGAAGGACACUCUUAUUGAAUUGCCAUGUGAUCAAUUAUGUUGAUGGCUAUGAUGAUGGGCACAUAUCAUUAUGUGUAUGAUAAUUUUUUUUAAUGUAACUAUGAUUUUUGAAGAUUUGAUUAGGCUAAUUAAUUUGAGAAGUUAAGGACACAAGUCCAUGAAAACCAAAAACUCACUAUUCACCUUAGCACUAUUUAUCAAGCUUAGAUUUACAAUUACAAGAGAAUUAUACAUUAUUAAUACGAUAAUGAUAUUUAAUGUCAUCAAUCUUCACUUAAUUAGAAUGAUUAAAGGUUGUUUACAUAGACUUCUUGUUUUUUAUUUUAAAAUUUGAGAUGGUACACUUUUUCUAUAUCUUAAUUUUUAAAAAUUCAUUAUCCUUUUAAGCUAAAUUUUUAAAAAUUCUUUGAUUUUAUAUUUCAUUUGUUUUAUGAAAGUAAAAAACAAGAAAUGCAUCCAAAUAACAUAUUUAUUAUUCACUCAUAACUGUUCUUUCCCAAAGUAUUAAAAAAAUUUGGAUUCACUAGAAUCAAUAAAUAUGGUAUUUUAAUCGUAAAUUUCAUAGGUCUUGAAUCAAUUUUUAAAGUAAUCAAUGAAUUAAAAUAACAAUGAAUUCAUUGCAAACUCAAGUCAAUGCUUAAUUAACCUCAAUUUGAAUAAUUAUUUUGAAUAUAUUUAAAUGAGUCACAAAAUUCUAAUAGCAAGUACAAACAGACCAUCAUCAAGUUGAAUGUAUUCAAGCCAAACAACCUCCAAACUUCCUUUCUCUUCUUAAUCUAUUUUAGAAUCUAAGGAAGAUAACAUUUCAUUAAUCUAUUUCAGGAACCCCAAAAUAUUGAAGAGUGAAAAUAUGCUUGCUUUCUUAGCAAAUACUGAAUCCUAAAUCUAUGCAUAUCUUAACUACAAAAGAUUUUAUUAGUGCUUUAAAUAAUCUUAAUUGCCAUAUAUUUAGAUUGUGAUGUUAUAUCAUUCAUCUUUUGUUUAUUAUCUUCCUCUCUGAUUUAAAUUACUUAUUAUUUUUAGCAAUUUUUUUUACAAUUAAUUUUCAUUUUUAUUAUCGAAAAAAUAAAGUAUUUUUAUUUUAAUACAAUGAGAGUAAAGUUCCCAUACUAAAAAAGUCUACAUAAACUUUAGGUAUACUGGACUCUUAGAAAGGCCUCUAUAUAAAUGCUUAGCCCAUCACUCUUAUUUUCUUGCCUCUAAAUUGCCAUGGAUGUAGGGCAUAGGAAGCCACAAGAAGCUAUUGGAGAUGGAGAAAACAAGACUUCUUCCUAGAAGAGUCUUUUUAGGACAUGACUUCAUACAUAAAUAUAGUAUCCUAGGCAUUUUUAGACUUAAGGACUGCCUUUUGGAUUGAUCAAUCGAGACAAGUGAGAUUCACCUUCUCCAAGAGAAGAGCGAGACCACCAUGAAAAGGCAUCUCACUUGGUGGGACUUGGUGUGGAUAAGGUUUAGAUCAGUCGUAGGGUUUUGCAUAUUCAUCAUCACUUGUUAGGAAGCUUGUAAUAGUGUAAGACUCGCCAUAUAUAGUAUUAUCUUAUGUCGCUUUGGGUCUCUCAUAUCGCUUUCCCUACUUUAUUACACAUAAUUCACAGUUGAAAUACCAGUCGUAAGAGAUCCUUUCUUUUAUCUUGAGUAGAAUUAAGUGAUUUUGUUACUGUAGAGAACCUUAAAUUACUUCAUUCCCUGUCCUAGUAUUAGGUUAGGUGCAUAUUCCUAAUACUCUAGAUCUAAGCACAAUGGAAACAUGGCAUUAAAAAACAAUAAUAAAUAUAGAUCUAAAGAUAGUGAAUCUUUACCUAAGAUUUAGAUAUUCCCAGACUGAUUCCUGUUGAUGUGAAAAACUCUAAAUCCAUAGAAGAUCCUGUAAACCCCCAAUCUCCCACCCUACUACUCUUCCUUGAAGCUUGAUACUCAGAUGGUAGAAGUCUCUAGAAAGAAGAAUGGUGGUAGAAGAUUGAAGCCUUAACCUAUAAGGGGUAUUUACAUGGUUCAUAUUGGGUUUAAGUAAUUUGAACCCAUUUUAAGCUUGAGUCACUUAAUCUAACCCAAAAAGGUCUUAAUUGAUUAAUUAAACCAUUAAAUAUUUAAUUAAUCAAUUAGCCCAUUUCAAAUAUGUCGUCUACUUAUUCCUAUGCAACCUUAUGUAAUUACCAAUAUGCCCUUAUGCACAUAGGUGAACUAAGAGCUGAUCCAACCCUCAUAAGUUGUGUUAUCAAGGUUAUGAACUUAAAUUAGGGACUAUUGGAACCCAUAGAAUAGUAUUUUCAUGGCUCUCUUAGAAUCAUACUUUAAAGUUGACUCAACAUCUCACUACAAUGAGUCAACUGCAAUCCUAUACCCCAUGUAUAGUAUAAUGAGAUACUAUAUGCUUGGGUUCGUGACCUACCAUCCACUAUAUAUGGUUUCCCCAUUAAUUGAUAUCUGUAAUCUAACAAGGUGAAAGUUAUUAACUUCUCAAAAUUACCUCUACUAUCCUUCAUUUAGAAGUCCUCAUAUUAUGUGAUCAACUAACAUGUCUUAACUCAUAAAGAGCUCAAGUUCCAAUUAAAGAACUACUAUGGUCAUAGUUGAUCUAAACGCAUGUCCUUAGGAUAACCCAAGGCAACACACUAUCUCAAUCCUAUGAGAUAUCAUGGUGCCUUAUUGAGAAUAUUGGUCGCUAUUGACUUAUAUCAAUUGUGACCUAAUCCCUAAGGAAUGUAUGAUUAUUUUAGGAUCUCAUCUAUAGGUUCAAGCAUAUGCUAACAGUGAUACCGACUCAAUAUUCUUUUCAAGUUGAGAUAAAUACAAUACAAUACAACAACUUAAUGAAAUUAUAACUACUAGAUAGCCUUAUGUUAUAACUCAUCGUAGGCUCUGUCCAAUAUAUAAUCUAUACACACUAAUGCACUCGUCAUAGGAACCACAUCCCGUUGACUAAGACUAAUCAUCCCUUUAAUUAGGAGGUAGUACACUACAACUUCAAAUAGAUUGCCUAAGUUCACAAAUUGAUUGUGAACAAAUCAUUUACUUGCAACAAGCUCAUGACUUGGAUCUUCUGUACAACUUUUAAUGCACCUAAGUCAUGUACAAUAUAUGAGAUGCAAGUCAAAACACUUAUAAAGAAUAAUGAAUGGAAUAAGGAUAGAUGAAAGUGCAACUGAAAUAUAAUAUAAAUAAAUAGUCAAUUCUAAAGUUUGUUACAUCAUGUAAUGCUUUGAAGGGCUCUAUCUUAAUAGUUGGGUUCAUUAUAGCUAGGAACAUUCUCUUAGACGCCAUUCUUGGGGCAACUAGGUGGGUGAUUAUUAAUCAUUUGUUGCUCACAUGCAGUAACCUUUAUAUUAUCAUGUAUUGCUUUAUUUUUUACUAUUGAUAAUGAUGUUAGUUGAUUGAGGUUUGUAAACCUCAAGUCAGUUGUGUGAGGCUUUACCUUUUAUUUGGAUCAUGAUCUUAUAUUGAGCAUGCUUAUUUUUUAAUACAAGGUUAUAAUAGUUUUAGGUUAUGUUUGGAAACUGUCUUUGGUUAGUGCAUUGAUAUUGAUGGGAGUGUUGAAAGUGGAAGUAGGCUAGAAGGUUGAACCACAAUAAAUCUUAGUGUUAUGUAAUUAAUUUUGUUGAAAUUGUUUUAAUUGCAUUUGGGAGCUUUCUUCAUAUUAUACUUUAGAUUAGCCCUAGGCUCUGGCUUCAAGAGAAAAAGACCUCUUCUUUUGUACUCUAUCUACCAAUGUGGCUUAUUGCACAUCUACUUCAAAAAACUCUAACCAUAGUUCAAAUUCAUAAUCAUAUAUAGAACAUAAUAGAUGAAUAUUAUUUAUUGGUAUUGCUAUUAUUAUUCCUUCCACAUUAUUAUUAUUAUUAUUAUUAAGCAUUUACAAUAUCAAUUCAUAAGCAUGUCCAUGGUUUUGCAUUUUCAUUCCAUGCAUUGGAAAUGAUAAAUCAACUUUCCUUAAUCUUUCAUUUUGUUUCACAUUUUAUUGGAUUGAAAAAUAUGUUAAUUUGAGCAUGGACUUAUUUAUUUAUUUAUUUAUUUUUUUUGCAUUUCUUAUUAAAAAUCUUGUAAAGAUAAAUAGCUAUCUGAAGUAAUAUUUAAGAAAAAAAAAAGAGAAAAAAAAAAAGCAUUCUUCCUUAUGAAUAUUAUAUACCUCUUUAACUUCUUCUCAAGAUUAUAUUCAUAUCUUUUUUAACUCAAUCAUAAAGGAAAAGUUGACUCCACUCUAAAUAUCUAUCAAUCAUAUGAGGAAAAAUUGACUAUGAUGAUGAAAAUCAUAGCUAAAUAUCCAAAAAUUACAUUAUUAACUUGCAAAAUUUAUCGUGCACUCACUAAAUUUUUUAAACAUUGAAAAUGUUAAUUUCAUGGUGUUAUCCUAUUUAAUUAAUUAACUAUUUCAUCAUAUAAACUUCUUAAAUAUAGAAAGAAGAUCAUUUCCUACCAUUAUCCUACUUAAGUACCAUAAUUUUUUAUCCUAUAAUCUUUUUUAAACAUAAUAAUCGCAUGGCGCUGUCCUAUUUAAUUAGACCACCAUUAAGCUGCCCAACAUCUCAUUCCUUUCAUUUCUAUCUUCUGAAAUAUUUUUUGUUCAUAAAGAUUUUUGGCCAUGUAGAAGAAGCGAGCCAAAAGCCAUGAAAAGGUUGAGAUGAGAAAGAUGAAUAAUGAAGAAGAUCGCCUUGUUUCCUUCUUGAAGCAUAGAUCUGGGAUCUACAGAAAGGCAAGUGAGCUUUUUACCCUUUGUGGUACAGAAGUUGGUAUUUUAGCUUUCUCCCCAAAUGGGGAGCCAUUCUCAUUUGGUCAUUGAUGCGACUCAUGGUAGCUUAGCUUUAAAGGCGUAUCAACAAAAUUUAUACCUUGAAUACUAUUACUAAAGUAGCCAAGCUACUAUAGCAUAGUGGUUCUAGGAUCAUUCACUGGGAAGGGUUUUCGCAAACACAAGUGAUAUUCAAAUUAGGAAAAUAGGUGAUUUUCUUAUGGAUGUUAGCUUAAAAAGAAGAUGUAAAUGUUUUAGAAAGAUUUAAACUAAUCUAAGCUAACAUUAAAGACUAAAAUGAAAGGGUGUAAAAACAAGUUUCUCAAAGAUAGGAUAGCUAUGCUCUGGCUCUUAUGCAAAUUGGAAAUCUCAGGAUAGGCUCCUCGCGUUGGGGUUGCAACUAUGGUGAUGCUUGCUUCCCGAACCGGUAUGGAUUUAGCAAAUCAAGUUUUAAUCCUUUAAAAUGACAAAACAGAUGGUAGUGAAUUUCAUCCAUGGUUAUUCACCUUAGACUUCCUUUGAAUGGCUCGUAAGAGAUAACUAAUGGUCUAAAGCCAAAAGCUUAUCAAAUAUUGGCAACUCAAAGUCAUUCCAGGUGAUAAACUCACCUUUCAAUGGCCAUUGAAAUUGGUUCUAACGGAUUAAUACAAAACUUGGAAUUGAAAACCUCACCUUCCAAUAGCUCGUAGGAGAUAACUAAUGGAUAGAAAUCCAAAAGCUUAUCAAGUAUUGGCCGUUGGAAGUUGUCCAAAGGAAAUAAAAACCAAACUUUGCAUUAAUGAACCUUUAAUGAAAAAGGACUACCUUACCUUCCGGGUGCGAGAAAUUUCCAUGGGAUUGCAUUCAAGUCAUCACAUAACAUCCAUACUUUGAGAAACUAAAAGUUUUAGCCAAUCAUCCUCUGAGGAAAAGCCCUCAGAGGCUGUUUGGCUUCCAAGAAAAUAGAAAUGGGGAAGAGAAAAGAGAAAUGAGAGAGCUCUGUAUAUAUUCUCUAAGUGUUAAACGUAAUAUCUAUUCUAUAUGAUCCAAGAGGUGAUUUCCACCCCUUAUAUAGUCUUUACAAAAGCAAAAGCUUGUGAUUGGUUAGUUACAAGGAUAAGAAAGGAAAUUACAUCACAAAAUACAAAGGAAAAUAUCUAAAGUGGAGUCGGCAAAAGCAGAGGAAAAUUCGCAACACGCAUGGGUUAUGCGAAUUUUGAAGGUGUUAUGCGAAAUUUUCGCAUAACCUGGAGCAGUUGGCUUCCGAAGGCCAUAUCUUCCUCAUUUCAGCUCCAAAUCGUACACGGUUAGAAGUGUUGGAUUCUUUACUUCCAGAGCUUUGAAAUGGUAUAUAGCAUAUAAAAAAUGGACUUCGGAAAGUGCUCCAAAAGUGUGAAAGAAGACUGCAGCUGCUGUCCUCUGUUUUCCUCUUCUCCAUUGUUCUUUCCUUGCAUACUUUGAACGACUUUGGCAAAGGGAUAUGGAGCUCCAAAGCUUGGUUCUUCAUGAAUUUGAGCUUCCAAAAGCUUUGCCAUAACUUGUCCAAGUAUCUCCUCCAUCAUUUGGCAUGCUUGAAUUGAUUCAUAAGCUGAUAAAAACAUGUAAACUUGCCACAAAAUGGUUAAAACCAAUUACUAAGGACCUUAAUGAAUUAAUUGGGUUAAAUGAAUAUGAUUACUACUCAAAGGUGCUUAAAACCAUUAUAAUUAGGUCUACAAAAUAGCACUUUUUGGUAGUAAUCAGUCAUCCAUGUAUCAAGUCAGUUACUAAUAAGCUUUUAAGUGAAAUACCAUACACCAUGUGAUGGAACCCAAAAUCUUCUUGAGCCUUACCAUCGUGUUAGGCUUAAUGAGCUUCACCAUAACUAUAAAGAAGCUUGCAAGCAAAAGAAAGCAGCCAAGGAGCAAGAAAAAAAAAAUCAAGAAAAAAAGCCUGAUCAAAGGCUGGUGGGAAGAACCUAUUAUUGAGCUUGAUAUGGAUGGUCUCAGGCGAAGGUCAGAUCUAAUUCAAAAGCUUCAUAAGCAUGUGCAACUCCAAAUCAAGGAGCUAUAGACCAUGGAAUCAUGUUCAACUUUACCAUCUAAUACCCAAACAGUUGGCCAUGGCCAUGCUAAAUAAAUGUGCUUUGUAUUAUUGAGAGUCUUGAACAUUUCAGUAUCAAACGAUAAUGGUUCAAUGCUUUUAUUUUUGAGUAAUGGGUUUUGUGUUGGAGUAGCCAAAAAUGUGAUAUUGAUUGAUUAAGCUUCCUUUUUCCCCACCGAAAAGAAGUCUUUUAAUAGUUGAUGUGGGUGACAUAUCAUGUGAUUCUUGUGUAGAUUCCUUAUCUUCAUAAUAGUAGGGUCGUUUUAUAUUUGUCUGGUUUUUGACCCUUGACUCUUGUGUGAUUUCCAUCUUAAUGAUCCUAGUAGAAACAGAUGAGCAUGAUGCUCUUGAGGGUUCAUAUUUUGAAAUUUUAGGAAUUCGAGAAUGACUGAAUGAAUUUGUUAAGCCCCAAAUUCUAAAAUUAAAGUUUAAUUAAAUUAACAUAGGCCAACUCAGACUUUUUGCACUUGAGAUGUGAAUUAAGGAAGAAUUUGGUGAAGUUUAAAGUUUGAGGGCAAACCUAAUUCACCUGUGUUAUUUAAGUUUUUGAACAAAGAAGUUCCCUAUAUUUGGAAGAAUUCAUGUUUUUCCUAUUCAUGGACUUUGUGUAUCGGAAAACUUACACAUUUUAACUCCAUGGCCAACCUUUGUAAAAAGAGUAUGCUUGUAUGGGUAUUUUUUUAAAUCUCUCAGAAAAAUAAGCAUCCAUAUGACUAUACUAAGCUCUCAGAGCUUGUUUUAGUCUAUAUAGUGCCUUUUUAUUUUUAUUUUUAUAAUUUAUGAACUUUAUGCUCACUUUUAGGCUUCGCAUACUCAAGAGGUUUAUCGAUAAAAACCUGUUCUUAUAGAUCACCAAGCAAAAAUACUGAUUUUACAUCUAGUUGGAAGAUAGACCAUGAGUUUUAAGAAGUCAAUGUAAUAAAUAGCUCGAUUGCAUCAUGUCUUGCAAUAGGAGUAAAAACUUCUUUAUAAUCCACACUAAACUCUUGUUUAUAGCCUUUAGCUACUAAGUGCACCUUAUUCUUGCCAUCUUUGUCAUUCUCCUUCAAUGUUGUCUUGUAUACCCAUUUGACACCAAUUUUUUGUGGUCUCUUGGAAGAUCAAUUUACUCCCAAGUGCUAUUUUGGUUAAUAAUUUCAGUUUGUCUUUCAUAGCCUUCCUCCACUUUGAAAGUUGUAGGAUUGAAAUAUGAAAAUAGAGCAAAAUGUGUAAGCAGGUUCUCAAUGGGUCAAUUUCUAUUUCCUUGUAAUCAAUCAUCCACAUAGGUCUUCUUCAACCAUGUUUUGUCCUUUGUUUAUCACCUCUUUAGCUGCAAUUGGGCUUUGAGCAUCAACAAGGACAUUUUUGGGUAACUUCGAGUUAUUGAACAUUUCCCAUAGGUUGUUGCCUUAUGCCAUCAUCAUCAAAAUCUAUUGGAAUACGUUUUUCAACACCAUUCUUGUUCCAAAACCAAGUUCAUUCUUAAUAAAAAAAAUAUCGUGACUAAUAAUGAUUUUCUUUAUGCUAAGAUUAUAUAGCUUAUAAGCCUUUGACUGAUCAUUAAUACCAAGACAAAUGCAUAUUUCUCCCUUGUCAUCUAGCUUUUUCCUCUUCUCAUCUAGAACAUGGACAUGGGUAUAGGCUAUGCAACUAAAAAUUCUAAAGUGUUAGGGUCUUCAUCUGUUCCAUGUUUCCUAUAGUGUUAUAUUUUGAACAAUAAAUGUUGUACUUCUCUUCAAAAUAUGAAUGCUCCAGUUGAUAAUGUUAGGCUAGAAACUCUUCAAAACUCUAAUCCUUGCCAAAAGACUUCACACCUCGUUAAGAAUCGUGCAAUUAUUCCUCUCGCAUACAUCAUUUUAUUGAGGCUAAUAGGCCUCUAUAAGUUGUCUUUUGAUGCCAUGAGUCUCAUAAAAAUUUGCAAAUUCAUAUGAGUUAUAAUCUCCCCCAUAAUUAGUGUACAAUAUUUUUAUUAAGCUAUUGACUUCUUUCUCAACAAGUGCUUUAUAAAGUUUAGAUGCUGCAGACACCUCAAAUUUUUCCUACAAAAAAUACACCUAAAAUUUUCGAUUAAAAUUAUCAAUGAAGGUAAUUAUGUAUCUUUUACCUCCAUUAUUUGGAAGAUGGAUUUAUUUGUCCAUAAAAGUUAGAAUAAGCCAACUCUAACGUCUUCUUUGUUCUCCAUGACUUUCCUUAUGGAGAUUGAUUGUGGUGUUGUUGGCUAACAACACAUAUUCAACAAAAACUUGUUGAGAGCAUUCAAUUUGAGAAAGCUUAAUCACCAUAUUUUUUUGCUGCAAUGUCUUGAGACCAACAAAGUUUAGACGCCCAUAACAAAAAUGCCAAAGCCAUGCUACAUCCUUCAAUUGAGUAGACACUACAAGAAAUUUCACCCUCUACCACAAAAUUUUUGGCCAUCAAUAUAAUUUCAUCUCUAAAGAUGAUAUUGGGAGACAAAAUUCAAGUUUGUUAUGAAAAUUUGUGUCUAAAGUUUUAAUUGAAUGUGACAUGAGGCCAAAUUAUUUGUGACGACAUCAUAAAUUUUAACAACAAAAUAUUUCAUGGUGAAAAAUAUAUUGGGAGACAAAAACCUAGUGUUGUCCCAAAAGGUAAAUAAUGGGUAACAAAAUUAUGUUGUUGUAAAAUAGUUUUGGAGAGAAAAAUCUUAACAAUGGGAGACAAAAAUAUUGUCCUAAUAUCACUAGAUGAAGGAACAAAGAAAAUUAUUGGGGAGGAAAUUGUUUUAUUGUAAAAACUCAAUAUUGGAGACAAAACUAUUUCAUCCCCAUUAAAAUGCAUUUUCCUUUUUCAAAAUGAAUUUAUCAUUUUUAAAUUUAUUUAUACUAUUGAAUACUUAACAUGAUUUAUUUGUUUUUUGAGAAAGUUUCAUAAUACUUUAAUAUUUAUGAAACAACACAAUUAUUAUUAAAGAAAGUAAAUAUUAUUUAGAAAUAAUGUGAUAUUGUCAUAUUAUAAUAUUAAUAUAAAUAUAAAUAUAAAUAUAUAUAUAGUAUUAAAAUUUAAAUAUAAUGACAAUUUUUAUUAUAUUUAAAUUUUAAUAUAUAUAUAUAUAUAUAUAUAUAUAUAUAUAUCAAUAUGUAAUAAUAUUUAAAUUUUAAUACUAUGUGUAAUAAAGUAAGAAUUUAAAAUUUUUUUAGCUAAUGUUGAAUCUUCAAUUCUGGAUAUCAUACUCAUGAUAUGUGAAAUGUAAUAUUUGUUUAAUAAAAAUAUUAUUUUAUUUAGUAUAUAACUUGAAAUUAUAUAUAAAAGAAUUUAAUAUGGAUUAAAUUAAUUACCUAAAAAAAAAAAGGGUUACAAUGUUUGGACCAUAAUAUUAUUAGUCUUCUUCUUGUUCUUGAGUACAAAAACACAAAGAUUAAUCUAGAAUGUAUAAUAUGGUAAAAUUCUAAUCAUAAUAUAUUUUAUUUUUAUAAUAUUUUAUUUUAUUAAUGAAUUUAUAAGAUAAUAACAUUUUUUUUGUAAAUUCUAUUAUAAUAUAACCAUCUAUUAUUCUUCUAAUCUUAUACUUCCUAUAAAAUAACUUUUUUUCUUUUUCUCUAAAUAAUAAUUUCAUUUUCAUGUAAAUACUUUGAACAAUCCUUAAUAAUAUAUAAUAAAAUAAAACAAAAAUAGAUUGAGAUUCAUUUCCAUGUUUAUAACUUGAUAUUUUAUAUAUCUAAAAAUGUUCAAUUAGGAAUUAGGAUUAAAUUGAUUAUAUUAUGCAAAAAUAAAAAAAUUAGUUACCAUGUGAGAACCCUAAUUUUAUUAAUCUUCCUUAUGUUAUUUACAGAUAAAAAUCAAUCCAAAUUGCGAAUGUACAAAUAAAAUAAUUUUAGUUAAUAGUAUAAACAUUUAUUACUUACCUACUUUUGUUGUUCCCAUAAAAUCAUCUCAUGUCUUUAUUUGUAAGUAAUUGAUUUCAAUGUCAAUAUUCUAAAUUAAAGUAUAAAAUAAAUUAAAAAAUAUUACAUUAAAAUAACUUAUUUUGUAUAUAAAUUUUUAUUUUAUAUAUCUAUAAAAGUCAAAUUUGGAUUAAAUUGAUUAUACAAAAAUAUAAAAAGGGGUUUGACAACCAUAACACUAUUAGUCUUCUUCGUAUUAAAGUAGAAAAAUGAAUCCAAACUCUAAAUGUAAAAGAUAAUGAAAUUUUAAUAGUAAGUUACAUUGGCUUUUUCAUAAUAUUAUAUUUUAUUAUAAUUCAUAUAUGAAUUUAUAAGAUAAUGACAUUUUAAUAAUGAUUUAUUUCAAUUCUUCUUUUUUUUUUCUUCUUAAUUUUCUAAUUGAUUUUUUUUUAAAAGAAAUAUAAAAAUUUAUAUAUGACUUAAAGUUGAUAAAAAAAAUUCAUUUCUCUUUUAAUAAUUUAACAAUAUAAUGUUUUACCAAUCUCAUCUUUUCUAUAAAAUCAUCUCAUUUCCUUAAUUUUUUUAUAGAUAUUUCUUAUGGUUAUUCUUUAGAAAAAAAAAUUCUAAUGUUAACUAUAUAAGACAAUAAACUUAUAUUUUUAAAAAUUAAUCCUUUAUAAAAAAAGACUUUUAUAAAAGUUUUAGUUAAUUCUAUAAUAGUAUAAGUAUCUAUUAUUUACGCAAUCUUGUUGUAGACCCCCUUUGGUGGUAAAAGGCUCGGGGGGAGGUGAUUUCGAAAGACUUCUCAUUAUAUUUAGAAGGGGUAGGGGACCCCUAGCGGCUGAAGGAUGGACCCCUUCUCUAGGCACGGACGUGCAGCUGCAGGGGGGCGGUUGCAAGCCCAUGCUUGCUGAUGCAUGAACAGGGGAGGUGGGUGAUGGUUGGCUGAAGAGAGAAAACAGAGAAGAAGACGUCUACGAGGGGGGUGGUUUUUGCAGGAGAGACGACUAGUGAAGGAGGAGGAAGGAUCUUUCUGCUGAUAGCUUGUAAGUAUUGCUCUGUUUCAACUCCCUUUCACAUUUCCUUAUUCUUUUGUUGCAAAAUGAUUCAUGUUUGGUCCCAAGGUGGUGAUUGAUAGUCAUGCAUUAGUUUAUUUUCCGUUCGUUCUAUUGGUUUUUCAAUCUGUUGAUGAUGCAUGAAGUGAGGUUACAACAAUUAAAUCCUCAGACCUCUCAUCCUUGCUCGGUUUCUUAGCGAUCUCUUUCUCCAUACUUCUUAUGCUACCAACCCCCUGCUCAUGCACACGUGGACUGCACACCCACUCCUACCCUCCAUUUUCCCUUCUCAUUUUCCUCUCGUUCUUCUCACUCCUCAAAACACCAGAAGUAGACGUCUACCAGGAUAGCAGCCGAAGAUGCUCAAAACUUCAAUCCCCAUUUCGAGCCUACCGCCAAAGCUCCAAAAAUCCUAGCAAAUGGAGAGCCUCCGAUGCAGUUCUGAGAGCACGAGGCUCUCUUGCGGCGCUCCGGCGAGUCCCAUGCAUCUCGCGUUCCACGUGAAGGCGUCGCCAUCAACUCUCCCCUCACCGUCGCCGCCCUUUGAAAACACUCUACCCAGCCCGCCCGCUACACACUACAAGGAAAAUGUCAAAAGAUGACGCUUUUUAAGUGUCAAGAUAGAUAUAAGAUGACGCUUUUUAAAAGCGUCAUAUAUUAGACUGUCAUCUUUUUAAAUCGCAUACGUUGACACUUUUUAGAAGCGUCAUCUUCUUUGCACGUCAACCAUGACGCUCAUAGUAAGUGUCAUUAUUUGAAAUAUUGACGCUUUAUAAGUGUCAUCAUAUGUUAAUAAUUUCAUUCAUGUCAAUAUUGACACUCAAUGAAGUGUCAUUGUAUAGGUAGAAGCAACAUUGACACUCAAUAUAAGUGUCAUCUUAUAACUUUUUAUUUGUAGGAGCAACGUUGACACUUAAUAAAGCGUCAUUGUAUAAGUAGAAGCAACAUUGACACUCAAUAUAAGUGUCAUCUUAUAGCUUUUUUAUUUGUAGGAGCAACAUUGACACUCAUAAUAAGUGUCAUCGUAUAGCAUUUUAUACCUUGACACUAAAAAAAAUGCCAUGUUUUUUUAACAUCAACCUUGACGCUUUUGAGAGGUGUCAUCUUCUGUUUAUUCAAGUAAAGCAUGAUGCUUUAAAAAAGCGUCAUCUUAUCUCAUAUAAAAUUUUAAUAGCCCAGAAAUUAAAAUGUCCUAAUUAUGCCCUGUUUUAUAAUUUUCUAUCAACAAUUAAAUUAAUAAUAAAAACUUAAUUUAAGAAUCUCCAUUGACAAAAAGGAUCAAAUAUGGUCUUCCUUUUUCACUAUUACAAUUUAUCCAUAAACAUCAUAUAUAAUCAACAACUAAAACCAACAAUUUUACAACUUCUUCUUCUCAACUUUGAAUUGUUCAUAACCUUCACUACAUCUAGUUUUACAUCAUUUUUCUUCCAAGUGCAAAAGGAUGGUUGUAACUCACUUUCUAGAUGCUCAAUCUGCAAAAUAAUUGAGAGGGUUACAUAUUUAUUAGUAUUAACAAAUAGUUAAGAAGCAACUUUGUAAAUGAAAUGUGUAUAUGCCAAUUUUUAAAUUUCCAAAAUAUCUUUCUUCCAUUGCAAUAAAUUUCAAAAUAUCAAAAGAACUCAACAAACUCCAAUAAUUUUAUUACACCAAAUUUCUAAAUAUUUUAGAACUCUCAUUCUAUUUUUUUUUUUUAAAAAAAAGUUUUUAUCUCAUUGACUAUUUUGGUAUGAUUUUUAUCUUAUUUAUGAAACUUCAACCAUUAACAUCUUCUCAUUCUUCUUAUAGGUUGUACAAGACAUUAGAUGUUUUGCAUGAGAAGAAACUAAGGAAUGAAAAAAAAAAACAAAAAAAACUAGAAGUCCGAAAAAUUGUAAAAUUGUAAAUUAACAUAUUUAUGUAAAAUUAUAAAAUUGUGUUAAAAUAUCUAUGUUCUUCUUAUUGUAUUAGUAUAUCAACAUUUAAUAACAUGAGGAUAUCUAUUAUCUAAAUAUGGAACUUGCAUGAAAUGAUCUCUAAACAUGGAAUUGAUUCAUAAAACUUACAAUAACCACAUGUUACCUCAAAAUUCUUUUGAUGAUAUAUUUUGAAUUGUUUGUGGGUGUCCUUCAUCAAGAGUAGAAGUGAUGUUGUUAAUAGAAUGACCUAUGCCUUUUUGUACAACCUGAAGAAUAUAUAAUAAACAAUUUAACAACCAAUUAGUAAGAGGUGCUAUUUCCUUCCAUAGGCUUAUUUGUAAGAAGUCUUAAACUAACUUCCUAUUUUUUAAGUAAAAGAAAAUGGAAGUACAAGAUAUUAUAGACUUUAAGCCCAUUAGUAUAGUAGGAGACCUUUAUAAAUUUAGAUUAAAGAAGUUUAUAAAGCUAGUAAUCUUAAAGACCAAAAAUGCUUUUGUAGAGAAUAGACAAAUUCCUAAUUCAUGCACAUGUAAUGAAACUAAAGGCUCUACGAAAAUGAGCUUGGACAUGUAGGAAUUUUUGUAGCUAUGCUAUUGUAGGAUUUCUCCAAAUCUAACUGAUAAUAAUUUGUAGAGGAAAUAUACAAAAGUUGUUACACCUACCAUGUCUACUUGGCUUCACCUCUCAAUAUGCCAACUAUACAUCAAUCAUAAUAGAGCAACCCCCAAAAUGAUCCAUAUUGAAAACACUGCCAACUAGAAGUACAAAGAUAUACAUUAACAAAUUAUCAUUGUGAAUAAAUCCAUUAUAAAAUUAACAUUAACAAAAUAUUGACUACAUCUUUAAAAGAAUAUGAAGUUGUAUUAGACUAUAAGUUAUAAGAGGUACCUUCAAACAUGAGUAAUGAUUAACUGAGUCACUAACAUAACCCAAUCUGAUUGAACUUCAUUAAUUUCCAUUUCACUAUAUGAUUUCUUCCCGCAAAACUGAAUUGGAGUGACAUAUACAAUUCACUAAGUUCAAUUGACCAAAAAAAAAAAAAAAAUGCUAUAGUAAAAUGACCAACCAUAUGAAUUGAAUUGAGUGCAAACCUUUGAUGUUAGUUGGUUUGGAUUAGCAAUGAUUUCCUUCAUAUAUCUCAUCACGUAAUACCCACAUUCCACACUACCUGGUUGUCUUGGGCACUAUGGGAAAAGUAUCAACAAUUGCAAUAAACACUAGAAUGAUGUUCUUACUUCUUUAGCAUCUUAUUGAUGAUCAUAUUAAUAACCAUCCAUUUUCUAAUUUUGUCAUAAAUUAAGUGGUGAAGCAAUAUAUUUUAAUCUAAACAAAUAAGUACUUACAACCACUUUCACCCAAGUUGGCUCCCUCUUUGAUGUUUUCUGUUUUUCCGGUGGGUUGAUUCUCAUUGCCCUACAAAAAGAAUUAAAAAGAUGUUAUAUAGACACUAUCAAUUGUAUUAAAAUAGGAGAAAAUAUAUACUUACAUGUUAACUAUGUCCUUAAGAUCAUCACAUGGUUGACAGGCCAUUGGAUUAAGGUAAUAUGCAAUCAUUUUCUUCAUCUCCAAUGCCACUAACACCCAAUGGAAACUAAAGAAAAGAAAUGAAAAUUGUAAUAUAGUAUCCACAAAUUCAAACAUCACAAACUAACUUACAAACACCAUAUUGAUAUUUAGGAUAAAAGGUUACUCUGGGUUGUAUGGAAUAAGCAUAUAUUCAGCAUGCUUUGUAUUCUUUAGUCGAUCUGCAAUAACCCUUGACCUGUUUUCCUUGCUUCCCUCUCCCAUUCCAGCUUUUGAGACCAAUACUGGAUUGACAAAAACAUAUCGUUCGGCCUGCUAUGCAUCAAUCAACUUUCUAUGCAAAUGCUUGAUUAUAACCCACAUGACAAGUUAUCAACAAUCAUUAUAGGUCAUUAGAAAAUAACCUUCUAUCUCAUAAUCUUGUGAAAAGUCAUUCAAAAAUUAUAAAAUCCCUUACCAAAUGUAGUAUAAAAUACAAUUGGAUGACACUUCUUUUGAUGAUAUUAUCAUUUCCAUAUCUUCUUUCAUCAUGAAGGUCUUGAAACUCUCACCAAAAACAUCAUCUGGGAAGUUUAUAGGGUAUGUUCUUGAUGUACUCAGAAUGAGGCCAACCAAUGUCUCAAAAUUUUUCAUAUCUUGUGGUUUUUCACCCUUGGAUUUGACUUCAACUUCAUUUACUUUUUGUUUCUUUGCUUUCUUAGAUGCUUGUACAAUUAAGAACCAUGGUACAAAUCAAAUUAACUAGUUUAUAUAUAUAUAAAGUCACUAUAAACUUUGGUAAUUAAAUUUACUUACUAAGAUGGGAGUACGGAUGAUGACCAAAUUAGUUGGCCACAAAACUUGGUAACCAAUUGCAGCCCCAACAGUAGUAGUUUGUCCAGGAAUAGGAAUGGGAAGGGGUGCACUUGAAUCAUAAGGAGCAUCAACAACUACUAAAUAGUUGGGACCACAUUCAAGUAUAAUUGUUCCACCUGCCACUAUAUUUUCCUUGGUGCCUAUGGCUGUAGACCCCCAUUUUGGGAACCUCACUUUUGUGCAUAUUUUGCAGCUCUUUUUGCCAGGUGUCGCAGCUGUGAGCAGCCACGUGUCGACUCCCGUCUGGUUGCUAUGGCAUCAGAUGGUGGAAUCAAGGAGCAAAUAAGAGGUUGACACGUGUAAAGGAGAUUUUGCAGGCGGUUAGGAGGAGCGUAUGAGAGAGGGGAUAUUCUGCAGAAAGUGAGGUUGCUUUUGGGAGGUUGGUUAGGAGAUAUAUUCUAGGAGGGCAUAUCCGGGAGAGAACAAAAAUAAGAGAAAAGGGGAUUGGUUGGUGGAAAGGGGCUGCAGAGUGUAGUGGUGCUGGUGGCUGUUGCUGCAAAGAUGGUUGGAGGGGCAAAUCCGGGAGAGAAAAGAGAUAUCGCCUAGAAGAGGAAGGCAGCUAGGAAGGGAUGCAGGGGGGUGGAGAGUCUGUUAGAGGGGGAGCGUCUCUUGCAAGUGGGCAGGAUUUUCAUGCUGGUCUGAGAGAUUUUUCAGGCAGGGUGAGUGGAGAUAUUGAUUUUUGAGGGGAAGAGGAGAAGAUCUUUUGAGCUGAGGAAGGUAGCAGGCUGCUAAGGAUUUGGAGAGGGGAGAGCUUUUGUUUGGGUGUUUUUUUUGGGAGAAAGGAUUCUGGAGAGGAAGCAGUAAAGCUUCUUUUGUGAGAGAGAACGAGGGAGAGAGAACAGAGAAGGUGGGGGCAAAGAGCGAGAGGGGGAGCUUGGGAGAGUAUUCGUUUGGUGUGGAGCAGCAAACUGUGAGGGAGAAGUUGGAAGCUGCAAGAAAUGUGAGUUUUUGGAGAGCUUAGAGAGUGAUAUUUCUUUAGGGCAUUGCUUGACAAGCAAGCCGGACAGGAGAAGAAGUUUUCUUAGAGCUUGAGGAGAGCUCAGAGAGAAAACCAGAGGGAACUUGCUGGUGAGAAUAGGAGGGGAUAUCUUUUUCUUUUCUAGAGGUAGCAGAGUGGAGAGGAAACAAGUUUGAAGGUAAGCAUCUCGGGAGUAAAAGGACUUCCUCAGGUAUGAUUGCUAUAGGCUUAUUGAUUGUUUUUGGCUGUUUAUCACUCUCAUAUGUCUCUUGUUGAUAUUUGAAUAUUUGUUGAUUUGCUUGGGGUGGAUAAUGGAGGCCACUUAUUGCUUGUUGAAAUAUAAUCCUGCCUACAUGUUUACCACUGUUAACCUUAGUGUGUUUUGCUCCUAUUAUGAAAAUGCCCAUAGUUGCCUUUGAAAUGUUGUUUCUCACCUAAUCAGAGGGUUCACGGAUGACUCAUGAAGUGAAACCUCUGAAAAUCACCUUUACUCAUUUUCUUUUGCGUUCUUUUCAAUGGCCUUUUUCUUUGUUGUGACCAAUACUUUGCUUCUGGGCCUCGUUCAAUGUAAUGGUUGUAAAAAAAAGUAGAUCUGGGUCUGGCUGUGUACUCAUUCAGAGAUCAAAUAUGUUGGGAAGAGACUAUGAUUGGGUGAUGAGAUUCUACUAUGAGGUUCAAGGGAGGUUCAAUCGGUUCAAUGAUGCCACUCUGAAUUUGUUGAUAUCCUAUGUGUGUAGAAGAGAUGCUCAGUGGGACUCCUUUGGGUAUCAAAACUCUGUUUCUCCCAGAUAUCAGUGGCAUGCUUAAAGGUAUAUUAUCAAGUCCUGGCCUGGUUGUAAGUAUAUCUAUUUCAUCUGCUGGAUUCUUGCGAAGAAAUCUCCCUCUAGUAGUUCUGGGAAAUGGGAAGACGUCAAUGGGAAUGUGUCUGUGGUUUCUGCUCAUGAGAAUAUAUUGAGUGAUCAGCCUGAGUUGCUGCAGCGACUUGGAAAGGACCUUUCUUUUGUUCCAAUACUGAUCUAUGACCCAUUGAUAGAAGUCUACUUGGCAGAUUUUUGAAGAUGGAGAGGCUCGAAAACCAUCUAUGCAUACUGAUGUAGGUCCCGUGUCUGAGACAAGAGGUGCAGAAAAUACCGAUUAUGCUGAUUUUAAUAAUAAAAACGGUGGGAUUUCUUGGGUCUUUAUUGUGAUGGUUGCCCUAUGUCACUCCCUCAUGAGGAAGAAGACACCAAAACAGAAUAUCUCGGUGAAAUGAAUUAUGGUAUCAGCAGGGAAUGUCUCAAUGUCGUUACUGAUGAGUAAACUGACAUGGUUGCUGAGAAAGGCGUUUGUUUCGACAAGUCAACAACAGUUGAAAUCCUGGAAGCUGUUCAUAAUCCCUGUCCCGUGGCAUUUGAAUACCCAAGGCACCUGUCACUAAGCCAACCUCAUGACUCCCCAUCCGUAGUCCUACAGCCGCAAGUGUUGUUCCAUUCUUGCAUGGUCACUCACCAAAGUUUCCCUCUCCAUUGAAUCCAAAUAUCCUCACACCAAUCAAGCCCACCCACUAAUCCAAUCCAUCUUUCAUCCAUCCCACUCUCUACCCUACACGCAUGGCAAACCCAUUUUUUUCUUAAUAUCCAUCUAAACCCAUCUCUCACUCAUGUUCGUGUCUUACCCACGUUCCAGCUCACUACAUUUCUUCAUACCCAUUGCCUAUAGCCAUACCCAUAUUUCAUAAUCUCCCAUGCAUGUUCAUUUCUUGAAAACCCAUUAAACCCUCUGAACCCAUAUUUGUUUGGCCAUGUAUGGCCAUACAAGACGUUUCCACCAAGCUCAUUAUCCCUGGAUAUUCAUAUCCGUUUCCUGUAGUUGGGCACUUGUCCCAAUUCACGUGACUUCAAUGGAGGCUGUGUUGAUGGAAGAUGUCAUUGCUUUCUUGGAUUUCAUGGUCAUGAUUGCAGUGUAUACGAAUGGAUGCUUGGGCAUGAUAACUGCCUAUAGAAGGUCUAAGCCAUAUGCAGAUCCUGAUGCAAAGAAGAUUGAUGAUCAGGGUGAUGAGGAAGUGCCCAACAAGAUGCCGAGGAAUCCAAGAAGCUGCUACCAUACCCAUGUCACCAUGCCUUACAAAUCCACUCCGUUUCUCCACCACCUUUAUGGAUUCUACACCAUCACCUAUCUAUACUCAAACCGUUGCCCCAUUUCUCUCACUAAAUCCCGCCACCCAGUCCACUCAUUGAUUGAGGAGACCAUACCCAUAUGCAUGAUCGUUUUAACGCAUGCAUGACCUUCUUGAAAGACACGAAGAUGUUUGGCGCGCCUAGAGCUUGACUGGCCACAUGUGAUGAGAUUCUUCUUUGCUGCCUUCGUCACGAUGAAGCUGUGAGCAUGAUGAGAAACCUCUUUGAUCAGCGCGAAUUAGUUAGAUAUGAUGACGAGUGUAGUCUAUCACACAGAGCAACUUGUUAUUCUAGUUUGUACAAAUCGUAACAUCAAUAUGGGAAGGUAUUUAUGUGAAAGGAAGCUGCAGGUUGUGAAAUAUUAACAUUGGUCCAAAUGUAAGUGAUCCUGGCUAUUUAGAUUUGGUAAGAAUCCGCUUGCUUCAAAAGAUACAGGUGAGGGAAUGUGCUGAGUUACUUGGGAUAAGUCUAUCAUUUAGAGUCCCAUUUGAGAUUGUGGGUGAUGUCAUGCUUAUGCAACUCUCCUGCAUUCAGCAAAGAGACAAAUCAAUUGUGGAAACUCCAAGGUAGACGUCACGUGGCGCAUUGAUAGAUAUUUGUGGAGUUUUUCAACUAGUUCAAAGGUGUCAUUGCAUGAAGAAUAACUGUAGCCAAGGAAAGGGCUGAUCUGGACGUUCUCUAUAUCAGAGCAUCAAAAUGGGAAUAUCAAGGUGCCGCUAACACACUCAUCACUAUCAUGUUUGCACAAUCAAAAGAGGAUGGAGUCGACCUAAUCGAACACGGACAGACCCAGACUGAAGACUUGCUGAGAACAGAGGCUCAGGCUUUGGGGUUAAGGUAAUUUCAAUAUGCCUAGGGAUUCUCAUUUGUGCCACUCAGACUCAAAAUAACCUCUGUAAGAAAGGAAGAGGGAUGAGAAAGCUGGCUACAGAGAUUCAAAGGAGAGUCACUACGAUUCAAGCUUCUUGGAUAACAUGCUGUUCAGAGAGUUUGCCAUAGAGUUUUGAGUUUUUGUUGUGAAAAGAUGGAUGAGAAUAUGUCGGUUGGUUGUGAGUAAGAAUUUCUAUGCUCGGCAUGCCAAGUCAGUAAUAGUUGAAGAUGGGAUCUAAAGGGCAAGCAAGGCUCAUAGCAUCGUGGCCUGAUUCAGUGACUAUUCUGGCAUCCAGUCAAACCUUCAGGGCAUGUAUCGCAUGGUCACCUUCAGGCAUACUACUUUGCCCAUGUGUCCUUCUCACUUCCUCCUUUCAUCUAUUUUAAAAAAAUAAUUUCCCACACUCUCAUUCCUCAAAAAUAAUUUUUCAAUUUCCAUUUUGUAAAUAACUCUUCAAAUUUUGAUUUUCAGAUAAAUUUCAACUCUCCUCCUUCAUCCUUAGAACCCCUUUGGUUCCAAAGUCUCUUUUUCCAAUAAAUCUUUGUUGCCAUAUUUCCUUUCGGCAUACAAUUUUCACAAUUCUUUUGUUUUUUAAAAUGUUUUAAAAUAAGCUAAAAUCAAAUUCCAUAAUUCUAAGUGAUAGAGUUUGCGGAAUUGAUUUAUGCAAAAAUGAAUCGGGCUUUGAUGGAGGCCCCACAUAUUUGACUUCAUGAUUGAUUGACUGAUUGAUAGAUUUAUUUGCCAUGCUUGAUUGGUUUACUCUAUUCCUUGAUAUGCGCUUAAUUAUAUCUGUUCAUUGUUCACUAAUCAUGUUUCAUGAUAGCGCGUUCGUGAUUGCCGCCCAGGUGCGCAUCUAUUCAUAUUUCGCCUAUUCUUUAUACAUGCUUUACUUCUCAUAUUGUGCAUGAUCAAUUUGAGUAUUCAUCAAUUUUCUCAUUGAUUGCCAUGUUAGCUUCAUUCUAUUAGUAGAGACCCGACUUUAGGGACUUAGAGGGGUGCUACGGUUUUUACCGUACCUUCCCGAUAAGUAACCUGACCCCCGAACCCGAUCCGGUUUUUCACAGACCGCCUUUUCCAAAAUAAGGAGUCACACUUAGGGUUUUUCUUUCUUAUUUUGUUUACCCUUUAAAAAUAAAACAAAAAUAAGUGGCGACUCCAAGUCAUUUUUCUUAAUCAAAUAAAAUCAAUUUUUCAAAUAAAAAUCGAGCUCGCCAUCGAGUGGGAAACGCAUUGAGCCGAAAAUGCGGGGUCCACAAUGGCCAGCUCACAUUUUCUAACCUACAAAACUCAAUUCACAAUAAUCACUUCAAUAUUAGUGGGUUUAUACAAAACUAACAUAAAUGCAUUAUCAUCAUCAAUCACCUUAUAGCUCCUAUUACAAUGAUAAAUGCAAUUUCAUUUACAUUCAAUUGCAACAAACUUGCAUGAUAACAUUUCAGUCCAUUGCAUAUAACUCAACCCAUAAUUUAGACAUAUCCUAUUAUAUGUUGCCACAUCAAAGAAGACCAUAUAUGUUGCCACCAACAUUUGAAGUCAAUUCAAACAACAAAAUUAAAUUAAAUUAUUUCUCGUAUUAGAGGAAACUUUGUCAUCAAAUUAGCUUAAUUGAAUAAAUACCUUCUUCUGUGGUUCUAUUGCUUCUGGUGGGGUCACAUCUUCAACUUUACGGAUUGCCUUAUCCACUGCUUCUGGUAGGAGAAGUUGUUUUUGCUUCAUGUUUGAACUACUAACAUCAGAUUGGGGAGUAACAACUCCUACUUGAGUCAGUUUUGCUAGCACUUCUGCCUGAAAUAUUCUUUGUUCUUCUUUAGAUGCUGCUAUGAAAUCCCUGACAGCACGAUCUACAGCACUAUUGAAAUAUUGGCGAGGUGUGUAGUGCUUCCCUUUGGCCCUAACUCGACCACUAUACUCAGGAGUACCCAAUGCUUCCACAAGUAUAUCAUUACUUCCACUAACACUUCUACCAUUCUCUUGAGACACUUUCAAUAGCUUGUCCUUAAAAAAUAUUAAUUAUAAAGUUAAAUUGCAAAUUUGUUAUUGUAAAUAACUUAUUAUAAAUAUAUGUAAUUAAAAUUGAAAAAUAUUCACUUACUAUUUUCUCAAUUACUGGUAUGGCCACUUCAUCAAAGGUGUCGUCCUUUUUUUCCCUUGCUUUCUUCCAUAAUAUGCUUCGAUCAAUAGUUUCAGUUGAUCCACUUGCAACCAUCUUUCAAAAUAGGACAAUGUAUAAUAUAAUUAUCAUAUAACCCUAUUAUGUAUUAUGCAUAAAAUAAAUAAAAAACAAUUAAUAGGCUUAUACUUACCAUCUCUUCCUCAAGACCGGCAUAUCCUUUCCUACUUAGAUGGUGAUUAUAAAUGUUUCUCUUUCUUCUUUCUUUUUGAAUUUCUCGAUAUUCCUAUAAAUUAAAAUUUUAUAAUUAAUGAAUGUGAAUAAGAGGUAUGUAAAGAGUCUUAAUUAUACCUUAAAGUUGUCAGACAAUCUAUCUUUGACAAAUAUUGUCCAAUCUUCAUCCUCAAUAAAAGUAUAUUGAAUUGGUGGUCUUUUGAGGAGCUCCGGUUGGUCUUCGAAAGGAAGAAUGUACUUCACUGUUAGCAAGUUCUUAAAGGACCAAAAGCAUUUUCCCAUUGUUACCAUACAAUUCCUCCUGCUUUUAUGAUUUAAUGAAAAAGCAGUUUGCACAUUAAUACCAAACUUUAGUAAUUUCAAGAGGUUAAGAAUGAUAGACAUUUUGCAUCAAAGUGAUUUAAAUAAGAAAUGGUUACCUCAAUGUUGUCCCAUAACUUAUCCUUCAACUGUUUAGGUACAACAUGCCAAUUUUUAUAUCUUAUUGGCACCAUAGUGCGUGCUAACACGCCUAAGUAGCUUGUUAGAUGAACUGCUGAUUCUCCUAUGAAAAUGCCAUCAAGAUUGUACUUAACCGGCAACUUAACCCCCUUGCUUCUGUUUUUUAUAAUCAUAUGCUUCUGUGUCAUCCCUCUGUACUUCCUUUUUAUGGGUUUUUCUCCUUUCUUUGUCUCCAUUCUUGUAACAAAAAAAAAAUAAAAAAUGAUAAAGAUUAGUUAAAAUUAUAUUGCAUAUAACCUAGUCAAAGAAUAAUUGUAAAACAUAACUUUUCAAAGAAACAAAUCCAUAAUCAUUGUACAAUGAAAUGCAAUAGAUCAUGAAUUCAAUAGAUCUUUUUAGAAUUGUUCAUCAUAUAACAAGGAUAACACUUCAUUUAAACUUUUUUUUGUCCCGUUUUGUUUAACAUUUCAUUUAUUUUAAGCAACCCAAGGGCCUUUGUAUAAGAAAGCUAAAUUUGCAGUAGGAAUUUCCUAUAAGAAUCAACAUGGAAGGAGCACGUGGUUUCAACAAGUUCAUCAAGUCCAUAAGAACUUAUGAAAGCUUUUGGACUAUCGGUUUGCGUUACAUUAAGUUUGGAAAACACAACAUGCAUAUUGAUAAUAAAAAAUUUCAUAAUUUUUUUACUCACAAACAUAACUAAUUUAGUAUCUUCCAUGCACAAUUUAGGGAAAAGGUUUUAGUAAAUAUGUUAUUGGGAGAUGUUAAAGAAUGGUCAAUAUUUUGUGCAAAAAAAUAAAGAAAGGAUAAAAAUUACCUAUUUUGUGGCUGUUGCAACCCAUUCCAUGGCCUUUAUUCAUACAUUAGCAUUAAAAUACAGCUACAUAGAGGAUUUGUUCUCAAUCCAAAUCCCCUCACAAUCGCCUCGCAUACAUGUUGCAUCUGAGUCAUCCAUUACAUCAAGCGCUUCAAUUUGUGGCAAUGCCCCUAUAAAGGGAUGGUGUUUAAUCGAAUUGUCAACAAAGUCUUCACCUCCUUCCAUAUCCAAGAAAUCUUUUUGAGGAGUUGACAAAACAACUGACCAUCUUGGAUCAAGUUGGUCUUGCACAUAAAAUACUUGCUUAGCUUGGGAUGCCAAAAUGAAAGGAUCUGAUUUAUGAGCAAUUUUGCUAAAGUCAACUAAUGUAAAGCCAAGAUCAUCAACUUUUAUGCCAUUUUUAUUAUCAACCCUAUCACACUUGAAAACUGGUAUCCUAAACAUGGUAUAAUCAAGGUCCCAGAUCUCGGUAAUAAUGCCAUAGAAACAAAGCUCACCAAACACUGGAUUUUGAUCAUUUGCACUUGCGAUUUGCAUUGUUGAAGCUACAAUACUAACUCCACUAUUUUGGGUAGUUCGUAAGUCAUCUCGUUCCUUGGUAUGGUAUCGACACCCAUUAAUGACAUAUCCAUGAUAUUUAGAGACAUAAUAGCUAGGACCAUGAGCUAUCCACUUAAGGGUUUCAGAUAUAGGUUCAUUAUUACCAAUUGCAGCUUCAAUAUGUAAUUAUAAAUAAUAGUUAUUAUGUAUGUUAAACAUUAGUAAAAAGAAUACUUCACAUUUUAACACCAUUCCAAUACCUUUUUUCUCAACCAAUAAGUAAAAGUCCGCAGGUGUUCAUCCUGGAGCCACUUUUGUCUUUUUGAUUGACGAGGAUUUUUCAAUUUCAACCAUUCCAUGUGCUCUCUAUGUAAUUAUUUAUAAGAAAUUCAAAGUUAAUGUCUUAAAGUUAUUUUAAGUAUCAGACACAAAUAUUAAGUGUUAGUGGUUCUUACUCAAUAUAAGGUUGAACAAUAGUUGUAUUCUUUAAAACAUAAUGAUGUGCAUGUAACCACAAAUUGGAAUCAAUUGUCACAACUUGACCUCCAAGUAUUGGUGCCCCAACUUUUUGGUCAAUGUUUGCACUAAUAGGAAUCCCAAUCGCAUCCACAUUUGACAAAUACUCUAUACAAAAUUCAACAGCUUUCUCUGCAAUAUAGCAUUUAGCGAUACAACCUUCGGGCCGAUUACGGUUUCGUACAUACCCUUUCAAAACUUUCAUGAAUCUUUCAAAUGGGUACAUCCACCUUAGGUAAACUGGUCCACAAAGUCUCACCUCCCUUACAAGAUGUACAGUAAAAUGAAGCAUGAUAUCAAAGAAGGAAGGUGGAAAGUACUUCUCAAGCAAGCAUAAUGUCACCACCAAAUCAUUUUGUAACUUAUCCAGUGCAGACACAUCAACCACUUUGCUACAUAGAGCAUUGAAAAAAAACUCAAUCUACAAAUAGCAUGCCUUACAUGCUUUGGAAAAAGGGAUCGUAAUGACAUUGGCAAUAACUGUUGCAUUAAUGUAUGAUAGUCAUGCGAUUUAAGACCAUAAAGCUUCAAGUCUUCCAUUGACACAAGGUUUCUCAUGUUAGAGCAAUAACCUUCAGGAACCUUUAAUUGUGAUAAAGUUUGGCAAAAAACCUUUUUCUCCACUUUAGAUAACGUAUAACAUGCAGGUGGGAGAUAAGUUCGAUUUGAUUCAAACCUUGGCCCUAAUUCACACCUUAAGCCCAUCUCUAGCAAGUCUAGGCGAGAAUUAAGUCCAUCUUUCGUCUUACCUGGAAUGUUGAGUAAGGUACCAAUGAUGCUUUCACAAACAUUCUUCUCUAUGUGCAUUACAUCCAAGCUAUGACGAACAUGUAGGUAUUUCCAAUACUCAAGAUCAAAGAAUAUGGACUUUUUUUUCCAACAAUUUGUAGUAUUGACAUUCAACUUGCCUCGGGAGUUUUUAUUUUUUCCCCAUGAAUUAGAAAUGACAUCAAUUUUCCUUAGGAUUUCCUUUCCACUCAAUGGUUGCGGAGGUGAGCUAAACUCUUGUUUACCAUUAAAUGCCUUCUUUUGUUUCCUAAAAGAAUGGUUGCAAGGAAGAAAUCUUCUGUGACCUGUAUAUGAGUUCUUUUUCCCAUGCUUCAAUAUGUGAGAGAAUGUAUCUUGCCCACAUAUGGGACAUGCAAAAUAUCCUUUAACUACACAACCAGAUAAGUUUCCAUAUGCAGGAAAAUCAUUGAUUGUCCAUAGUAGAACAACUCUUAAUGUAAAGACCUUUUGCUGAUGCACAUCAUAACAUUCAACCCCUACAUUCCACAACAUUUUUAAGUCAUCCAAUAAUGGUGCUAAAUAAACAUCAAUGUCAUUUCCAGGUUGUCGUGGACCUGAUAUUAAUAAAGAUAGCAUCAUAAACUUCCUUUUCAUGCACAACCAAGGAGGAAGGUUGUAAAUGACCAUUAUAAUAGGCCAACAACUAUGUCUACUGCUCAUUGAACUAUGAGGAUUUAUACCAUCUGCUGAAAUGGCAAGUCUAAGGUUUCUAGGUUCUGAAGCAAAAUCAGGCCAUCUGUGAUCAACUAGCUUCCAUGAUGGGGAGUCAGAUGGAUGACGUAUUUUACCAUCAAAUUCUCUUUCUUGAGCAUGCCAUAUGAGGUCUUUUGCAAUUUUUGGGGACUGAAACAAUCUUCUAAAUCUUGGAAUAGGAGGAAAAUACCACAUUACUUUUGCAGGGACUCCCUUCCUCUUUUUAGUACCUGUUCCAUCUAACUUCCACCUUGAAGUUCCACAAGUAGGACAAGAAGUUGCAUCAUUCAACUCAUUUCUAUACAAUAUGCAAUCAUUGGGACAUGCAUGUAUUUUCUCAUAUUCCAUUCCCAAUGUAUUCAAUGUUUUUUUUGCUUCAUACAUAGAUAGAGGCAACUCAUUAUUUAGAGGCAACAUAUCUCCAAGAAUACUUAAAAGCUCUGAAAAGCUUUUAUCAGACCAUCCAUAUCGUGCUUUUAGGUUGUAUAAUUUGACCAAUGCAGAUAACUUUGUAAAGUUUCUACAACCAGGAUAUAAAGGUUUUUGAGCAUCUUCAAGUAAUGUUUCAAACAAUUUUGGGUCAUUCUUACGAUCAUCAUAUGCAACUUGAACUGUUUCUAUUGUACUAUCCACAUCGUUAAAUUCAACUGUAUGAUGCCAUUCUGCCCUACUAGUUGGUGGUCCACUUGGAGCAGCGUCUCCAUGCCAAUACCAUGUAUGGUAACUCUAAUCAAUUCCAUAGAAGAAUAAAUGUUCUCUAAUUUUUUGAGGAGUGUGGAAUAUCGUAUUACCACACUGAAGGCAUGGACAUUUCAUGGAGUUUUUAUAUGUGGAAUAUUGUAAUGCAAAUGCGAUAAAGCUUUCUACCCCAUCUGCAUAAUCCUUUGAUCUCCUAUCCUUUGACAUCCAAGAACGAUCCAUUUGAUGUACAAGAGAUAAACACAACUCCUAGAUACCACCAACAACUAAAGUUAUUAAUAAAAUCCUAUUAACAGGCUUAAAAUAUAUAAUCUACCAAAUUAAAAUUUCCCACAUUGUCACAAAACUUAGACCAAUCCAAAAAACGACAAUGUGCAAGUCAUCUAACAAUAAGCAAUAUGACAAGAAACAUAAUUAGUAUAUUAGGUUAUUCAAUAUUAGCAUAAAAAAUGGAUCUUAGUUCAUUCAUGAUGUUUGCUUUAUUCAUGAAUAGGAAUGAAAAGCAAGAUCUAACUUUUAGUCUUCUCUUAUAUUAUUGAAUACACUAAGUUUGAAAAUUUUAAAAACACAUAACCACAUGAGACAAUGAUACCAUGAACUAAAACAAUUAACGAAUGGAACUAAGAUUCGAAUGAAUAGAAGCAAGUGAUUUAUACAUGAUUUAGGCAUUCUAACAUCUCCAACAUCCUUAAUUAGGUGGUGGUUCCUAUCCCAUAUAGGAAUACAUAAUCCCUGUGUCAAUUGCCAAUAUACUUAAAUUCAUUUUAAAGAAAUUUCGGCAACAUUUCCCUAUAGUUCUCCAAGUACACAAAAUGGAUAAGGCACAAUAUGUGACCUUGUCCAAAUAUGCACCCAAAGAACAAGAAGAAAGACUACCAAAUUUUCUAAAAAUUGAAUUAAGAACAAGCAAUUAACUUCAUAGAUAUCAUGUUUUCCUAUACUGUCCAACUGGACAAUUCAAACAUCAUUUGCAGAGAAAAGAUCUUUAUCACAUGGAAGACAAAUUUAGUAGUUGUCAACUUGAAACUGGCUUAAAUAUACCCACAUUUCACAUUUUGACAACUUAUUGUCUUAGUAUGUAAUAAGAGAAACUUCUGUCUCACAAUGAUACUUGAAUGGGAAUUCUAAGGUUUCAUGCAUGCAUAGUUGAUUAAAACUAAAACAUAAAUACUUAUUAAAAUAUUACAUCUAGUUAUGUAUUAUAAAUUAUUCAUAUCAAUUGCAAUGGUGAGAAUAGGAAAAUAUUGUUUGUAAGCAUCACAUUUUAGGCCUAAGUUCACAAACUUUGCUAAAUCCAUUAAAGACCCACUACAUAAAGUUCAUGUUAAAAUUGGUUCAUCUCCAACCCCCAAAAUGAUUUAUCAAAGUUACUCAUUUUUUAGAGUCUUGAUUAAUUAGAUAAUCAAUAUAGAUACAUAUAAUUUGUAUUAAUAUAAUAUCAUGAUAUUUUUUUCAUUUUGUUAUUAGGCUUAGACUUGGGUAGAUUUCCCAAGUAAGGCUAAAGUAGAGCUAAGCUGCACCUUGACAUGUGUUCUACUUAUGUUGGGGGUGACCAUUCUAGUUUGGUGGAACAUCCAUGAAUGUUAUCGGUGGAACAUCCAUGAAUGUUAUCUUCUUGAUUUGGAGUAAGAACUUCAUUUUCUCAAUCGAAAUUGGCUGGAGCUUGCUGGUUCAGUUAGAGACAGAUUUGGUAAUGAAACUUGAGUGUGGGCAUCGGGUGAGGAAAAGGCUUUAUUACAUUUAUCUCUUUUUUUUAAUUGAAAAAUGUGAGUAAUUAUAAAAUGAACAGAAAAUGUCGCUUUUAAAAGCACCAAGGUUGAGGUUCUCCUACAAUGGCACUUAAAAAAGCGUCAUUAUUUGAAAUGCAUUGUACAAUGACGCUUUUAAAAGCGCCAAGGUUGAGGUUCUCCUACAAUGACACUUAAAAAAGCGUCAUUAUUUGAAAUUCAUUGUACAAUGACGCUUAAAAAAGUGCCAUUAUUUAAAAACGUCAUUAUUUCUCCCAUUAAAGCGCCAAGAUAAUGCAAGCGUCAUUAAUACCCAUUUUUGAGAAUAAAUAAUAGCACUUUAUAUAAGCGUCAAGAAAAAAAGCGUCAUAAAUUACAUUUUUUGUAGUAGUGACAAGAACUUGAUGGUCGCGGCAUUGUCGGCGACGCACGUGGCGGAAAGUCGACAGCCUGGACUAACUUUGAGAACCUUCGGCGAUGCCUCUCUCACCUCCGCUUUCUCCGUCAUAGUCUUCCUGAGGUGAAGAAGAAGAGCACAUGGCUGAAAGGCCCAAAGAGAAUGAGAAUGGAUUUGGGUUUUAGUAAGUUGGACCCAAAAGAGAAGCCCAAGUUUGUGAAGGCUUUAAUUGCCUUGGGCUUGCCCAUUGAUAUCUUUGGACCUGAGCUUGAAUUGGGGCACUAGGCCCAACUUGGUGAUGGAUUAUUGUAUUAGGUUUGCCCAAUGAAGACAUUGGACUUGGGCUUGAGUUGGAGCCCAAGCCCAGUUCGUGUGGAUGAUAGGCUCCAUGCCAAUCCUUCAAAUCAUUAUCCCAUAUUUAUUAUUUAUUCAAAGUCCAAUCUAUAAAAAAAGGUCACAUGUUUUAAUUUAAUUCUUCGAAUACUCUUUUAAAUCUCAUAUUUAUCAAUUAGAACUACUACCCUAUAUUCUCCUAUCUAUCUAUGUCAAUCCUUCAAAAAUCCUAAGAUUUAAUUUAAUUCUUGUUUAAAUCAUAUUUUCAUAAAUCAAAUCAUUAUCCCGUAUUUAUUAUUUAUUCAAAGUCCAAUCUAUAAAAAGGGUCACAUGUUUUAAUUUAAUUCUUUGAAUACUCUUUUAAAUCUCAUAUUUAUCAAUUAGAACUACUACCCUAUAUUCUCCUAUCCAUCUAUGUCAAUCCUUCAAAAAUCCAAAGUUUUAAUUUAAUUCUUGUUUAAAUCAUAUUCUCAUAAGUCAAAUCAUUAUCCUGUAUUUAUUAUUUAUUCAAAGUCCAAUCUAUAGAAAAAAGGUCACAUGUUUUAAUCUAAUUCUUCGAAUACUCUUUUAAAUCUCAUAUUUAUCAACUAGAAUUAUUAUCCUAUAUUCUCCUAUCUAUCUAUGCCUAUUCUUCAAAAACCUCACACUUUAAUUUAAUUCUUCAAGUACUUGUUUAAAUCUUAAUCUCAUAAAUCGAAUCAUCAUCCCGUAUUAUUAGUUGUUCAAAGUCUAAUCCAUUAAGAAAAUCCCAUGCCAUAAUUUAAUUCUUCAAAUACUCGUUUAAAUCUUAUGUCCAUCAAUGGGAAUUAUUAUCUUAUACAUUCAUUUAUUAUCUAGCCUAACCCUUCAAAAAUCCCAUGUUUUUUAAUUUACUUCUUCAAAUACUUGUUUAAAUCAUAUUUUCAUAAAUCGAAUUAUUAUCCCAUGUUUAUUUAGUUAUUCAAAGUCUAAUCCCUCAAAAAUCCCCUGUCUUAAUUUAGUUUCUCAGUAAUUCGUUGGAAUCUUGUUUUCAUCAAUUAUGAUUAUUAUCUCAUAUUCGUCUAUUUAUUUAAAAACUAGUUCUUCAAAAAUCUCAUGUCUUAAUUUAAUUUUUCAAUCCUAAAAAUUCUGCAAUUCAUCUAAAUUUUAUCCUCACUCAUUAGAAUCGUUAUUCCAUAUCUAUUCAAAGUCCAAUCUUUUGAAAACCCCCUGUCUUAAUUCAACUUUUGAUCCCAGAAAUGCCAUUAUUCGUCAAAAUUUUAUUCUUGUUAAUUAGGAUUCUUGUUCCGCAUCUAUUUAUUUAUAUAAGGUCCAAUUCUUGAAAAAUCUAAUUUCUGAAUUAAAACUUCAAUCCCAAAAAUUCUACUACCCAUCUUUAUUCGCCUAAAUAUUAUUCUCGUUAAUUAGUAUUAUAAUCUCAUACCUACCCAUUUAUUCAAAGCCUAAUCCUUUAAAAAUCCAAUGCCUUAAUUCAAAUUUUCAAUUAGAAAACUUCCACUAUUUUAUUCGUUCAAACAUUAUUUUUGUUAAUAAAUAUCAUUAUUCCAUAUUUGUUUAUUUAUUUAUUUCAAUCAUUAAAAUUCAACUCUUCAAAACCGGAUUUCCAAAUUUAACCUUUAGACUAAAAAACAAAAAAAUUCCACCAUUCACUUUUAUUAAUUUAAAUAUCAUCUUUGUUAUCGUUAUCAUAAAUUCCACGUUUACUUAUUUCUUUCUUCUAAAAAUUCCAAUAAUUAGAGUUUAAUUAUUCAGAGGUCCGACUUUCAAACUUAAUUCUCAAAAUCCCACUAUUCACUAUUCAUCCGUCCAAAUAUCGUUUUGAUUAAUUAGUAACAUUACUCCAUACUUACCCAUUUGUUUCUCUUAAAAAUCUCAAUCAUUAAAGUCUAAUUCUUCAAAUUCCGAUUUUUAAAUUUAGCUAUUUGAAAUUCCAAUUGUCCUAUCUCCGAACUUAAUUUUCAGUUUCCCAUGCUCCAAUUCCCGUAUUUAUCCCGCUACUUAUUAUUAUCAUUAUCACUAUCAUCUUAUUCAUUAUUUCUAUAAAUCCUACCUUCGAAUGAUUUCCAAGACCUCUAAUUUUUAUACAUCAACUUUCAUAAUUUCUACUUCUCAAAUAACUUACGAUUCUGAUCCCUUUCAAAAUUUAACUCCCAUAAUCCCAAUUUUUGUAACUUAGUUUUUCUUAAAAAUCCCGAACUUUCAAAUAAUUCUUCAAAAUCCCAAUUUUAUUUCAAAUUUAAUUUCUAAAAGUUCUCAUUCUUACAUCUAAUUCCUAAGAAUCCAAUUUUCAAAUAAUCUCUAAGAUUCCGAUUCUCAAAUGAAUUUCAAAAACCCAGUUUUCCUUCGAACAAUUUUAAUCCCUGUUUAGUGAUGCAUGUGAUAUGUUUUGUGCUCUAUAUGGUGUACUAACCCUCUCUAUUGAUAGCGCAUGGUGACUCGUUGCCCAGGUAUGUACCCAUUUUCCCUCUAAUCGUUGUCUAUGCAUGUCUCGAUUUUUAUGUGUGCAUGAUCAUUCAGAAUAUUCAUUGAUUUACUUAUCAAUUGCCACGUUAGCUUCAUUUUAUUAGUAGAGCCCCACUUUAGGGACUUAGAGGGGUGCUAUGGUCUUCACCGUACCUUCCCGAUAAGUAACCUGACCCCUAGCCCGAUCCGGUUUUUUAUAGAUCACCUUUUCCAAAAUAAGGAGUCGCACUUAGGGUUUUCUUUCUUAUUUUGUUUACCCUUUUUUUAAAAAUAAAACAAAAAUAAGUGGUGACUCCAAGUCAUUUUCUUAAUCAAUUAAAUUCUUUUGUUCAAAUUAAAAUCGAGCUCGCCAUCGAGUGGGAAACGCAUGAGCCGAAAUGUGGGGUCCACACUUGUACAUCCCAUAAAAUGACAUUAUGCUUUUAUCUAGAAGUAUUUGAUUUUAAUGUCAAUAAUUUAAAACCAUCCUUAAUAAUUAAUAAUAAAAUAAUAUAUAAUUAUAAAAAAAAUAAAUUUUUUAAAUUAAAAUCAUUUAUUUUGUUUUUAACUUUUACUUUAUAUAUAAAAGAAAUAAAAAAAAUUGAAUUUGGUUUGUAUUGAUUAUACAAAAUAUAAAAAUAGAUUUAUCAUGUACAACCAUAACAUUGUUAGUCUUCUUAUGAAAGCCUAAAAAUAAAUCCAAAUUCUAAAUGCAUAAGAUUAAAAGAAAAAAAACAAAAAAACAAAAAAAAAGCAUGAAAACAUUUGAGAACCAUAGUAUAAGUCUUCAUCAUACAAAAACAUAAAAUUUAAUCCUAAUUGUAAAUGUAUAAGAUAAAAAAAAUAAAAAUCAUACUUUUUUAAUAAUAUUAUAUUUUACUUUUAAUAUGUAUAUGAAUUUAUAAUAUAAUAAUUAACAUUUUAAUAAUAAUUUUCUUCGAUUCUUCUUCUUUUUUCUUUUUGUUAAUUUUCUUCUUAAUAUUUUUUAGAGAUAUACAAAGGCUAUGGAUCACUUCAAAGAAAAUAUAUAUUUUCAUAAAUUAUAUUAGUAAUUAUUAUAAUUCUAAAUAUAAUCUAUUAUAACAUUUUUUUCUUUUUAAAACACCAUAUAUUUAUAAGACCAAAAGAGAUUGGUUUCUUUAUAUUUAUCUUAUUUAAAAUAUAAAAUAUUUAAUCAAGUAUUUUUUAAGUAAUCUUGAAAUUUUUUUAAAAGAAUAAAAUCUCAAAAUAAAAACUUGUCCUAAAACUUGUUGUUUUAUACUUGGAAACUUUAAACCAAUUAUCAAAGUUUUAAAUAAUUAAUCUUUUAUAACAUUUUUACUUCUUAUAUAAAACACUAGAUAUCUAUAAAACUAGAAGAAAUUGAUUUCUUUAUAUUUAUCUUAUUUAAAAUUAAAUAAUAUUUAAUUAAGCAUUUAUGAAGUAAUCUUCAAAAUUUUGAAAAUAAUAAAAAUUAAAAAUAAAAAACUAUCCCAAAAUUUUUUACUUCAGAAUUGGAAAAUAUUUAAAGAAUUGGUAAGUAAUAUUGUAAAAUAUUAAAUGGAAACAAAAAUAAAAAAAGAAAUCAAAAUAAAAAGUUUUCCUAAACUCUCCACAAAAAUCCUCUAUUCUGUUUCUCCUUAAAUAGCAUCUCCAUUAUUUCAAGCCCAUCACCAUAUUCAUUGUCCAUCACCACAGACUGCCAUCAACUACUGUUGUUGAGCAUGGACUACUGUUGUUGCUGACCAUGGACUGUUAUGGAAUACUACUAUUGCUGAUUGUGGACUGUUGUUGUUGCUGACCUUGGACUGCUUCUAUUGAUCGCUUGUUAUCGUGGUCCCAUGGUGCUUUACAACAUUGCAAAAAAAGCAAAUCAGGUAUGUUAUCACCACUUUAUAUUUUUAUUUUAUUUAUUUUUAGAAUUUCUUGCUUAUUAAUUAAUUAGAUACAGAAAAAUAUUCUAUGAGCUUUUGAUUUUUACCUUUUCUUGAAUAAAUACUUUGUUGUGUUUUGAGUUAUGUAAUAGGAGUUGUUUGUGGCCUAUUAUUAAUGAAUUCAUCAAUGCUGUUAUCAACUUACCACCAAUUAUUCAGCCCUAACCAAUAUUUAAGAGAGUGAGAUCUUGAUUAUACAUCAUAAUAUCUAUCAUUAAAGUUGUUACAUACACACAAAUUUAUAUAUUAUUCUUUUAAGGGAAUUCAAUUAGCGAAAAUGAAAUAAAGAAAAUUAAAUUAAUAUCAUGUGUGAAAUAUUUUUUUUUUAUAUGGUUAUAGAUGAAAUGAAAAAUAUAAAGUUUUGUUAUUUUAUUAUUGUAGUUAUAGUUCAAUAUAUAAGCUCAUAGAAAAAUAUUCUAUGAGCUUUUGAUUUUACCUUUUCUUGAACGAAUACUUUGUUGUGUUUUGAGUUAUGUAAUAAAAGUUGUUUGUGGCCUAUUAUAAAAGAAUUCAUAAAUGCUGUUAUCAACUUACCACCAAUUAUUCAACCCUAACCAAUAUUUAAGAGAGUGAGAUCUUGAUUAUACAUCAUAAUAUCUAUCAUUAAAGUUGUUACAUACACACAAAUUUAUAUAUUAUUCUUUUAAGGGAAUUCAAUUAGCGAAAAUGAAAUAAAGAAAAUUAAAUUAAUAUCAUUUGUGUGAUAUAUUUUUUUUAUAUGGUUAUAGAUGAAAUGAAAAAUAUAAAGUUUUGUUAUUUUAUUAUUGUAGUUACAGUUCAAUAUAUAAGUAUAUUUAGAAACCCACUUUAUAAGUUAUUUAAAACAUUAAACCAAUUUUCCAUUAGAAUUGGUAAUAAGCGUAAAGAAUGAAUAAAGUAAAAAGUGUAAAUAAGGAAUAGGGUUGUUCGAAAUAUGCAUAUAAAAACAUUAGUAGGUCAAAAUAUAUGACCAACCAUGACUAGCUAUCCUUUUAUGUAAGUUAAUUUAUUUAUCUUGGAUAUUGAGCCAAUUGUCAAGGAAAAUAUAAAAUAUUUAUAUUUAGUUAUAAAGUAGUAAAUAAUGAAAUUCAUAUUUUAAGAUUGGAGUAAAAUGAAAUUUGUAUCAUUUUUACCUCAACUAUAUUGUUUUGAUAUUUAUAUUAAAUAUUGACACUAAUUUUGAAAAUUGUGGAUUUGAGAAAAAAAACUUCACUUUUUCAAAGAGGUUAUUUGUAUCAAAUUACAAUAAAAAACUAUUUAAUUAUUAUUUAUAGGCAUAAAAAAAAAUAUUUAUUGAAUAAAAAUUAAUUUAUCACCAGCUUGUUUGGCAUUUUAAUGCUCCUAUAAUUUGGGCUUGACAAAAAUUUACCUUUUAUUCCUUGUUUUAUAUAUACGUUUUUUUAUUUAUGUAUUGAUUUUUAUGAGAAAAUAAUUCAUAGACAUAUUUCCUACUUAUAAAUUCAAGAUAUAUAACAUAGAUUCAUAGUAUAGUUUAGACAUUUCAAAAGUUAAGAUUGGGGUAAAAUAAAGUUUUGUAUCAUUUGUACCUCAACUAUAUUAUUUUGACAUUUAUAUUAAAUAUUGACACUAAUUUUGAAAAUUAUAGAUUUGAGGAAAAAACUUCACUUUUUCAAAUAGGUUAUUUGUAUCAAAUUACAAUAAGAAACUAUUUAAUUAUUAUUUAUUGGCAUAAAAAAAAUAUAUUUAUUGAAUAAAAAUUAAUUUAUCACUAGCUUGUUUGGCAUUUUAACACUCCUUUAAUUUGGGCUUGACAAAAAUUUACGUUUUACUCCUUAUUAUAUAUAUAUAUUUAUGUAUAUAUAUUUAUUUAUGUAUUGAUUUCUAUGAGAAAAUAAUUCAUAAAUAUAUUUAUUUAUUUAUGAUUUUAAUUUAAAAUUUUUAUUUCUUUUAUAAUUAUAUAUUAUUUUAUUAUUAAUUAUUAAGGAUAGUUUAAAAUAUUGACAUUAAAAUCAAAUACUUCUAGAUAAAAGCAUAAUGUCAUUUUAUGGGAUGUACAAGAUUACGUAAAUAAUAGAUGCUUAUACUAUUAUAGAAUUAACUAAAACUUUUAUAAAAAUCUUUAUAAAGGAUUAAUUUUAAAAAAUAUAAAUUUAUUGUCUUAUAUAGUUAACAUUAGAAUUUUCUCUCUCUAAAGAAUAACCAUAAGAAAUAUCUAUAAAAAAUUAAGUAAAUGAGAUGAUUUUAUAGAAAAGAUGAGAUUGGUAAAACAUUAUAUUGUUAAAUUAUUAAAAGAGAAAUGAGUUUUUUUUUUUAUUUUUAUUUUUAUCAACUUUAAGUCAUAUAUAAAUUUUUAUAUUUCUUUUAAAAAAAUCAAUUAGAAAAUUAAGAAAAAAGAAGAAGAAUUGAAAUAAAUUAUUAUUAAAAUGUCACUAUCUUAUAAAUUCAUAUAUGAAUUAUAAUAAAAAUAUAAUAUUAUGAAAAAAUCAAUGUAAGUUACUAUUAAAAUUUUAUUAUCUUUUACAUUUAGAGUUUGGAUUCAUUUUUUCACUUUAAUACGAAGAAGACUAAUAGAGUUAUGGUUGUCAAACCCCUUUUUAUAUUUUUGUAUAAUCAAUUUAAUCCAAAUUUGACUUUUAUAGAUAUAUAAAAUAAAAAUUUAUAUACAAAAUAAGUUAUUUUAAUGUAAUAUUUUUUUAAUUUUUUUUAUACUUUAAUUUAGAAUAUUGACAUUGAAAUAAAUUACUUACAAAUAAAGACAUGAGAUGAUUUUAUGGGAACAACAAAAGUAGGUAAGUAAUAAAUGUUUAUACUAUUAACUAAAAUUAUUUUAUUUGUACAUUCGCAAUUUGGAUUGAUUUUUAUCCUUAAAUAACAUAAGGAGGAAGACUAAUAAAACUAGGGUUAUCACGGUAACUAAAUUUUUUAUUUUUGCAUCAUAUAAUCAAUUUAACAUCGAUGGUAAGAGUGGUAGGAAUGAUGGCUUCAGCAUCAGCAUCAAUCCAGAAGUCUAAAUCUCAGUAAGAGUGACAGCGAUGAUGGCUUCAACAUCAAUAGUGGCAAUCUACCCUCCUACUAAAACUCCACCAUGACUCGAUUAGUAACACCAUCAAGAGUAGUAACAUGAUCUUCAGUAGCUAGCUACACAAGCAAUUUCCAUUGAUUGAGCCUUUUCACCCUUCAUCACUUCUGUCUUAUCAACUACCUGAUGAUCUUUAGGUCCAAGCAUUGACUCCCAAUGAGAAGAAUCUGAGUCUACCUCAAUAAUAAUAACUGAGUCAACUUCCUUUGCAUGCUGCUCUUGCUCUCUAGUCUAAUUAGUACCUUCUUGAUGCUCUUCCUCUUCUCAUCUUCUUCUUCAGCUUCUUCCUUAGCUUGCACCUCAUUAACAUCAGCAGUAACAACAUCUGGAAUUCCCCCCACCUGAAGGUCUAUAUCAAAUGAAGGAACCUCAUGUCCUUUCCUUUAGCGAUAAGAGCUUCACACAGUCAGUUAACAGCUCUAUGGCCUGUCCAUCCUUUGCAUAAAUUGGAGCUUUACUUACAUAAAAUAUGGAAUAUCUCCUGAAGAUAAAGUGGGGACAGUAGAAAUAGUCGAAGGACCUUGUGUAGAACUUGUGACUAAAGGUACAUGAGCAACUGCCUCUUCAACUAUUCUGACCAUCUGCCUCAUCCUUUUCUUUGUACUUCUUUCCAUGAAAAUUCUGUAAAAUUUCCAAGCUUCCACUUUGUAAAAUUUUGUAGCGUCAUAUUUUUCCUCAUUCCCACUGAAUUUAAAACUCUUUCUAAUUGAAUAGCCAGUGAAAAACUUGGACAAUGCCAAUGCAUACUUCUUGCUGUGAGAAGUCUUGUUUUCAUUCACUUUUUCCACAAUAUAUAAAAACGUAUCCACCAUCAAUACAUGAGAUCACCAUCCCCCCUUACAUAAACAAUACAAUUCCUCUAAAGGAAAACCUCUCCUUUCUGUGACAUGUCUAUAAGGAGAGAAAUUGGUUCUAUACACCUGAUCCACAAACCAUAGCUCCUGUGAUGCCUCUAGUCUUCUGGCAGUUGUGGGAGAGCUAAAACCACAAGGCACUGAAGUGGCCACCAUCCUCUGGGAAGUAGGGUUAGUGUAAGGUAGAAAAUUUCCUCCUUAAGAUGGCAUUGUAGGCAACCCAAAAGCCUAUGCCAAAGAUUUUUCAGUGAUCAUCCCCUCUCUUUCAUUAAUGGAAAAAUGUAACACAGAUUUUCCAGGGGCUCUCCUCUCAAAGAUAGCAUAAAAAUCUCUCACCACAAUAGGAUAAACAUAAUCUAUGGAAUACACCAUAGGCUCUAUCCCAUAUCUCCUCAUUAGCUCCAUUGAACUCAUUGUCUCUGGAAAAGUAAUGUAUUCAUCAGGCACCAAAUAAUCACUGUCUGCCAAUAAGAAUGCAUUCCGGUUUCCUUUAGACUGGUAACUACAGCUUUUCCCUUCUUUUUUUCUGUCAAUUUCUUUGGCUAAACUUUUUCUAUUUCUUUAUCCUUCUUCUCAUCUCUUUUAGCUUUCUUUAUAGCUUCCUCUGGAGUCAUUUCAGUUCCAGGCUCUUUCUUCUGUCUGUUCAUAGUCUCUUUAUUUGGCUUCUUACUUGGUGUGGUUACUGCCACAUUCUUCUCCAUAGGAGACUUCCCUUUCAAAGGAGAUUUAUCCUCAGAUUGCACCUCUUUUUCUUUCCACUUUUUAUUCUUCACAGCUUGUAGUGAUUGUUCACUAGCUAUCAUCAGUCUAGGUGAUCCAUCAAUAAUGAUUCUUCCUAUCUGCUCAAUGACAGGUUGUACAUCAAUCCUUUUCAUAGUUGGGGCAUCUAAAUCUGAAUCAGUGGAUUCAGAUUCGUAGACCAUUAGUGCCUAACCCUUAUCUUUAUCCUUUUUUUCAUUCUGCAUUUUCAGAGUGCAAACAAAAAUCCGAAAACAUAUUACAAACAAGCUUGACAUUUCCAAAAACAGUAUAUAUUCAUUCAGAGUCAACAGAUAUUCAUAGAAAAUAAUUAAGGCAUAUUAAUGAAGAAAGGAUACAAAUGGCAGAGUUCAUCCAAACAUUCAUUCAAAGACGCAAAAUCUAUCCAGAAGGAUCAUUGCACAUGCAUAUGUUAACUUUGAUAUAUCCAUGUACAGAUUCUCAAACAAACAUCUGUUAUAGUAAAUAUAAGGGGUGCAAGUUAAAAACACUCCAAAAUUCAAUUUUAAGCACUGCAAGAUGACAAGUAGGAAAAAGCGCGACUAUAAUAUUUAGGUACAAAUCAAGUAGACAGCAGCACAUAGUAACUAUAAGGGGUGCAAAUAAAUCCUAUAGUUGCAGCCACGUGUAAACAUGGGACUAGAGGGUGUGAAACUGUAGCUGCGACCAUGUAUUUUCUUCUACUAAAGGUUCUAUUAGCUGCAGCUUCUCGUGGCCAUGACUACAAGGGUGUGAUGAAUAGGAAACUUAAAAAUAUAUUGUUUAUACACACGUGAUUUGAAAUUCAUUUCUAUGGUGAAAAAAUUUAUUAAAAUAUAAUUAUGUGAAGAAAAGAAACAAUAGUAAUUGUGAACCCAUUUUUAUUUAUAAAUUUCUGUUAUUAAUUAGUUCACUAUUUGAGUUUCAAACUAUUAUUUAAAGAAUACUAGACUCGUUAAUAAAUUCAAUGCAUGAAGUUUUGUUUUAUUUAAAGUUUAUUUAUCUAGUGAAAAAAAAAAAUUUUAAAUUGGUUUUAUGUAUAAGAAAAAAAAUAGUCAUUUUUGACAAUUUUUUGUCAAAAAAUUUCUAAUAUUAAUUUGAUCACUAUUUGAGUUUCAAGUUAUUUAUAAAAAUUAUUAGUUAUUAGCAAAUCUAAGCAUCAAGUCUUGCUUGAUUUGGACUUUAUUUGGGUAGUGAAUUUUUUUUUUUUUGCAAAAAUAUGAUUAUAUGUAAAGAAGAAACUAGUCCAAGUCAUUCAAAAUAAAUCCUAAUUUAUGACUUUAUAAUGUUAUUGGGUUCCAUGAUUAGUAAUUAAAUUGGGUUUUAACUUUCAAAUUAUUUUUACAAAUUAAUAAAUUUUAUAUAUAAAGUGUAAUUUGAUUUUGAAUUUAUUUAUUUAAUGGAAAGUUUUUAUUAAGGUAAAGGAAAUGUUGAAGGAGUCAAUGUUUUUGUUAUGGAUCUGUUGGGUUGUCCUAGUCUCAAGGUUAUCUAUUUUUUUGUUCUUUUGAUUUGUUGCAAAACAUGGUUGAAUUUACGUAGUUUAUAGGAGUUAGUCUUUACAUGGUUCAUGGUCUUAGCUAGUGGUUAAAAGUAGUGGAUUAGAGGUCUUUAUUUUCUUAGCAAUUUCCCAUUGGUGUACUGCCUCUUUAAAAGGCUAUUUGGUUGAUGAGAGAAGAUCAUCAAAAGUAAUUUUCUCUUCCAACUUUUCUAUACAUUUUUUAGCUUAAUCAAUUUUUUGUACUCUUCCAAGAUUUUUCCUCUACUUGUAAUAGUGGUAUCAGAGCUGGUUGAAAAUUGAGAAAGUGAGAAAAGUUAAGAGCCAAAAUAAAAAGAAAGGACGUGAGAUAAAGAGAAUUUUAGUAGCAGUUCUUAUUUCACUUUAUUUUGUUUUUGCAACAGCAACAGUAAGGGAUAGCCUCUAAAAACUUUGUCUAACUUAUAAUCCCAUACUUUGAUGGUCACUAUAUAUGACCAUUGGAGCAUGUUGAUGGAGAAAUCCUUUAAGGUCUAAGGAGUAUUGGCAGGUUGUCUUUGACAGAGUAGCAGAAUCGACAAAUAAUUUGUAGAUAGAGUACACGGACUUUUCAAGGCUUGAGCACUUGUCCUAAGGGGGUCAUGGUAUGUUUGUCUUCAAACCCUAGUGCCCAUGACCAACUAAUUGGUACUCAUAUAUUGACAUUGUGCUUGUUAUAAAAGCUAAGAACCAGUUAGCACUCUGAGGAAAUAAAAAUCUAAGAAAUUGUACCUUGUUCUAAAGAGAUUGGGGAGAAACCUUAAAGGGUAAGUGGCCUUUCAUCAUCCUCAAUACCUAGUGUCUUGGGAAGAAUCUUAGGAGUUGUCAAUUGAUCUUUACUAAGCUACAUAGAAGGAGCUUUCCUAGGAUGGACAUGUGAAAUAAAAAAAGAAAAAAGAAAAUAGAUAUGAAAAACAAUGGAAUGAAAAAGCAGAAAAUGAGAUAAAAUGGCGCUCUUCCAAAACUAGUCAUGAACAGUUUAUCUUAGGUAGAGGAAGGAAAUUCUUAAAAUAGGUGCUCCAUGAGGAUGCUCUUAAGCUAACAUUUGAGUUUUGUUAGGAAAUCACUUGUGAAGUUGAUGUCGAAGAGACUAAUGGAUUCUAAACAUUGAGGCAUGCUUUUGUAUACAUUUAUAUGGUGAGUGAAUCUUUUUGGAGUUAUGCUAUUUGACUAUGAGCUUAUUCUUGAAGGGAUAAUAUGUUUUCAGUAACUGAAUUUAUUGAAGCUAAUUCAUGCUAUUUAGUAGUUGUUGUCUUAAUUGCUUAGGAGUUUUACUCUUUAUUUAUUUCUAGAGACCAACAAAAUUUAGGUUGGGGAGGAAAUGAUUUGUGCUUUAAGUCAUGGGUUUUUUCUAUUCCCUAAAUGGUAGAUUCUAUAAUGAAAAAGAACGUAAACUACUCUCUUCAGUUUAUAUAUAUGCUAGUACCUAACUGGUCUGAGUUCUUCAAUUUCAUGUCCAAUGGAGAAAUUAAAGUUAAGGUCAAUCUCAGGAGAUUAAUAAUUGGCUCUGGUUUCAGAGAUAUGAAUAUGCUCUAGCUUGACAUUCUUGAAGUGGAUUAGCAGAGUGGGAUUCUCUACUCAGCUGAUUGCCUUUUCACUGAGUUCCAAGGAUCAAUAGGAGAUCGUGGAUUUGUUGACAUUCUCAUUCUGAGAGCAACUGCAUCAGUAUCAUACAUGUUUGCCAGUUGGCAAUAUAAAAUUGGUAUUUUGGUUCAUAUUUUCUACAACCUGAAAGCCACUAUCACUACCACCAACUAUAUGAAUAGGCAUCAAUUCUUCAGGACGAUGAAGAAGGUAGAGCAUAUCACUAGCUCAAAUGGAGGAAUGUGGUCCCAUAAUUCUUUAGGAAAUAAGUAUCUAGAAACAGGUAAAAAGAACCAAGAAUCUUGAAAGACUUCUUUCAUCUUGUUCAUGUUGCCUAAAGGACAACCUGUGGGCCUUUGAAUUAUGUAUUGAAACUAUCAAGUCAACUGGAAUAGAUUCAUUUCUGAAGCUGCAGGGUUUAUGGUCAACCAUAUACCAAACCCAAAGUUCUUCAGUAGUCUAUUGAGAAAAUCCCAUUUGGAACCUAACCAUGAGAAAGUCCCAGGUUUGUUUAAGGCUGGGCUGAACCUAUGUGCAACCUUCUGUCUUCUGGGACCUUCUCUAACUAUAGUUUCAUCAACACAACACAGCUAGCCUUGUCCCAGCUACUAAGGCUGGGUAAAACUAUUCUGAAUUAUUGUUCCAUGCAUAUCUUGUUUGUGAAUGAUCUCCACUAGGAUCGACUCUUAAGUAUGUACCGAUCAAGAAUCAAAUCUUGUUUGUGAAUUAUUGCUCCAUACAUUCGCCUGACCGUUGGAUGGGUGAAGAGGCAAUGCAGAUACUUGUCCUAUAUUCCCAUAGGUAUCAAACUUCAGUGCAGUAGUUGACACAUUGACUACCUUUCUGAGGUUAGGACAAGAUAAACUCAUUAGUGGAUGGAGAAUAGAAGACCAUAUACUAAUUUAUGUGGUUCAGAAUUUGAAUAAAGAUCAUGAUAAUAAGUGCGAGAUUCGCGCAUCUUUGGAGUGUUUCAAGUUGCAGCUAGAUUGCCUAUAUAAAGAGCAUGGAGGUUUAUAAUUUCCAGUAUCAGCAACAAAGAGCAGGUGUGAAUUAUAGAGAGUAAAUAGGGAAGUUGUCAACCUCCCUCAAAGGCUUCCAAUUUUCCUGGCUAAUUAUCAAGGUAAGAAAGUUGGAAGCCGGUGGGGGACCUUGAAAGCUUACCCCAGAAUCAAUAUUACUCAUCUGGUUAUUUGGUAUCAGUUUCCCUGAUCAUUAGGAAGACAGUAAGAUUGAUUUCAGGUGAGAUGUUUCCCCUUCUUCUCAAAAAAACUGCAAACUUUUUAGAGAUUUAUGCUUAUGGUAUUUUAAGAUCCCGUUUGAUAGUAAUUUUAAGAAGUGUUUAUAAUAUUUUUAACACUUAAAAAUUAGUAUCAUUCAAGUGUGAGAAAGGUUAAAAACGUUUUCUAAAAUCACUAUCAAACGCAAUUAAUCUAAAUCAUUUAUUAGAAAAUAGAUUUGGGAUAAGGUGGAAAACUCUUAGUACCACAUUAUUACCAAUCUUAUUUCAUUGCUCCUUUCACCCACACCCUCAAGAGUGUCAUCACUAGUUAUAGGGCAUUUUUAUCCUAUCAACUAAUGAUCAGGGUUUAUGAAGCAUUUUAAACACUGCCUUAUUAUGCAAUUAUUUAGAACCAUACCUUCUAUGGAUGAUCCCACAAUUUUGAUAGGGUGUUGUUUGGUUUUUGGGGUAAGUGAGGAGAGAAAAAAAUAAAUUAAAUUUUGGAGUUUAUGUUCUUACAUUUGGCAUUAUGUUUUAAUUGGUAUUAUUAAUAGAAAAAUAUUUAAGGACAUAUAGUGGAAUUUGAUUAGUUGUUUGUUUGAUCUAUGGGAGAAACGAGGAGAUAAGAAAAUAAAAUUAGAUUUUGGGGUAUAUUCUUAUUCUUACAUUUCGCAUGAAAGUAUAAUUUUUUUUCUUCUCUAGUUUCUCCAUGUUUGAAAUUGGUGUUUUAUUAGAAAAAAUGAAUUUAAGUUGAGUUUUGACCAAUUGUUGUUUGAUUUCUAGGAAAGGGAGGGAGACUAGAAGAAAGAAGGAUUUUGAAGCUUUCAUUUUAAGUAAUGCUAAUUUUACAUUUUUUAGGCAAACAAAGAAUUUCUAUAGGUGAUAUAAAUUCCUUAUUUGGUUGCUGAGAAAACAGAGGGAAGGAAGAAACAACAUAUAUACAUUUUGGAGCUUAUUUUCUUGUCCUAUUCUUGUUCUUACAUUUUCCAAGCAAGCAAAAAGGGUGUAUUUUUAUCUGGGCAAUAGAAGUUCAUCCUUUUUGUUUUUUUUUUAAUGUUUAUUUUGUUGUAACAAGUUCAACUGGAGUUAAAAAGGAGGUGUUUUGUGUGCAAUCCUGCACAUGUUUUGAGCUCUCUAAGAAUUUUGUGGCCUCUUUGUGCGAUUAGUAUUGGAAAUGAGUUAAUUAUAUUAUGCUUUGUUUGGAUGGGGAAAACUACAAGAGAAACAAAGCAAAUAUUUUCCUGAGUUCUAGGGCUUGUUUGUUGUCUUAGUUUUCAAAAGAUGAGAAGUUUUUCCUUCCUUGACUAAGGUGUUUGUUUUGAUAAUCAUAAGUGUUGAACUUUUUUUCUUUUGUUUUUUUAUCAGGUUUUGCAAGUUGAGGGAUUUCUCAUUCUUUUCUUGUAAUCUCUUAUUUUUAAAGAAUAUGUUUUUGUUUUUGAUAAAAAGUUCAUAAUUGUUGAAAAAAAAUGUGAAAAUCCCUACAAUCCAUUUAGUGCAUUUGAUCUAUGUAAAUAGAUUUAAUAGCUCCUUUUUCCUUUGAAAGCUCAAACUCUAGUGUCUCUUCUUAAGAUUUUUCCUUUUUAUUAUUUAAACUUCUCUUUUUUAAAUUAUUUAUACAUUUACAAUAUCAAGUUAGUUGAACAAAACAUUCAAUUUUUCUAUAACUCAACCAAACAUGUUUUUGUUGUUUUCGAGAACAAAAACUAUUUUCCAUAAUUUAGUUCCUAAACACAACUUUUUUUUUUUUUUUUUUUCUGAAAACACAAAAAACUGUUCUUAAAAACUAUUUUUCAUAAUAGUUUUCAAAGACACCAAUCAAACAAACCCUAAUAUUUUGACUUUAAGCAAGAAGAGUACCAAUCUCCACAUUUUGUAAUUUAAUAUCUAGGAGUUGCUAGAAACUUUUGCUCUGAUAUUUACAAUCAACCCUUGAGAAAUUGAGAUCUAUUUGGUUACCACAUGACUCAGGAGGUUUAUUAGGAUUUGGAUUAAGGUUGUUAUGGUUGAUAGCAUUGACUUAUCCUCAUGCAUAAUUGGCUUUGCUUGCAUCUAUUGACUUAUUGUCAUACAUAAUUGCCUUUGUUUGCUAGAAAAUUUUGCUGUAAUAUUUAUAAUCAACCAGUGAGAAAUUGAGAUCUAUUUGGUUACAUGUCUCUGGAAGUUUAUUAGGAAUGGGAUUAAAGUUGCUAUAGUUAAUAACAUUGACUUAUCCUCAUGCAUAAUUGGCUUUGCUUGCUAAACACUUUUGCUCUGAUAUUUAUAAUUAAUCCUUGAGAAAUUGAGAUCUAUUUGGUUACCACAUGGCUCAGGAGGUUUAUUUGGAAUUGGAUUAAAGUUGCUAUAACUGAUAACAUUGACUUAUCCUCAUGCAUAAUUAGCUUUGCUUGCAUCUAAUUUUUGUAAGUUAAAUAUUUUUUCAUGUUGAAAAGUUGGGUGCAUAGUUGCCUUUCAAAUAUAUUUGAAUAAAUAAAAAAUUUGAUAAAGCUAGAAAGGGUAGGCAAAAGGAAAUAAGAGGUUAUAUAAUACACCAUGGAAUAAUUAAAAUAUUCAAUAAAAUAUUUUUUUAAAUCCCCAAAUUUAGGUUUCAUAUCCACAUGGAAAGUUGUCAGAAACAACUUUAAUGUAAAAAAAAUUUAAGAAAAAUUACAAAAAAUUAUGUAAAUGUGAAAUGGAAUAGUUAUUUUAAAAAUAUGUUUACUACAAAUGGAGUUAGAAAGAAAAAUUAUUGUAGUUACAACAAUAAAUUGCUAUCAGGUUUUUAAAAAACUCAAAUUAUUAGGAUAUAAAUCAAACAAAAACAUAGUGAAUGAGGACAAAAAUUACAUAUUUAGUUAUAUUCAUUAUACUCAAAUAUAUCAAUAAAUUGUUUAAUAUUAAAAAUUUCUAUUUAUUAUUUAAGAAUACAAAAUAAUAUUUGAGUUGAAAGAAGAUUUUUGUAUUUCUUUUCUUUUUAUCUCAUUUAUGUAGAAUAAAAAUGGUAAACCUUACAGUGGGGGCUACUUGUGGCAUGUCUCAUAAAGUUGUUAUCUAUAUUUUUUUUCUCUCUUGGUUUGUUGAGGAGAAAGGACUAUAUCUAGUAUUGCAUCCCUAUCUAAUAGGAAUAAUAAACUUCCUUUACCCAUAUUGAAAAUCAAUCAAAUUUGAUGACUGUUUGAGAAUCAUAUAUAUAUUAAACAAUAUGAAAAACCAUAAAUGUAGGUGAAAGUAGGCCAAGAAGGUGAUGACCUAUAUAUGACCACAAAGACAAUAUAAUUAUUUUGCAAUUUUUAAUAAUAACACAAUUCCACCACAACUUGAAAUUAUUAUACAAGAGAGACCAACUUUACUAUAAAAUUAUAGAGAAGCAAAUUGGAAAAUGUGUACACAGCCACAUCUAAUCAACAUGAAGCAUUUUUUUUAUUGGAAACUAAUAGUCAAUUAUGAGUAGAAAUUUUAAUUUAUUAACUUACUAGUUGUAACUACUUUUCUUGUUAAAAUUUAAGUUUGGGAUUAUGAGUGCUUGUGGGUUGUUAUAAUGUUGGCAUAUAAAUGCUAGAUUCUUGUUUGAAACUUAAUAUUAUUUGUUGUGUUGUGACAAAUUUGCAGAUGAAAGUUUCCUUACACUAAAACUAAAUUUGGUUAAAUUUGAAAUUCAAAAUUUAAAUUACUUAUAUAUUACAUUUAUAAUUUGAAAAAUGUCUUAAAAAUGUAAGAUAUCUUACGAAAAUGUUGAUAGAAAUUUUGAUUUACUAACUUAUUAGGUUUUAUUUAUUUUUUUUAAAAAAUGGUUUUGUUUUAUUGUUCUUUUUCAUUCAUAUAUAGAAGAAGAUACUAGAGCACCAACACAAACCAAUAGAAAAGGAAGUUGUGAUCAUGACUGAGUUAGAAAUUUGUGAGAAAAGUGACCAAUUGGAGACCGUCCGUACUACAACAGUAAGAUCUACAACAUCAACAACCUUGCAUCAUCUAUGAUUAGACUAAGGGCCUUGAUUAUGCAUAUAAUGGAUCUUCCUUACCUUUUCUGUCUAUGUUGAUAUGGUUAUUUUGGGAUGGCAUUUUAUUAACCUAAUAUUUUAUUUUAUUAACAUACACAUUCUAAUCUUAUAAUCAUUUAAUAUUGUUACAUAUAUUAUCAACGAAGGUAUACAAUACAUAUUUUGAUUUUUGUAAGCAUAUUUUUUAAUGAAAAUUUUCAUUACAAUGUAUUAAUUGGGUACAAAUAGUACUAAAAAUAUAUAUAAUUACACUAUUGAAAUGAAGUAAUCCAAGUAUUCCAACAACUCCCCACUAACUUGCAAGGGCAUGAUAUGAGAUUUUAUUGAAUCCUAUUUAAACCUAUUACUUGUGGCCUUAAAGUUUUCUCAUUAAUUGUUCUUCUAAUUUUUUUAAUUUCCUUUUAUCACAAGGAUAUUGUUUGAAUGCUGCCAAAGCGGGAUAUGAUGUCUUGUUUCCUUUUGUAUGGUGUUGACCUAAUGUGAUCUCUAUUUCACAAGAUUAGAAGAAUGAUUAAAAUGUAUGCUGUUUUUCUCUUGCUUCACUUUUAAUGUGUAGCCUAUAUUGUACUCAAUCUUAGGUGGUGUUUGUUUUUUUACUUAAUUCUAAAUAGAACCUUAAUGCUUAAUAGUGUUAAAUAUUAGGUUGUUUGUUUUUAUAGUAUUUUAUUUCUAUUAAGUAUUAAAAAGUAAAAAAAAAACCAAUAUGUUAUUUUUUCUAUUUAGAAAAAACUACAUAUUUUGGCUUUUUCUAUUUAGUAAAAAGUUUAUAUUAAGUCAUGAAAAAGUAGAAAAACAAAUAAUCUAAAUUCUGAAAACAAAUUGCUUUCAGCAAAAAGCCAAAAAAACAAACACCACCUUAAUGUAAAUCUCAACCAUCAAUACAUCAUUUUAAUUUGUUAGAUAGGUUCAUGAAAAUUUCAUACGAGUUGCUAAUACUAUCGAUAUCUCUUGUACUCAUUUCAAUAUUCUUCAAUUUCUUUAUAAUUGGAUUCCAUUAAUAUACUCAGUAAGUCAUCAUUGACAGUUUCACCCACCUUCAUAGCUUUCUCUCUUUGGUCAAUAAUACCCCUUAACAAUUCUUGUAUCUCUUCGUCAGCUUUCUUUAUUCUUUUGUUUCCUUUCUUUUCGUAAAAAUCUACAUGUAAACAGUCUUGGUUGUAAAUGUCAUGACAUUAAAUAAUAAGAAAAGAUAACUGGAAAGAAAAUUUAUGGUAGUUGUUUAUCCAUUGCUUUAAUUUCUUCUUUUUUUUUCCUCAAUUUUCUUGGAAAUUUCAGGAAGCUUUAAAUUUGUUGAAACAUUUUAUGCUCACCACAACCCUGGGAUGUAAACUAUCAAAAAAAUCUUGAUGGUAAGCUAUGCUAGUUCUUCUUGGAGUAGUAAUAUCCUUCUUCCUUCUUCAUAGCUACUACCAAAUGUUGUUCAAGAAAUGAUAUGACCUUCCAAAUUUUGAAUAUGGAGCCAUACAUUCAAUUAACUUACCUGAACCUUUUGUGGAGACAAUCUCCCAUUUUCUUAUCGUAUUGCUAAAGCUUAAAAGAAAUGUAGGUAAAUAACAGUAAAAAAAAUAUUUAGCACCCAUAUUUUCAUGGUUGGAGGACCAGUCACUGCACAUUUGAAAUAAACAUCUUUAUCUAUGCAAUAUAACUUCCAAACAAUUUUCUUUUUAAAUAGCAUAAAAUAUAAUGUAUAUGAUUAAAAUUAAGAUGGAUAAGAAAACUAAAGAUGAAACUAAAAAGAUUAUAUAAUUUGAACUCUAUCUAUUAGGAUCUCCUUACAAGUAGGCUAAAAGGAAAAAAAAAAAGAAAGAAUACUUCAGUGAUCUUAGGAUGAUUCACAAGCUAAGGUUAGCUAGACGAUCAUUGCAAAGAAAGGAGCAUAAAAAAGAAAAUCCCUAAAACACAUUUUGAAUACAAUUUCAAACACUAUAGAGAACAAAGGCAAAAAAAAAAAAAGUUAGGAUUUCAGAUCCAAAGCAAGGAAAGGAAGAAAAGAAGUUAUUUUUUUCUUUUUUCAGGGAAAACUUCAAGUUGAGAGUUUUAUUUCAACUUAUUUUCCUUUUCCUUAGAGUAUAAUCGUUAGUUUCAUUUCCCAAAGAAUAAAAAAGAAAUAAUUAAUAGAAAAGUAUAUAGAUAGAUAAAUCGGCGUUUUAAUAAAUAUAGAAUUCAUAAAUCUUAAACCUGGAGUUUUUUUGAGGUUUUGAUAAUAAGAAAUUAACACUAUGGUGAAAAUAUCCUAUGGAUUUGUAUUUUUUAUUUUAGAGUGUUUUAAAAAAAGUGUUAGCAAUAAAAGCAAAUCCCACAUUCAUUGAUGUUUUGUUAUUGUGAUUAAAGCCAUAAGGCACUACAAGUGGAGACUAAGAUCAAAUCUCAUACUCAUUGAUGUUUUGUCAUUGUAAAGAAAUCCAUAGGAACUGUAUAUGAAGAUUAUAGGGUUAUUGUGGGGAAACUUUGAGAAUAGUACAAUAUGGUUACGAAAAUUUUUGAAAGUAUAUUUUUGAGGUUGGAAAAUAAUAAGAUGUUUCUUGGGAAUAAUAUGUAUUUGUAAGCCUAGUAGGUUGCACAAGUGUUUUUGGUGUGGUUUUAAGGUAUAGAAGAAUUAAUCUUAAUAAAACGUUAAAUAAAUGAUUUGGAUAGUUGGAUGCAAAAAAAAUUAGGAAAGCAAGUUAAGUCAACCUAAGUACAUGAAAUUGGAUAUUUCCCUAGAUGAAUUAGGGUUAAUUAAUAAAUAAAUAUACACUUAGAGCAGUAUUUAUCAAAACUUUAAUUUGAAUUAUUCCUUUAAAUCUCUCAAUUGAUUCAUAAGAAUUUUCCACAACUCUAUUCCUUUGGAUUUAUCUAUCUUGAGUAUAGGGAUUUUUUGUAAAUAUGUUUUUUUUUGUUAUAAAUAUUCAAAUGUAUUUUUUUUUGUAAAUUCUGAAACUGUUUAAAUACGCUUGAAAUACUAAACUUGAGAAUUAUUUUUAUUUGACUAUAUUUUUUUUCCUUAUAUGUGCAUUCUAGUUAUCUAGCCUAGUUAACAAGGGAAAAAAUGUUGACCUUUGUUACCCUUGGUGGGGCUAAAGAUGAUGUUAAAACCAAGUCAAUAGGGUGUUUAUCAACUUAUGAUAUACCAUUAGAUUGGUUCUGGUUCCAUUCACCAACAUGUAAGGAAUGUCUGAGGUUAGCCACUUCUAUAAGUCCCACUAUGAUGGGCUUUGUUAGGAAAUCGAGUCUUGUUUAUAUGUUGACAAUUUUGUUCCUUUUUAAUUUUGACCAUAGAAGUCUCUUUAGAUAGUGACUUGCUCUCCAUUGAAGAUCAAGAGUUGUUGUUUGUCCAACUGGGAAGUCACAGAUACAUUUAAAAAGGUUUGACUUGUGACAAUUUAGGCUCCUUCGAGGUAGCUACUUGGAGUGAAACGGACUUUGAUGAUAGUGCUUCCAUAGCUUUUGAAGAUGCAAGGUACGAUCUUAAUGACUUCUUAGCUUUUAUUGCAUCUGUGGAAUCUGUGCAUGAUAGUGAUUAUAAUAGUGAUAGUGAUGAUGAGUUUAAUGAUGAACAAAAGGCUGAAUUCUUGAGCAAUCUUGUUAUUGAGCAUGAAAAACUAAUUAAGAAUUAUUUAAAAGAUCAUGAUAUUCUUGAAGCUCAUAAAAACAAGACUGACAUUCUUAAUCUAGAAAAAAUUAAUUUACUUGAGAAAAUUAGAUUUCUUAAGUCUAAGGAUCAUUCUCUUCUUAUGAAGAACAAUACUCUCACUCUAAAGAUCAAGAGUAAUAAGCCUUCUUCAUUUGUAAAUGAAAUAUUUCACCCUAGAACUAAAGUGCUUAAUGAAAUUCUUGAUAAAUGUAAAACCCAUGGUGAUAAAAGAGGUUUUGGGGUAUAUUAACAAAGAUGAAACUCCCUCUAGUGGAGAAACUAUGUUUGUCAAAGGUAAAGAUGAAACCCUUAACCAAACAACAUCUCCUAAAAAGCCAUCACUAUGCAUACACUGUAACAAAACUAGACACUCUCAGUUUAGAUGCUACACUAGGUUCCUAGAAAGGUUUGAAUCUCAAAUGAGUAUGCUAAUGAAUGAUUUUAACUCCCUUAAAAAUAAUAUAUUGAAUAAUGGGAAAGGGAAUAAAACUAAUCAAAAGCUUAGAAGUCAACCUAAUUCCUUUAAGCCACCACCUAGGACUAAACAAGUUUGAUCGAGAAAUGAUAGGGUUAAAUGUCAAGUUGUGUUCAAUGCUCUUAAAGCUAAAUCUUCUUAUGACUGGUACUUUAAUAGCGGCUACUCAAGACACAUGAUUAGAGAUAAAACCUUUUCACAUCUCUUGAGGAUUAUAAUGGUGGGACAGUUACUUUUGGAGAUGGGCACUUAUCAUGUGUGAAAGGCAAGGGAAGUUUAUCUAUCCUUGGUUGUCCUAAGUUAGAUGAAGUUCUCUAUGUUAAUGGACUUAAGGCAAAACUACUAAGCAUUAGUCAAAUUUGUGACAAGGAGCAUAAGGUGAAUUUUUUCCAAGACUUAUGCAAGAUAGUUAGCAAAGAGGGAAAGGUCAUUGUCACAAGACAUAGGAUAGUUGACAACUACUAUGCAAUAAAUCCUAUAUUUAGAACACCUCUUAUGUGCAGUAGGACAAAGGUAGAUCCUAUUGAACUUUGGCAUAGAAGGUUAGGUUGCAUAAACAAUAGGGACCUUGUGCACUUAGUGAACAGUGAAAAAGUUAGAGGCAUCCUUAGACUUAGUGAUGAACGUAAACCCAUUUGUGGUGAGUGUAUGAAAGGUAAACAAACUAAGAGUUCACAUAAAAAGGUUAACCAAAUUAGGAUCGGUAGGCCUUUAUACCUUCUAUAUAUGGAUCUUAUGGGUUUAAUGCGGACUAAGUAGAGGUGGUAAGAAAUAUGUCCUGGUUGUUGUGGAUGAUUUUUCAAGAUACUCCUUUGUGAGUUUUCCUAGGGAAAAGUCAGAGACCGUUGAACAUUUGAAGUCACUAUUCAAUAGAAUACAACGAAAAAUAGGUCAUCCAAUUAUAAGGAUUAGGAGUGAUAGGGGGAAGGAGUUUGACAAUGUGGAUGGCCUCUUUUGCGAGUCUAAAGGAAUUAAACAUGAGUUUUCAACCCCUAAAACUCCUCAAUAGAAUGGAGUGGUUAAAAGAAAGAAUAGAUUGUUACAAGAAAUGGCUAGGGUGAUGAUUCAUAUGCAUAACACCCCUAUGCAAUUUUGGGUAAAGGCAAUUAAUGAAUCCUGUUAUACUACUUAUAUGGUUUUUCUUAUAAUUAUGGACUAGGAGAAAACAUAACCUUAAGUAUUUUAGGACUUUUGGCAGUGAGUGUUAUAUACUCAUGGAUGGGAGAACCUUGGAAAGUUUGAUGCUAAAUCUGAUGUAGGUAUCUUCUUAGGCUAUUCUAUUACUAGUAAAGCCUAAAAGUUUAUAAUCAAAAUUCAUAGAUUAUCUAUGAAUCCUCUAAUGUGGUUAUAAAUAAUGCUAGGUAUGAUCAGGAUAUAAUUGAGAGUCAAAUUUUAACCUAGGAUUUAAUUGAGUAACCCUAAAUAUGUGAAGAUCACGAAAGACAACCCUAAUGAUAUCCCUAAAAGAGACAUUGAUCCUAAUAAGGAUGAAUAUGUACCUCUAAAUGACACGUCUAAUGAAAUGAGGAAUAAGCAUAGAUCUAAAGUACUCAAGAACCACCUAAUUUAAAAUGUUAUAAGUAAUGUAAAUGAACGUGUGACAAUUGAUUAGGUACACAUUUGAUGAACGUGUACCUCUAAAUGAACAUGUACCCAAGAGCUACAUAGGUCUAGCUCGUAUACCUACGGUCUCUACUAAGCGAAUGGAGGAAAUCAUGACAAUUGAUUAAUUAAUCAAGGAUACCAAUAAUAGGACAACAAGACACAUAUAAGUCUUGAGGUGAAAAAAGUGUACAUAAGAAUGUACACAAUUAAUGAAUGUGAAAUGCACAAAAUAGAAUUUAAUUAUUUGUUAAAGUUGCAACAUUUCAAAGGAAGUUCAAAAGAAAUUUAUUUAUAUUGGGAACAAUUUUGAAUUAAAUUUUUCAAACUUAUUUAUUCACAAAGUUUCAAUUUAUUUACAAAAGAUUAUAUUUUUAUUCACAUCCAAAAUUAAUUAAAAAAAAACUUUUCUUGAUUUUAUUAAAAGAAUUUUGAUUGAAUUUGAAUUUAUUAAAGGGAAAAGCUCAAUUUGACCUUCUAUUUAUAAAGAAAUGAUUUUGGCUUACACUUUAUUUAAAAAAAAAAGAAAAAGAUGCCAUAAUUAUAACGAAACAUCAAUUCUAUUUUUGGAAAAGUGAUUUUUACAAGGAAAAGGGGGUUUACUUAUUUUAAUUAUAAGAACCAAAUUUCAAUUUACUAAGAAAAUAAAUUUUUAUAACUUUUAUUUACGAAAAAUAUUUCCAAAUUAAAUUUAUUCAAAAAGAGAUAUUUUUACAACUUUUAUUUUCUUUAGAUUUUUAUUAAAACAAUUUUCAGGAUUUUUUAUUAAAUCAAAAUUUGGAACUUUAUUAAAACUAUUUUGGAAUUCUUUAUUAAAAGAAAAUUUUGAAACUCUUAUUAAGCAAACUUUUGGAAAAUUUUAUCAGACACAAACUUAGAGAACUUUAACUUAAAAUUUUAAGAACUUCAAUUUAAAACACAUUUUAGGGAUUUUGAUUAAAAAACCAACUUUUAGAAAAUUUAUUAAAACACUGAGGAUUUUGGAAACUAACUUUGGGGGUUUUUAUUAAACAACUUUUAGAAGUUAAUAAGACAAACUUUGGGAGUUUAUUAAAAACAAAUUUUGUGAAUUUUUAAGAUUUAUUUUGAGAGUUUAUUAAGACAUGUAUUAAAACUUUUAAGACUUUUAUGGAAACAAACUUUAAGUAAAUUUAAAAGACAUACUUUGAGAACAACUAUUAAAAUAUUUAUUUUGAAAUCUUUAAUUAAGCCGAAUUUGAGAACUUUUAUGAUUUUUACGACUUUUAUGAAAACAAACUUUAAGAAUAUUUGUUUAAACACUUAUUUUGAGAAUUUGCAUUAAACAAACUUAUGAAAAAAAAUGACUUCCUAAAGAACAUUUAUCAACAAAUAAUUUUCAAUUAACAAACUUAUUAAAAUAAAAUGACUUUCUAAAGAAAAUUUAUUAAAACACACUUUUCAAAUAACAAACUUAUUCAAAAAAAAAAAAAAAAAACAACUUUCUAAAGAACAUUUAUAAAAACACAAUUUUCAAUUAACAAACUUAUUAAAAAAAAUGAUUUUUUAAAGAACAUUUAUUAAAACACAAUUUUUAGAAUUUUCAUUAAACAAACUUUUUAAGGGAAUUUCUCAAAUUUUAUGCCUCUUUGUCUUUCAAAGAAGAAUGUUUGAAAUUUUAUGCUUCAUUGGCUUUCAAAGAAUACUUUCACAGUGAGAAAAAUUGUAGAUAUCUAACUUUAAAUUUUGAAAGAUUUGAAAAACAAAUUUAAAAGUUAAAAAAAGAAAAGAAUUUCCCAAAUUUUAUGCCUCUAUCGCUUUCAAAAAAUAGUUUCAGACUUUGUUACAUAAGAAAAUUAGAGUGUGUUCGGCAAUAUUUUCAUUUUUUUUAGUGAAAAUAUUUUAUCUAAAAGUGUUUUCAAGGGAAUUAUUUAUAAAAUACUACAAGUGACUUUUCAAUACUAUAAGUAAUUUGUCAAUGCUACAAAACUGUUUCUUAACUUUUGUCAAACACCUUAAUUUUUUAUUUUUUUAUAAACACUUCUUAGGUUAGAAGUGUUUUUCAAAAACACUGUUAAACAAACUAUCUAACUUUAAAUUUUCAAAUAUUUGAAAAGAAAAAAGUUCAAAGAAUAAAAUUUAAAAGUUUGGCAAACAAGUUAGAAAUGUAAUCAAUUUGAGAUCAAGUAUUAAAGUGCUUCUUGCUCAAGCAAAGGACUAAGUCCUAGAUCAAGGCUUAGGUCCAAAGGUAAGCUAAUGUCACAGACUUAGUCUUUUCCUAAGCCCAUGUGGCACUUAGACAAGUCAAGACACUUUAUCUUGCUAAGUCAGCCUUACUCCCAAUGCUUAGCUUGCUAGGCUAAGAUGCUCACGACUCAGAAGCGUUAGAAGGUGUAGUAGGCAACUCUUAAAGAAUGGAGCUUUUAUUGCUCAAAUGAAGCUUUACAAGUGCUUUUGGGAACUCACUUGCUUGGUUGGUUAAAUUCUUGGGUGGUGCCUUGGCCAAAUGAGGGUCUCACCCAUUUAUAAGCACCAAUGGUACUCUCUAGAACCUUGUAGGGUUCUUUACAACUCAAGAAUAAUCUAGAACUUCCUACACUAGUCUUAUGUAAGGGUAUGUACAAGAUGACUUUGGAAUAUUCUAGAACACCCUACACAAUUCCAAUUCUCUCUUAGCCAAGUGUAGAGAUGUGUGGACAUCUCUAGCCCUCUCCAGAAGCUUCCAUACUCUUCCACUUUGUAGCUAAGUGUAGAUGUCUCCAAGGGUCUCUAGAAGCUUCCCACCUCCUAUAUAAGACCAUGGGAAGGGUCAUUUGAAGCAUCUUGUGACACUCUCCCCCACCUAUUAUUGUGCGAGCAAAAGCUUUGAUGCCAACAAUCACACAUAUGGUACACAAGGUUUUAACGUGGUUCGGCCAACCAUGCCUACGUCCAUGGAUGAGAGAGAAUGAUUCCACUAUACAAUAGAGAAUAUUAUAGAGGACAGAAUCAGAUACAACUUUUGGGUUCCCGCAACAUCCCAUGUUUCCCCACUCCUUGUAUCCAUACCCUACUACGAGCUCUCUCGCUCUACCGAGUACCUCCCGUUCUUUCUCACAUCUCUAUCCAACUCGUAUAGUCUCUACAUGUCCAUCUCCAUCUCAUGACUUUUUCCCCUUAUGACCUAGAAUAUUUAUAAAGAUAUUUUCAACAACCUUCCUUAUUCUAUAUGGAAGUCUAAUAUUACAAUAAUAUAUCAACCUAGAAAUAUUCUAUAUAAUAUUCUUUACAAAAAAAGGAAUCUAUACUAAUUAGGAAUUUGGGACACUUCCUAACAAUCUCCACCUUGGACCAAAUUCCAUGAAGUUAAUCUUCAAUCUCUCCAUGAUACAAACCUUUUUGUAUCAUAUCACCACAAAAGAGCAAUUGACUCCACCUUCAGUGAAAAUUCCUUUUGUUUUCAUUUUGUGUGCUUUGUGAUCUUUUACUCUUCUAGAAAUCUUCAACCCAAGACCAUACUAAAAAACCCUAAUUACAAAAAGCGGUUCCACAAUGGGUUAAACGAGUCUAUCGGCCCAAGCCUUUGCUCCAUGGACUAAGCCUCAAUAAAUCUCCCAUUAAAAAACCAUGCAAUAUUAUUCGGGUCAGGUCGUCAAACCAGAUCAAACAAAACUAAGCUCCACAAAGCCUAACAAAUCUCCCACUUGGAGACUAGUUCAAUCACCAACAUCAAACCGCUAUCCUCCAAGAGACAAUCCCUCAUCCCUGCAACUCAUCCUCCUAUCCUCAAGCUAGAAGACCAAUUGAAGUUGUGCACAACUUCAACUUCUCAAUAGUGACACCCUUAGUCAACAUGUCUGUCGGGUUCUUAAAUCCACAAAUCUUCUCAAGUAUUACUAGUUUAUCUUCAACAAGGUAACGGAUAAAGUGGUAUUUUUUUGUAUAUGCUUCAACUUUGAAUGAAAAGUCGAAUUUUUGGCAAGAAAAAUUGCACUAUGACAGUCACUAUGUAGAAUGUCCAUCUUCUACUUCUUACCCAAUUCAUCUAAGAAACCAUGUAGUCAAAUCAUCUCCUUUCCAGCUUCAGUUGUUGCAACAUACUCAACUUCUGUAGUAGACAAAGUAACAAUCUUCUGUAGAUUUGAAGCUCAUAAUAUAGUUGUACCACUUAGAGUAAAAACAAAACCAGUAGUACUCUUUCUACUAUUAAUAUCACCAGCAAAAUCAACAUCUACAUAACCCUGCAGUUUCAAACUUGCACCUGUGAAGCGAAGACAUGUAUCCAAUGAACCCUUCAGAUAUCUUAAUAUCCACUUGACUGCCUCCCAAUGCUGCUUUCCAGGCUUACUUAUGAAUUUGCUCACAACUCCUACUGCAUGUGCAAUGUCUGGCCUUGUACACACCAUAACAUACAUCAAGCUGCCAAUAGCUGAGGCAUAGGGCACCUUGCUCAUAUGACCCCUUUCUUCUUCCGUCUUCGGUGACUAUUCUUUGCUUAGUUUGAAAUGACUCCUCAAGGGUGUGCUCACUGGUUUAGCUUCAUUCAUGUUGAACAUGCUGAGAACUUUCUUCACAUACUCUGACUGUGAAAGCUUCAAUGUACCAUUAGCCUUGUCUCUAAUGAUUCUCAUACCAAGGAUUUGCUUUGCAACUCCCAAAUCCUUCAUUGCAAACUGUUUGGACAAUUGCUUCUUCAGAUUAUUAAUCUUCUCAAUGCCAGACCCUGCAAUAAGCAUAUCAUCCACAUACAAUAGUAAUAUGAUGUAAGAGUUAUCAAAAAACUUAACAUAGCAACAGUGAUCAGCUUCACAUCUCUUGAACCCAAUUCUAUGCAUAAAACUGUCAAACUUCUUGUACCACUAUCUAGGAGCUUGUUUAAGGCCAUACAAGCUCUUUCUCAGUUUGCAAACUAGAUUCUCUUGUCCUUGAACAAUGAACCCUUCUGGUUGAAUCAUGUAAAGGCCUUCCUCCAAGUCACCAUGAAGGAAUGUUGUCUUCACAUCUAAUUGCUCAAGAUGUAAGUUUUCUGCAACCACCAUUCCCAGUACAAGUCUGAUUGUUGACAUCUUCACAACUGGAGAAAAUAUCUCUGUGUAAUCAAUGCCCUCAUUCUGCUGAAACCCUUUAACAACUAAUCUGGCCUUAUAACGUUUGCUACCAUCAUGCUCAUUCUUUAUUCUGUAUACCCACUUGUUAUGCAAAGCCUUCUUUCCUACUGACAAUUCAGUCAGUUCCCAUGUCUGAUUCCCCAACAAGGAAUCCAUCUCAUCCUUCAUGGCUAACUCCCACUUGCUUGAAUUCUCAUCUUGUAAAUCUUCAUCAUAACACUUUGGCUCACUACCAUCACUCAACAGGAGAUAAUUUAAAACAGGUGAAUAACGCUGUGGAGGUCUAAUGUUCCUGGAAAAUCUGCGAACUUCAGCUACAGGUGUACUCAAAUCUACCUGAGAAUUUACAUUCUCCUUAUCUUCUUCACCCCCUUUUUGGACAGUACUUUCAGUCAAUUCAUCUAAGUUGAUAAACUCAGAUUUCUUUUGAUCUAUCUCUGUAACAUCUGACACUACAAUUGACAUGUCCUUGUACAUAACCUGUUCAUUAAAUAUCACAUUUCUACUUCUGAUGAUUUUCCUGUUUUGUUCAUCCCAAAACCUAUAGCCAAAUUUCUCAUCACCAUAACCAAUGAAAAAGCAUAUUUUAGACUUUGCAUCAAGUUUACUACGAGCAUCAGAAUCAAUAUGAACAUAAGAAACACAACCAAAAACUUUUAAAUGUGAAAACUUUACCUCUUUAUCGCUCUAAACCUCCUUAAGAAGUCUGAACUCCAUGGGAACUGAUGGUCCUUGGUUUAUCAGGUAGGCUACAGUGCUAACAGCAUCAGCCCAAAAAGUUUUUGGUAGUCCAACAUGCAACCUCAUACUUCUAGCAAGCUCAUUGAGAGUUCUGUUCAUGCGCUCAGCCACACCAUUUUGCUGUGGUGUCCCAAGAAUGGUCUUCUCCAUCCUAAUUCCCUGUGCAACACAAUACUCACCGAACCCUCCAUCUAUGUACUCUCCUCCAUUAUUUGACCUCAAACAUUUUACUUUCAAACCUAUUUCUGUCUCAACCAUGGCCUUCCAUUUCUUAAAAUUUUCAAAUACAUUAGAUUUAUUUUUCAGAAAAUAAACUCAUACCUUUCUGCUUGAGUCAUCAAUAAAACUGAUGUAGUACCUUGAACCUCCAAGGGAUGCAACCGGAGAAGGCCCCCACAAAUCAAUGUGUACUAGUUCUAAUUUUUUAGCCUUCAGUGUCCUGCCAGUUUUCAAGAAGCUCACAUUUUUUUUGCUUUCCUAAGAUGCAACUUUCACACAUGUCAAAAUCAAUGGACUUUAAUUCUGGUAGUUUUCCUUUUGACAACAACAUCUUCAUCCAUUUCUCACUCAUGUGACCAAGUUUGCGGUGCCAUAGGCUUAUAUCAGUACUUGCAUUAGCAACUGCAAUUGUGUCUCUUGGACAUGAGGUCAUAUACAGAGUACAAGUCUUCUUUCCACAAGCCAAUACCCUAGCUUCCUUUGUAACCUUCUAAGUACCACCAACAAAUAGUAUUGCAUGUCCUUCAUCAUCAAGUUGUCCAACAGAAAUCGGAUUCCUCUUCAGGUUAGGAAUAUCUCAAACCUUCUCCAGUAACCAAAUAAACCUAUUGGGCAACAAUAUUCGGACGUUUCCCAGACCCACAACAUCCAAGGCUGAACCAUCAGCCAAAUACACCUUACCAAAAUCACCCGCAACAUAAUUCUGUAUGAUUUCUCGAUGUGGAGUGGUAUGAAAUGAAGCUUCUGAAUCCAAAACCCAAUAAUCAAGUAGACUGUCUACUGCAAGAAGUAAUGCAUCUUGUACCUCUUCUGUUACAGCAUUAGUAGAAUCAUCUUCAUUCUUCUUCUUAAGACUUUUGUAUUGCCUUCUAAAGUGACAUGUUUUCCCACAGUUCUAUCAUAGUACUUGUUGGCCUGAUCUAGAUUUGCUUUUAUUUCGAUUAGAAUUUUUGGAUUUUGAUCUACCCCGGUUUGAAUUUUUUUCAUUACCUCUGUCUCUUGUCUCAAGGUUUAGGACAUAACUAGAUCCUGAGGUUUCGCUUGCAUCUCUUCGACGAAUCUCCUCAACUAGAAUUAAAUCUCAUAUAUCAUUGUACUUGAGUUUUUCCUUUCCCGUAGAAUUGCUUACUGCCAUCCUCAUUGCCUCCCAACUGUUUGGCAAAGAAGCCAAGAUGAUCAGAGCACGAAUCUCAUCAUCAAAAUCAAUUUCUACAGACGACAAUUGAUUUGUGAUUGUAUUAAAUUCAUUUAGAUGUUGUGCUACUGAGAUAUUUUCUACCAUCUUCAAAUUGAAUAAUUUCUUCAUCAGAUGCACCUUAUUGUUUGUGGACAGCUUUUCAUACAUACCAGACAAAGCCUUCAUCAGAUCUACUGUGGUCUUCUCUUUUACAACGUUGUGUGCAAUAGACCUAGACAGAGUUAACCUAAUAACUCUUGGAACCUGUCUGUCAAGAAACGCCCAUUCCUCAACCUUCAUACUCUCAGGUUUUGUCCCCAAAAGAGGCAGAUGCAAUUUCCUCCCAUAGAGAUAAUCUUCAAUCUACAUCCUCCAAUAUGCAAAAUCUGUGCCAUCAAAAUUUCUAUUAUAGACGCCUUUCCUGCUUCCUCUGCCAUUGCUCCCACUCAAACCUAACCCUAGGCUCUGAUACCAGUUGUUGUGCCAGUGAAAGCUUUGAUGCCAACAAUGUUAGUUCAAGAACACAAAGAUAAAACAAUCACACAUAUGGUACACGAGGUUUUAACAUGGUUCGGCCAACCAUGUCUUGAUUCAUGCCCAGUCGAUGUAUCAGUUGACUUAUGUCCAGCUGGUGCUCCUUGAUUGACGUAGUAAUCAACAAAAUUUAUAACCUAUUACACCAUGAACUAGGGUAGCAGAGACAAAGCUACUAUAGUAUAGUGGCUCUAGGAUCGUUCACUGGGAAGGGUUUUCAACUCAUAACUGAUACCAAUUCAAAGCUGAGUUGGUGCUUUUUCAUUUCAAGGUUAGCUUUAAAAGAAAACAUAAAGUUGUUUGAGUGAAAAGGGUUUGGUUUUAAACUAACCAAAAAGAAAGUAAUGGAAAUUACUUAUGAAGAAAAACAUUCCUUGAAGGUUUAGGUUCACAGGGGAGAUUCCUUAUACAAAACAGAGCUCCGGUCAUUUGGUUUGUUUCCUCGCAUUAGAGAAUUAACAUAUAGUCAAUUCUCUAACCGGUGUUGUACAGAUGUAACCUUUAAAUAGAUUCCAGCUCUAAUUCCCUCUCACUGAUGCAACUUGCAAUAACUCGUGCCUCUCAUCUAGCAUUUGCCAUCAAGGUGAUCUUUAACUUUGGAUUUCCCUUCUCAAGCUCGCAAGAGAUAACUAAUGGAAGUCUCCUCGGAGUCCAAAAGCUUACUAAAUGUUGGCAAUUCUAGAAAAUCCUACCUCCAAGUCACUUCCCAAAAGCUUGCAAGAGAUAAACAAGUGCAUCUCCAUGGACGAAGAUCACGUGUCUUACCAAGUACUGGCUCAAGUGAUUUGAAGGUGUUUUAAGUUAACUAAAAACAUAGAAAUCAUUAAAGGAUCAUACUUUCUCUUCAUUAAUCACUGAAACCACAAAGCUACUAAUUCUUGCACUUAGAACCUUUCCCUACAACCUUAACUCCAAGGAAUUAAAAGUCUAGCCACUCAUUCUUUGAGGAAAUUUCCUCAGAGCUUGUUUGGCUAGUAAGAAAACUAACAAGAAAACAAAUAUAUGAUAGAAAACCAGAGCAAGUGCUCUGGAAAUAUAUUUCUUGCUUUUCUUGAUUACAAUAUAGAUCGAUACUCUUUCGAUUCGAUAUCCUCUGUAAAGGAAAUUACAAACUAUUUAUAUGGGUUUAUUCACCCUUUUUAUUUACUUAAAAACUAAGGAAUCCCAUGAUAGGUGGAUUACAAGGAGAGUUUGGGAAUUUAGACAACAAAUAUCUAAAGCAAAAUAUCCCAAAAUAUCGCUCGAAAAUGUCAGGAAGGUUCAGGAGAACACCAUUGCACUAUACUGAGAGAAAAACUUUGCAGGUAAGCGUUAUCAGAAGGUCCGGAUAUGUAUAUCCGGAGAAGUCGAAGCGUCCUCCUCUCCCAUCCGGCUAUAGGAUAUUCGGAUGUAAAAUGUUGGCGCACGGAACGUCCUCCUUUCCCAUCCGGAUGUGAGAUAUCCGGAUGAAAAAUGUCGGCGCACAGAACUCGUGAAAAUCACACCCGGCUGAUAGCAUAUCUUAUUUGAAUAUGUUGUCCGGAUGCCCUUCGAUGGUAUAUCCGGACGCCCUGUCCGGGUAUACUCCUUGUAUGGAUUCCAAAGAACUCUCCUCAAUCUCAGAUUUGCUUUGGUGAUAAAAAAGCUAUCAAAACACCAAAACUUAACACAAUUUGAUUAGAAUUGAUUGCAAGGGUCCUUACUAUGUUAAUUGGGUUAAAAGGUGAUAACUACUACUCAAAAGUAUUUAAAAGAGUUAAUUACUGGUUAUCAAAUAGCACUUUUUGAGUAGUAAUCACUCCCCCCAACCGACAUAUUGCUAGUCCCUUAGCAAUGAAGGAGAGAAAAAAAAACAGUACUAUAAUUUACAACAUCAUGCUGAACAAAAAACAAUUUCCUAGCGGCAUGAUGAUCUAACUCUCACAUGGAACAUUAAAGAAAUAAAACUCAAACUUCAACAAGAGUUAUCAAAUAACUUGUCUAAUCACAAUUCUUAAAGAGAAGGCUUUAUGCAAAUUUAAGCUUUAAAAGAGUUUCCACUCCCAAAGGGUCAAACCUUACUCUUCCACAAAAAUCUAAGUGUUAUUUAUUAGCUUCCGAAUAUAGUAUGUAGAACUAAUCUCUCCUCCCAAUCUAGUUUUUUUUUUUCAAAGCUUAGCAAACUGGUCAACCUCCAAUAUGCUAAGAACGCACCUCAUUUUUUUCACAACAAUUUUUUUUUCAUUGUAGGAGUACAAGGCUUAAAGGUAUUAUUUUCUAACUUGUCCAUGUAACGGGGGUCCAUCGAUGACUCCCAACCAAUUAAGGUUUAGGGCAUCAAGCUUUAAGGAUAUUUCAACCACUAGCUCCUCGGAUUUUACCCCGGACUUUUGAGAAUGAAUUUUAAUACCCCAGCACCUACAGUAUGUUAGACUCCACCUAUCCACCCUUGUUACGAGCAUUGAGGUCGGUGACUCCCAACCAAUGAAGGCUUAGGGCACCUGGUUUUAAAGAUUUUCACCAUAUAUCCCUCAGACCUUGCUCGGGUUUCAAGGCAAGCAAACAUUUUUUCUUUCUUUUUCCAAAGGCUCAUUGGCCUUUUACAAGGUGUCCCAACACUAUUAAAUGAGGUCAAAGGUACCAAGUCUAAAAUUUUCCUAAGUCAAGAGGGAAAUAGUUUUUCAUCUUAUACUCGGAACCUAUUGUGCACAGUGUGUGAAUAGCUUAAAGUGGAAGACAUAAGCUUGACUUCAAUAGAAGUUUCAACAAUUCAUCAACUUUAAUAAGCAUAAUACAAACUCUAAGUCAAGUGAAAAGAUAAAAAUUCAAUUUCUCCCAUUCCAUUUUGAAAAUUUUUCCUUAAUAACCAUGGAGAGUAGAAUAAAAACUUUUAAAAAUUUUAAAAUUUAAGCAAAAAGCAACUAAAUUACCAAAAUAACUUAGCAUUAUUAAUAAAAACUUCCUUCCUCAACUCUCCCCCCAACCAAGCUCAACAUUGUCCUUAAUGUGACAACAGCGAUUGAAAAAUAGGGAGGAAGUGGUACCUCCUAAGUGACGUGGAAUGAUGGCUCAGCGGCUUCUCCUGUACUCCCAUUCCAUUUUGAAAAUUUUUCCUUAAUAAUCAUGGAGAGUAGAAUAAAAACUUUUUAAAAUUUUAAAAUUUAAGCAAAAAGCAACUAAAUUACCAAAAUAACUUAGCAUUAUUAAUAAAAACUUCCUUCCUUAACUCUCCCCCCAACCAAGCUCAACAUUGUCCUCAAUGUGACAACAGUGAUUGAAAAAUAGGGAGGAAGUGGUACCUCUUGAGUGACGUGGAAUGAUGGCUCAGCGGCUUCUCCUGUAGGAGGCUCCGGAUGAGGUGGGAAUGGUAUGCUCAGGAGCUGAUGUACUGUCAAGAUGAUGCUGAAUCUGCCUCAGGACGGCAGUGUGCUGGGCCUGAGUGGCAAGAAUCUGCUCCUGCUGAUUCUAAUCAUUCAAAAAGCUAGUUACAAUUAACAUAAUUUAAAACCAAAAUUACAAUCCAAUAAUUUACAAAACUUAAAAAUUAACAUAUUUAACAAAAUUAUGGACUUUGGUGAAACCAAGUCCAUCUAACCCUUCUCUGUUCAGGAUUUCUAUGGCUCAAGGAGGUUGAUUUCCUCCUUUUCUGGCUUGAACGGCUCAAUGUAUGGCUUGAGACGAUGCCCAUUCACUUUGAAAGUUUGAGUGCUCUUGAAGUUGAGUAGUUCCACUACUCCAUUUGAUUGCACGUCAUGAAUUAUGAAAGGACCCGUCCAUCUUGAUUUCAAUUUUCCCGGAAAAAGAUGGAGUUUAGAGUCAUAAAGCAAGACUCUUUGUCUCUUGAUAAAAUUCUUCUGAUUUACCAACUGAUCAUGCCAUUUCUUCAACCUCUCUUUUGCAAUUUUUGAAUUGAGGUAAGCAUCAUUCCUCAUUUCCUCCAAUUCGUUCAAAUGCAAAUAUCUCUUUAACCCGGCACUUGUCAAAUCCAUGUUGAGCUUCUUGAUCGCCCACCAUGCUUUAUAUUCAACCUCCACUGGGAGAUGGCACGCUUUGCCAUAAACAAGGCGGUAAGGAGACAUUCCAAGAAUGGUCUUAUAAGCAGUCUAUAAGCCCAUAAUGAAUCCAGGAGCUUAGUAGACCAAUCCUUCCUAUUCACAUUCACCACCUUCAUCAGGAUAUUCUUGAUUUCCCGGUUGGCUAACUCAACUUGGCCACUUGUUUGAGGGUGAUAAGGUGUAGCUACCUUGUGCUUGACCCCAUAUUUGGCUAGAAGAGUCUCAAACGACUUAUUGCAAAAGUGGGUUCCUCCAUCACUGAUAAUGGCCUUAGGCACUCCAAACCUUGAAAAUAUGUUCUCCUUGAGAAAUUUGAGAACCACCUUAUGAUCAUUGCUCCUACAUGGGAUUGCAUCUACCCACUUAGAGACAUAAUCCACUCCCACCAAAAUGUAGGAGUGUCCAAAUGACAUUGGAAAUGGUCCCAUGAAGUCUAUCCCCCAAACAUCAAAGACAUCCACUAUCAAGAUGGGGUUCAAGGGCAUCAUAUUCCAGCGUGUUAGCUUCCCAAGCCUUUGACACCAAUCACAUCCCUUGCACAUAGAGUGGGCAUCCUUGAAAAGAAAGGGCCACCAAAAACCUGAUUAGACCACUCUCAUGGCUGUUUUCUGGGAGGCAAAAUGACCUCCACAUGCACUAUCAUGACAAUGGGAUAGAAUUCCUGAUUGCUCUUGUUCAGGAACACAUUUCCUUAUGAUUUGAUCCGCACAAUAUUUGAAGAGAAAAGGCUCCUCCCAAUAAUAGGCAUGGAUCUUAGCAAAGAAAUGCUUCUUGUCUUGGGCACUCCACUCACUUGGAACUUCUCCAGUAACCAAGUAAUUUACAAUGUGAGAAUACCAUGGAGUUACCUCUAUUGACAUGAGAGACUCCUCAGGGAAGUCAUCAUUAAUAGGUAGACCAUGUGAGUCAUGUGCUAUCACAAGUCUGGACAAGUGGUCAGCUACCACAUUUUCUACUCUCUUCUUAUCCCGGAUUUGGAUAUUGAAUUCUUGAAGCAGAAGGAUCCAUCUUUUCAAUCUUGCCUUGGCAUCUUGCUUGGUUAGCAAGUACUUUAGAGCAGAAUGGUCAGUGAACACCACUAUAAAGGACCCUACCAAAUAGGCACGAAACUUAUCCAAGGUAAAAACUACUGCCAACAACUCCUUCUCAGUAGUUGUGUAGUUCCUUUGAGCCUCAUUCAAAGUUUUGCUUGCAUAAUAAAUCACAUAGGGCUUUCCAUCUUCUCUUUGCCCCAAAACAGCCCCCAUAGCAAAAUCACUUGCAUCACACAUUACCUCAAAAGGUAAUUUCCAAUUUGGGGCUCUCACUAUUGGUGCAGUUGUAAGGAAUUGCUUCAGUUCCUCAAAACUCUUCUGGUAUUUCUCAUCCUACACAAACUUGACAUCCUUUACCAAUAGUUCACAAAGAGGUUUUAAGAUUUUUGAGAAAUCCUUAAUGAACCUCCUAUAGAACCCGACAUGUCCUAGGAAUUGCCUAAUUCCUUUAACAUUUGUGGGAGGUGGCAACUUAACAAUUAGCUCCACCUUUGCCUUAUCUACCUUAAUGUCAUUCUUGGAGAUUAUAUGUCCUAAGACAAUUCCUUUUUGUACCAUAAAAUGGCACUUCUCCCAAAUUAGCACUAGGUCUUUCUCAAUACAUCUUUGGAGAACAGCUUCUAAAUGCAACAAACACUCCUUAUAAGAACAUCCAUAAACAGUGAUGUCAUCCAUAAAGACUUCCAUGAUGCGUUCUACCAUAUCACUGAAGAUGCUUAGCAUACAUCUUUGGAAAGUUGCAGGUGCAUUACAUAGACCAAAGGGCAUCCUCCUAUAGGCAAAAGUACCAAAGGGGCAAGUGAAGGUUGUCUUUUCCUGAUCUUCCAAAUCAAUUUCUAUUUGGAAGUACCCCGAGUAACCAUCUAGAAAACAGUAGAAAGGAUGCCCUGAGAUUCUCUCAAGGACUUGGUCCAUGAAAGGCAAUGGGAAAUGGUCCUUCCUAGUCGCUGAAUUUAACCUCCUGUAGUCUAUACACACCCUCCAUCCGGAGGUAAGACGUGUAGAGACUUCCUCCCCUUUUUCAUUCUGGAUCACAGUAAUUCCAGAUUUCUUUGGAACUACUUGGGUUGGGCUCACCCACAAGCUGUCUGUAAUGGGAUAUAUGAUCCCUGCUUGAAGUAGCUUCAAAACUUCACCUCUUACUACCCCUUGCAUGUGAGGAUUCAACCUCCUCUGGGGCUGCCUCACUGGUUUUGCAUCUUCCUCCAUGUAGAUAUGGUGGGUGCAUACCAAAGGGCUAAUCCCUUUCAGAUCAGAAAUUUGCUAUCCAAUGGCCUUUUUGCAUUUUAUGAGGACUCCCAAAAGGCUAUCCUCUUGAUCAGUGGUGAGCUUUGAAGAAACCACCACUGCACAUUUCUCAUCUUUCUCCAGAUAUGCAUACUUCAAAUCAACAGGAAGUGGCUUCAAAACUGGUUUUGGAGGGUCCUCCGUAGCUGCUCCUUGUGAGUCCUCCUUAUUGAACAAGGGCAAGAUCUCUUCCCUUCUCCUCCAAGGAGACAUGAUGGCUAAUGGUUCAAAGGGUUCAGGUAACCCUGCUUCAAGCACUCCAAUGCUUUCAUUCAAGCUUUCUUCUAAAUUCUUGUCACAAUGCUCUUCAACCAACGUGUUGAUCAAGCACACCUUCUCCAAUCCUUCCUCCUCUUCGGGUUGAAGAUGCCUCUUGCAUAGGUGGAAUAUGUUUAGUUCCAAGGUCAUGUUCCCAAAUGUGAGCUGCAUAACCCCAUUCCUAUAAUUGAUGAUGGCAUUGGAGGUAGCUAGGAAAGGUCUCCCAAGGAUGAUUGGCACAUAAUUUGGUUCCUUAAUAGUGAGAUCAGUAUCAAGCACCAAAAAAUCCACGAGAUAGUAGAAUUUGUCCACUUGAACUAGAACAUUCUCAAUCACCCCCCUUGGGAUUUUGACCGACCUAUCAGCUAAGGAGAGAGUGAUGGCUGUGGGCUUCAAUUCUCCAAGUCCCAGUUGCUUAUACACAGAGUAUGGGAGCAAAUUCACACUUGCCCCCAAGUCUAAUAGAGCCUUCUCCACAUGUGUCCCUCCAAUGUUGGUUGAAAUGGUGGGACAUCCCGGAUCUUUACACUUAACUGGAGACUUACUCUGAAUGAUGGCACUUACUUGCUCAGUGAGGAAUGCCUUCUUUGUCACAUUUAACCCUCUCUUAACCGUGCACAAGUCCUUUAAAAUUUUUACAUAUGUGGGGACUUGCUUGAUCAUAUCAAGUAAGGGUAUAUUCACCUUCACUUGUCUCAAAACUUCAAGAAUUUCUGAUGAAUUCUUGAUUCCCUUCUUUCCAUGUAAAGCUUGAGGAAAAGGGGGAGGCAUAUGUUUCUUCAUCAUAUCCUCUUUAAUCACUAUCCUUGGCUCUUCUUCAAUGCUUGAUUUAGAUGCAUUUUUCUUCCCACUCUCCUCUUCUUGGUUAUUGCUCUCUUUAACCAAGGUUUUCCUUGACAUGAAUUCUUCGUCUUGUCUCACCUUAGGCAAGGGUUGAUCAACCUCCUUCCCACUUCUCAAGGUGAUCACAACUUUGACCUUCCUCAACUUUGAAGACUCUCCAUCUUGGGUUUCAACUUCAUGAACACCCUUAGGAUUUUGGCUUGGUUGAGAGGGGAACUUUCCCUUCUCAUUCACUGUGUUGAGGUUGGUAAGCCUAGAGAUGGAGUAUUGACUAUUAUCUAUCUUCUGAGAUAGAUCAUUCUGCAUCCCAUCCAUUCUCUUAAUUUGAGAACUCUCAACAUUUUCAAUCUUUUGGUGCAAUUGGGAGUUGAUUGCCUUUUGUUCACCCACAAAGUCACCCAUGACUUUACUUAGGUUUACAAUGGCUUGCUCCACUGAAGAGGUUUGUUGAGGUGCUUGGGUUUGGGCUUGUGGUUGGUAUGGAGGUGGCCUUGGUUUCCAAGAAAAAUUUGGAUGGUUUCUCCAGCUUGAAUUAUAGGUGUUUCCAUAAGGUGCAUUGUUGUUGGGCUUAAAUUGCCCCACAACAUUGGCUUGAUCACCUAAGAUCUCCCUCACAGCUGGGAUGGUUGGGUACUCAUCUACCACAUGAUCACAUGAUUGGCAAAUGGUGUAUGGCAUGACAUGGACUUGUGUCUUUGAAAUGGCUUGGACUUCAUGCAUUUUUUUCAACUCAAGUUCUUCCAACCUCCUUGCCAUUGUUGCCACCUUAGUUUUCAUGUCCACGUCUUCACUUAACAUGUACAUUCCACCCUUUGGAUUUACAGGAGCUUUCAUCCUUCCCACUUCUCCUCUAUGCGGUUCAUCCCAUCCCCUUGAGACUUCAGCUACAUAACUCAAGAAAUCCAUAGCUUCCUCAGGAUUCUUACUCAUGAAAUCCCCUCCACACAUUGUUUCGAGGAGCUGCUUCAUUGAGGAAGACAUCCCAUCAUAGAAAUAACUUACCAACAGCCAUGUAUCAAAGCCAUGGUGAGGACAAGCAUUAAUGGCUUCUAUGUAUCUUUCCCAACACUCAUAGAAUUUCUCAUUCUCUUUAGCUAAGAAGUUUGAAAUUUGUCUUUUCAAGCUGUUUGUUCUGUGAGUAGGAAAAAAUUUCUUGAGGAAUUCUACUUGUAAAUCAGUCCAAGUACGGAUACUCCUUGGCCUUAAAGAAUUAAGCCAAAUCUUGGCCUUAUCCUUUAAAGUAAAAGGAAAUAGUUUAAGCCUCAUCAGGUCAAUAGAAGCUCCUCCCUCUCGGAAUAUAUUACAAACAUCUUCAAAUUCCUUGAUAUGGGAAUAAGGAUUCUCACUUUCCAUUCCGUGGAAAGUUGGCAGAAGUGGCACAAUAUAGGGUCUGAUUACUAGCUGUUCUGUAGGAGGCACUAUACAUGACGGUGCACUCAUACGAGGUGGAUGCAUAUGGUCCCUCAUUGAUCUGAAUUCAUUGGGAUUGUCCUGAUGAUCAUGGUGACUAUGCUGAUCCUCAGGUGUAGUUUCCAUGAUGUUCAAGAUUACUUCCAACUCCUUGUUAUGAGGUGUUUCAAUUUUAACAAGCCUUCCUCCACAAUCUCGUAUCCACUUGGGCAUACACAACUAGUAUCAACUGUAACAAAGAAAGAAAAAGAAAAACAGAGGAAAACAAAAAAACAAAACUACCAAAAAGAGUUCAAUUAACUAAAACUAAAUUCAAAACUAUGCUAGAAUAUAUAAACUAGUAAAAGAGAAAAAAAAAAAACUAAAAGAGUUAGUAAAAUGAGAGAAAACUCACCAAACUUGUGAUGAAAACCACAAGUUCCAUGAAAUAAUAUCAAUAUGAAGUUGGCACCUUCCCCGACAACGAAGCCAUUUGAUUUGUGCCCAGUCGGUGUAUCAGCUGACUUAUGUCCAGCUGGUGCUCCUUGAUUGAGGUAGUAAUCAACAAAAUUUAUAACCUAUUACACCAUGAACUAGGGUAGCAGAGACAAAGCUACUAUAGUAUAGUGGCUCUAGGAUCAUUCACUGGGAAGGGUUUUCAACUCAUAAUUGAUACCAAUUCAAAGCUGAGUUGGUGCUUUUUCAUUUCAAGGUUAGCUUUAAAAGAAAACAUAAAGUUGUUUGAGUGAAAAGGGUUUGGUUUUAAACUAACCAAAAAGAAAGUAAUGGAAAUUACUUAUGAAGAAAAACAUUCCUUGAAGGUUUAGGUUCACAGGGGAGAUUCCUUAUACAAAAACAGAGCUCCGGUCAUUUGGUUUGUUUCCUCGCAUUAGAGAAUUAACAUAUAGUCAAUUCUCUAACCGGUGUUGUAUAGAUGUAACCUUUAAAUAGAUUCCAGCUCUAAUUCCCUCUCACUGAUGCAACUUGCAAUAACUCGUGCCUCUCAUCUAGCAUUUGCCAUUCAAGGUGAUCUUUAACUUUGGAUUUCCCUUCUCAAGCUCGCAAGAGAUAACUAAUGGAAGUCUCCUCGGAGUCCAAAAGCUUACUAAAUGUUGGUAAUUCUAGAAAAUCCUACCUCCAAGUCACUUCCCAAAAGCUUGCAAGAGAUAAACAAGUGCAUCUCCAUGGACGAAGAUCACGUGUCUUACCAAGUACUGGCUCAAGUGACUUGAAGGUGUUUUAAGUUAACUAAAAACAUAGAAAUCAUUAAAGGAUCAUACUUUCUCUUCAUUAAUCACUGAAACCACAAAGCUACUAAUUCUUGCACUUAGAACCUUUCCCUGCAACCUUAACUCCAAGGAAUUAAAAGUCUAGCCACUCAUUCUCUGAGGAAAUUUCCUCAGAGCUUGUUUGGCUAGUAAGAAAACUAACAAGAAAACAAAUAUAUGACAGAAAACCAAAGCAAGUGCUCUGGAAAUAUAUUUCUUGCUUUUCUUGAUUACAAUAUAGAUCGAUACUCUUUCGAUUCGAUAUCCUCUGUAAAGGAAAUUACAAACUAUUUAUAUGGGUUUAUUCACCCUUUUUACUUACUUAAAAACUAAGGAAUCCCAUGAUAGGUGGAUUACAAGGAGAGUUUGGGAAUUUAGACAACAAAUAUAUAAAGCAAAAUAUCCCAAAAUAUCUCAAAAAUAUCGGUCGAAAAUAUCAGGAAGGUUCAGGAGAACACCGCUGCACUGUACUGAGAUAAAAACUCUACAGGUAAGUGUUAUUAGAAGGUCCGAAUAUGUAUAUCCGGAGAAGUCGAAGCGUCCUCCUCUCCCAUCCGGCUAUAGGAUAUCCGGAUGUAAAAUUUCGGCGCACGGAACGUCCUCCUUUCCCAUCCGGAUGUGAGAUAUCCGGAUGAAAAAUGUCGGCGCACAGAACUCGUGAAAAUCACACUCGGCUGAUAGCAUGUCUUAUCCGAAUAUGUUGUCCGGAUGCCCUUCGAUGGUAUAUCCGGAUGCCCUUCGAUGGUAUAUCCGGACGCCCUGUCCGGGUAUACUCCUUGUAUGGAUUCCAAAGAACUCUCCUCAAUCUCAGAUUUGCUUUGGUGAUCAAAAAGCUAUCAAAACACCAAAACUUAACACAAUUUGAUUAGAAUUGAUUGCAAUGGUCCUUACUAUGUUAAUUGGGUUAAAAGGUGAUAACUACUACUCAAAAUUAUUUAAAAGAGUUAAUUACUGGCUAUCAAAUAACACUUUUUGAGUAGUAAUCAUGUCUACAUCCACGACUGAGAGAGAACGAUUCCACUAUACAAUAGAGAAUAUUAUAGAGGACAGAACUAGAUACAACUAUUGGGUUCCCGAAACAUCCCAUGUUUCCCCACUCCUUGUAUCCAUACCCUACUACGAGGUCUCUCGCUCCACCGAGUACCUCCCGUUCUUCCUCACAUCUCUAUCCACCUCGUAUAGUCUCUACAGGUCCAUCUCCAUCUCAUGACUUUUUCCUUUUCAUGACCUAGAAUACUUAUAGAGAUAUUUCCAACAACCUUCCUUAUUCUAUAAGGAAGUCUAAUAUUACAAUAAUAUAUCAACCUAGAAUUAUUCUAUAUAAUAUUCUUUAUAAAAAAAAGAAUCUAUACUAAUUAGGAAUUUGGGAUGCUUCCUAAUACCUAUGCCAUCGACGUCCCCAUUGUGGCCUCUUCUUGAAACUUCUUGAUGUGUUUCCAAAACCUUCUCAAGGCAUCUGCAUGUUCCCAGCUUACUUGCCUCUUAGGUAGUCUUUUCCAUCGAACUAGAUACUCUAUCACAGGAAGGACCCCUUAUCUCUUGGUAACUUGUUCAAAUAGGAUAUUCUUCACCUCUUUCUCUUGUGAGGCCUGAGAUGAAUGCAAACACUUGCAUUUUCGAUGCUUGGAGUGCUGCUUCCUAUUGCUUAUUGAGUUCACCUUUUCCUUAGUGACCUUGUCCAUGUGUGUGUGGGCUACCACAACUCGCUCCUCUUUUGCCUCUUUUACUUGCACCCUUGAUAGUAAGAAGGUCUUAGGAAUACUAGGCUUUGGGUUGGAGGGUACCUAGUAGCUGCAUCAAGCCCAUAUGUGCUUCGCCUUCCUAUUUCCUCUCUUCGAUCAUGGCCUGAGCGCCUUCCUCUUUGGGCAAUCCUAUGCCCAAUGUGGAUCGUCACACAGGAAGCAUUUGAUUCUAGGCGUAAACUCCUUCCUUUUCGCCUUACGUCUUCCUUCCCGGAUGCUAGGCAUCUUGCCUGAUCCCAUUUUAGGAGCAUUAUAGUCUCUUGAAACCCCGUCUCCCCCACCCGUGGCGUGGCUAUUCUCUAAAGACUCAACCUUGGAGGAGUCUUCCCUCUUGUAAUGCGUUAAAGACUCUGCUACUACCAUAGCAGUGGCUAAGUCUUGAACACCUUGGCACCUUAAUUCUUACUCGGCCCACCCUUGUAGGUUAUCCAUGAAGUUGAAUAGUAGAUCCUCUUUAGUCAUGUUAGGAAUCUCAAGCAUAAGCGAAGAGAAUUCCUUGGCAUAGUCGCGUAUCGAACCUGUGUGCUUGAGACACCUCAUGUUUUUCCUAGUCAAGUAAGCCACGACCUUGGGGUAGAAUUGCCUCUUGAUCUCCCUCUUAAAGUCCUCCCACGUCUCUAUGGUGCAAAUGUCUUUUUCCAUAUCGGCGAACCUCCGACUCUACCAUAGAGUAGCUGUGUUAGUAAGGUAGGGGGGUUACAGUCCUUACCUUAGUCGCCUCAUCAGAUAGUGCGAUGGCCUCGAAGUAUCGCUCCAUAUGCCAUAAGAAGUUGUCCAACUCCUUGACAUCCCGCUUGCCACUAAACCCUUGUGGCUUCGGCACCUCCACCCUAGAUGCCUCUUGGGUGGGCAUGACCCAUGCCGACACAACAGUCUUGUAGAUGGCCAACUCCUACCUAACCUCCUGGUCUUGGGACUCCAUUCGAGUGGCCAAAGCCUCCAUCCUUGACUCUAUACUAGCAAGCAUGCUCAAGACAUUUUCUUGGAAGGACACAAACUCCUCGUGCGACACUGUCUAAACCUAUGAGACUAGCAUCUCCUCACGAAGGUCUUGGAUCUGUUCCCUAAGAUCUUUCAUACCCUUCUCCAUGCCUUGCUCAAUCAAGUCCAACCCCUCCCGAGUGUCUGCCAUGGCUAGCUCCACCUUAGCUAACCUUGCCUCCAUGUUAGCAACGACAUCAUGAGAUUUAUCCUUCCUACCCCUGCCCCGUGCAGUAGGCUCGGUCUCCCUCCCACGGGUUUGUUCACUAGUCUCAUCCACGUUGGAGCCCGACAUGCUUCCUUUACUAUGCCCACUUCAUAGCUACGCUUUGAUACCACUUGUCACGGACUUAAUCUUUUCCUAAGCUCGUGUGGCACUUAGACAAGUCAAGACACUUUAUCUUGCUAAGUCAGCCUUACUCCCAAUGCUUAGCUUGCUAGGCUAAGAUGCUCACGACUCGGAACCUAUUUAUAGGCACCAAUGGAACUCUCUGGAACCUUGCAAGGUUCCUUAAAACUAAAGAAUAAUCUAGAAAUUCCUACACUAGUCUUAUGUACAAGGGUAUGUACAAGAUGACUUUGAAGUAUUCUAGAACACCCUACACAAUCCCAAUUCUCUCUUAGCCAAGUGUAGAGAUGUGUGGGCAUCUCUAGCCCUCUCCAAAAGCUUCCAUACUCUUCCACUUUGUAGCCAAGUGUAGUGUCUCCAAGGGUCUUUAGAAGCUUCCCACCUCCUAUAUAAGCCUAUGGGAAGGGUCAUUUGAAACAUCUUGUGACACUAAGCUCAACUUAUGUUGGGCCUAAGUCCAAGCCUAAUAGCAUGUUUUAUAAAACUUAAUAUUUAAUACUUAUUACUUAAUGACUUAUGUUGACUUUAAGUUAAAUUGUUUGAUAAAAUUAUUUUAAGUUAUUAAAUUAACAUAUUUACCCCAUUGGUUGUAAUUAAUAUUUAUUAUUAAAAUUUUAACUAAUAUUUAUUUUUAUUAAUUUUAAGUAAUAAAUUUUUUUAUUAAACAUCCAUACUUGAAAGUAUUGUAGAUUUAUGUAAUAACUUUAAAAUAUUUAUUAGAAAAAAUGUGUCAUGGAUUUGGUUGUUAAAUAUAUUUUCAUUAGAUAUGAGCAAAUAAGACAAUAAAAAUUUAGGAUUAAGAAUAAGUUAACUAUUUUAACUUAAUAUUUAAAUUUAUUUUUAAUUUUAGGUUGUGAUAUGAAGUUGUAUUUAAAAGACAUGUUUAAUCUACUUAAUAACUUAAAUUAAAUUAUUAUGUCACUUUAAGGCAUUAAGUUAAAUUACCAAUUAAACAUCCUAUAAGACCAAAAUAAGACUCUAAUCAAAUAUAUAUAUAUAUAUAUAUAUAUAUAUAUAUAGAGAGAGAGAGAGAGAGAGAGAGAGAGAUUAUCAUUUAUAUUUGAUUACUAUAUAUACAAUAAAAAAUCAAUUUAGUUAUAAUUUUGAGAAAUUCAUGCAUAGAUUAAGGUGAUGUUUGGUAAAACUUAAUACCUAUUACUUAAUCAUUUAAGUUGACUUUAACUUAAAUUAUACUUAAAUUGUUAACUUAAAACUUAUUAUUUAAGUUUUACUUUAAGUAUUAAGGUUAUUUGAUCAAAUUAACUUAAAACUUAUUCUAAAUUAUAAAAUUGACAUAUUUGUACUCAUAAAUUAAAACUAGGGCAAAAAAGAUCGAAUAAUAGCGGAUGUUGUAGAGUAGCAAAAGAGAUGGUCUAGUUAAUUAGGAUAAAUAAGAGUAAAAAAGCAAAAUAAAUAUACGAACUUAAUUAUUUUUACUUAUUACUUAAAGUUAUUUUUAACUUUAUAUCACACCAUUAAAUUAUUUUACUAAUAAAUAAGAGCAAAAAAGCAAAAUAAAGAUAUGAACUUAAGAAUAAGUUAAUUAUUUUUACUUAUUAUCUAAAACUGUUUUUUACUUUAUGUCACAUUAUUAAAUUAUUUUUCCAAAUAUAAUUAAUGUAGUUAAUGAAUUAAAUUAAGUUAUCAAGUUAUUUUAAGUUAUUAAAUUGAUUUAUGAAACACACACUAAAUAAAAAACUUAAAUUUAUUUAUUUAUUUUUUUGUUGUCUCUCAUGAAUAAUUAAAAGAAAAGAAAAAGUAAAAUAUCACAUUUCCCAAAAUAAAGAAAUAAACAUACACUCCAAUAUUUUUCUUUUCACUUCAAUAGGCCCUCAAUAUAUCUUAAUCAUAUUGUCCAUUGUCUACUCUCUUCAACCCUUUUGGGAUAAUAUGUGAUGUCGGACAAUUACAUGAGUUGGGUUUUCACCGGGCAAUCAACUAUUUUAUAAUGGCAAUAGACCUCUGUCUUAAUUGAGGACAAAGCCUUGCACUUGGGAUCUUUUCCAAGGGAUCCUUCUAAGAAUCCAAUGAUUUCUAAACCAUUAACUUUUAUUAUAAGGAUAACCCAGUUCAUGACAAUGGGAUAUGGGCUACUUGGAUGUCUAUUUUUUUUCCUAAUUUCCACAUGCAAACUGACAAAUAGAAUGUGAACAAAAUAAGGAUAACCCAGUCCACGACAAUGGGAUAUGGACCACAUGGAUGUCUAUUUUUUCCUAAUUUCCACAUGCAAACUGACAAAUAGAAUGUGAACAAAAUAAGGACAGCAUGGUAAUAAUGAUUGAAGAAUAACAAAUUUAGUAUUCGAUGGAAUAUAUUUUCUUUUUUUUUAAAAAAAUACAAUAAUUUCUAUGUAAAAUAUAAUAAUUUUUUUAUUUAUAAAAAGGUUUAAAUUGAAAAUGUAAUGAUUUUUAAAAAUUAAUUUAAAAAAGUGAAGUGUUAAAAGCUUUUUACUACUUUAAAUUUUGAAAAAAAUCAAGGAUAUAAAAGUUAAUAUUUUUUUAUUAGAGUUUUUAUUUUUUAAAAUAAAAAAUAAAAAAUUAUAUUUAAAGAAAGCUUUGCUUUAUAAAUUAUUAUAAAAAGCCUCAUUUUUUAAAUAAUAAGAUCAUCUGGUCAUUCCAAAGUGUAUAUGGAUUGUACGUUCUUGAUGGUUAUUCUUCUUGGAAGAUAUCAUCCAUACAAACCACUGCCAAUUUUUACAAUGGCUUCGAGUGAUAAAUGACAAAUACAAGAAUGACGAAUAAAACUAUGUUAUAUAUAUAUAUAUUAUUAUCAAAAUUUUGUUUUGUCAUUGCCAGCAUUUAUCUGCUGGUGGUAGAAACUAAGUAUACAAGUGCCUCUUUUCUUUGUCACGGCUUAAAAAUUUUUAAAAAUAUUUAAUUUUUUUUCGAAAACAUUUUUUUAAGUUAAAAACCUUUUCUAGAAUUACUAUUAAAUGACUCUUAAAGUCCAUUUAGUAAUGAUUUAAACAUUUGUAAUUAAAAAAUAAAAAUUUUCAAAUGUUAAAGGUAAUAAAAAUACUUUUUAAAAUUACUACUAAACGUAUUUUUGGAGUCUGUUUAACAGUAAUUUUAAAAAGUUUUUUUAUUUUAAAAAACAUUUUUGAAAAGAAAUUAAGUAUUUGAGAAAAUUUAGGAAACAAUUUUAAAAAUCUAAAAAAUUACUUAUAUUUCUAAUUUUAUAUUUACGGUUUCAAGAGAGCCUUAGGCAUCGUUUGUAGUAACCAAUGACAUAAGCAAAGAUGGUGGUGAUACUACGAAAUUUUUGGAAUACUGAGAAGUUGAAAAGCUAAUAUUGAUAGAGACCAUUUAAGACAUAGUGUACAGGCUUUGAAAUGAUAACACGUGUUCCUAUCGUGAGGCAAUAAAAAAGUGGUGUAUAUUUGCCGGCCAUUCCUCGCCAGUGCAUAGGAUAAGAAGUGAUGGGGCUACUCGUAUAAAUUGGUUCUCUCAACUAUGAAGUAAUUCAGAGGUCGCUCCUUGAAGUCUCUUCCAAAGCGGAAAUGAAGCUUAGCUCAGUUGCAAUCUCCUUUGUUUUUAUUACUCUCUUGAUAUAUGCAUGGAGGUUAUUGAAUUGGGUGUGGUUGAGACCAAAGAAGCUAGAGAGAUGCCUCAGGCAGCAAGGUCUGACUGGGAAUUCCUACAGCUGCUUGUAUGGGGACUUUAAAGAGAUGUCGAGAAUGAUUAACGAAGCAAAUUCCAGACCCAUCAGCUUCUCUGAUGAUAUUGUGCAGCGAGUUCUACCAUUUCACGAUCAUUCCAUCCAGAAAUAUGGUAUGAAAAUGAGCUACUCUUUAUCAUUGCACUAAAAUAUAUUUAUUUGUGGAAUUUUCCCCAAGGGAUUGUUGGUCUUUGGUUUUUUUUUUAUUAGUUAUUUUUCCUAUCCAUUUUUUUUCUUCUCUAAGAAGUUAUAGCCCAAUGGAAUUUCAAUGGUAUUUCAAAUUUCUUUUUUCUACGUCGGAGUGUAAUUUUUAAGGUUUAUUUGAUUAAAAAGAAUAAAAUAAUCCCAAGUUUAGAAAAAUAUCGUUAUGAUAAAAAAAAAAACUCAUUUUCUAAAAAUAAAAAUAAAAAUACUUAUUGUUUUUCUUUUCAACCUAAAAAAUGACCUUUUUUUUUUAAUAAAAUCAUACCCCAAAAAAAUGUGUUUUCAUAUGGUAAAAAAAAAAAAUUACAAAAUAGGAACUCAAAUUUAUAAAAUACAAAUUUCAAACAACUAUCUAAAAAUAAUUACCAUUUUAUGAACUUUUUUAUCUAAUGUGCUACCUUUGAUCAUCCUUAGUACUAUCUUUGAUAGGUAUAGAGGAUUCCUAUUUUAUAAUCAUUUUUGCCUGAGUGUGUAAAAACUCAUUUGUUCGAAUAUACUUAUUGUUUUUCUUAUAAAAAUAACAAUUUUUUUUUUAAAAAAAUGUACAAAUAAAUUAUCAAAAUAUUAAGAGAUGUUUAUAUAAAAAAUGAACUAAUUUUUAAGUUGAAAUAUGAGAGGUGUUAGAUUUACAAAUUUAGGAUUAUUUUAUCCCUUUUAAUUGUGUAAUUCAAUUUUUUUAUAAGCUAUAUGUAGGUAUAUAUAGAUGUCAACUUUGAUAAAUUGUUUAAUCAUUGGGAAAUGUGAAUAGUCUUUAAAUUUUUAUGCUAAUUGUUUCUCAUCUUUUCAAAUUUUGCAUGAACUUCUGACUUUUGAUAAUUAAUCACAUCAGUAUACUUUUCUUUAGAUAUUUGAGCUUCUUCAAUCAGAGAGCCUUGCAUUUGACUCCUUGAGUAUUCAGGUCCUUUAGAUCCUUUCUGACAUUUAUCCAACAAUGGGCAUUAAAAAUGCAGGUAAAAAUAGUUUUACAUGGUUGGGCCCAAAACCAGUGGUAAACAUUAUGGAGCCUGAGCUGAUAAGGGAUGUUUUCUUAAAGCACAAUGCCUUCCAAAAAGUACCGCCACACCCUCUCGGCAAGCUGCUGGCCACUGGUGUUGUUGCAUUGGAAGGUGAACAAUGGACUAAACGUAGAAAGAUCAUAAACCCAGCUUUCCAUCUAGAGAAGUUGAAGGUAGUUUUAAACUUUUGAGGCACUAUUUUUUUGGUUAUGCAGCCAGACCCCAACUUGUUGCCUGGUUUCUCUGCAUAGCCCUCUUCUUAUAGGAAAGAAAAUAAAUUUCUGAAUGUUCCAUAAUUUAGUAGACAUAUUCACAAUUUUACUGCCUCUUGUAAUCUUUUUUCUUAUGCAUGAUAAAUUUUUUCUAAAUUUAUUAUUUGUGUUUGAAUUUGUAUAGCACAUGGUAUCGGCAUUCCAAUUGAGUUGUAGUGAUAUGGUCAAUAAAUGGGAGAAGAAGCUCUCCCUGGACGGCUCAUGUGAAUUGGACGUUUGGCCCUAUCUUGAAAAUUUGGCGGGAGAUGUGAUUUCUAGAACUGCAUUUGGUAGUAGCUAUGAGGAAGGAAGAAGGAUAUUCCAACUUCAGAGAGAGCAAGCACAUCUUGCAAUCCAGGUUACUCGGUCAAUCUAUGUUCCCGGAUGGAGGUAGGCAUAAAAUAUUUCAAGGGAUUAAUCUGAACCUCAGUACUAAUACCCAAAUGCUAUAACUUUCACAGUAUCAUCAACAACAACAGUAAUAAUAAAAAUAAAAAUAAAAAAGAAGAAGAAGGAGGGUUUGAUCCAGCAUGGGACAAAAGCAAGAAUAAAAUUAAUAACUGUUAUAGCAUUUAAGAACUGUAUGAUGUUUCAUUUAUUUUGUUAAUAUGGCUCUCGACUAAUUUUUGUUUUCCUUUAAGAGCUUUCUUUUUGUACAAAUUAAAGAAUAUAGCUGUGUCUUCAAAACAAAAAUCAAGUUCAAGUAUCCCCUUUUCUUUUAUUGGCAGAACAUCUUAGCAAGAUGCAUGGUGAAAUACUACUAUAAAAUAUAUGUAGACUCAAUGAAGUCAUGGAUGAAAAUGCAUUAGUUGUUUCCUGUAUUUCAUUGAUCUUCAUUUACUUGGAUUACUUCCAAGCAGGUUUUUCCCAACAAAGACAAACAGGAGAAUGAGGCAAAUUAGCAAUGAAGUCAAUGCAUUGUUGAAGGGUAUCAUUGAGAAAAGAGAGAAGGCAAUGAAAGUUGGCGAAACUGCUAAUCAUGAUUUAUUAGGUCUACUAAUGGAAUCCAACUACAGAGAUAUGCAAGAAAAUGAUGAGAGGAAGAAUGUUGGAAUGAGCAUCAAAGAUGUCAUUGAGGAGUGUAAGCUAUUCUACCUUGCUGGCCAAGAGACUACCUCGGUUUUACUUCUGUGGACGAUGGUUCUAUUAAGCAAGCAUUCAAACUGGCAAACUCGCGCAAGGGAAGAGGUUUUACGGGUUUUUGGUAAUAAAAAACCAGAUGGUGAUGGCUUAAAUCACCUCAAAAUUGUGAGUAUCAAUCCAAAAUAUAUUCAAUUUAGUAACUCUUCUUGAAAAUAAUAUAUUACUCUUUUCUUUUUUUUUUCUUUUUUUUUCAAUCUUGAGGCAAAAUAUGUUUUGUUUCUGUAUCCUUUUUACUUUAAUUGAAAACUAUAUGCAGAUACUUGGUAUCCCCAAUGGAAUUUUUCUUUCCUUAUCUACGCGCACAAUGCAUCAGCACUGGCCAAUUGACUUUACUGAAGAAGGGGCGGACUAUUCUUUUCUUUGCGUGAAUUUUUUAUUUGCUUGUUAGGUUGUUUUGAGUGUGGUGAAAACUUUAUGCAAAUACUUAGUAUCAAUCAUUUACAAUACUUUAUGAUAAUCUUGAUAUUUCCUCUUGCCAAGCGUGUUUUCUUGAAAUUGGAACUCUGGGCUAUAAUAAAUUUUCCGGGGGUUCUUAGUUUGUAUUCACCAGUUACUGUAUGGCCCUAUAUGUACAUGAAAGUAUGUCAUGCAAAAAUUUAAACAAUCUCUCUCAUUACUAUAUUCGAAAAGUUCUUUCAUGGUUUGAUGUAUGCUUCUUAGUAAUCAUUUAGUGUAUUUCAGUAAUGAAUUUUCAUGAUAAAAAUAUUUUCUAUAUUGCAGGUUACUAUGAUUUUUCAUGAGGUCCUUAGGUUAUAUCCACCAGUGUCCAUGCUUCUUCGAACUGUUUUUGCCGACAGCCAAGUGGGAGGAUUGUAUUUACCAGAUGGAGUGCAGAUUGCUUUGCCAAUCCUCCUACUUCACCACGAUCAUGAAAUUUGGGGAGAGGAUGCAAAGGAAUUCAACCCGGGGAGAUUUUCAGAAGGAGUUUCUAAGGCAGCAAAGACCCAAGUUUCAUUUUUUCCAUUUGGUUAUGGUCCUCGGAUAUGCGUUGGACAAAAUUUUGCAAUGAUGGAAGCAAAAAUGGCUUUGGCAAUGAUCUUACAACGUUUCUCAUUUGAACUUUCCCCAUCCUAUGCUCAUGCACCUAUUAGUCUUAUAACUAUGCAACCCCAGUAUGGUGCACACCUGAUUUUACAUGGACUUUAGCAUCAGAGUUCUUGUUAUCAGUGAGAGUUAGCAAGACCUUUAAACCUAGAUAGUGUUGAAUUUAAAAUGCCCACACUUCCUUUCACUUGAAAUGAGUGCUCUUUAAAGCCAUUAUAUUAAUAAAAUUCUCUUUUGUAUGUUUGUAAGAGAUCAUAUAUAAAAAUGAUCACUUUACAAGGAGAUGCAUUUUUCUCUAUUCUUGUCCCCCCAAAAUGAAAAGAAAAGAAGAACUGCUGACAAUCUAUAUUUGGAGAAUGGACAUACAUUGAAAUUAUUUCUGAUGGGUGACCAUGCAUGUUGUGAUAUCUACAAGGAAACUACCAUUCCAAUAAUAGGAGAAAUAUUCUCAUUUGUUCUUAUCGUUAUAGAGUGGUGUCUCAUUCACUAUAAUUGGGUAGUAGACUCUUACGGAAUUUUAUGGCUAGGUAUCUGUAAAGAAGUUCGUACUAAAUUGGGUAGCAAGAUAAUACAAUUUUGGAGUUACUACCUCUAAGAAGUUGUCUGCGUACACUUGAUUCCAAUCCAUGUAAUGACAAAUUAUAAACCUCAGGGGCCCGGUCCACCCCCUAUUUUUAUUGGAUCUACAAUUUUGCCAUUCUCCAAGAGUUUUAGACAACUUCACAAUGUUCCACAACCUUAACGAACCUUUUGGAUGAGCUUGAUGUGGUUGCAGUAGCUUUACAUGAUUGCUAUAAUCCCAUAUUGGAAGCUUAAGAAAGAGGAACCUCUCCUAGUACCUAUAAAAAGAGGACCUUGUAAUUUAUUGUUGAUAAGAGAUCGUAUAGAGAAGUUUCUUAUUGUUAUUUCACUUGAUUUCUUCAAGUGUAGUAUUCUUAUUUUCUUCUAGUUUCACUUCUGCAGCAAGCCAAACUCACUGGGAUGCUCAGAGUUUUUAGGUGCUCAAACACUACAUGGAUUUUUAGGAGAGAUCUUGGUCUACCAAAAGUGGUGGACUUGUUAGAAAGCACUAGCAAAAUAAAAAUAAAAAUAGAAAGAAAGAAAGAAAAGCGAAGAAAUCAUUGAUAAUAAAAUAUUCACAACUGAUCUUGACAUGUGGAUAAAUGAUUUCAUAAUCAAGAAGUAUUCACAAUUGCAAAACCAUCCACAAGCUUACAUGCAUGCCCUUUUAGCUUUGUGCUAUAUAUUUAGAAUUUUGGGAGAAGCAAAGAAAGAAAAAUGAAGAAUAUUUUUUAACAAUUGAAUUUAAAAUCAUGAUGCACUUUCAUCUAUUUAUAGCUAGGCAUAACAAUAAAUUAUAACAUUUUAUAUAUUUUAACUUUACAAAGUCUACCAAUGACUUUACACCUAUUCUAACAUUACAAUUUAUUUGUGAAUUUAUAAUGUAACUUCACAAUUAAUUUGUAACUUUAGAACUUUUGUUUCUAACUUCAUAAUCGAUUAUAAAUUUACAACUUUUGCAACUUCACAAGUUAUUGGUGUCUAUCUACUACCUUUUGUAACUUUAUAAUUCAUUGUACAUUACAAUAUUUUAAUUUAUAAAGUAAAUGUCUAUGAUUAAUUAACUUAUUUGUAUGUUAUGAACCCUUUAUAUUUCAAAGUUAAUUGUCUCUUAUCAAUAAGUUAAGGUGAGGACAUAUGGUAUGGGACCUUUGUGGGAUCUUUAAUUACAUCCUUAGUAAGUUUGUUAUGUUUGUUCCAAAUAAAUUUAUUAAUUAUAAUUAUAUUUAAAACAUAUUAUAAUUUCACCCCAAGAAUAGGAGAUAUAUAAGUCAACUUCCCACUUAUAUAUAUACAUAUUAAUCCUUCCAUUAAUUAAUAUUCAUAACAAGUUUAUUAGGUUGAACCAAGAUGACUGUCAUUACCCAAAUUACAAGUGCAUCACCUCUUAUAAUUGGAUCUUUAAGAAAAACAAUUUAAAAAUUCCUAAUAAACAAUAUACUAUAUUAUAGAUAUGUACACUUGAUAGAAUACUUAUUCUAAAUUGACCAACUGAUAUUUUAAUAUAUUUUGUAAGUGACACAAUAUUGAAUAUUCUCUCAUAAUAUAGUCUAUUAUUAGACAUCAACAACUAACAACAUCAAAGCUAUAUUUACAUAACUUGAUGACAUCCUUAAGCCAAAGGACUUUAUGCAACACUAAACAAAACAAGUUUUUGUUGGAAUAUCUAGAUUACUCCAUUCCAAGCAUCGUCUCAUGGAGUGCAUACUACUACAAUCCUAAGGAUACUAGAUUUAAUGCAAUGGAAGCAACAAAAACAAAAAUGUUAGAUUUAGGUGCUCCAGAAAACAAUACUUAUGAUUUGAACAGUCCUAAAUCAACUCUAGUUGGUCAAUAGUAUGAUUUAGAUCUUGAAAACAUUGCAAUUUUUUUUCUAAUGGCUCUCUCCUAAACCUUACAUGUGAGAAUGGUGGAAUCCUUUCUAUGGAGAUGAAGGCUAAGGCUCUAUCUUGUUUAAAGGUUGAAUAAUUGAAGUUAUAAGCCUUAAACCCUCAAUAGGAUUUAUAUAGUCUUUGUCUAUGGGCUUAAGUGGCUUGUGCCCAUCUUGGGUUUAGGUCGGUUAAUCUAGCCUAUUGGUUCCUAAUUAAUUAAUUAGUCAUAUUGGGAUACAAUUAUGCAACCUUGUGUAUUUAUCAAAAUACCCUUAUACACACAUAUGAACAAAAAACACCCUAAUAUCCUUCAAAUAAUUAAUGUGCCACCAAGGAAUAUGAACUUGAGUAGGGACUAUAAGGACCUAUAGGAAAAUAAUGGCCUUUUCAUAAUCUAAUUAUGAAGUUAACUCAACACUGUCAUGCUUCCUUGCACCCUUCUAUACACAUAAGGUUCAUUCUUGUUUUGACCAAAAUCAAGGGUCUUAAUUUCAUGUUCUAAACAUUUGUUCCAUGAGCAAGAAGCUUGAAUUAAUCCAAAAAUAGACUUAUGCAAUUUGCAUACUAGAUGCUCUCUGCCCUUUGCUAUGAAAACAUCUGGUUGUAUCAUAUAAAUGCUCUCAUCAAGGUAGUCAUUUAAGAAUAUUGUCUUGACAUCCAUAUGACAUAUCUCAUAAUUGAGAUAAACUGCAAUGUAUAUGAGUACUUCGAUGGAUUUGAGUAUGGCUACCAUAGAAAAAGUUUCCCAUAGUCAAAACUAGGUUUCAAACUAUAAACCUUUAGCUAUAAGCUUAGCCACAAAAGUCUCAAUUGUUAGGAUAAAGCCUCAAAAGCAUGAGAAGAUGUCAUAAAAAAAGUUUCCAUUUCUAUCAUUGAUUGCAUUAAUUUUUACCCGAGCAUUCAAAGCUCGUAUGAUUACUAGUCAAAAAGUGUUAUUUCAUAGCUUGUAAUUAACUCUUUUAAACACUUUUGAGUAGUAGUUAUCACCUUUUAACCCAAUUAACAUAUUAAGGACCCUUGCAAUCAAUUCUAAUCAAAUUGUGUUAAGUUUUGGUGUUUUGAUAGCCUUUUGAUCACCAAAGCAAUCCAAGAUUGAGGAGAGUUCUUUAGGAAUCCAUGGCAAAAGAUGUCCGGACAGGGUGUCCGGACACACCAUUAGAGAGCGGCAGAACAUGGGCUGUAGCAAGGCUUGCUCACUUUAGUCAAUGUUUUCCAUCCGGACAACAUAUCCGGAUAGGAUAUGCUGUCAUCCGGGAGAGGGGUCCCUAUACCUUGCACACGCAGACGGUCCCCCUUGCGCAGCAUAGCUCAGUCCACCCGGGGAGGAAUUCCGUCCGUCGACAUUUCACAUUCGGAAUUCCAUGCGCCAACAUUUUACAUCCGGAUAUCUCACAGCCGGAUGGGAGAGGAGGACGUUUCAACUUCUCCGGUCAGACAUAUCCAGAUCCUCUGAUAGCGUUCACCCGGAGAGCAUCUGCGGUCGACAUUUCAGAUUACCCGGAUUUUGCACAAUGUUGCAGUGUUCUCCUGAAGCUUCCCGAUAUUUGCCACCGACUAAGAUUUUUUCUCUUAAGAUAUUUUGUGUAAAUUUCUAUUUUCUCCUUGUAAUCAGUCAAAGAUAUUAUUGGGAUAUUUCUUAGAAAAUAACUUCUCUAUAUAUAUCUUUGAACCAUUGUAAAGAGGAGAGAUAUUAUAUAUAUAUAUAUGAAACCGAUGAACAGAGCACUUGCUCUGUUUUUGUUCUUCAUAUUUUUGUUUUCUUGUUAGUUUUCUUUCUAGCCAAUCAAACUCUGAGGAUUUUUCCUUAGAGGAUGAGAGGCUAGGCUCUUUGUCUCUUGGAGUGAAGAAAGCCGGGUAAGUUUCCUCAUGCAUAAAUUGGAAGUUUUGUUGUUUUAGUUUUUAAUGAAGAGAAAGUGUGAUCCGUUAAUGGUUUUUAUCUUUUUAGUUAACUUAAAACGCCUUUAACUCACCUAGGCCAACACUUGAUAAGGCAAGUGAUCUCCAUCCAUUGAGAUGCACUUGUUUAUCUCUUGCGAGCCUUUGGGAGGUGGUUUAGAGGUAGGAUUUUCUAGAAUUGCCAACACUUGGUAAGCUUUUGGACUCUAAGGAGACAUCCAUUAGUUAUCUCUUGCGAGCUUGAGAAGGGAAGUCCAAAGUUAAAGAUCACCUUGAAUGGCAAAUGCUAGGUGAGAGGCAUGAGCCAUUGAAAGUUGCAUCAGUGAGAGGGAUUUAGUGUUUGAACCCAUUAAAGGGAAGCAUCUGUACCACACCGGUUAGAGAAUUAACUAUAUGUUAAUUCUCUAAUGCGAGGAAAAGAAACAAGUGACCGGAACUCUCCUUUUUGUAUGAGGAACCUGAGCCUAGUGAUCUAAACUCCAAGAAACACUUUUCUUUGUAGUUAAAAUUAGUUACUAUUUUUUGUUAGCUUAAAACCAAACCUUUUUCAUUCAAACAUCUUUAUGUUUUCUUUUAAAGCUGACUUUGAAAGGAAAAUGCACCAAUUCAUCUUUGAAAUAAUAUCAAUUGUGGAGUGAAAACCCAUCCCAGUGAACGACCCUAGAGCCACUAUGCUAUGCUAGCUAAGGCUAUCCUAGUAUGAUUCAUUCUCAAUUGGUGUCUCAGCUGAUUCAUGUCCAACUAGUGCUCCUUGACUGAGGAAGUGAUCAAUAAAAUUUAUAACCUAUAUCACCAUGCAUUAGGAUAGCUUUAGCUAAUAUAGCAUAGUGACUCUAGGAUCGUUCACUGGGAAGGGUUUUCAACUCACAACUGAUACCAAUUCAAAGCUGAGUUGGUGCUUUUUCAUUUCAAGGUUAGCUUUAAAAGAAAACAUAAAGAUGUUUGAGUGAAAAGGGUUUGGUCUUAAACUAACCAAAAAGAAAGUAAUGGAAAUUACUUAUGAAGAAAAACAUUCCUUGGAGGUUUAGGUUCACAGGGGAGGUUCCUUAUGCAAAAACAAAGCCCCGGUCAUUUGGUUCAUUUCCUCGCAUUAGAGAAUUAACAUAUAGUCAAUUCUCUAACCGGUGCUAUACAGAUAUAUCCUUUAAAUGGAUUUUAGCUCUAAUUCCCUCUCAUUGAUGCAACUUGCAAUGGCUCGUGCCUCUCACCUAGCAUUUGCCAUUCAAGGUGAUCAUUAACUUUGGACUUCCCUUCUUAAGCUCGCAAGAGAGAACUAAUGGAUGUCUCCUUGGAGUCCAAAAGCUUACCAAGUGUUGGCAAUUCUAGAAAAUCCUACCUUCAAGUCACUUCCCAAAAGCUCGCAAGAGAUAAACAAGUGCAUCUCCAUGAACGGAGAUCACUUGCUUUACCAAGUGUUGGCUCAAGUGAAUUGAAAGUGUUUUAAGCUAACUAAAAACAUAGAAAUCAUUAAAGGAUCACACUUUCUCUUCAUUAAUGAUUGAAACCACAAAGCUACUAAUUCUUGCACUUGGAACCUUUCCCGGCAACCUUAACUCCAAGGAACUAAAAGUCUAGCCACUCAUUCUCUAAGGAAACUUCCUCAGAGCUUGUUUGGCUAGUAAGAAAACUAACGAGAAAACAAUUAUAUGAAGGAAAAACAGAGCAAGUGCUCUGUGAAAUAUAUUUCUUUCUUCCGUCGAUUACAUAAUAGAUUGUAAAGAAAAUUACAAACUAUAUAUCAGGUUAUUCACCCUUUGUUCUUACUUAAAGACUAAGGAAUCCUAUGAUAGGUGGGUUACAAGGAGACUUUGGGGAUUUAGAAAACAAAUAUCUAAAGCAAAAUAUCUCAAGAUGUCGGUCGGAAAUAUCAAGAAGCUUCAAGAGAACACCGCGGCACUGUAUACUGAGAGAAAAACUCUCUUAGUAAGCGCUAUCAGAGGAUCCGGAUAAGUCUGACCGGAGAAGUUGAAACGUCCUCCUUUCUCAUCCGGCUGUGAGAUAUCCGGAUGUAAAAUGUCGGCGCACGGAAUUCCGGAUGUGAAAUGUCNNNNNNNNNNNNNNNNNNNNNNNNNNNNNNNNNNNNNNNNNNNNNNNNNNNNNNNNNNNNNNNNNNNNNNNNNNNNNNNNNNNNNNNNNNNNNNNNNNNNAAAGCUGAGUUGGUGCUUUUUCAUUUCAAGGUUAGCUUUAAAAGAAAACAUAAAGAUGUUUGAGUGAAAAGGGUUUGGUCUUAAACUAACCAAAAAGAAAGUAAUGGAAAUUACUUAUGAAGAAAAACAUUCCUUGGAGGUUUAGGUUCACAGGGGAGGUUCCUUAUGCAAAAACAAAGCCCCGGUCAUUUGGUUCAUUUCCUCGCAUUAGAGAAUUAACAUAUAGUCAAUUCUCUAACCGGUGCUAUACAGAUAUAUCCUUUAAAUGGAUUUUAGCUCUAAUUCCCUCUCAUUGAUGCAACUUGCAAUGGCUCGUGCCUCUCACCUAGCAUUUGCCAUUCAAGGUGAUCUUUAACUUUGGACUUCCCUUCUUAAGCUCGCAAGAGAUAACUAAUGGAUGUCUCCUUGGAGUCCAAAAGCUUACCAAGUGUUGGCAAUUCUAGAAAAUCCUACCUUCAAGUCACUUCCCAAAAGCUCGCAAGAGAUAAACAAGUGCAUCUCCAUGAACGGAGAUCACUUGCUUUACCAAGUGUUGGCUCAAGUGAAUUGAAAGUGUUUUAAGCUAACUAAAAACAUAGAAAUCAUUAAAGGAUCACACUUUCUCUUCAUUAAUGAUUGAAACCACAAAGCUACUAAUUCUUGCACUUGGAACCUUUCCCGGCAACCUUAACUCCAAGGAACUAAAAGUCUAGCCACUCAUUCUCUAAGGAAACUUCCUCAGAGCUUGUUUGGCUAGUAAGAAAACUAACGAGAAAACAAUUAUAUGAAGGAAAAACAGAGCAAGUGCUCUGUGAAAUAUAUUUCUUUCUUCCGUCGAUUACAUAAUAGAUUGUAAAGAAAAUUACAAACUAUAUAUCAGGUUAUUCACCCUUUGUUCUUACUUAAAGACUAAGGAAUCCUAUGAUAGGUGGGUUACAAGGAGACUUUGGGGAUUUAGAAAACAAAUAUCUAAAGCAAAAUAUCUCAAGAUGUCGGUCGGAAAUAUCAAGAAGCUUCAAGAGAACACCGCGGCACUGUAUACUGAGAGAAAAACUCUCUUAGUAAGCGCUAUCAGAGGAUCCGGAUAAGUCUGACCGGAGAAGUUGAAACGUCCUCCUUUCUCAUCCGGCUGUGAGAUAUCCGGAUGUAAAAUGUCGGCGCACGGAAUUCCGGAUGUGAAAUGUCGGAGCACGGAUUUCCAGAUGUGAAAUGUCGGCGCACGAAAUUCCUCCCGUGUUGGACUGAGCUAUGUUGCGCAAGGGGGACCGUCUGCGUGUGCAAGGUGUAGGGACUCCUUUCCCGGAUGACACAGAGUGCGCAAGGCUAUCCGGAUCAACUCCAUCUGGAUUCCCCAAGAAGACAUGUGGUGCGCUCCCCUAUCCGGACUCCCUCAGGGAGAAGCACACGACACUCAUGAAUAUCACACCCAGACGAUAGCAUAUCCUAUCCGGAUAUGUUGUCCGGAUGGAAAACAUUGACUAAAGUGAGCAUGCCUUGCUACAGCCCAUGUUCCGCCGCCCUCCGAUGGUGUGUCCGAACGCCCUAUCUGGACAUCUUUGCCAUGGAUUCCAAAGAACUCUCCUCAAUCUCUGAUUGCUUUGGUGAUCAAAAAGCUAUCAAAACACCAAAACUUAACACAAUUUGAUUAGAAUUGAUUGCAAGGGUCCUUAAUAUGUUAAUUGGGUUAAAAGGUGAUAACUACUACUCAAAAGUGUUUAAAAGAGUUUAUUUCAAGCUAUCAAAUAGCACUUUUUGAGUAGUAAUCAUAGUACAUGGUGUAAUAGGUUAUAAAUUUUGUUGAUUGCUCCCAUCUGAGGACUGAAAUCAAGACACCAGUUGGACACGAAUCAAAUGGCACCACUGUCAGGGACCAUUGAGAGGACACGAAUCAGCUGAGACACUAAUUGGGAAUGAAUCAAAUGGCGCCAUUGCCGGGGAUGGUGCCACUUUACAGUGAUAUCACCUUUCCAUAGUACUUGUGAUCUUCAUCACAAGUGUGGUGACUUUUCUUUUCUUUUUACUAACUCUUUUUAUUUGUUUUUGUUUUUUUUCUUUGUUCAUAUUUUAGUAUAUCUUUUAUUUAGUUUUUGGUUAAUAUUAAUAAUUUUCUUUUUUCUUUAGAUUUUUUUUUCUUUUAUUUUCUUUUGUUUUCUCUAUUUUUAAUUCACAAAUUGCUAGUUGUGCAUGUCAUAUUGAAUAUGAGAUAGCAGAGGAAGCCAUGAACUUCAUGAGUUAUGUGGCUGAAGUUUCAAGAGGAUGGGAUGAACCAAAUGCUCGAGAUAUGGGGAGAAUGACGUCUCAACCUAAUGCUAAGGGUGAGAUGUAUAUUUUGAAUGACGACAUACACAUGAAAGCAAAGAUUGCAGCUAUGGCAAGGAGAUUGGAAGAGCUAGAAAUGAAGAAGAUGCAAAAAGUGCAAGCCAUCUCUCAGACACCAUUGCAAGCUAUGCCUUGUGCCAUUUGUCUAUCUUAUGAGAACUUGGUGGAAGAGUGUCCUACCAUUCCAACGGUGAGAGAAAUGUUUGGUGAUUGCAACACCUAUAAUUCCAAUUGGAGGAAUCAUCCAAAUUUUUCAUGGAAGCCAAGAGCACCUCAGUACCAACAGCCGACUCAACCAUCUCAACCAUCCCAACAAGCUUCAAGUCUUGAACAAGAAAUAGUGAAUCUCAGCAAGGUUGUGGGAGAUUUUAUUAAAGAACAAAAAUCCAUCAACUCUCAACUCAGUCAAAGAAUUGACAGUGUAGAGAAUAGGAUGGAUGGGAUUCAAAAUGAUUUAUCUCAGAAGAUAGAUAAUCUCCAAUAUUCAAUCUCAAGGUUUGCCAACCUCAACAAAGUGCAAGAAAAAGGAAACUCUCCUUCUCAACCUCAUCAAAAUUCAAAGGGUAUCCAUGAAAUAGAGGCUAAGGAGAGAGAUAAAAAGGUUGAUCUGCCCACAUCCAAGCUAGAGCAUGAGGUAGAGAGUGAAACAGAGAAAGAAAAGAGGGAGGAAAUCAAAGGAAAGAGAGAGGGGAAAAGCAUAGAGAAAGAUGACUAUAUAGAUGAAGAACCACAGAGGAUAGUCAUCAAGGAAGAAAUAAAGAAACACAUGCCUCCACCUUUCCCCCAAGCUUUGUAUGGGAAAAACAUACAAACCAAGUCUCAAGUGAGAGACACAAACUUCAUAUGGGAUCCGGGCAAGCUAAAUCAGGAUCAAAUUUUUUGAUGGACUUAGUCUUUCUAAAGACUAGCUAGUCCAUACCUUUUUGUUUUACUUAUUACUUGUUUUAAUUUUGAUUUCAAUGCUUUAAUUCUAAUUUGUUUUGAUGUAAUAUAGGUUUUUGGAUGAUCAAAAUCAGAACGGAAAUGUUGCAUUUUGCUACUGUUGGACACAUUUUUGAAGGCCUUCAUGGAGCUCAAAUUAUGCAUACUAUAUCUCUUUUUUAAUCUUGGGAAGUCAGGAGUCCAUAGCUUCAAACGGUGCUCGAUUUGGAGUUGAAACGAAGAAGUUAUGGCCGUUUGAAGACGAUCGCGCAAAGCACCAACGGGAAUUUCGCAGCUGCAAAAUGGGCUACAAAAUUCCCAUUUUGUUGCAGGAAAGCCCUCUCACUGAGAUCACACACACAAAGCCUCUUAAUCCAUUUCUUACCUCCUUAAAACCAUCAGAGCCCAUAGCUCCAGUUGAGGAGACUACCAAAGCAGAGGCCAAAGUCCUGAUCCAACCCACUCAAGAGGCCACCACAGAUGCAUCAGCUCCACAAGACCUUACCAUUACUUGAUCAUCUCUUUACUUUUUGUCUUUACAUAUUAUAUUAAUAUAAAUAAUUCCAUAUUUUGAUGUCUUAUAUUCUGGGAUUGGAUGUAUUACUGAUGAUACAUCAUAUAUAGACAUCAUUUUUUGUUUAAACUUGGCAUUUGUCUAUUUCCUCUACUCACUAACUCUUUUGUUUUUUUUGAAACAUGUGGUUUCUCCUAUACGACUCAGACUCCAUGUCACUAAGGAGGUACCACUUCCUCCCUAUUUUUCAAUCGCUUUUGUCACAUUGAGGACAAUGUUCAACUUAGUUGGGGGGAGAGUUGAGGAAGGAAGUUUUUGUUAUUAAUGCUAAGUUAUUUUGGUAAUUUAGUUGCUUUUUGCUUAAUUUUAAAAUUUUUUAAGUUUUUAUUCUACUCUCCAUGGUUAUUAAGGAAAAAUUUUCAAAAUGAAAAGAGAGAAAUUGAAUUUUUGUCUUUUUCACUUGACUUAGAUUUUGUAUUAUGCUUACUAAAGUUGAUAAAUUGUUGAAACUUCUAUUGAAUUCAACCUUAGUUCUUCCACUUUAAACUAUUCACACAAUGUGCACAAUAGGUUCCGAUUAUAAGAUGAAAAACUAUUUCCCUCUUGACUUAGGAAAAUUUUAGACUUGGUACCUUUGACCUCAUUUUAAUAGUGUUGGGACACCUUAUAAAAGGCCAAUGAGCCUGUGAAAAAAAAAAAAGAAUAGAGAAAGAAAGAAAAAAAUGCUUGCUUGCCUUGAAACCCGAGCAAGGUCCGAGGGGUAUAUGGUGAAAAUCUUUAAAACCUGGUGCCCUAAGCCUUCAUUGGUUGGGAGUCACCGACCUCAAUGCUCGUUACAAGGGUGGAUAGGUGGAGUUUAACAUACUGUAGGUGCUUAGGUAUUAAAAUUCAUUCUCAAAAGUCCGGGUUAAAAUCCGAGGAGUUAGUGGUUGAAAGAUCCUUAAAACUUGAUGCCCUAAACCUUAAUUGGUUGGGAGUCAUCGAUGGACCCCCGUUACAUGGACAAUUUAGAAAAGAAUACCUUUAGCCUUGUACUCCUACAAGAAAAAAAUUGUGAAAUGAGAGGUGCGUUCUUAACCUAUUGGAGGUUGAUCAGUUUGCUAAGCUUUGAAAAAGAACUAGGUUUGGGGGAGAGAUUAGUUCAACAUACUUGUAAACUCCCAUUUGGGGCUCAUUCCUUUGCAUCUCUACAGGUUAUAAUUUUUUGCAAGUGGAGGGCUCUCAAGGAGCCACGUGCCCAUUCAUGGUUGGUUGCUGUGGAAUCAGCUUAGUGGAGUUGAUGGACGAAUGGGAAAGCAACACGUAUGAAAGGAUAUGCUGGGGAUUUUGCAAGCCGUUAGAGGGAGCAGGCCAGCGGUAGGAGAGGGGAGGCGUUUCUGUUGAGGGGCAGCAGGCCAGCUGCAGGUGGUGCGUUUUUCUGGAGGUGGAGUGCUUUUCAGGUGGGGCUUUUCCAUUAGAGGGAGGCUGCAGAGAUCUUUGAGAGGGAGCUUUUGGUUUGGUUGUUUCGGGGAAGAAAGCUGGUGGGAGAGAGGGGAGGCCUCCAUUGACGAUUGCGAGAGAUAUUUUUGGGGCCUCAGGGAAAUCUUGACAGGAGGGAGCUUUUUUUUAUUUGGUGGUUUUUGAGCUUAGGCUGCCGGAGAGAUAUUAGAGGGAGAGUGUUUUCCUUCUGCAGAAGGAGGAGUUUUUUUUUUAGAGAGGAGAACGAGAGAGAGAGAACAGGGAGGUUUAAGGUUGGAGCAGAGAGGUGAGUUUUGGAGAGCUUAGAGGAGAGUAGAGAGAAACCCAGAGCAAAAAGGAAAUGACAUUUUGGUGGUUGUUGUAGUACAAGGAUGUUUUUGAGGGUGUUCAUUGGGCUUGAGGGGCAAGUUUGAGGGGAAGAGAUGAAAGAAGAUGCUGGAGGCAAGUCUUGCUGAGGGUUAUUUUUGUGAGAGGAAAAAGUUUUGAGGUUAAGGAAGGAGCCAUAGUCUGGAGCAGAGAUCUUGAGGAAAGUAAAUGAGCAGAGGAAGGAUAUCUUCAGCUGUUUAGAGAGAGUUCAUGAAAGCUGUUUGAAGAAAGACACAUAGGAAUAGCCUUGGAAGAGGGUGAUACAGGUAUUGUUCUUGUAAUAUGAGGAUUCUUUUGUGUUCAUGGCAUUUUAUUAUGUUUACUGGUUAUCAUGAGAUUCUAUCUUGACAUAUGAAUGCAAGCAGGUGAAACUCCUACCUAUGUUCUCUCAAUAUUUGUGUUCGCUCACCCUCAUCCUGCGUUUGGUUUCUAACUUGUCAUCUGGACUCUGUUUUAUGAGUUGUCGGUCAUUUUGAUUUAAUUUCUCUUUGCAAACUAUUUGAAACCUAUUUUUUUUCUUUAUCCACCUCUGCGUCGUGAGCUCGUUAAUUGAAAUAUGAAACGCAGCUUUCAUGAGCCCCUUUUUGUUCCUGCUCUGUGCUCUGUUUUUGCCACCCUCCUCUGUUCUUGGUAUUUGAUCAUGGGAGGUUGCCCCUUAUGUGUGAAGAAGAGAGUAUUGGCUUGAUAGGUCUGGAUUCUCAAGUCGUCCAUAGUGGUAGAGGACGUAUUCUGGGGAUCAGAUCCAUGACUUUGUUGCGUUUUUGUUGAUUGGAGGAGUGACAAUUUCCCAAGGGCAUGUAACGCAUGUGCUGGUGACUAUGGCAGAUGACAAUGAUGACAUUAACGGACUAUGACCACUAUUUUGGAGCCAUGGCUUGACACAUGGCAUCGCGUAGUGGAUUGGUUGAUACUAUUGAGUGGCCCAUUAAUAUCGAUUAUCCUGAUCAAUAACAAAGGGAAACUGAGCAUAUCAACCAGCUUAUCUCUUCUCUGUCUGAUGAGAUACCUCAUAUACAGACCUUCAAAGGGAAAUGGGCAGUUAUCAGAGGCAAGCUGAGUGAUCUCAGGACCCAAGUGGCUGAUUUUGGUGACUUUCCUGGGUUCAAGUCCAAUCCUCUUUCUAUGGAACUCAUGCAGUCCAUUUCGCAGACCCUACAAGACGCCGUUUUGGUGGCUUCGAGGUGUAGAGAGUCUGAGUUGUCUCAGGGGAAGCUCAAGACCCAAAGCGAUAUAGACUCGAUUUCCGCGAAGCUGGACCGUUUGAUCAAAGAUGGUGAGAUCUUGAUAGGGAGUGGAGUGCUUCAAGAUGGGGUAUUAGUGGGUUCGAAGAAAGAAGUAGUGCGUCACUUACAUGAAGACAUGCCUCAAAUUGUUGACAUCUAGCUCAUUGGGGAGACUAUCCGAGUUUUUGAGACUUACCUAGCUGAGUAUUGAUGUUGAAACGGAGAUGCGGUUUAGUAGGAGCGGCAGUCAUGAUUAGCAAGAAGGUGUGGUAUUGUCAUGCAAGUUCCCUGGGUUUGAGUUUAUGCUUUCUGAAAGGUGGUUGUUUAAUUAUGAUACUGUUCCACCAUGGACUCUUAGAUCUGGUGCAGUGAUAUCUGCUGCUUUUCUUUGGUUGAGCUUUUAGCUCAAUUAUUCAAGGAGUGAGAUGGGAUUGGACUUUAAAUUCUGAUUUGACCUUCUAUCCAUCCCAAUCAUGCAUGCAUAUAGGGCCAUCCUCCAUAAUACCCGCAUUCCCAUUCUUCAAAUAUCCAUUAUUCCACCCUUCCCACUACCUAUUCCACCCAUGACGCCCAUUUCCUCCAUUCAUUACACCCAUCUGCUAUAACCCAUUCCACAUAGCCAUAUCCUUUAUGCCCACCUUCUCACUACCCGUAUAUAUGCUUCAUAGCCUUCAUCCCUAUUCCCAUGCAAAUGCCUCACUAACUCUCUAAUGCCCAUCUCACUCAUUCUUUUCAUCACCACCCCACCUUCAUUAUUUCAUACCCAUUUCUAUUAUCACCAUUCUCUCUCUACACCACCAUGCACCAUGUCAUUCCUCAUCUGCUCAUCAUAUCCAUGUACCAUAGCUAACCCUACAACCAUAUUCACGUCAAAUUUUCUUCCAUGCAAACCCAUUUUCUAUAAAUCCCAUGCGUGUUGCUACCCUUACUCACCUACAUCAAUCUCUCCCCCUCAUUGUCAACACUGGUCAUCUGGAGUCUGUUGGUCCAUGUUCUUAGGCAGCCUUUCAUCACCGGAGUGUCACGGGUCUGGAAGUUGUUUCCCUUAUCACUCACAUUUGGAAAGGUAUAUGUAUUGGGCUACUUCCAUCUUUGUUGCAUUGGGCCUGUGUUGCUUCUUCUAUAUUUUGGGCGCAUGGCAACGAUGUGGUUUCGGGAAGGGAGACAGCAUGGACAUUGAAGUCACCAAACAAGCGGACUGCCGUUUCUCUCCAAUUUGAAUUUUGAGACUCGUCAUGAAGAUGAAGCAGGAGAAUGAUUGCUGUCGUACAGGGUGAAGUAAGCUCCUAAAAUGAAUCCAGUGUUUUAGGAUAGAUAUUGUUGUUGACGGGGUGGCAAUUAGAUGUAGUUGCGGAACUAGCUGCUCCCAAAGAAGAUAUGAAUCUGACUUGUUUGUUGAAUCAGCAGCUUGUGUAGCAACAGAACAACCCCUUGCUUGCUCUAUUAGGUCCAACUGGAAACAAAUUGAAGAGUAAGGGUGCUACUUUAAUCCUCAAAGCAUUGGAAGGAUACCAAGCACAGUUCGGCAAGAUCAGUUGCAAGCAAUCAUGGAUUUGACCUACUAAACAUCAAUGGUGAUUCCGCCAAAGUGUCAUUGUGUGAAAUAUAGGGGGAUGACUUGAGUCAAUACCUGGGCAACCUAUUGUUAAUCCACCCUCACCCCAUGCAAGUCUGGGCUCGUCUUUUAAUCCUGAAUAUAUUUGGGUCAAUGGACGCCUCCAGGGUAUUUUGAUGUACCCAUUAAUGCGAGCUGAUCAUCCACUCAAAGUCUCGAGAUGGCGGGUCAAUUUCUGGAAAGGGUAAUUGAAGAGGAAACUUGUGCAUAUAUAGACAGAAUGGGACUCUGUUGCAAGGAAAUUUAAUGAGGACGUGAACGUUAAGUUCCUAGGCUUCAAAGGAUUUGGAAACUUAAGUUGUGCAGAGAUGACACCCCCUAUUUGCCAGCAUUUUGAGACCAGAGGCACAAAAUCAAGGCGGAAUUGGAAAGUCUUUUAUUAGUGCCCAAGUCAAGGACAGUUGACAGUUAUUUGAUAUUCCGAGAAGCUUGGGAUAGGAUUCUUCCCUCAUGAUCUUGAAUGGGUACAUGACAAUAGUACCAGUCUUCAACCCCAGGGUAUUCUUACCCUGGACCCACUCUUUAAGCUUCUUAGUUGCAUGGCCACCUUUGGCAUGCAAUUUUGGACCACUUGUCCUUGCUCCAUUUUUUCUCUUUUUGAUUUUAAAAAUAAUCUUCCUGGAAUCAAAUACCAUCUUGUAAAUAUUUUUUUCAAAUUCUGAUUUUCAAAUGAUCCAAAAUUUCCCAUUUUCCAUCCUUAGAAUUUUUGGAUACCGAAACCUCAUUUUCAAUAAAAAUUCGGUUGCCAUUUUUUCUUCCGGCAAGCCACUUUUGCAUUUUCUUUAUUUUUAAAAUAAGUAAGAAUUAAAUUCCGUAAUUCCAAGUGAUGGAAGUUAUGGAAUUGAUUCAUGCAAAAUAGAUCGGGCUUUGGUGGGGGCCCAACAUCAAAUAAUUUUUCUUUAAAAUAAAAAUGAAUUUUGAGUGAAGUGUUAUGCGUGCCUUUGAUGAUUUUGUGCUUGAUUUUGUGACAUGUGAGUUAUGUUUAUACUCUUUGUUUUGCACUAACCCUUUCUCUUGAUAGCGCAUAGUGGCUCGCUGCACAAGUACACACUCAUUCCCACUCUGAUUAGUUUAUAUGCAUUUUCUGACUCUCGUAUGUGCAUGUUUCGCUCUGAGUAUUCAUUGAUUUCCUCAUCAUCGCCAUGUUAGCUUCAUUCUAUUAGUAGAGACCCGACUUUAGGGACUUAGAGGGGUGCUACGGUCUUUACCGUACCUUCCCGAUAAGUAACCUGACCCCCGAACCCGAUCCGGUUUUCACAGACCCCCUUUUCCAAAAUAAGGAGUCGCACUUAGGGUUUUUCUUUCUUAUUUUGUUUACCCUUUAAAAAUAAAACAAAAAUAAGUGGCGACUCCAAGUCAUUUUUGAAUAAAUAAAAUCAAUUUUUUCAAAUAAAAAUCGAGCUCGCCAUUCGAGUGGGAAACGCAUUCGAGCGAUCUAAAUGCGGGGUCCACAAUACUAUAUUUGGAAACUAAUAAAUAACACUUAGAUUUUUGUGGAAGAGUAAGGUUUGACCCUUUGGGAGUGGAAACUCUUUUAAAGCUUAAAUUUGCAUAAUGCCUUCUCUUUAAGAAUUGUGAUUAGACAAGUUAUUUGAUAACUCUUGUUGAAGUUUGAGUUUUAUUUCUUUAAUGUUCCAUGUGAGAGUUAGAUCAUCAUGGCACUUGAAAAUUAUUUUUUGAUCAACAUGAUGUUGUAAAUUAUAGUACUGUUUAUUUUUAUUUUUCUAUCCUUCAUUGCUAAGGGAAUAGCAAUAUGUCGGUUGGGGGGAGUGACUACUACUCAAAAAGUGCUAUUUCAUAGCUUGUAAUUAACUUUUUUAAAUACUUUUGAGUAGUAGUUAUCACCUUUUAACCCAAUUAACAUAUUAAGGACCCUUGCAAUCAAUUCUAAUCAAAUUGUGUUAAGUUUUGGUGUUUUGAUAGCCUUUUGAUCACCAAAGCAAUCCGAGAUUGAGGAGAGUUUUUUAGGAAUCCAUGGCAAAAGAUGUCCGGACAGGGCGUCCGGACACACCAUUGGAGAGCGGCGGAACGUGGGCUGUAGCAAGGCUUGCUCACUUUAGUCAAUGUUUUCCAUCCGGACAACAUAUCCGGAUAGGAUAUGCUAUCAUCCGGGAGAGGGGUCCUUACACCUUGCACACGCAGACGGUCCCCCUUGCGUAGCAUAGCUCAGUCCAUCCGGGGAGGAAUUCCGUGCGCCGACAUUUUACAUCCGGAUAUCUCACAGCCGGAUAGGAGAGGAGGACGUUUCAACUUCUCCGGUCAGACAUAUCUAGAUCCUGUGAUAGCGUUCACCCAGAGAGCAUCCACGACCGACAUUUCAGAUUACCCGGAUUUUGCAUAGUGCCGCGGUGUUCUCUUGAAGCUUCCCAAUAUUUGCCACCAACUAAGUUAGAUUUUUUCUCUUAAGAUAUUUUGUGUAAAUUUCUAUUUUCUCCUUGUAAUCAGUCAAAGAUAUUAUUGGGAUAUUUCUUAGAAAAUAUCUUCUCUAUAUAUAUCUUUGAACCAUUGUAAAGAGGAGAGAUAUAUUAUAUAUAUAUGAAACCAACGAGCAGAGCACUUGCUCUAUUUUUGUUCUUCAUAUUUUUGUUUUCUCGUUAGUUUUCUUUCUAGCCAAUCAAACUCUGAGGAUUUUUCCUUAGAGGAUGAGAGGCUAGGCUCUUUGUCUCUUGGAGUGAAGAAAGCCGGGUAAGUUUCUUCAUGCAUAAAAUGAAAGUUUUGUUGUUUUAGUUUUUAAUGAAGAGAAAGUGUGACCCGUUAAUGGUUUUUAUCUUUUUAGUUAACUUAAAACGCCUUUAACUCACCUAGGCCAACACUUGAUAAGGCAAGUGAUCUCCAUCCAUUGAGAUGCACUUGUUUAUCUCUCGCGAGCCUUGGGGAGGUGGUUUAGAGGUAGGAUUUUCUAGAAUUGCCAACACUUGGUAAGCUUUUGGACUCUAAGGAGACAUCCAUUAGUUAUCUCUUGCGAGCUUGAGAAGGGAAGUCCAAAGUUAAAGAUCACCUUGAAUGGCAAAUGUUAGGUGAGAGACACGAGCCAUUGCAAGUUGCAUCAGUGAGAGGGAUUUAAUGUUUGAACCCAUUAAAGGGAAGCAUCUGUACCACACCGGUUAGAGAAUUAACUAUAUGUUAAUUCUCUAAUGCGAGGAAAAGAAACAAGUGACCAGAACUCUCCUUUUUGUAUGAGGAACCUGAGCCUAGUGAUCUAAAUUCUAAGAAACACUUUUGUUUGUAGUUAAAAUUAGUUACUAUUUUUGGUUAGCUUAAAACCAAACCUUUUUCAUUCAAACAUCUUUAUGUUUUCUUUUAAAGCUAACUUUGAAAUGAAAAGGCACCAAUUCAUCUUUGAAAUAAUAUCAAUUGUGGAGUGAAAACCCAUCCCAGUGAACGACCCUAGAGCCACUACGCUAUGCUAGCUAAGUGUCACAAGAUGCUUCAAAUGACCCUCCCCAUGGCUUAUAUAGGAGGUGAGAAGCUUCUAGAGACCCUUGGAGACAUCCACACGUAGCCACUAGUGGGAAGAGUGUGGAAGGUUCUAGAAAUGCCUAGAGAAGUCCACACAACUCUACACUAUGGUAGAAGGCAUGAGAAGGGUCCAAAGCUUUCUAGAGAAAUCUAGAAGUCUCUUGAAUAUUCUAGAAUAGUGUAGGACAUUCUAGAAGUCUCUUGAAUAUUCUAGAAUAGUGUAGGACAUUCUAGAAUAUUCAUGAAUUGUAAGGAACCCUCCAAGGUUCUAGAGAGUUCCAUUGGUGCCUAUAAAUAGGUGAGGGCCUCAUUUGGCCAAGGCACCAAGCAAGUGAGCAUCCAAGCACUUGUAAAGGCUUUCUUGAGAUAAUAAAGCUUCCAUUCUUUAAGGAGUUGCCUACUAAGCUCUUAAGCUUUCGAGUCGCUAGUGUCUUAGCCGAGCAAGCUAAGCAUUGGGGAUCAAGGCUGACUUAGCAAGAUCAAGCGUCUUGACUUGCCUAAGUGCCGCACGAGCUUAGUGAACGACUAAGUCCGUGACAAGUGGUAUCAGAGCACGGUUACAAGGUGGGCAUAGCAAAGGAAGCAUGUCGGGUUCCAACGUGGAGGAGACUAGCGAGCAAACCCGUUGGAGGGAGACCGAGCCUACUGCACGGGGCAGGGGCAGAGGUAAGAAGGAUACAUCUCGUGAUGUUGUUGCCAACAUGGAGGCAAGGUUAGCCAAGGUGGAGCUAGCCAUGGCAGACACCCGGGAAGGGGUGGACUUGAUCGAGCAAGGCAUGGAGAAGGGCUUAGAGGAUCUAAGGGAGCAGAUCCAAGACCUUCGCGAGGGGGUGCUGGUCUCGCAAGUUCAGUCGGUGUCACACAAGGAGUUCAUGUCCUUCCAAGACAAGGUCAUGAGCAUGUUCGCUAGUGUGGAGUCAAGGAUGGAGGCCUUGACUGCACGAGUGGAGGCCCGAGACCAAGAGAUUCGACAAGAGUUGGCCAUCUAUAAGACCGUUGUAUCAGCUCGGGUCAUGGCCACACAGGAGGCAUCUAGGGUGGAGGUGCCGAAGCCACAUAGGUUUAGUGGCAAGCGGGAUGCCAAGGAGUUGGAUAACUUCUUAUGGCAUAUGGAGCGAUACUUCGAAGCUAUCGCAUUGACGGAUGAGGCGGCUAAGGUGAGAACUGCGACCCUCUACCUUACUGACACAGCUACUCUAUGGUGGCGUCGAAGGUUUGCCGAUAUGGAGAAAGGCAUUUGCACCAUAGAGACGUGGGAGGACUUCAGGAGGGAGAUCAAGAGGUAGUUCUACCCGGAGGACGUGGCUUACCUGGCUAGGAAAAACAUGCGGCGUCUUAAGCACACAGGCUCAAUACGCGACUAUGUCAAGGAAUUCUCUUCGCUCAUGCUUGAGAUUCCUAACAUGACUCAGGAGGAGUUGCUAUUCAACUUCAUGGACAACCUGCAAGGGUGGGUCGAGCAGGAAUUAAGGCGCCGAGGCGUUCAAGACUUAGCCACUGCUAUGGCAAUAGCAGAAUCUUUAACGGAUUAUAAGAGGGGAGACUCCUCCAAGGAUGAGUCUUUAGAGGAUAGCCACGCCAUGGGUGGGGGAGACGAGGUUCCAAGGGACCACAAUGCUCCUAAAAAGGGAUCAAGCAAGACGUCUAACGUCUGAGAAGGAAGGGAUAAGGCGGAAAGGAGGGAGUUUACGCCUAAAAUCAAAUGCUUCCUGUGUGACGGUCCACAUUGGGCACGGGAUUAUCCAAAGCGGAAGGCGCUCAGUGCCAUGAUCGAGGAGAGGGAGCAGGAGGACGAAGCACAUAUGGGCUCAAUGCAGCUACUAGGUGCCCUCCAAUUCAACUCGAAGCCUAGUACGCCUGAGACCUCCUUAUUAGCAGGGGUGCAAGUAAAGGAGAGCGAGCUGAGGUAGCCCUUACACACAUGGAAGAGGUCACUAAGGGAAAGGUGAACUCAAUGGGUAAGAGGAAGCAACACUCUAAGCAUCGGAAACGCACGGGUCUGCAUCCAUCUGAAGCCUCACUGGAGAAGGAGGUGAAGAAUAUCCUGGCUGAACGGGUCACCAGGAGACAAGGGGUCCCUCUUGUGAUAGAGUAUCUAGUCCGAUGGAAAGAACUACCUAAGAGGCAGGUAAGCUGGGAACAUGCGGAUGCCUUGAGAAAAUUCUGGAAACACAUCGAGAAGUUUCAGAAUGAGGCAACGACGAGGAUGUCGACGGCUUAGGUGGGGGAGAGUGUCACAAGAUGCUUCAAAUGACCCUCCCCAUGGCUUAUAUAGGAGGUGAGAAGCUUCUAGAGACCCUUGGAGACAUCCACACGUAGCCACUAGUGGGAAGAGUGUGGAAGGUUCUAGAAAUGCCUAGAGAAGUCCACACAACUCUACACUAUGGUAGAAGGCAUGAGAAGGGUCCAAAGCUUUCUAGAGAAAUCUAGAAGUCUCUUGAAUAUUCUAGAAUAGUGUAGGACAUUCUAGAAUAUUCAUGAAUUGUAAGGAACCCUUCAAGGUUAAUAACCUAAACAUCUUACCUCAAUAUUCUUUUAUGAAAAUUUUCAACUAUUGCAGGGUGUCCUUCAUGUCAUUGGUCAUGUUCAGGUCUGAAUAAGUAUGAGUAGUGGUGACAUACUUAAGAUAAUGACCUAUGUAUUUCAAUACAACUUGAAGAAUAUACAAUAAACAAUUUAGCAACAAAUUAGAUUCUUACAAGUUUUAACACAUUAAAUUCAAUAAGCAUAUUAAUUUCAAAGAAGGUUGGUAGCCAAAGGUAGUAAAAUAAUUGAGAUAAAGAAACGAAGAAUGAAGAGAAAUUAAUUUCAACUAAAACAUUAUAAUUAAAUUGAUCUUUUAACUUGACAUGUUAUGAAUCCAUGAAAAAUAAUACAUUGGUAAUACUUUAUUGAUUAAAAGAGUAAAAUAACACCAAAGAUAGAAAAAACUACGUGAUAUGGACAAAGGGUUUAUUUUUGUAACAAUGACCAACAGACUAAAAGUAAAAGGGCCUUGGUGGAGGAAAAAACUAUUAUGUCAAAAUGACUAGUUUCUUUCCUUACAAUUGUAUUUAGAUUAAGGAGCUAGCAUUCAAGUUGAUACCCUGUUUUAGAAAAGGAGGCUUUAGAGGCCUAUAUUAGGGAGAAUGAGGUGCUAUUUUUUUUUCCGUAGGCUUAUUUGUAAGAAGUCUUAAUCUAACUUCCUAUUUUUUAAUGUCAAAGAAAAUACAAGUAUAAGAUAUUUUAAACUUUAAGCCCAUUAGUUUAGGAGGAGGCCUCUACAAAUUUAGAUUGAAAAAAGUUAUAAAGCAAGUGAUCUUAAGGGUCCAAAAUGGUUUUUUUGAGGAUAAACAUAUUCCUAAUGCAUGCACAUGUAACAAGACUAAAGACUUUACAAAAAAGAGUUCGAAAAUGCAUGAAUUUUCAUACCAUUACAACACUAGGAUUUCUACCAAUCUAACUAAUAAGGAUGUGUACAGGAAAUACACAAAGGUUGUGACACCUACCAUGUCUAAUAGUCUUCACCUCUCAAUUUUCCAAUUACACAUCCAUCAAAAUAGAGCAACCAUUGCAUGAUCCAUAUUGAAAACACUACCAACUAGAAGUACCAAGAUAUACAUUAACAAAUCAUGACUAAGAAUAAAUUAUACAAUUAACAUUAACAAAAUAUUCACUAGAUAUUUAGAAUAAUAUGAAGUUAUAUUAGACUACAAGUCAUACAAGGUACCGUCAAGCAUGAGUAAUGAUUAAUUGACUGUUAAUUAAGAUGAGAUUGUCAAUUUGUAAUAAAUAAUAUUUAUGAUUCAAUAAUGUCACUCUUCCUAAAUUAUAGACUAAUAAAUUUUAUUCAUAAUUAAUUUAUUAUUUUCCAAAUAAAAACAAUAUGAAAUAGAAUAAAGACAAAAAGAAAAUUAGGAUUGUUGUUUAAUGUAUAAUCUAGGUUAUUUUGUCAUUUAUAAUCAUUUUAGGAAAUAAGAAAUUUUUAGAAAAAAUAAUAUUUUUUUCAAAUUCGAUAUGAUGGUGACUUCACAAAGAAAGUCAUUCUAUAAAUUAAGGGAUGACUUUAAUAGCUAUUAAUUAUCCUAUUGAUGGCUGUCAUUUCAUCACGUUUUACUAAUGAUGAUCCUUGUAGGUUUAUUUUGUCUAACAUUAAGUAUAUUUUGACAAGUUGAAAACAAAACAUAUAUAUAUAUAUAUAUAUAUAUAUAUUUAAGAAUGUAGGCAGCAUAUUAAUUACCAUGAAAAAUUAAAACCUCCAGCUCACAUCACACUAAUACCUUCACCCAUAUCUUUUCACAUUAGUAAAUACAGUUCAAAUACAAUACCAAAAAACAUGUACAUGCAUGUACUUAGCCAAUAUAAGUCAAUCCCAUUAUUUUAUAUUUUGAUCUCAUUACUUAUAUUUGAUCUUAAUUUCAUUUUGAUUAUUUUAAUCUUAUUACCUAUACCAUCAUCCAACUGUUUACAUUUUAUCCAAAAUUUUUAAUGGUUGGGAUGUAAAAUUCAAUAUGUAUUUCUUUAAGAUUUUCCUAAUAAACGCAUAAUUUCAUAAUAGUAUAGUGGAACUAUAUAGGGAUAUAAACAGGUGGCUCAUUUAGGCUCACUUAGGCCCACUUAGGCACACUCAGCCCAUUUGGACACCCCUAGGCCCUAUAGGCACAUUUGGCUCAUCUAGACUCACUUAGGUCCAUUUAGGUACACUUGGCCUAUCUAGGCUCACUUAGGCCCACUUAAGCCCACUUAGGCCCACUUAGGUUUACUUAGGCCCACUUAAGCUCACUUAGGCCCACUUCGGCCCACUUAGGCUCACUUAGGCCCACUUAGGCACACUAAGCUCAUUUGGACACUCCUAGGCCCUUUUAGGCACAUUUGGCCCAUCUAAACUCACUUAGGCCCACUUAGGCACACUAAGCCCAUUUGGGCACCCCUAGCUUUAGGCACAUUUUUUAAAUGGAGAAAUUAAGUUUUAAAUCAAAAAAUCAGGAUAUUUUUUAAACAAAGGAGUUGACACUUGAAUGUUUAAAAAUAAAAAUAAAAGAUUAAGUUUUUAGAUUGGAAAAUCAUUUUUUUUUAAUAAUGGAAAGGAUAAAUUUCAAAAUAUGAAAAUGAAAUUUUGGAAAUUUGGGAGACUUUUUUGUGGAGGGGAUAUGGAAUUCUAAGAGAGGAGGACUCCUCCAAAGAUACAGGGUUGCCAAUUGCCAUAGAAAAUGGGGGUUGGUGGUUUUGGAGAGUGGAGGAAUUUCUUUUAAAAGGGACUUUCAACACGCACGGGAGGGGGGAAUAGAAAAAAAAGGAAAGAAAAGGAGUGAGAAGACACAGCCGGGAAGAAGGACAUCUUUAAGGGUGGAGAAAACACACAGCCUACCUUGGGAACUUUCCACUACUAGCCGCCACAAGAAAAAUAAAAAAAAGAUCAGAACAUAAGACUCUACAAAAUAAAUCUAAAACAAAUAUCUAGAAGUUAAUUUUUAUCCUGAAAAUUUUCAAAGAACAUCUCCUAUAUAUCUAGUUUACCAUCUAAGUGACCAAAUCAAUUAACCAACCCUCAUUUAGUACCAGAUUUCAUAAUAAUGAUAAAUAGGUCCAGAACUGGGCAUCUUUUUAAGGUGUUCAACAAUUGAUUUUUCUAACUAAAUUCAAGAUGUCCUAAAAUCAUAAAAAAAUUUACAUAGCUAUCUUAAUAUAUAUAUAUUGUAUGAAAAAUAAUCACAGGGCAAUAUCACAUUCAUAACAUACUUAAAAAUAAAUAAACAUCUCUCCACUCCAGAAGAGCAUAUGUGUAGUGGGUGCAAGAAGAAAGAAAUUAUAUCUCUCAUUUUAGAAAUUAUUUAUUGAUAUUUUAGGCAUAAACAAUUAAAUUAAGAAGUCUAGAUUAAAAUAAAAAUAUUCAAAUAAAUCAAAUAAACCAUUUAUUAAUUUAAUUUUUCAGAACAAUACUAAGUGUAAAAAAUAGAGUGAAAAUUGAACCUUCCGAAAGAUUGAUUUAUAUCUUCUAAUUGGAAAACCAUAUUUGACCCAAGAAAUAUUCAAAAAUCAAGCUCAAGGAUUCUAGAAUGUCAUAGAAUAAUUAUACAAAUUUUAAAGGGUUUUUAAGUUACCAAAUUCCAAUUUACGAAUGCAAAAGUACAGUGAAUUAUCCAUAAUUUCAAUAAAUAAAUACAAACUUUGUUUUGAAAAAGACUUAGUAUGUAGGGAUCUAUUAAAUCCCAUUUUAAUUUCCAUGAAUUUAUCCAUGAAGACUCCAUUGAUUGGAGUUAUGAAAUUUAAUUCACGUAUAUUCAAAACCAAAAUUCAUUUUAAAUUUUCUUUUUCAAACUAUGCAUACCAAAUAAAAUUGGUUGCAUGAAUUUUUAGAAAAUUGAAUUUUCAUAACCUAAGAAUGUCCAAGACAAAUUUGGAAAAUUGAGAAUUAAUUUUUAGAAAGGUAGCUUGAUAAGAAUUUUGAAAUUACUAGCAAACACAAAUAAUCACAUAAAGUCCCACAACCAAAAGAAGAAAAUUCUUAAGGAGACAAAGUGGUGUGUGCCAAGGGUGAGUGAAGCAUGUUGACUUGUGUGUGAUGACAAUGAAAGUGUGGCUGUUGUGUGUGUGUUCAUAGUAACAACCUGGUGGUCUACUUUUCUAUGCAGCUAUGCAUGCCUUUCUUUAUCAAUUUAGCUAACGUUUGUUCUCCAAAAUUCAACUAGCGGUGUUGGUCUUCACAAGCUUAUGCAAAUUCUCAAAAUUCAGCAAUCUGAUGUGUGCUUGGGCUAGCAAUCUGGUGGUUUCAAAAUCUAAUAGUGUGAUCAUGUGUGAUACGUUCCCAAUUGGUGUCUCAGCUGAUUCAUGUCCUCUUAAUGGUCCCUAACAAUGGAACCAUUUGAUUCGUGUCCACCUGGUGCUCCUUGAUUGUGGUCCUCAGAAGGGAGUAAUCAACAAAAUUUAUAACCUAUUACACCAUGUACUAGGAUAGCCUUAGCUAGCAUAGCAUAGUGGCUCUAGGGUUGUUCACUGGGAUGGAUUUUCACUCCACAAUUGAUAUUACUUCAAAGAUGAAUUGGUGCUUUUUCAUUUCAAGGUUAGCUUUAAAAGAAAACAUAAAGAUGUUUGAAUGAAAAAGGUUUGGAUUUAAACUAACCAAAAAUAGUAACUGAUUUUACUUACAAAGAAAAGUGUUUCUUGGAGUUUAGAUCACUAGGCUCAGGUUCCUCAUACAAAAAGGAGAGUUCCGGUCACUUGUUUCUUUUCCUCGCAUUAGAGAAUUAACAUAUAGUUAAUUCUCUAACCGGUGUGGUACAAAUGUUUCCUCUUAAUGGGUUCAAACACUAAUUCCCUCUCAUUGAUGCACCUUGCAAUGACUCAUGCCUCUCACCUAGCAUUUGCCAUUCAAGGUGAUCUUUAACCUUGGAUUACCUGUCAAAAGCUCGCAAGAGAUAACUAAUGGAUGUCUCCUUGGAGUCCAAAAGCUUACCAAGUGUUGGCUAUUCUAGAAAAUCCUACCUUCAAACCACCUCCUAAAGGCUCGCAAGAGAUAAACUAGUGCAUCUCAAUGGAUGGAGAUCACUUGCCUUACUAAGUGUUGGCCCAGGUGAUUUAAAGGUGUUUUAAGUUAACUAAAAACAUAAAAACCAUUAAUGGGUCACACUUUCUAUUCAUUAAUAAUUGAAACAACAAAACUUCAAAUUCUUGCAUUUGGAAACUUACCCGGCUUUCUUCACUCCAAGAGAUGAAGAGCCUAGCCUCUCAUCCUCUGAGGAAAAAUCCUCAGAGUUUGAUUGGCUAGAAAGAAAACUAACGAGAAAGCAAAAAUAUGAAGGAAAAAUAGAGCAAGUGCUCUGUAAAAUAUAUUUCUUCCUUCUGCCGAUUACAUGAUUUUUGUCUCUGAGAAAAAACUCCUGAGAUUCGAUUAUAUAUAAGGGGUUAUUCACCCUUUGUUCUUACUUAAAGACUAAGGAAUCCUAUGAUAAGUGGGUUACAAGGAGAUUUUGGGGAUUUAGACAUCAAAUAUCUAAAGCAAAAUAUCUCAAAAUGUCGGUCGCAAAUAUCAGGAAGCUUCAGGAGAACACCGUAGUUGUGCGUGCAAGAGGGCUGUGAAAUUUCGCAGCAAAAGGACAACAUUUUCGCAGCCCAAGGCUGAUUUCACAGUCGUGCAAAAUCUGCCUUCAGCUUGGAGUGAUUGGCUUCCAAUGGCUGUAACUCCUUCAUUUCAACUCCGAAUCAUGUACCAUUUGAAGUAUUAGAUUUUUGACUUCCUGAGAUUCGAAACGACAUAUAGCAUGCAUAAAUUGAACUCCAAGAAGUGCUCCAAAAGUGGCUGACAUGACUGUCAUCUAGAAUGCUUCAUGUUAUAUUUCUCUUUGCUUCCCCUCCUUGCAUUCUGGAUUUGCUUAUGGCAAAGGACUUCAAAGCUUCGGUUCUUCAUGUUUCUGAGUUCUUCAUUGCUUUGCCAUGGAUUCUAAAGAACUCUCCUCAAUCUUGGAUUGCUUUGGUUAUCAAAUUACUAACAAAAACACCAAAACUUACACAAUUUGAUUAGAAAUGAUUGCAAAGGUGCUUAAUAUGUUAAUUGGGUUAAAAGGUAAUAACUGCUACUCAAAAUUGUUUAAAAGAGUUAAUUACAAGAUAUAAAAUAGCACUUUUUGAGUAGUAAUCAAUGUGCUUGUUGCUUUUCUCCUCACAACCAUGCACUAUCAACUUACCUUUCUACCAUUAACAAUUCGUACACAAUCAGUUUGCCUUCCCAAAGUUCUAAAGACUUCCCUUUAAAAUUUCUAAUAAUUAUUUUAUUCCCAUCAAAUUUCAAAUAUGCCACUAACUGCUACCUCUCUAAUACCUUCUCAUCUUCUUCGCUUCAAGCCAAAACCAUGCACUAAAUUUAUGUGACUCUCUAGAACCUUUUGUCAAUUUUUUUUUUUUUACAAACUGUGCACCAAACGAUCUUCAUUCUAGAAAAAACCGGUGCUAACACCAAUCCCCACCAUGUCCACAAUCAACUCGGGCGUUCCCUAUGGUGUGUGUUUGGAGCCCUUUUCAAAGGUACAAAAUUGUUUCUCUUUUAUGGCAGUAUGCUAGCGUGAAUAGAGAUGCCCUCUAACAAUCAACAAGAGAAUAGUUCCUAAGCCUUCCUAUCAAGAGUUUUCUCAAUCUACAUAAAUGGUAAUUGUCUACACUAAUUUCUAAAUACUUAGCCCCUCUGAUUAUGGGUUGAUGAACACCCAUUUGAACAUAACGACCACUUUCCCUACCUUACGUACAAUUUUGCAGUUUCCUUUCUCUAUAAAUACUAGAUUUGGACCAGAUGUGACAUUUGGCAUGCCCAAGGGCAUGGACUAGAAGCAAAGGAAAGCAACAAAAAAUAGGGCAUGAAUGGGUAAAACAAAAUGAACUAACAAAAGCCACAUUUCAUACCUAAUCAACAAAUCAAGAAUAGGUAAUAAAAACUGAGAGAAGUAAUAUGAUUAUCAAAUACUAAACCUAAAGGUAAAUUUAUCGAUUUACAAAGGGAAAUCAAAGAAUCCAAAAUGUGACCAAAACAGAGCAUGUAUGUAGACAAUUAGAUUCAGUCAAACCAACCAAAUAACUUUUGAUGUCCACACCAAAUCAACAAGACAACACUCAUAAAUCUGCAUAAAAUAAAAUAAAAUAGUAUUGAAAAUGAGGAAGAAAUGAAGAUCUUACUUGGAAGGCUCCCUCCUUGAAGUUGUUGCAUGUUGAAGAUCUUAGAGUGAGCAGUGUUUCUUCUCCACUAUAGCCCCUAUAAUUAGGGCAUGAUUUUCAAGGGGAAACUCAACCAACAUCAAAGCACUUGCAAUAAAUGAGGAAUAUGGAGUUGAAAGAGUGGAGAAUCACUUGAUUUUUUGCUCAAUGGUGGAAUUUGUAAGAGAAGAAAGGAGUUUUAGUGCUUAUUCUCUAUUAUGAGAGUCACAAAAUGGAGAUUCAAAAAUGAUUUCCAGAUUUUUAUACUCAAGAUCUCACACUAGGGCUUGGAAACGCACCGUGUGACAAGAUUUCCAGUGUCAAGAGCCUCAUCUAGAGUCAUUGAUCGAUAUUGAUUGUAGUUAACUAGGCUCCAAGGGUUUGUCGGGGUUUUGAAAAAAUGGAGGGAAUGUUUGGCGUACUAUGAAGUCGUGGGUGAGAAUGGGAAAUAUGUGAGCCAUAUAUAAAGGUGUUAUUUUGAUGUCACUUUUAUAGAGCACCAAGGUAAAAAUAAAUAAUAAAGACACUUAUAGAAAACCUCGUGCUAUAGGAAGCAUCAUUAUCCCUCAGCAUAAAGCGCCAUGGUCUAACAUUUUCCUUUUAAGCGUCAACUUCGACCACUUAUUUACUCAAUUGCCCCUCUAAAAGCCAAGUGACGACAUUUUUUUUGAAGCGCCACAAAUUGUGUUUUUUGUAGUAGUGUGGAGGUCUUCCUAUACCCUAUUUAACAUAAUAUAACCUUGCGUACAUGCUUUAGAAAAAUAAGUAAAAGUUUAGAAAAGUAUUUACAUUUGAUUUGAGUUGAAUCAUUCCCUUAUUCGACCUAUUUUGGGUCUAAACUUUAACUUAUGUAAGCCUCGUGAUGCUUUCCUAAACCUUAUUUAGCAUGGUAGAACCCUAGAUACAUCAUUUACAAAAAUAAGUACAUUCUUAAGAAAAAGUACAUCAUUUACAAUAAUAAGUAUAUUCUUAAAAUAUCUAUAUAUACAUACAUUCAUAAGGAAAAUACAUACAUUUGAUUUGAGGUUAAUCAUGACCUAAUUCAACCUAAUUUGGAUCUAAGAUUUGACUUAUGAUGCCUCAGAAUGUAUUUUAUGCCUUCCAAAACUCCGUUCAACAUGAUAGAAGUAUAGGUACAUUCUUUAGAAAAAUAUGUUCGAAAUCUGAAUUUUCCUAUUUGAGGUCUCUUAUAUAUAUUUAUGUAAUAUAUAGUUGUAAAUUAGAUUAGAAAAAUGUGUAUAACUGUAAAUUAUAUUAGGAAGAACAAUCUUUGAUUUAUAAGGAUUUACUUGAUUUAUAAGGAUUAUUAGUUUUCUUUUCCUUUAAUUUUUUUUGUAAAUAUAAGAUAUAAAUUAAGAUCGUAACAAGUAAUUGAAUAAGAAUCUUUUACCAUUUUCUCUCACAUGGUAUUAGAGCCACUUUGACAUCCUUCAUUAGCCUUCAUUGUUGAUUUUAGUUCAAGUUUUUUAGCCUUCACUGUUGAAGAUUUCAAGCCUAAUUCUUUCAACCUUCAUUGUGUGUUUUGUUUAUUUCUUUUUACAUAUUUCAUCCAUUCUACCUGCAAUUUCUGGGAUUUCACCAUGUCUAAGAUGUAUGAUAUUUCUUUUAAAACUAAUUUCAUAAUUUAAAUUAAUGAUUUAAAAAAAUAAAAAUGUUACGAAAAUAAUUUUUAUUUAUUUUUAAUUCCAUUUAAAUAUGAUUUUUUUAAUCUCUACUAUUAUGUUUAUAAGAGCAAAAUAGUAAAAAUAUAUAUUCCAUUUAGUUUACUUGUAAUGAACAAUUCAAACAUGAUUAAUUUUAAUUUUAUUUCCUAUGAGUUAAUUUAGGUAGGGAAGGUCUUAAUGGCAUAGUUUGGUUUUUUUUUUUUUUUUUUUUUUUAAAAAUGUCAAGUUCAAGUUGUUUAAAAAUUGUACAAAACCUAUUAGGAGCCUUGUACACCCUUGUACACUUAACACAUUUCCUUUAUAAAAUUAGUGUAAUACCCUUGUACAGUAAUGCAAAUUCCAUAUCCCUCCUAAGUUAUGUGUCCAUAUAGGUGUGUUAACCAUAUUUUCAAUGGUUUGGUUGAGAAAAUGAUGGAUGACUUAGGGUCAAACAUCAUUAUUGGGGAAAACAUUGGAAUUCCAUGUGGGAUUUAAAUAAAGUACAUGACAUGGGUAUACAAUCCUUCGGCGACAAGGAAAAUAAAGGAGUGGCUCAAAAUUGAUUGAAAUCUUUCAUAAAGGGUAAUCUUGUACACCUUGUACACUUAGUAUAUUUCCCUUGUAUAGUUAGUGUAACACCCUUGUACAAUGACACAAAUUCCAUAUCUCUCCUAAUUUAUCUGUCAAAGUAGGUGUGUUAACCAUGUUUCCAAUGGUUUGAUUGAGAAAAUGUUGGAUGACUUAGGAUCAAAUUUUUUUCCCUAAACAUCAUUACUAGGGAAAGUAUUGAAAUUUCCAUGUGAAAGUUAAAUAAAGUGUAUGAUAUGAGUGUACAAUUCGUGGGUGAUAAGGAAAAUAAAAUGAGUGGUUCAGAAUUGAUUGAAAUCUUUUACAAAGGGUAGCCUUGUACACCCUUGUACACUUAGUGUAAUACCCUUGUACAGUUCGUGUAAUACCCUUGUACAGUAGCACAAGUUUCACAUCCCUCCUCUUAAGUUACACAUAAGUGUGUUAGCCAUGUUUCCAAUGGUUUGGUUGACAAAAUGGUGGAUGGCUUAGGGUCAAAAUCUUUAUCCCAAACAUCAUUAUUGGGGAAAGUACUAGAAUUUCCAUGUGGGAGUUAAAUAAAGUGCAUGACAUGGGUGCACAAUCCGUAAGUGAUAAAGAAAAUAAAUAAGUGGUUCAUAAUCGAUUAAAAUCUUCCACAAAGAGUAGCCUUGUGCACCCCUUAUACAGUUAGUGAAUGCCCUUAUAUAGUGACACAAAUUCCAUAUCCUUAUAGUGAAUGUGUGCUUAUAGGUGAAUUAAACAUGACUCUAGUAGUUUGGUUAAGAAAAUGGCAGAAAACUUAAAUUCAACUUUUUGUGUGAAUAUAUUAUAUUUUUGUGAAAAAAAAAAAUACACAAUUGGCCAAUUCCUUUGUUUAAUUGUGAACAAAUUAUAUUUUUAUUUUAUUAUUAAAAUAACUAAUAAAAAAAUAAAAAAGAAUAAUUAAUAAAUGAAAUUUAAUUCUUUUUAUUGUUUUCAUAUAAAAAUAGUACUAUACAAGGUUUUCAAUUUUCAAAUUUAAAAAUAGUUUUUGUUUUUUUAAUUAAAUGUAUUUUCAAAAAGAGACAAUAUAGAAAAUAAAAAAUUGUUUUAAAAAUAAAAAUUAGAAAAAUAUUUUAAAACCAAACUCAAACAUAAUCUAUAUAAUUUUUAACUACUUGUUUUCAUCUAAAAUGAGUAAAUAUAUCAUUCAACCCUUUUAUAUAAGAAAAAAAAUCAAUCUCUACUAUACUAUAUAUUGAUAUAAUUCACUUCUAAAAUUAGGUCAUAUGAAAACAUUUUAAUUAGAUAUUUAAAAUAAAAACUCUCCAUCCAUCCUCUUUCUUUCUUUUUCUUUUUCUUAUUUUGAUAAAUUUUCAAUUAAUUCAAAUUAUUAAAAAAAAAAUCCUUAGUAAACAAAUUUGCAACAUUUCAUAUAACUUAUUACCAAAAGUCAUCUUCAAAAAGUUAUUAAAAUAAGGAAGGAAGAAGAUUAAAAGAAAAUUUAAACUUUUUAUUUUAUAAUAGUAAAAAAUAAAUUUUAAAAUACUUUUUAGUAUAAAGGGAAAGAAAAUAGUGAAUAUUUUUAUUUUAAAUAGUAUUUUAAUCAUUAAAUUAUUUACUUCUAAAAUGUAAAAGAUAUUUUUUAUUUAUUUAAAUUAACAUUUUUUGAGAAAGUAUUUUCCAAAAUAGUUUUUGAAUCAUUAAUAUAAUUUUGGUUUAUUUAUAAUUUUAAAAUAGAAAAUAAUGUUGAUUUUUCAAUUAUUUAUAAAAGAGUUUAAAAAAAUAAUGAAAAAUAAAAAAAAUGGUUAAAUAAAGAUGAAUUUGUUAAUAGUAGCAUAUGGAGAGUUGUGGAAUGAAGACAAAAAUGAGUUAAAAUGAUAUUUUUGUCAAUUACUAUUUCAUAUCCUUGUAAUCAAUUAUAGGUGAGAGGAAUACCUUACAUCAAUUAUCAAACACCAGCACAAUUCUCCCCUAGAUCUAUAUUGCCCAUAGAUUUGUAUGCUAAUACUAAAUAAAAUGAAAAUAUAUUUAUCACAUAAUUUUUAUGUUUAUGUUAUAUUCUGUUUUAAAUUUUUGUUAAAAGAAAUCAUAUUAUGACAAUAGUAAUAGAUGAGAAAAAAACCAAACAUAAUACAUAUGGUUCACUCUCAAAUGUGGGAGACUUGUCACUUUGUUGUUCCAAAAUUUCCACUAUCAUAAAAAAAAAUAAAAAAUAAAAAAUGUGUGAUCUCACCUCUUACAUGCCUCCUCUAUCAUAAAAUCAAAAUAAUUGAAUGUGGUUCUGGCUUCACCAUGGUUCUAGUUUUUUUGCUUGAUUAAAAUUUUAAGUUUUCUGUUUAUAUCAAAAUAAAAUAGAAAUAUAUUUUUUCAUAAAAAAUUGUAUUAAAUAUUUUAUAUUAAUUUUCUUUUAGUUUUAAAAUAUUAUUACAACUCUCUACUCUUAAAAAAAUAAAAGACAAAAGAUUUAGUUUCAAUUUGGUAACUAUUUUAAAAAAUAAUUGUUUUUUUAAAAGAAAAACCAAGAAAACAUGUUUGACAACUAAAAAAAAUAUGAAACAAUUUUUUUUUUUUUAUCUUAAAAACAAAAAUAUGGUAUUUUUUGAAAACGUCUUUUAGUCGUUUUCACUUGGGUUUUUAGGGCUAUUUUUUUUAAAAUAAGUAUACAAAUAUGGAGAAUGAUUAAAAAUAAAACACUACAUAUAAAAUUUAUUGUUAAAAUGUAUUUAAAAACAUAGAAAACAAGUUAAAAAUAUUUCAGGUUUCAAAACAAGCUUUUAGUCUACAAAAUAUCAAAGACCAAAUUUCAAUAACUGUUCUUAAAAACUAUUUUUUAAAUUUUUUAAAAAAAAACACUUCCUAAACAAAGCUAAUAUAACUCAAUUUUGCUUCACCAAAAUUUGAAAAAAUAAAAUAAAAAUUUUAUAUUUCAUUAAUUUUAGUUCAAAAAAUAAAUAAUUGAUUUAUUAUUAAGGAAAAAGGUUUACUAGUAAUAUUAAAUGUUUAUAAAAUGUCAACCAUUAUAAGAUAAUGAAAUUAAUUAAAAAAAAAUAUACAUCUAAUAUGUAAUUCUAAUUUGUAGAAAAUAUUUUUUAAUCAACCCCCUCUCUAUUAUUAAUUUAAAUUUUUUAAAAUUGUGUAAAAUUAUUUUUAUAAAUAAUUUUUUUCUUUAACGUAAGGGUAAGGCCACCAAGUGUUUGUUUUUUUUAUUUAUUUAAUAUUUUAUGAUUUUUUUUUUCCUUUUAAAUUAAUGGUAAAUCUUUUUUUUUUUUUUUUUUUUUGAGGUGUUAUACUUUUUUAGGGUGAGUAGUAUGAGAAAAGAAGGUUGAUCUUAAUUAGGAAAACAUUUAAGAUGGGGGGAGCAAGGUUGAAUUGAGUUUUUAAAAUAUCCUUAUUUAAACACAACAAAUUCAAGAAAAGGAAGCACAAAUAUAAAGAGAUAAAGUUAGAGGAAGCAAACAUAGAUUUUAUAGUGGUUCGACACUCCUUGCCUACGUCCACUCCCCUCAAGCUCCUAACUGAGUGAGGGUUCCACUAUCCUUGAAGCUUCAACCAAGCUUCCAACGUCUUUACACUUGAUUCCGAUUCCAAUGGCUCUUACACAAUCCUUCAAGUAUUCACUAACUUGAAGCUUUCUAUUCACACAAUCUCACUUUAAAAUAAUGAAGGAAACUCUUAACCUAGCUUAAUAAAGGCUCAAAUACAAUCGAAAUGCUAGGAAGAAUGACAAGAGUGCACUAAAGAGUAUAAAAGUAAGGAUUUAAUGCAUCAAGGAGAGAAUGAGAUCUUUUAAGAGAAGAACAUGUAGUUAAACAAUUGAAUGCAGGUGUUCUCAUGUUCAUAAAUGAAGUAAAACUCUCAAUUUAUAAGUUUCUAACCACGGGAGCCAAAACUGCCAAAAUGUUAACCUCGACUGGUCAAGUUAGGGGUCAACUGGUUGACUAGUCGUUGGGCAAUAAAUGUAUGGUAGGUGACCGACAGGCCUCGACCACACCUUAACCAGACCUCAACUAGGAAAACCUAUCAUCGAUCGGGAAUGCAUAGCUACUGGAAGAGAGAGAAUACUUUUUGCAUCCCUCAAUCAAUCCUUAACUAGGAAGGCUUAAUCGAUUGACUGGUACCCUAACCAAUUGAGCCGGUUGGAUAGUCCCUUGAUUGAUACACCUAUUUUGGUCCGAAAACCUAUUUUUUUCUAUUCCUUUCAUUUUUAACACUUAGGCAAAGUCUUUAGGAGUAUUAAUAGAUUAAAUUUAAAGCAAUUUGCAUAAGGUUUGUAUAAGAAAACUCAAGGUUUAAUGGAAAUUUAAUUUUAAUUAAUAAACCAAGUUUUUAAAGAUGCAUAAAAAGAUAUGAAAAUCCUAAGUGUACAAAUGCAUUCAUCUUACAUAUGUUUCUUAAGAUUAGAAGGCCUUCUAUAUGUUUCAAUGAUUACUACUCAAAAAGUGCUAUUUGAUAGCUUGUAAUUAACUCUUUUAAACACUUUUGAGUAGUAGUUAUUACCUUUUAACCCAAUUAGCAUAUUAAGUACCUUUGCAAUCGUUUCUAAUCAAAUUGUGUAAGUUUUGGUGCUUUUGAUAGUAAUUUGAUCACCAAAGCAAUCCAAGAUUAAGGAGAGCUCUAUGGAAUCCAUGGCAAAGUAAUUGGAAACUCAUUUACAUGAAGAACCUAACCUUUGAAGCUUUAUAGUCCUUUGCCAUAAACAAAUCAUGAAUGCAAGGAUGAAAGCAAAGAGAGAAAUCUAACAUGAAGAAUUCAAGAGGACAUCAACUGUUUAACACUUUUGGAGAACUUUUUGGAGUCCAUUUGAUGUAUACUAUAUGUCGUUUCGAAGCAUGGGAAGUUAGCAAUCCAAUGCUUCAAACGGUGUGCGAAUCGAAGUUGAAAUGAAGAAGUUAGAGCCAUUGGAAUCCGAUCACACCAAGUUGAAGGCCAAUUUCGCAGGCUACGAAAUAAUUUUGCAGCCAUCUUGUACGUCUGCCAAAUUUCGCAGCCAUUUUGUGCGCCUGCGAAAUUCUCCUGAGUGCUUCCAGAUAUUUGUGACCGAUAUUUUUUGAUAUUUUGCUUCAGAUAUUUGAUGUCUAAAUCCCCAUUUUCUCCUUGUAAUCCACCAAUUAUAGGAUUCCUUAGUUAUUAAGCAAGAAAAAAGGGUGAAUAACCUGAUAUAUAUUGUUUUUGUAAUUUUCAUUGCAGACAUCUCGGGAGCUUGUUCUCAGAGACAACUUUUUGUAUAGUUUUUGAAAGGAAGUAAAAUAUAGAGCUUUGCUCUGCCUUACCUACUCAAUUUGAUUGUAUUUUUCAUUACUAGCCAAACAAGCUCUGAGGAUGUUUCCUCAGAGAAUGGGUUGCUAGACUUUUUGUCUCUUGGAGCUAAGGUAGCCGAGGGAGGUGCCGAAUGCAAGAAUUGAGAGUUUUGUUGUUUCAGCUGUUAAUGAAGAGAAAGUGUAACCCGUUUAUGGUUUCUAUGUUUUUAGUUAACUUAAAACGCCUUCAAUUCACCUGGGCCAACACUUGGUAAUGCAAGUGAUCUCCGUCCAUUGAGAUGCACUAGUUUACCUCUUGCGAGCCUUUGGGAGGUGACUUGAAGGUAGGAUUUUCUAGAAUUGCCAACACUUAGUAAGCUUUUGGACUCUAAGGAGACAUCCAUUAGUUAUCUCUUGCGAGCUUGAGAAGGGAAGUCCAAGGUUAAUGAUCACCUUGAAUGGCAAAUGCUAAGUGAGAGGCACGAGCCAUUGCAAGAUGCAUCAGUGAGAGGGAAUUAGUGUUGAAAUCCAUAAAAGGGGAGCAUUUGUACCACACCGGUUGGAGAAUGAACUAUAUGUUAAUUCUCCAAUGCGAGGAAAAGAACCAAAGUGACCGGAACUCUGUUUUUGCAUGAGGAGCCUGACCCCAGUGAUCCAAAAACUCCAAGAAACGUUUUUCUUUAUAAGUAAUUCCCAUUACUUUCUUUUUAGUUAGCUUGAAACCAAACCUUUUUCAACUAAAGUUUAUGUUUUCUUUUGAAGCUAACCUUGAAAUGAAAAGGCACCAAUUCAACUUUGAAUUGGUAUCAGUUGUAAGUUGAAAACCCUUCCCAGUGAACAAUCCUAGAGCCACUAUGCUAUACUAGCUUAUGCUAUCCUAGUGCAUGGUGAUAUAGGUUAUAAAUUUUGUUGAUUACUCCCAUCAGGGGACCAAAAUCAAGGUACACCAGCUGGGCACGAAUCAAAUGGCGUCAUUGCCAGGGAAGGUGACAACUUCACAGUGAUAUUAUUUCAGAGUACUUGUGAUUUUCAUCACAAGUUUAGUGACUUUUCUUUCAUUUUACUAAUUUUUAAUUAUUUCUUUUACUUGUUCAUAUUCUAAAUAUCUUUUAAUUAAGUUUUAUUUCAUUUUAGUCUUUUUUGUAGUCUUUUUUUUCUUUUGUUUUCUUUUGUUUUUGUUUUAGUUACAAUUGAAACUGGUUGUGUAUGCCAAAUUGGAUACGAGAUAGUGGAGGAAGGCUUGUUAAACGUGAUACACCUCAUAACAAGGAAUUGGAAUUGAGCUUGAAAAUCAUGGAAGCUACGCCUGAAGAUCAGCAUAGUCACCAUGGUCACCAGGACAAUCCCAAUGCUUUCAGAUCAAUGAGGGACCGUAUGCAUCCACCUCAUAUGAGUGCACCAUCAUGCAUAGUGCCCCCUACAGAGUAGCUAGUGAUCAGACCGCAUAUUGUUCCACUUCUACCAACUUUCCAUGGGAUGGAAAGUGAGAAUCCCUAUGCACAUAGAAUUUGAAGAUGUUUGUAAUACAUUCCAAGAAGGAGGAGCUUCAAUCAACUUGAUGAGGCUUAAGUUAUUUCCUUUCACUUUAAAGGAUAAGGCCAAGAUUUGGCUUAAUUCUUUAAGGCCAAGAAGUAUCCGUACUUGGACUGAUUUACAAGCUGAAUUCCUCAAAAAGUUUUUUCCAACUCACAGAACAAAUGGCUUGAAAAGGCAAAUUUCAAACUUCUUAGCUAAAGAGAAUGAGAAAUUCUAUGAGUGUUGGGAAAGAUACAUGGAAGCCAUCAAUGCUUGUCUUCACCAUGGUUUUGAUACAUGGCUAUUGGUGAGUUAUUUCUAUGAUGGGAUGUCUUCCUCAAUGAAGCAACUCCUCGAGACAAUGUGUGGAGGAGAUUUCAUGAGUAAGAAUCCGGAGGAAGCUAUGAAUUUCUUGAGUUAUGUGGCUGAAGUUUCAAGAGGAUGGGAUGAACCAAACAAAGGAGAAGUGGGGAAGAUGAAGUCUCAACCGAGUGCUUUUAAUGCUAAGGUUAGGAUGUACAUCUUGAAUGAAGAUGUUGAUAUGAAAGCAAAGUUUGCAGCUAUGACAAGAACAUUGGAGGAGCUAGAAUUGAAAAAGAUGCAUGAAGUACAAGCUGUUGUUGAAACACCAGUGCAAAUACAGUCGUGUCCUAUUUGUCACUCUUAUGAACACUUGGUGGAGGAGUGCCCUACAAUUCCAGCUGUAAAGGAAAUGUUUAGAGAUCAAGCAAAUGUUGUUGGACAAUUCAAGCCCAAUAACAAUGCUCCAUAUGGAAAUACUUACAACUCAAGUUGGAGGAAUCAUCCAAAUUUCUCAUGGAAGCCAAGAGCACCUCAGUACCAACAGCCGGCUCAACCAUCUCAACAAGCUUCAAGCCUUGAACAAGCAAUAGUGAAUCUCAGCAAGGUUGUGGGAGAUUUUGUUGGAGACCAAAAAGCCAUCAAUGCUCAACUCAGUCCAAGAAUUGACAGUGUAGAAAAUACUUUGAAUAAAAGGAUGGAUGGGAUGAAAAAUGAUUUAUCUCAAAAGAUAGAUAAUCUCCAAUACUCAAUCUCAAGGCUCACUAACUUGAACAUAGUGCAAGAGAAGGGUAGAUUUUCUUCUCAACCUCACCAAAACCCCAAGGGUAUCCAUGAAGUGGAAACUCAUGAGGGAGAAUCUUCACAGGUGAGAGAUGUUAAAGCCUUAAUCACUCUAAGGAGUGGUAAAAAAGUUGAGUUGCCAACACCCAAGCCACAUGUUGAAGAGGAAGAAGAAAAAGAGACAAAGAAGAGGGAGGAAAUCAAAGGAAAGAAGAAAGAUAUCAGUGAAGGGAAAGAGGACCAUGAUUCAAUAGUGAAUGCAAAUCCGGAGAAAAUACUUAUUAAGGAAGAAAUUGAAGAAACACACCUCUCCACCUUUUUCUCAAGCUUUGCAUGGGAAAAAGAGGAUAAAAAAUGCAUAAAAAAUUCUUGAAGUAUUGAGACAAGUGAAAGUCAAUAUUCCAUUGCUGGAUAUGAUUAAACAAGUUCCAACACAUGCAAAAUUCCUAAAGGACUUGUGUACUAUCAAAAGAGGGUUGAAUGUAAACAACAAAGCCUUCUUGACUGAGCAAGUAAGUGCUAUCAUACAAUGCAAGUCUCAUUUGAAGUACAAAGGUCCGGGAUGUCCUACCAUUUCAGUCAUGAUUGGAGGAAAGGUAGUGGAGAAAGCUUUGUUAGACUUGGGAGCAAGUGUGAAUUUGCUACCAUACUCUGUCUACAAGCAAUUGGGACUUGGUGAAUUGAAGCCAACAUCAAUCACUCUAUUUCUAGUAAAUAGAUCAGUGAAAUUUCCAAGGGAGGUAAUUGAAGAUGUCUUAGUUCAAGUUGAUAAUUUCUACUAUCCAGUAGAUUUUGUUGUUCUUGAUAUGGACCCUACUGUCAAGGAAGCUAAUUAUGUUCCUAUAAUCCUUAGAAGGCCAUUCCUUGCUACCUCAAAUGCAAUCAUCAACUAUAGGAAUGGACUCAUGCAACUCACUUUUGGCAACAUGACACUUGAGCUCAAUAUCUUUUAUAUGUCUAAAAAGCAAAUCACUCCGGAAGAAGAAGAAGGUUCAGAGGAGGUAUGCAUUAUUGACACUCUAGUGGAGGAGCACUGUAAUCAGAAUAUGCAAGACAAGUUGAAUGAAAGUCAUGGGGAUCUUGAAGAAGGGUUGCCUAAACCCUCUAAUGUGCUUGCUACUCUACAAGGUUGGAGGAGGAGAGAAGAGAUUCUACCUUUGUUCAAUAAAGAGGAGGCACAAGAAGUUUCUAAAGAAGAGAUCCCAAAGCUCAAUUUGAAGCCUUUGCCCAUGGAGUUGAAAUAAACAUACCUGGAAGAGAAUAAAAAAUGCCCUAUUGUUAUAUCUUCAUCUCUUACUAGUCCUCAGGAAAAGUGUCUACUUGAAGUUCUCAAGAGGUGUAAGAAAGCAAUAGGAUGACAAAUAUCUGACUUGAAAGGCAUUAGUCCUUGAUUCGACUCAUGGUAGCUUAGCUUUAAAGGCGUAUCAACAAAAUUUAUACCUUAAAUACUAUUACUAAAGUAGCCAAGCUACUAUAGCAUAGUGGUUCUAGGAUCGUUCACUGGGAAGGGUUUUCGCAAACACAAGUGAUAUUCAAAUUAGGAAAAUAAGUGAUUUUCUUAUGGAUGUUAGCUUUAAAAGAAGAUGUAAAUGUUUUAGAAAGAUUUAAACUAAUCUAAGCUAACAUUAAAGACUAAAAUGAAAGGGUGUAAAAACAAGUUUCUCAAAGAUAGGAUAGCUAUGCUCUGGCUCUUAUGCAAAUUGGAAAUCUCAGGAUAGGCUCCUCGCGUUGGGGUUGCAACUAUGGUGAUGCUUGCUUCCCGAACCGGUAUGGAUUUAGCAAAUCAAGUUUUAAUCCUUUAAAAUGACAAAACAGAUGGUAGUGAAUUUCAUCAAUGGUUAUUCACCUUAGACUUCCUUUGAAUGGCUCGUAAGAGAUAACUAAUGGUCUAAAGCCAAAAGCUUACCAAAUAUUGGCAACUCAAAGUCAUUCCAGGUGAUAAACUCACCUUUCAAUGGCCAUUGAAAUUGGUUCUAACGGAUUAAUGCAAAACUUGGAAUUGAAAACCUCACCUUCCAAUAGCUCGUAGGAGAUAACUAAUGGAUAGAAAUCCAAAAGCUUAUCAAGUAUUGGCCGUUGGAAGUUGUCCAAAGGAAAUAAAAACCAAACUUUGCAUUAAUGAACCUUUAAUGAAAAACGUCUACCUUACCUUCCAGGUGCGAGAAAUUUCCAUGGGAUUGCAUCCAAGCCAUCACAUAACCUCCAUACUUUGAGAAACUAAAAGUUUUAGCCAAUCAUCCUUUGAGGAAAAGCCCUCAGAGGCUGUUUGGCUACUAAGAAAAUAGAAAUAGUAAAGAGAAAAGAGAGACGAGAGAGCUCUGUAUAUCCCUCAGUGUAAAACGUAACACGCAUGUUCUUUAUCUUCCAAGAGGUGAUUUCCACCCCUUAUAUAGUCUUUACAAAAGCAAAAGCUUGUGAUUGGUUAGUUACAAGGAUAAGAAAGGAAAUUACAUCACAAAAUACAAAGGAAAAUAUCUAAAGUGGAGUCGGCAAAAACAGAGGAAAAUUCGCACCACGCAUGGGUUAUGCGAAUUUUGAAGGUGUUAUGCGAAUUUCGCAUAACACCUUGUGUUGUGCGAAAUUUUCGCACAACCUGGAGCAGUUGGCUUCCGAAGGCCAUAUCUUCCUUAUUUCAGCUCCAAAUCAUACACGGUUUAAAGCGUUGGAUUCUUGACUUCCUGAGCUUUGAAAUGGUAUAUAGUAUGUAGAAAAUGGACUUCGGAAAGUGCUCCAAAAGUGCGAAAGAAGACUGAAGAUGCUGUCCUCUUUGCUUCUCUUCAAUUUGCUUCACUCCUUGCAUACUUUGAACGACUUUGGCAAAGGGCUAUGGAGCUCCAAAGCUUGGUUCUUCAUGAAUUUGAUCUUCCAAAAGCUUUUCCAUAACUUGUCCAAGUAACUCCUCCAUCAUUUGGCAUGCUUGAAUUGAUUCAUAAGCUGAUAAAAACAUGUAAACUUGCCACAAAAUGGUUAAAACCAAUUACUAAGGACCUUAAUAAAUUAAUUGGGUUAAAUGAAUAUGAUUACUACUCAAAGGUGCUUAAAACCAUUAUAAUUAAGUCUACAAAAUAGCACUUUUUGGUAGUAAUCAGUCCUUUGGUUUGUACACAUCAUAUAUACAUGGAGGAAGAAGCUAAACCAAUUCGUCAGCCUCAAAGAAGAUUGAAUCCUCAUUUGCAAGAGGUGGUGCGAGUUGAAGUGCUGAAGCUACUUCAAGUAGGUAUUAUCUACCCCAUAUCUGACAGCCCUUGGGUGAGUCCUACUCAAGUGGUACCAAAGAAUUCAGGGAUUACUAUGGUUCAAAAUGAAAAAAGAGAAGAAAUUACUACACGCCUCACUUCAGGUUGGAGGGUGUGUAUAGAUUAUAGAAAAUUGAAUGUUGUGACAAGGAAAGAUCAUUUUCCAUUGCCAUUUAUUGAUCAAGUCUUGGAGAGAGUCUCUGGCCAUCCUUUCUAUUGUUUCUUGGACGGAUACUCCGGAUAUUUCCAAAUUGAAAUUGAUGUUGAAGAUCAAGAGAAGACCAUUUUCACAUGUCCACUUGGAGCAUAUGCCUAUAGAAGAAUGCCUUUUGGUUUAUGCAAUGCACCUGCAACAUUCCAAAGAUGUAUGCUAAGUAUCUUUAGUGAUAUGGUGGAGCGAAUUAUGGAGGUUUUCAUGGAUGACAUCACCAUAUAUGGAGGUACAUUUGAAAAAUGCUUAGUCAACUUGGAAGCGGUUCUUAAUAGAUGCAUUGAGAAGGACUUGGUGCUUAAUUGGGAGAAAUGUCAUUUUAUGGUACAUCAAGGAAUUGUCCUUGGCCAUAUCAUCUUCGAGAAAGGCAUUGAAGUUGAUAAAGCAAAGGUGGAACUUAUUGUCAAAUUGCCAUCCCCAACAACUGUAAAAGGAGUAAGGCAAUUCCUUGGCCAUGCAGGGUUCUAUAGGAGAUUUAUAAAAGAUUUCUCUAAGCUUUCAAAGCCUCUUUGUGAACUUUUAGCUAAAGAUGUUGAGUUUAUAUGGGAUGAAAGAUGUCAAAAGAGUUUUGAUCAACUGAAGCAAUUCUUGACAACAACUCCAAUAGUGAGGGCUCCUAACUGGCAACUGCCCUUUGAAGUAAUGUGUGAUGCCAGUGACUUUUCUAUAGGAUUUGUGCUUGGCCAAAGAGAAGAUGGAAAGCCCUAUGUGAUCUACUAUGCAAGCAAGACAUUGAACGAAGCUCAAAGGAACUACACAACUACAGAGAAAGAAUUGUUAGUUGUAGUGUUUGCCUUAGACAAGUUUUGUGCUUAUCUAGUAGGGUCUUUCAUCAUUGUUUUCACUGACCAUUCAGCCUUGAAGUAUUUAUUGACAAAACAAGAUGCAAAAGCAAGGUUGAUUAGAUGGAUUCUCUUAUUACAAGAGUUCGAUCUCCAAAUCAGAGAUAAGAAAGGAGUGGAGAAUGUGGUAGCUGACCACCUUUCAAGGUUAGUUAUAGCACACAAUUCCCAUGUCCUACCUAUUAAUGAUGAUUUUCCUGAGGAAUCACUCAUGUUGCUAGAAAAAACUCCUUGGUAUGCUCAUAUUGCUAACUAUUUAGUUACUGGUGAAGUUCCAAGUGAGUAGAAAGUACAAGACAGGAAGCACUUCUUUGCAAAGAUUCAUGCUUAUUAUUGGGAAGAGUCUUUCCUUUUCAAGUAUUGUGCAGAUCAAAUAAUAAGGAAGUGUGUCCCUGAAGAAGAGCAACAAGGAAUCCUCAGCCAUUGCCAUGAAAGUGCAUGUGGAGGCCACUUUGCCUCUCAAAAAACAGCCAUGAAGGUGUUGCAAUUAGGGUUUACUUGGCCAUCACUCUUCAAAGAUGCCCACAUCAUGUGUAGGAGCUGUGAUAGAUACCAAAGGCUCAGGAAGCUAACAAAAAGAAAUCAAAUGCCUAUGAACCCCAUUCUAAUAGUUGAUUUCUUUGAUGUUUGGGGCAUUGACUUCAUGGGACCUUUCCCAAUGUCUUUUGGUAACUCUUAUAUCUUGGUGGGGGUGGACUAUGUUUCUAAAUGGGUUGAGGCAAUCCCCUGUAAACACAAUGAUCACAAGGUGGUUCUCAAGUUUCUCAAAGAGAACAUCUUCUCAAGAUUUGGGGUGCCCAAGGCCAUAAUCAGUGAUAGAGGUACUCAUUUUUGCAAUAGACCCUUUGAAACCCUAUUAGCCAAGUAUGGAGUGAAGCAUAAGGUAGCUACACCUUAUCACCCUCAGACUUCCGGGUAAGUUGAGCUAGCAAACAGGGAAAUCAAGAAUAUAUUGAUAAAGCUGGUGAUUACGAGCAAAAGAGAUUGGUCUAUUAAGCUUUAUGAUUCACUAUGGGCAUAUAAAACAGCUUACAAGACUAUUCUUGGCAUGUCUCCAUAUCGCCUAGUCUAUGGCAAAGCAUGACAUCUCCCUGUGGAAGUUGAAUAUAAGGCUUGGUGGGUAAUCAAGAAGUUAAACAUGGACUUGAUCAGAGCCAGGGCAAAGAGGUGCUUAGACCUUAAUGAGAUGGAGGAAUUAAGAAAUGAUGCUUACAUCAAUUCCAAAGUUGCAAAACAGAGGAUGAAGAGGUGGCAUGAUCAAUUAAUCUCCAAUAAAGAAUUCCGGAAAGGACAAAGAGUCUUACUCUAUGAUUCAAGGCUCCAUAUCUUUCCUGGGAAGCUUAAGUCAAGGUGGAUAGGCCCUUUCAUUAUUCACCUAGUGCAUCCCAAUGGAGUGGUGGAAUUACUGAAUUCCAAUAGCACUGACACUUUUAAAGUCAAUGGUCAUCGUCUCAAGCCAUUCAUUGAGCCAUACAAGCAAGAAAAUGAGGAAAUCAACCUCCUUGAGCCAUAGAAAGCCUAAUCAGAAAAGGGUUAGAUGGGCUUGGUUUCACCAAAGUCCAUAUUUUUGUUAAAUUUUGUUAAUUUAAAAGCUUUAUUAAUUCUUUUGAUUUUAAUUUUGGUCUUAAGUUUUGUUAUUUAUAUGUAACUUAAUUUUUUUGAAUGAUCUAAUGUAGGAGGAAUUGCAAAGAAAAUGAAGAAAGGUCUCUUGGAGCUAAAAAGGAGUUCAAAACCAAGGGAAAAUUCAUGGCCUGCGAGAUUUCGCAGAAAAAUGAGGCCUCUGUGAAAAUGGCCCUUGCUGCGAAAUCAUUUCGCAGCCCCAUGCCCCCUUCUGCGAAAAUUUUCGCAGUUGCGAAACCCCCUCUUGGCACACGAGUGCCAUUUCGCAACACAGUACCCCCAUUUCGUAGCUGUGAAAUGGCUGCUGAUUCGACUCAUGGUAGCUUAGCUUUAAAGGCGUAUCAACAAAAUUUAUACCUUGAAUACUAUUACUAAAGUAGCCAAGCUACUAUAGCAUAGUGGUUCUAGGAUCGUUCACUGGGAAGGGUUUUCGCAAACACAAGUGAUAUUCAAAUUAGGAAAAUAGGUGAUUUUCUUAUGGAUGUUAGCUUUAAAAGAAGAUGUAAAUAUUUCAGAAAGAUUUAAACUAAUCUAAGCUAACAUUAAAGACUAAAAUGAAAAGGUGUAAAAACAAGUUUCUCAAAGAUAGGAUAGCUAUGCUCUGGCUCUUAUGCAAAUUGGAAAUCUCAGGAUAGGCUCCUCGCGUUGGGGUUGCAACUAUGGUGAUGCUUGCUUCCCGAACCGGUAUGGAUUUAGCAAAUCAAGUUUUAAUCCUUUAAAAUGGCAAAACAGAUGGUAGUGAAUUUCAUCAAUGGUUAUUCACCUUAGACUUCCUUUGAAUGGCUCGUAAGAGAUAACUAAUGGUCUAAAGCCAAAAGCUUACCAAAUAUUGGCAACUCAAAGUCAUUCCAAGUGAUAAACUCACCUUUCAAUGGCCAUUGAAAUUGGUUCUAAUGGAUUAAUGCAAAACUUGGAAUUGAAAACCUCACCUUCCAAUAGCUCGUAGGAGAUAACUAAUGGAUAGAAAUCCAAAAGCUUAUCAAGUAUUGGCCAUUGGAAGUUGUCCAAAGGAAAUAAAAACCAAACUUUGCCUUAAUGAACCUUUAAUGAAAAACGUAUACCUUACCUUCCGGGUGCAAGAAAUUUCCAUGGGAUUGCAUCCAAGCCAUCACAUAACAUCCAUACUUUGAGAAACUAAAAGUUUUAGCCAAUCAUCCUCUAAGGAAAAGCCCUUAGAGGCUGUUUGGCUACUAAGAAAAUAGAAACGGGAGAACAGGAGAAGAGAGAAAAACAGAGCAAGGCUCCGUCUGUAUAUAUGCGUCUAUGUCUUCAAGAGGUGAUUUCCACCCCUAAUAUAGUCUUUACAAAAGCAAAAGCUUGUGAUUGGUUAGUUACAAGGAUAAGAAAGGAAAUUACAUCACAAAAUACAAAGGAAAAUAUCUAAAGUGGAGUCGGAAAAGGCAGAGCAAAAUUCGCAACACGCAUGGGUUAUGCGAAUGUUAUGCGAAUUUCGCAUAACACCUUGUGGAAUGCGAAAUUUUCGCAUAACCUGGAGCAGUUGGAUUCCGAAGGCCAUAUCUUCCUCAUUUCAGCUCCAAAUCGUGCAUGGUUUGAAGCGUUAGAUUCUUGACUUCCAGAGAUUUGAAAUGGUAUAUAGUAUGCAAAAAAUGGACUUCGGGAAGUGCUCCAAAAGUGCGAAAGAAGACUGAAGCUGCUGUCCUCUUUGCUUCUCUUCACUUUGCUUGCUUUUCCUCUUUGCUUCUCUUUGCUUGUGCUCGUGUUUCCACUUGAAAUUCAAGCCUGUAAAUGUCCAAAAUCCUUGCUUUAACUUGUCCAAGUAGCUCCUCCAUCAUUUGGCAUGCUUGAAUCAAUUCAUAAGCUGAUAAAAACAUGUAAACUUGCCACAAAAUGGUUAAAACCAAUUACUAAGGACCUUAAUGAAUUAAUUGGGUUGAAUGAAUAUGAUUGCUACUUAAAGGUGCUUAAAACCAUUAUAAUUAGGUCUACAAAAUAGCACUUUUUGGUAGUAAUCAGCUGCAAAAUCCCCAAAGCGUGAAAUCUCCAAUUUUCGUAGCCAAAGCCCCAUUUCGCAAGGUGUUUCGCAGUUGCGAAAGACCCCCUUGGCACACGAGUGCCAUUUCGUAGCACAGUAGCCUCAUUUUGCAGUUGCGAAAUGGGCUGCGAAAAGGGCCCUCCGCUGCGAAAUCCACCCUCCUCUGCAAAAAUUAAAACGACCCUUGGCAUCCAAUUUUUUAACGGUAUAAAUUCCACAUUUCUAAUAAACCGGUCAUUUGAACUUCAAACAGGUGCCAGAGAAGAGCCAAAACAGAGCAACCUUCCAUUUUCUCCCUCCUAUAUGAGCCUAAGCUACGCGUGCCUCCGCCCAUCUCCUUCGGUCAGCCAUGGCAAGAACCCGAGGAGCUAAGUCUUCGUCUCUGUCAAGCCGCAAGAGAGCCGCAAAUGAGACCCCUGUUCAAGGCUCCAUGUUCGAGCCUCCGCGACCACGAGUCGUCCCACCUCCAGUUGAGGACGCACCGAUGAGUCCUCCGGUAAGGCGCUAUCAAACCAGGUCAAGUAGCCAUCCCCCGAAGAAGAAAGCUAGGGUAUCCGAGCCAAAGCUAAUUGACUUAUCAAAGCCGUCUUCAGAGCCUCUACAAGAGCCUCACCGUUCUCAGCCACCAUCCAAAGAGCCUCAACUGUCUCAGCCACCAGCUACAAAUUCUCAGAUUCCCUCAGGCAUGACUCCUGAGAUGCUUAUUAGGCGUCCCAUGCUCACUCAGCCGCCCAUUGAGGGUAAUUUGGAUUGCAGGGCUAAGCCAUUCCACUCUGAGAUCUGCUUCGACACAGCCACUUUCAGACUUCAGCUCGAGCUCAGGGACUCCUUCCAUCUGCUACAGAGGUACCAUAUGGAGCAUUUGCUAACUCCCAAGGAUUUUUUCUGUCCCCGUGUAGCAAUGGACUUCUAUCAGUCCAUGACCACACACCAGGUCUGAGAUCUUACUGUUAUCCACUUCACCAUAGACGGACAUCAUGGCAUUCUGGGAGCUAGUACAUAGUAGAGGCAUUGCGUAUUCCCUACGAGCCAGCCCAUCCAGAGGAUUAUCGAGUCUGGACUCAUCCUGCCCAGAGCGACAUAGUUCAUAUUCUGUCCAGAGGAGCAUCCUCGCGCCAGUAUCUAUUGAGGAAGGAGCUCCCUCAUAGCAUGUUUUUCAUAGAUGCACUCCUGCGCCAUAACAUCUUUCCACUUCUGCAUUGGGUGCAGAGGAGAGGAGUUUUGCUAGAGGCAUUGUUCAAGAUAUCUAAGGGAUUCUUCUUUGGCCCUCAUCAUCUCAUUAUGGCCGCUCUUCUGUACUUCGAAGAGAAAGUCCAUAGGAAGAAGCUGCUCAGAGCGGAUGCUAUUCCACUUCUCUUCCACAGAUUGCUAUGUCAGAUUCUGGAGCACUUGGGGUAUCCAUCUGACCCUCAGCUUGAGUGCAAACGUAUUUGCCGAGAGAUAUUCACUCUCAAAAAAUGGAUGAAUAUGACAGCCUAUAGUGCAGACCAGGGAGCCCCAACUGGAGCAGAGCAUCCAGAGCAGCCAGAGGAGCCACAGCCGGUUGAGAUACCAGCUGACAUGAGAGCACCUACCCUUGCAGUGCCCUCUACAAAGCCUAUACCAGAGGUUGCACCCUCUGCUCCUCCUACCACACCACGGACUCCCCCUGUUAUUCCAGCUACAUCAGAGCCCUCUCCUUCAUCUGAGCCUAGGAUUGCUAUAUUCAUUUCCGAGUACAGAGGUCUAUGUCACACUUUACAGGCAUUGACCACUUCUCAGAGCAUCCUUACUUAGGAGAUGACAGCUCUUCGUGCUCACCAAGAGCACAUUAUCGCCACUCAGACUAAGCAUACUACCAUCUUGAGGCAGAUUCAGCACCACCUGGGUAUUCCAUCAGCUCCUGAGCACCCCAUUCCUAUCUUCUCAAAGCCCACAAAGCCAUCACAGGCCCCUCUUUUCGUAAAGCAGGCUUUUCCCUCUGAGGAGCCGACUACAGGAGAUGCAGAGACAUCCACCUGAGCCAUCAUCAUCUUCCCUCUAUCUGAUCAUUUCCAUACUUUUCUUUAUGUAUUUGCAUUUGUAAUCCCAUGCUUUUGAUAUUUUAUAUAUUGGGAUUGGUUGUAUUACUUGUUUACCUUUAUAUUGUACUUUCAUGAAGUAAUACAAAUCUAUCAAUUUUUUAGCACUCUUAGCAUUGUUUUAUUUUAAUUCCUCUACUCAUAUCUUUUGUUGUUUUUGAAACAUGUGGUUUCUCCUAAUCUAAUCGAACUUCAUAUCACUCAGGAGCUACCACUUCCUCCCUGUAAUUUCAAUCGCUCAUGUCACAUUGAGGACAAUGUUCAGCUUGGUUGGGGGGAGAGUUGAGGAAGGAAGUUUUUUGUUGUUAAUACUAAGUAUUUUCGUAAUUUAUUUUAUUUUUGUUUAAUUUAAAAAUUUUUUUGUAAGUUUUUAUUCCACUCUCCAUGGUUAUUAAGGACAAAUUCUCAAAUUAAAAUAAGAGAAAUCGAAUUUUUGUUUUUACUUGACUUAGACUUUGUAUUAUGCUUAUUAAAGUUGAUGAAUUGUUGAAACUUCUAUUGAAUUCAACUUUAGUUCUUCCACUUUAAGCUAUUCACACACUGUGCAAAAUAGGUUCCGAGUAUAAGAUGAAAAACUAUUUCCCUCUUGACUUAGGAAAAUUUAGACUUGGUACCUUUGACCUCAUUUAAUAGUGUUGGGACACCUUAUAAAAGGCCAAUGAGCCUUUGAAAAAAAAAGAGAAAGAAAGAAAAAUGUUUGCUUGCCUUGAAACCCGAGCAAGGUCUGAGGGGUAUAUGGUGAAAAUCUUUAAAACCUGGUGCCCUAAGCCUUCAUUGGUUGGGAGUCACCGACCUCAAUGCUCGUUACAAGGGUGAAUAGGUGGAGUUUAACAUACUGUAGGUGCUUGGGUAUUAAAAUUCAUUCUCAAAAGUCCGAGGUAAAAUCCGAGGAGUUAGUGGUUGAAAGAUCCUUAAAGCUUGAUGCCCUAAACCUUAAUUGGUUGGGAGUCAUCGAUGGACCCCCGUUUCAUGGACAAUUUAGAAAAGAAUACCUUUAAGCCUUGUACUCCUACAAUGAAAAAAAAAUGUGAAAUAAAAGGGUGCAUUCUUAGCCUAUUGAAUUUGGUCAGUUUGCUAAGUGUUGAAAAAUAACUAGGUUAGGGGGAGAGACUAGUUUAGCAUACUAUAUUCGGAAGCUAUCAAGUAACACUUAGAUUUUUGUGGAAGAGUAAGGUUUGGUCCUUUGGAAGUGGAAAUGAUUUUAAAGCUUCAAUUUGCAUAAUACCUUCUCUUUAUGAAUUGUGAUUAAGUAAAGUAUUUGAUAACUCUUGCUGAAAUUUGAGUUUUAUAUCUUUAAUGUCCCAUGUGAGAGUUUGAUCAUCAUGCCACUUAAAAAUUUUUGAAGUGAUCAGCAUGAUUUUGUAAAGUAUAUUACUGUUUAGUUUAUUUUUUUCUCUCCUUUAUUGCUAAGAGACUAGCAAUAUGUCGGUUGGGGGGAGUGAUUACUACUCAAAAAGUGCUAUUCAAUAGCUUGUAAUUAACUCUUUUAAACACUUUUGAGUAGUAGUUAUUACCUUUUAACCCAAUUAGCAUAUUAAGUACCUUUGCAAUCGUUUCUAAUCAAAUUGUGUAAGUUUUGGUGCUUUUGAUAGUAAUUUGAUCACCAAAGCAAUCCAAGAUUAAGGAGAGCUCUAUGGAAUCCAUGGCAAAGCAAUUGGAAUCUCAUUUACAUGAAGAACCUAAGCUUUGAAGCUUUAUAGUCCUUUGUCAUAAACAAAUCAUGAAUGCAAGGAUGAAAGCGAAGAGAGAAAUCUAACAUGAAGAAUUCAAGAGGACAUCAACUAUUUGACACUUUUGGAGCACUUUUUGAAGUCCAUUUGAUGCAUACUAUAUGUCGUUUCGAAUCUCGGGAAGUCAGAAAUCCAAUGCUUUAAACAGUGUACAAAUCGGAGUUGAAAUGAAGAAGUUAGAGCCAUUGGAAGCCGAUCACACCAAGUUGAAGGCCAAUUUCGCAGGCUGUGAAAUAAUUUCGCAGCCAUCUUAUACGUCUGCGAAAUUUCGUAGCCAUUUUGUGCGCCUGCAAAAUUCUCCUGAGUGCUUCUAGAUAUUUGCGACCGACAUUUUUUGAUAUUUUGCAUCAGACAUUUGAUGUCUAAAUCCCCAUUUUCUCCUUGUAAUCCACCAAUUAUAGGAUUCCUUAGUUAUUAAGCAAGAAAAAAAGGUGAAUAACCUGAUAUAUAUUGUUUUUGUAAUUUUCAUUACAGACAUCUCGGGAGCUUGUUCUCAGAGACAACUUUUUGUAUAGUUUUUGAAAGGAAUUAAAAUAUAGAGCUUUGCUCUGCCUUACCUACUCAAUUUGAUUGUAUUUUUCAUUACUAGCCAAACAAGCUCUGAGGAUGUUUUCUCAGAGAAUGGGUUGCUAGACUUUUUGUCUCUUGGAGCUAAGGUAGCCGAGGGAGGUGUCAAAUGCAAGAAUUGAGAGUUUUGUUGUUUCAGCUGUUAAUGAAGAGAAAGUGUAACCUGUUUAUGGUUUCUAUAUUUUUAGUUAACUUAAAACGCCUUCAAUUCACCUGGGCCAACACUUGGUAAUGCAAGUGAUCUCCGUCCACUGAGAUGCACUAGUUUACCUCUUGUGAGCCUUUGGGAGGUGACUUGAAGGUAGGAUUUUCUAGAAUUGCCAACACUUGGUAAGCUUUUGGACUCUAAGGAGACAUCCAUUAGUUAUCUCUUGCGAGCUUGAGAAGGGAAGUCCAAGGUUAAUGAUCACCUUGAAUGGGAAAUGCUAAGUGAGAGGCACGAGCCAUUGCAAGAUGCAUCAGUGAGAGGGAAUUAGUACUGAAAUCCAUAAAAGGGGAGCAUCUGUACCACACCGGUUGGAGAAUGAACUAUAUGUUAAUUCUCCAAUGCGAGGAAAAGAACCAAAGUGACCGGAACUCUGUUUUUGCAUGAGGAGCCUGACCCCAGUGAUCCUAAAACUCCAAGAAACGUUUUUCUUUAUAAGUAAUUCCCAUUACUUUCUUUUUAGUUAGCUUGAAACCAAACCUUUUUCAACUAAAGUUUAUGUUUUCUUUUGAAGCUAACCUUGAAAUGAAAAGGCACCAAUUCAACUUUGAAUUGGUAUCAGUUGUAACUUGAAAACCCUUCCCAGUGAACGAUCCUAGAGCCACUAUGCUAUACUAGCUUAUGCUAUCCUAGUGCAUGUUGAUAUAGGUUAUAAAUUUUGUUGAUUACUCCCAUCAGGGGACCAAAAUCAAGGUACACCAGCUGGGCACGAAUCAUUUAAUCUUGUAUCCAUUGGGUCCUUUGAUAAGUUUCUUGGAUAUCCUUUUGAAUUUCCAAACUAAAACUUGAAAUUCUUUUAAUUUAAAAUAAUUAGCAACUUAACCAUGGUUUGUUAUCAUUAAAACACGAUUAGGAGAACCUUUGGGCUAACAUAGUAUGUUAAUGAGCCUAUUUAUUUUUCAAAUUUUUUAUAUGAUUAUUUAAUAAGAUUAUUGUUAAAUUACUAUGGAUGCAAUUUAGGGAAGACAAAGACCCUAAUUGUUUUUUUUAUUUUUAUUGUUUGCAAACUUAAUGAAUUAUUUUGAGUUAUGUUAUUUAAAUUGUUGGAUUAAUUUUACAUAAUAUAUUAUUGUGACAUUAUAAUAUAAAAAUAAGUAAUAUCAUUUAGUUACCUUCAAUUCUAUUACUAUAGCUAUUUGAUAGACAGUAUUAAUUUAGUAAUGUUAUUUUAAUAGUUUAAACCAUAGGAAAUAUAAUCUAAGCUUAAAAUAUUAAUAUUUAUGUUUUUUAAAUGAUAUAUAAUGUACUUAUUUUUCUAAGGAAUGUAUUUAUUUUUAAGUUAAGAUGUACUUAUUUUCAAAUAGGAUGCACUUAUUUUUUCCAAUGACGUACCUAGUAUCAAAGCAUGAUAGAUGAGAUGUGCGAACAUCAUAAAUGCAUGCCUAGACCUAUAAAAAUGGAUGAUCUUGUCCAAUAUCUUGUUCAAUAUGCUUUGAUAAAAGGUACAUCAUUGGCAAAAAUAAAUGUAUCCUAUUUGAAAAUAAGUACAUCUUGUUUAAAAAUAGGUACACCAUAUGUAUAUCAUGCAUGUGACUCAUUUGCUCUAAUUUGGACAUGAUCUUCCAUUUUUGUAGGCCUAGGCAUGCAUUUAUUGACAUAAGCUAUAUUGGACAAGGGCUUUCACUUUUAUGGGCCUUGGAAUGCAUUUGAAGCUUUUAGCCAUCCCAUUUUGCAUCCUAGAACCCUAGGUACAUCAAUUGGAAAAAUAGAUACAUGGCAUUGAAAAAUAAGCACAUCUUCACAAAAAAUAAGUACAUCUCAUUUAAACUAUAUACCUAACGCAUUUGUCCUAUUUUGGACAUGAGCUUUUACUUUUAUAGGCCUCAAAAUGUAUUUAGGGUCUUCCCACAUCCCAUUUUGUAUCCUAGAACCUUAGGUACAUCCCUUGGAAAAAUAGGUACAUUGUGUUAAAAAAUAUGUACAUCUUUUGAAAAAUAAGUACUUUGCAUUUAAAUUGUAUAACUGACUUAUUUGGCCAAUUCUAAGUAUGAUUUUUCACUUUUAUAGGUCUUGAGAUGCAUUUGAGGCCUUCACACAUCCCAUUUCACAUCGUAGAACUUUGGGUAUAUCCUUAGGAAAAAUAAAUACAUCAUAUUGCAAAAUAGUACAUUCCCUUAAAAAAUAAGUACAUAUUAUUUUCAUUCUAUGGGUGACUUGUUUGGCUUAUUCCUAUCAUGCACUUUCACUUUUAUAGGUCUCAUAAUGCUUUUGAGGCCCUCACACAUCUCAUUUCUCAUUCUAAAACCUUGGGUACAUCCCUUGAAAAAGUAGGUUCAUCUUGUUGAAAAAUAAGUAUAUCAUCUUAAAGCAUAAGCACAUCGAAUUUACAUUGUAUAACUGAUUCAUUUCACUUCUUAUACACAUUCAUUAUUUAUUUGAGUUAUAGGUUCAAGUGACUAAUUCUGGAACAAGCAUAAAGCAUAAUCAAGUUGCUUAACUUUACUUAUGUACUACUAGUUAAGCAUGACACAUUAUGGUAUAUCAUUCAUGAAUAUGAAUAGGUAUAAGACUCAUCAUUCAUUCUAUAGGAAAAAGGGAACAUUUUAUGAACACUAUGUACACAAGUCAUUUGAUAGUAAUUAAGACAACAUGUAUGUUCUUUGUCCUAUCACGCAUUAAAAAAAAAUUAGUUUAGUUUUUAAGAUCAAUUUCAUUAUUAUUUGGUUUCGAUGUUAUGUAGCUAUUUUUUUCCUAUGGAUGCACAAAAGGUUCCAUGAUAUACUAAUUUUUCCUUGUCCAAAAUAGGCCAAAUGAGUAUUUUAAUUUAAUGUAAAUGCAAUGUACUUAUUUUUUAAGUGAAUGUACUUAUUUUUUAACAUGAUGUACCUAAUUUUCCAAUGGAUGUAACUAUGGGUUCUAGGAUGUGGAACAAGAUAUGGGAAGACCUCAAAUGUAUCUUGAGGCCUGUAAAAGUACAAGCUCAUGUCCAAAAUAGACAAAUGAGUCACCUAUACAAUUUAAAUAUUUAAGAGGGUGUAAUUAAUUUUCAACACAACGUACCUAUUUUUCCAAGGGAUGUACCUAGGUUCUAGGAUGCAUAAUGAGAUAUGGGAAGACCUUAAAUGCAUCUUAAGGCCUAUAAAAAUAAAAGCCCAUGUCCAAAAUAAGCAGAAUGUCACCUUUACAAUGUAAAUGCAAUGUACUUAUUUUUUAAGUGGAUUCACUCAUUUUUCAAUGGGAUUUUUUAACUUUUGUAGCAAUUUUUAAAAAUAAUUAUUAAAAAAUGGUAGUUGGGAAAAUAUUAAUAGAUCUACGGCGGUUUUGGCCACGUGGAAGGUGUCUUUUGAAGAGACACCUUCCACAAUUUUCAAAAUCAUGAUACUAAUUUAAAAGAAUUGAAUUUAAGCUAAAGGUGUCUCUUCAAGAGACACCUUCUACAAUCCCAGAAAAUUGGAUUUAUAUUAAAGGUGUCUCUUGAAAAGACACUUUCCACGUGGCAAAAAAUCCAAUAUGAAUUAAAGGUGUCUCUUCAAGAGACACCUUCUACAAUUCCAAAAAAUUUUAAUUUAUACAAAAUGUGUCACUUAAAGAGACACUUUCCACAAUUCCACAAUUCCAUAAAUUCCAAUAUAUAUUAAAGGUGUCUCUUCAAGAUACACCUUCUACAAUUCCAAAAAAUUGGAUUUAUACUAAAGGUGUCUCUUGAAAAGACACUUUCCAUAAUUCCAUAAAAUCCAAUAUGUAUUAAAAAUUGUGGAAAUGAUUUUAAAGCUAAAGAUGUCUCUCUUCAACAUAAAUUCGAAAUUUUCCACUGUGUAUGGAAAUUGUGGACAAUGUCUCUUCAAAAGACACCUUUAGUAUAAUUCCAUUUUUUGAGAAUUGUGAAAGGUGUCUCUUCCACAAAUUUAAAAAAAAUUGGGUUUAUACUGAAGAGACACUUUCCAUAAUUUCAAUUCAAACAAUGGAAAAUUUUGAAUUUAUGCUAAAGGUGUCUCUUCAAGAGAUACCUUCCACAAUUCCCAAAAAAAUGGAAUUAUACUCAGACGCCUUUCAUAAUUUUUAAAAAAUUGGGUUUAUACUGAAAGUGUCUCUUCAGAAGAGACACUUUCCACAAUUUUCAUACACAGUGGAAAAUUUCGAAUUUUGAAAAGACAUAUUUUACAAUUCCCAAAAAAUGGAAUUAUACUAAAGGUGUCUCUUGAAGAGACACCUUCCAUAAUUUUAAAAAAAUUGGGUUUAUACUGAAAGUGUCUCUUCAAGAGACACUUUCCACAAUUUCAUACACAAUAGAAUAUUUCAAAUUUAUGCUAAAGGUGUUUCUUCAAGAGACACCUUCCACAAAAGGAAAAAAAAAUUAUAUCUCUUAAUUAGUAUUACCUGCUAUACAACCAAAUGUUUAAAGUUUAUCCCCUGUAUACAUUAUAAUCAAUAUUUUGACAUUCAAUCCAAAACCAAUGAAAAUAAGUAAACCAAAUGUCAAUUAAGUCAACACAUUUCCAAAAUAGUAACAAUACUAUUUUGUGUAAAAUAAAUCCAAAAUAGAUAGAAUACUAGAGAACUUACGUUAAUAAAAAGUUAGUUUAUCCAAAAUAUAACAAGUAUAAAUAUACAUCUUGAGUAUUUGUCAAAAAUAAUGAUAUGCAAAAUACUAACAGUAUCCAAAAUACAAGUCAUAUGUAGUAACAUCCUCAAUGUGUACCGCAUGAAGGAGCCUUCCUCUUCCAUUGUGGACAUCCAUGAUAUGCAUGCUCCACUAUUGGCUCUAUGGGGCUAACAUGUACCCCUCUAUGAGCUCGACAACCACGUCUCCUACCACGUCCUCAACCAUGUCCUCGACCAUGAUCAUUCUUUUGUCCUUGUUGAUCAUCAUUUGCUAUAUGAACUAACUUCUCAUCAACCAAUGUAACCUCUAUCGAUUGUGGUGAUGAUGCAACAAGUAGUACUAUAGGUGGGUUAGAUGGCACCUCCAUAUGUGUAAUACGAGUCUCCUCAACAGGUGGCGGGCUAAUGUCAGUCGAUGGUGCAUUUCUAAGAACAAAUGUAUGCUUAGUCACUCUCGUAUAAGCCCCUCUCCCUCUAGUCCGUACACCUCAUGAUCAAGUAAUGGAUGAUAUCAGUUGCUGAUGAGGUGGUGGAUUACAAUAAAGUGGACGUACCAUUAUGGGAAAUAGCACAUCUCAUUUGAAGAAGAGAGUCCUUUUGAUAUAAUCUAGGCAUUAAAGUUUAUCAUCGAGAUCAACUCAAAUGAAUCGCUACAUGAUUUGUACGCUCCCUUAAUUUUAUUUUCCUUAUAUUUUUUUCCUUCAUAUUAAUUCCACCACCAAAUCUGAUAAAAUCAAAAUUAAGUUUUAUAAGCCUCUAAGUGAUAAAUAAAAAAAAAAAAAAAAGCCUUCUAUCGAGAAAGGGGGUUAUUUCUGAACAUGGAGAGUCGGCAUAGAAGACCUUUAUUGAAAAUGGUGUUGAUGCUUUGAAAAGUUUGAAUGGACGAGACUCUAAGUUGAGUUGAUGGGAAGAGCAAGAGACGCAGUUUAUUGGGACUUUAAGAGAAAUAUUUUUCUCUUCCACACCAUCCUUUGACAUCAGUCACUUGUAACUCAUCAAUUGACCAACUUCGUUUAUAUGAUUUAUUAUUAUUUUUUUCCAGUUUUCUAAUGAAAAUAUUUCUUUGGUUUGAAGAAAUAUUCAUGUUAAUGGUUCGGAUAGAGAAAGAUAAGAUUGAAUCAAAUCAAAUUUAUUUUAAUUAAUCAAAUUCAAUUUAAUGUAUUCAUUUUAUACAAGAUAAACUAUUUAAUUUUAACAAAUAAAAAGAUAGUAUAUCCAUUUUUAUAUAUGAUAACUUGAUUUGAAUAUAUAUAAUUUUUUUUUUUGUAACCCCUGUUUGAUUCCAAAGAAAAUCCAUCCCCCAUUCGAUUUCCAAAAAAAUUCAUCCUCAUUUGAUUUAUGAGAAAAUCCAUGCAAAACCCCCAAGGAAAACCAAAAAAAUUGCUUUUUUUAUUUAUUUUUUUGCUCUCUAUGCUUUAUGGAUUUAUUCUAGGGGUCUCUGUGGAUGUACUCAACGUCUUAUGCAAUCAUGAAAUAACAUGAAUUGAGUGGAUGUUAUUGCAUAAUAACAUUGAUAGACAAGACUAUUAGAAAAGAGAGCACCACUUUUAUAUAUAUAAAGUAACAGUUAAGUGUGCUAAAAGUACCACCAUGCUAAAAGUGUAUUACACUUUUUAUGUACUACUUUUUCAUAAAAUAAAAUAAAUGGUACCCUCUUUUCUAAGGAUUGUGUCAAUUGGUGUUAUUGUGCAAAACACCCACUCAAUUCACAUUAUUUUAUCAUCACAUAUGACGUCGAGUAUGUAACAAGCGAUAAUAGAUCUUACCCUAAACCAAAUAAGAGAAGUACAUUCUUCCCACCACAAUGAAACUAAAAAAAGAGUGACAUAUUCUUCCCACCACAGUACUACUUUUAACAUAGUACAUUUUUCAUUCAUGAGUGGUACCAUUUUUUUUCAAAGGUUGUGUUGACUGUUGUUAUUGCACAAUAACAUCCACCCAAUUCAUGUUAUUCAAUCAUUACAUAAUACAUUAAGCAUGUAACGGGUGGUAACAUACCUUAAACCAAAGAAGAGUGAUACACUAUUUCCACCAUAGUGGUACAUUUAUCACACUUCAGUGGUAUUUUCUUUUUAUAAAUAAAUGGUAUGCACUUUUCCAAAGGUUGUAUUGAUCAAUGUUAUUAUGAAAUAACACUCAUUGAAUUCAUGUUAUUUCACCAUUAAUAAGACAUCUAGCAUGCAACGAAUGGUAACAUACCUUUGCUUAAACUAAAAAAGAGAGAUACAUCCUUCUUACCACAAUAUUACUUUUAGCAUUUUUAGCAGUACUUUUUUUCAUAAAGGAGUGGUACUAGGGAAAUGCAACUUAAGUUGCGCAAUGGUUUGAGGUGCACCAACUUAGUGUUUUAGGAGGGUACACUAUUUUUUUCUUAACACAUUUAAAAGGUAUGCAACUUCAAUAUACAAAAAUUUUAAUUUUUAAUAAAAUUAAGAGAAAAUCAAUAUAAACAAUUGAAUACAAACUUUUUAUGAAAAUACAUAUUUUUAUUUUAUAUAACUAAAAAUUAAAAAUUUGAACAAAACAAAACUUUAGAAUCACAACCAUGUUUUUAUUUUAUAUAAAUUAAAAAUAUUAAACAUUUCAACCAAGAAGAAAAUUAAAACUAUGGUCAAGUUACAUCCAUAAGAAAAAAGCUAAAACCAUGAUCAUCAAUUUUGAUUUUCACAUGAAAAUUUAAAAAUUUUUAAAAAUAUAAAAAAAUUAAAUAAUAUGACAAUAUAAGAAGAUUUAUAAAAUAAAUAAAUAUUUUAUUUAGGAGGAAUAUAAAAAGUCUUAUAUCCUAAACUUCUAAAUUUGUUAUUAUGUAUUUAUUUUUAUAUUAAAUUUGUUCUUAUUAAUUAUUUAUUAUAUAUUAUUAAUUUUUAUUUAAAUAUCUAUAAAUAAUUAAAAUCAAUAAAUAUGAACAAAUGAAAUAGUGAAAAAAAAUUAAAUUAUAAAAUUUUCAUGAAGCCAAUACAUUAAAAAUAAAUAAAAAAUAAAAAUAAAAAUAAAAAUAAAAGCAAAAAUGUGGAGAUAUUAUGGAGGGAAAAAAAAUCAUGUGACAUAGUAGAUUGUUACAUAUCAAAGUUUUUUUUUUUUUUUUAAACCAACCACGAUUAGCACUUUGACUUAUCAUGUCAAAGUAUAAAAAUAAAAAUUGUGAUAAUUAAUGUCAUGAUGAGAAAAGGGUUAGUCGUUUUGAAAAUACAUGUUUUCAAGACAUAUAUAUAUAUAUAUAUAUAUAUAUAUAUAUUGUGAAAAUAAAAAACCAAUCUCCCUUUUGAAACAGCAGAAACCUUUUGGCAAAAAACCGUGUCUUUCAUUCAUAUUUGCACGAGUAUAAAUACACACAUAUAGACUAGAUUCAAGAAGGAAUUACGACUAUAAUUGUGGGUCUGACUUUUUAUAUAUAGUAGGUACAAAUAUUAUAUGGUAUAACUGCAACUAUUAUAGGAUUGAAUCAGAGGAUGAGUUGGUCAAAGGAUACGAUAUAACUGCAACAAUCACGGGCUUGUCUCAAAGUAUGAGUUGGUCAACUAUUUUCCACAAAGACCACAUGCCGAGAAAUGAACAUUUUUGAGGUGGAUGGGUCAUAACAUCUAUAGGAAUUAUGUGAGAGAAUAGCCAAGGAAAACACAGGGUCGAGACUUGGGAUCCAAUUUAUGGCAUGUGUAGGGUUUUAGCUAGGGGUAACAAAGGCAACCAAAGAUUUUAAGUUCGAGAUAGUAGGGGGAAGGGUGAAAGAGGGUCUCAAAAGGAGAUUUGUUAUCUAAAAGUGGGAUUGGCAUCUGAUUAAUGAGGUAAAUUAUCGUUUGACAGGCAACAGGCCAAAAUUGAAGACGAAUGGAGGCUUGAUGAAGAAGAGUCAAUGUCAUCUCAAGAUUAUGUCUAUGUUGUCUUUCAGCAAUCCCUACAAUUUGUGAAGUGUAUGGAGGAGAAUAGGGGUGUUAAAUUCCAUGUUUUGGAGAGUGUGGGAUGAAGACCUGCAUAUUCCCAGGAUUGGGGUUUUGAAAUAUUUUUCUACUAGUUGCUUGAAGUUUUCAAAAAUACAAGUGGUAUCUGAUUUGUUUUUUAGAGGAUAAAGCCAUAUGUAUUUGGUGAAAUGGCCAACAAAAAUCACAUAAUAUAAAAAAUUAUCAAGGAUGUGAUAGGAGCAAGUCCCCAAAUAUAAUUAUAAAUAAGUUUAAGGGGUUUAGAGCUUAUAAGAGAAGAUGCACCAAAGGAAAGUCAAUGACUUUUAUUACAUAAGCAUGAGUUACAAGAGUCUAGAGACGACUUGGACAUUGAAAGUGAAUGACUUGAGAUGACAUGUCAGAGAAUACGUCGAUUGGGAUGAUCAAGACAACGAUAACAUUUAUUUAAGGAUGUUGGACUGGUGGUGGUGUUGUAGGCCUGAGGUGUGGAGCUUGAGUAGGGAAAAGAAGUCGGACACUCAUACAGAUUUCCCUUAAACGAGUGUUGCCCCCGUGCUCAAAUCCUUCACCAAAAAGUAAGUAGGGAAAAAUUCAAUUGAUGUACAAUUAUGUUUGCAAAACUGAGAAACAAAAAUUAAGUUUUUAUGAAUAGCUGGAGCACACAAAACAUUACCAAACAUAAAAUUUGAAUUUUUAAUAAUUAAAUUAGUAGAAUCGGUAUGAGUGAUAGAAAUACCAUUACCAUCACCAAUAAUUACAUGUCUGUACCACCAUAUUCAGAAUGAAUGGAAAGAUUCUGAAGAUCUGAAGUAAUGUGGUGUGAGGCUCCGGAGUCUAUUACCUAAUUGGCAUUAUGAGUUGGUGGUUCUCGAGCCAUGAAAUUUGCUUGUGGUGUGGAAUAGGAGGAUGGGCGAGACCUGCAGACCCUGGCAGUAUGUCUAGCUUUGUCACAUAGUUGACAAACAACACAGAUUUGAGGGGGAUUGAAUGGAGGACGCCCUUGUGGACCAAGAAAUCUAUUCCCUUGGUUAGGGAACAUGUGUCCAUGAUGAUUCUUGUUGCCUUGAUAAUUAUUUCCAAAUUGAGAACUUUGUCCUUUCUUAUUGUUUGAGUUGUUCCCCUUUUUGCCAAAGUUGUUUGAGCCCUUUUGAUUAAACUGAGUUGUAACAGUAACACUAUCCUUCUUGAAUUCUUCACGUUUUAGGAACAUUUCAUGAUCUGCUAGUUUGUCAUGUAGUUCUUCAAAGGAUAUGGAAGAAUCUCAAGCUCUUAUUGUUGCACUCAAUUCCUUGAACUCAGAUCCUAAACCUUUGAGAACACUUAUCACCAUUUCUUCUGCACCAAGAGGGGAUCCAACAAUAGCCAAUUCAUCAUCGCUCAUAGUUUUGAUUACUGUCAUAUAUUCAACAACAGAUUUAUUUUCUUUGAUGAGUUGGCUCAGCAUCUCUCGGAGUCCUAAGAUCCUAGUCUUCAAUUUGCUGGCAUAUGUGGUGUAUAGACGAGCCCAAGCCUCUUGAGCAAAUGUAGUGGAUGCAACAAGAGGGGCAAUGGUGGAAUCAACUGAUUCCAUGAUAGCAUGCAGAAGUAGGCUCUCUUGGCGUUUCCAAAUUUUGUGCUCCGGAUUGGGUGUGAAAGUGUCACCCAUUUUUAUCAUUUCUAGUGGACUUGGAUAUGUUCCAUCAACAUACCCAAUCAGAUCAUAGCCAUAAAGUAGUGUUGAGAACAUUGUUCUCCAAGAGGGAUAAAUGCUGCUACCGAUGAGUUUCAAGGGGAAGUUGUGUUGCUGCAUUAAUAGACACCAGUGCGGUUGAAGGAGUGUUUCCACAUGACAUGAUGACUCUGUGAUAUGGGAAGGGCCCGGAGGAGUAGGAGUCUUCAGCCAUAGGGAUAGGAAUAAAAGGUGGUUUCAAUGAAGAGACUACAAGAUUUGGGUGGCUGCUGGAAUAGUGACUGUGGAGUUUAUGGCUUUGAUACCAUGAAACAGCAGAAAGAUUUUGGCAAGAAACAAUAUCUUUCAUUCAUAUUUGCAUGAGUUUAUAUACACACAUAUUGACUAGAUUCAAGAGGGAAUUACAGUUAUAAUUGUGGGUCUGCCUUUUUAUAUACAGUCGGUACAAAUAUUAUAUGGUAUAACUGCAACUAUUGUGGGAUUGAGUCAGAGGAUGAGCUGAUCAAUGGAUAUGAUAUAACUGCAACAAUCACGGGGUUUUCUCAAAGUAUGAGUUGGUCACGUGAGCUGUCUAUCACCUUCUUGUUAGAAUAACUAGGGACUCACAUAAAUUAAUAAUUGUUUAUGACUGACUCAUGCCCAAUUGGUGUCUCAGCUGAUUUGUGUUCAGCUGGUGCUCCUUGAUUGAGGAAGUGAUCAACAAAAUUUAUACCUAUAACACCAUACACUAGGGUAGCAAAUACAAAGCUACUAUAGUAUAGUGGCUCUAAGGAUCGUUCACUGGGAAUGAUUUGCAAGCAAUCAAGGAUACCAAUUCCAAGUGAAUUGGUUUUGUUUCAUUUCACGGUUAGCUUAAGGAAUAAAACACAAACUUUGAUUUGUAAAGGUUGAGACUUAAACUAACUAACUUAACAGAAGUUUGGAAUAAUUUAGGAAGAAAAGCAUUCCUUGGAGAUUUAGGUUCACUGGGGUGGUUCCUCAUGCAAAAGACAUAGCUCCGGUCAGAUGGUUCAUUUCCUCGCAUUAGAGAUUCAACUUAUAGUCAAUUCUCUAACCGGUGAUGUACAGAGACUCCUUCAAUUAGAUUUCACUUUAAUUCUCUCACUGAUGUAACUUACAAUGGUUCAUGCCUCUCACGAGCACUUACCAUUCAAGGUGAUCUUUAACCUUGGAUUCCCCUUCACAAACUCGCAAGAGAUAACUAAUGGAUGCCUCCUAAGAGUCCAAAAGCUUACCAAGUGUUGGUAAUUCCAGAAAAUCCUACCUUGAAGUCACCUACCAAAGGCUCGCAAGGGGUAAACUAGUGCAUUUCCACGGUUGGAAAUCACUUGCCUUACCAAGUGUUGGCCCAGGUGACUCCAAAGUGUUUUAAGUUAACUAAAAACAUUGAAAUCACUAAAGGAUUUCACUUCCUCUUCAUUACUAGCUAAAACCACAGAGCUUUGCAUUCUUGCACUUGGAACCUUCCCCGGCAACCUUAGCUCCAAGGAAUUGGAGGUUUAGUUACUCAUUCUCUGGGGAAAACUCCUCAGAGAAUUCAUAACUUAGAAAUAAAAUGAAAAUACAAAGUGAUAAGGUAAGGCAGUAGAAAGAAAAGACCUUUACUUCCUUACCAAAUGGUUACAGAAGGAACUCCUCUCUGAGGACAGGCUCCCGAGAGGUAUUUAUAGCAAACUAAUAUAAAACUAAUUCUUACAAAGAUAUUUGGUCUUUUUACUAACUUAAAAACUAAGGAAUCAUGUAAUUGGUGGUUUACAAGGAGUAUUUUGGAAUUUAGACAACAAAAAUCUAAUGGAAAAUAUCUCCCAAUGUCGGUAGCAAGCUUCGGGAGGCUUCCGGAGCCAUUUCGCAGGAGAAAAGUGAGGUCUGCGAAAUUUCGCAGACACCCAAGAGGGCUGCGAAAUUAUUUCGCAAGACCAAGCUGUCUUCAUAGGGCUACGAAGUUGGCUUCCAUCUUGAAGUUUCCAGCUCCCUUCUCGCGGCAUGGUUCGUGCAUCGUCAGAAGGAGAAACACCUUGCUGUACAAAAGUGCUGCGAAAUUCUCGCAACAAAAGGCCGAUUCCGCAACACUUUAGAGUGACUGGCUUGUAAUGGCUGCAACUUCUUCGUUUCAACUCCAAAUUGCACACCGUUUGAAGCAUUGGAUUGUUGACUUCCUGAGCUUUGAAAUGGUAUAUAGCUUGCAUCAUUUGGACUUCAGAAAGUGCUCCAAAAGUGGCUGCUACGACUGUCAUCAAGAAUAUGCUCCAUGACUGAUCCUCUUUGCUUUUUCUCCUUGCAAUCCGGAUUCACUCUUGGCAAUUGAAUUCUAAGCUUUGCCCAUGAUUCCUCAUAGUUCUCCUCAUUCUUGACUUGCUUUGGUGAUCAAAAUACUAACAAAAACACCAAAACUUGCACAAAGUGAUCAAAAUUGCUUUAAAGGAUCCUUAACAUGCCAAUUGAGUUAAAAGGCCUAAACUACUACUCAAAAGUGUUAAAAAGGAUUAAUUAAAGGCUAUCAAAUAGCACUUUUUGAGUAGUAAUCACUCCCCCCAACCGACAUAUUGCUAGUCCCUUAGCAAUAUAGGAGAGAAAAAUGAAAAUAAAUAGCUAAUUAUACUAAAAUUUACAACAUCAUGCUAAACAAAAUCAAUUCUCAAGUGGCAUGAUGAUCUAUUUCUCACAUGAAUCAUUAAAGAAAUACAAACCCAAAUCUCAACAAGAGUCAUAACACCUAUGCUAACCACUGUCAAUCAAGGGAGUGCAUUAUGCAAACUGAAGUUUUAAAAUCAUUUCACUUUCUGAGAACUAAACUUCGAUCUUCCACAAAAAUCUAUGUGUAUUGGUUCCUUAGGUUCCGAGAAUAAUAUGCUACUAAUCUCACCCCCCAACCUAUCUCUUUUCAACACUUUAGCAAACUGACCAAAAUCAAUAAGAAAAGAACACACUUUCAUCCUUUUUUUUUUUUUUUUUUUUUUUUUUUUUUUUUUUUUUUCAAGGUAGCUUUAUGGGGUACUCUUUCUGACUUGUCCAUGUAAUGGGGGUCCAUCGAUGACUCCCAACCAAUUAAGGUUUAGGGCACCAAGUUUUAAGGAUCUUUCAACCACUAACUCCUCGGAUUUUUCCCCGGACUUUUAAGAAUGAGUUUCUAAUACCCAAGCAUCUACCAUAUGCUAGCUCUACUAUUCACCCUUGUAACGAGCAUUGAGGUCGGUGUCUCCCAACCAAUUAAGGCUUAGGGCACCAGGCUUUAAAGGCUUUCACCAUAUGCCCCUCAGACCUUGCUCGGGUUUCAAGGCAAGCAAACAACUUUCUUUAUUUCAAAGGCUCAUUGGCCUUUUGCAGGGUGUUUCAAUUUUUAUCAAAUGAGGUCAAAUAUACCAAGUCUCAAAAUUAUUCUAAGUCAAGAGGGAAAUAGUUUUUCAUCUUAUAAUCGGAAACUAAUGUGCACAGUGUGUGGAUAGCUUAAAGUAGAAGAACUCAAUUCAAUUUCAGUAGAAGUUUCAACAAUUGAACCACUUUAGUAAGCAUAAUCCAUACUCUAAGUCAAGUGAAAAACAACAGUUCAAUUUCUCUUGGUUUAAUUUGAAAAUUUUUCCUCAAAAUUCAUGGAGAAUAGAGUAACACUAGUAAAAAGUAAAAACUACAACUAAUUAACCAAUAUAAUUGCAAUACCAAAAAGGUUUAGAAUACUUCCUUCCUCAUACCCCCCAACCGAACUGAACAUUGUCCUCAAUGUGAUUUGAGUGACUGUAAUAAAAGGGAGGAAGUGGUACCUCCAUGCUGAUAUCAAAUUCGAAUAUUGAUUGGGGAAAACCACAUGUUUCAAAAAGAAUAGAAUAUGUGAGAAAAGGAAAUAAUAAUAACUUAAUGUUAACUUUUAACAAGAAAUAGUCAACUUGUAUUACUUUGAGUUCAUUUGAUUACAAUACUAAAGACAAGUAACACAAGGAAUCCCAUAUAUAGUACCAAAAUAUUGGGAUUUCAUUGCAACUAAAACAAAAUAAACAUGCAUAAAAACAUAAACAGCAAAUAUAUAUAAUGUCUGAUAAGUGGGGUGAUAGUUGCUAGGCAGAAGGAUCUGCCUCCUCAGUAGGUGGAUCAGCUGGUGCUUCGGGUUCUGGAGGAUGAGACUCUGAAGGCUGAGAGUGUGGCUCUGGUGGAGUAGGAAUGAAGGGCUCUACAGCUUGUGGCAGAUCGAAAUGGACUUGAAGCUGCCUUAGGAUGGCAGCUUGUUGAGCCUGAGAGGCUAACAUCUGCUCCUGGCAUGCUUUGAUGGCUGCCAACUCCUGAGCAAGAUUGCUCUGGGAAGCUGUAAGAGUCUCCAAUGCAUGGCACAGCUCUCGAUAUUCAGAUAUAGGGAUGGCCAUCCUAGGCUCAGCUGAUGUGGAUGGUUGUGAUGGAGCAGGUGCAGCUGGUGGAGCUCGAGGGAUGGCAGGAGUAGCAAGUGUGAUAUCUUCAGGUGCAUGUCUUGGGGAGGCUCUCCUUGCUGCUGGCUGAGGCUGCCCAGGCUGAUCAAUUUUGUAGGCCGUCAUAUUAUUCCAUUUAUCAAGGGUAAAUGGCUCACGGCAUAUUCUCUUUCUUUCCUGCUGAGGCUCAGAGGGGUAUCCGAGAUGUUCCAAAACUUGGCAUAGCAGCCGUGGGAAGAGGAGUGGAAUGCAAUCUGCUCUUUGAAGCUUCUUCUUAUGAACCUUCUCCUCAAAGUAAAGAAGGGCUGCCAUGAUCAGAUGAUGAGGCCCAAAGAAGAAUCCUUCAGACAUCUUGUAUAGAGCUUCCAAGAGAACUCCCCUUCUUUGGGUCCAAUGCUGCAAGGGAUAGAUAUUAUGCCUCAAAAAGGCAUCAAUCAAAAACAUCACUGGAGGUAGCUCCCCCCUCAGCAGGUGUGAUCGAUUUGCAGCUCCUCCAGUUAGGGUGCUAACCAUCUCUAACUCAGUAGGAUUUACCCAAGCUUUAAAAUUGUCAAAUUGGGUUGGCUCAAACGGAAUUUGCAGGGCUUCAGCAAUAUGUCUUGCUCCCAAAAUACCAUGUCUUCCAUCAAUUAUGAAAUGGAUCAGAGUUGGAUUUCUUACCUCUUUGGUUGUCAUGGUCUGGUAGAAGUCUGUGACUACCCGGGGAUAGAAAAAAUCCCUUGGAGCUAGCAGAUGCUCCAUAUGAUAUCUCCUCAGCAGUUGGAAUGAUUGGGCAAGCUCUGGCCUCACUCUAAAUGCUGCUAAAUCGAAGCACAAUUCAGAAUGGAAUGCCCGAGUUCGGCAAUCCAGGUUUCCUUCGAUUGGGGGCUGGGGCAGCAUUGGCCUUCGGAUCACUUCUUCCAGAGGUGCUUCAGCUGCAAUUUGGGGCUCUGGAAUUGGCGCUUGAGGCUCCUGAGCUUUUUCUUGGGGGGCCGGAGAUGGUACCGGCGAUGGAAUUGGAGUUGCUUCUGGUGAGGGAAUUGGCGAGGGAACCGGUGACGGCACUGGAAUUUGUACCGGUGAAGGAUUUGGUGAUUUCUCAGGGGAUUGCUCAGUCAAAUCAAUUGGUUCAGAGCUCUCAACCCUGGCUUUCUUCUUCAAUGGCUGACCACCUGACCUGGUUAAAUAUCGCCUUGCCGGCGGCUUUGGUGGCGCCGGCUUCACUGGAGAAGGUUGUGGUCUCGACGGCGAAGGCUUUGGAGCAGGUUCUGGAACAGAGCCUGAACUUGGCUCCUUUCGCAGACUCCUUUUGCGGUUCGAAGGGGAUGAAGACUUUGCCCCUCGCGUUCGUGCCAUUUUGGAAUAUCGAUCUUUGGCCGGCGCUGCUAAACGGAGAAGACGACCGGAGGUUCGGACGGCGUGGCUUGGCGAAGAAGAUGAAGGGGCUGCGAGAAUGGUGCUCUGAUUUUUGAAACCCUUUUCGCAGCACUUUUGACCGGUAUAAAUAGGAAAAACGGAAGCCCAGGGGUCAGAUUACGUUUCGCAACAAAACGCCAAUUUCGCAGCAACUUGCCAUUUUCGCAGCAACUUCGCAGUGAGUUUCGCAGCUGCGAAAUUGAUGUCACUGUGCUGCGAAGUGGCACUCGUGUGCCAAAUCCACUUUCACAAUUGCGAAAUGCCCUGCGGAAUGGGACUUUUGGUGCGAAAUCACGCUUUUUCAUUUCGCAACGCGUUUCGCAGCUGCGAAAUGGAUGCUACUGUUCUGCGAAGUGGCACUCGUGUGCCAAAUCCACUUUCGCAAUUGCGAAAUACACUCGCAGAGGCUUCUACAGUGCUGCGGAGCGGUUUGGCAACAAAAAUCACAUUUCGCAGAAGUUUCCUUCACUCUGCGAAAUUUCGCAGAGCUCUGUUUUUCCCCUGUUUUUGCUCUGUUUCGGCUCCAAUUUCGACCCGAUUUUUUUUCUUUUCAAUCCCCUUGAAAUUUCUUCCACCUGGGAUCAUAUAACAUGAUUAAAACACACCUAAAAACAUGAUUUAAGAUCAAAAACUAAGAUCAAAAGUAUGAAAACAACUUGAAAAUUUACAAAAUUUACAAAAAUUUUGGACUGUGGUAAAACCACGCCCAGCAAACCCUUUUCACUUAAGCUUUUUGAGGUUCAAGGAGGUUGAUUGCCUCCUUUUCUGAUUUGAAUGACUCCAUGAACGGCUUAAGACGAUAUCCAUUGACUCUAAAGCUAUCCUUGCCAUUGGAAUUCAAUAAGUCCACCACUCCAUUGGAAUAUACUCGGUGAAUAACAAAUGGACCAAUCCACCUUGACUUGAGCUUCCCAGGAAAGAUAUGGAGUCUUGUGUCAUACAUCAAAACUUUUUGCCCUUCCUGAUUCAGUUUGCCUGGAUCCCAUUUGAAGCUUGCAUCCUUCACUUGAGACUUGGUUUGAGAUGAAGAUAUUACGACAGGACAUUGAUUAUUUUCUUCAAGAUAUGUAUAAUUCAGCUCCACAGGUAAAGGCUUCAGAUUGAGUUUUGGAAUUUCUUUUUCAACAGCUGCCUCCUCUUCCUUAUUGAACAAAGGUAAAAUUCCUUCUAUCUUUCUCCAACUUUGUAGAGUAGCAAGCCUAAUAGGAGAUUCAGAAAAACCUUCCUCAAUAUCCUCAAGACUUUCAUUCAACUUGUCUUGCAUAUGUUGAUUGCAGUGCUCCUCCACCAAAGUAUCAAUUAUACAUAGCUCUUCUGGACCUUCUUCUUCUUCCGGAGUGAUUUGCUUUUUAGACAUAUAGAAAAUAUUUAGAUCCAGUGUCAUAUUACCAAAAGUGAGUUGCAUCAGCCCAUUUCUACAAUUGAUGAUUGCAUUUGAAGUUGCAAGAAAUGGCCUUCCAAGGAUGAUAGGAACUAAAUUAGCUUCCUUUACAGUUGGAUCAGUAUCAAGAACAACAAAAUCUACAGGAUAGUAGAAAUUAUCUACUUGAACCAAUACAUCCUCAAUUACUCCUCUUGGAAUUUUCACUGAUCUAUCUGCCAAAGAUAAAGUGAUUGCUGUUGGCUUCAACUCUCCAAGGCCCAGUUGCUUGUAGACAGAGUAUGGAAGCAAAUUCACACUUGCUCCCAAGUCUAGCAAGGCUUUCUCCACUACCUUUCCUCCAAUCAUGACUGAAAUGGUAGGACUUCCAGGGUCUUUAUACUUCAAAGGAGACUUACACUGUAAGAUUGCACUUACUUGCUCAGUCAAGAAGGCUUUCUUGUUUACAGUCAACCCUCUUUUGAUAGUACACAAGUCCUUUAGGAAUUUUGCAUAUGUUGGAACUUGUUUGAUCAUAUCCAGUAGUGGAAUAUUAACUUUCACUUGCCUCAAUACUUCUAGGAUUUCAGCUGCAUUUCUAACCCCCUUUUUCCCCUGUAAUGCUUGAGGAAAAGGUGGAAAAGUUGAUUUAUUCAGCAUUUCUUCCUUCAGAAGCUCCUUCUCUGGAAUUACUUCCCUUGUUGCAUCAGAGUCCUUCUUCUCUUCACUGAUCUCACUGCCUUUAUCUUCCAUUUCCUUCCCUUUCUUCAUCUCUUCUUCUUUCUCAACAUGUGGCUUGGGUGUUGGAUGCUCAAUUUUUUUACCACUCCUUAGAGUGAUCAAAGCUUUCACAUCUUUCACCUGUGAUGAUUCUCCCUCAUGGCUUUCCACUUCAUGGACACCUUUGGGAUUUUGGUUAGGUUGAGAAGGAAAUCUUCCUUUUUCUUGCAGUGUAUUCAAAUUUGUAAGCCUGGAGAUUGAAUAUUGGAUGUUAUCAAACUUUUGAUUCAUGUCAUUUUGCAUUCCAUCCAUUCUUUUGUUCAACAUACUCUCCAUUCUGUCCAUUCUUUGAUCCACUCGAGCAUUGGUGGCUUCUUGCUUUCCCACAAAAUCUCCCACUACCUUGUUGAGAUUGGCUAUUAUUUGUUCAAUACUUGAAGAUUGCUGAGAUGGUGGAUCCGGCUGUUGGUAUUGAGUUGCUCUGGCCUUCCAUGAGAAAUUUGGAUGAUUCCUCCAACUAGAAUUGUAGGUAUUUCCAUAAGGAGCAUUGUUAUUGGGCCUGAAUUGUCCAACAACAUUUGCUUGAUCUCUAUACAUUUCCCUUUCAACUGAAAUUGCAGGGCACUCCUCCACCAAAUGUUCAAAUGAUUGACAAUUGGGACACAGCUUCACUUGCACUGGUGCUUCAGCAACAGCUUGCACUUCAUGCAUUCUUUUCAGCUCCAGCUCCUCCAAUCUUCUUGUCAUAGCUGCCAACUUUGCUUUCAUGUCAUCAUCUUCUUUCAAAUUAUACAUCCCAGCCUUUGCAUUGUAAGCAUUCAACUGAGACUUCAUCUUUCCCACUUCUCCUUUGGUUGGUUCAUCCCAUCCCCUUGAAACAUCAGCUACAUAGCUCAAGAAAUCCAUAGCUUCCUCUGGAUUUUUGCUCAUGAAAUCUCCUCCACACAUUGUCUCGAGGAGUUNNNNNNNNNNNNNNNNNNNNNNNNNNNNNNNNNNNNNNNNNNNNNNNNNNNNNNNNNNNNNNNNNNNNNNNNNNNNNNNNNNNNNNNNNNNNNNNNNNNNAACUUAUAGUCAAUUCUCUAACCGGUGAUGUACAGAGACUCCUUCAAUUAGAUUUCACUUUAAUUCUCUCACUGAUGCAACUUACAAUGGUUCAUGCCUCUCACGAGCACUUAUCAUUCAAGGUGAUCUUUAACCUUGGAUUCCCCUUCACAAACUCGCAAGAGAUAACUAAUGGAUGCCUCCUAAGAGUCCAAAAGCUUACCAAGUGUUGGUAAUUCCAGAAAAUCCUACCUUGAAGUCACCUACCAAAGGCUCGCAAGGGGUAAACUAGUGCAUUUCCACGGUUGGAAAUCACUUGCCUUACCAAGUGUUGGCCCAGGUGACUCCAAAGUGUUUUAAGUUAACUAAAAACAUUGAAAUCACUAAAGGAUUUCACUUCCUCUUCAUUACUAGCUAAAACCACAGAGCUUUGCAUUCUUGCACUUGGAACCUUCCCCGGCAACCUUAGCUCCAAGGAAUUGGAGGUUUAGUUACUCAUUCUCUGGGGAAAACUCCUCAGAGAAUUCAUAACUUAGAAAUAAAAUGAAAAUACAAAGUGAUAAGGUAAGGCAGUAGAAAGAAAAGACCUUUACUUCCUUACCAAAUGGUUACAGAAGGAACUCCUCUCUGAGGACAGGCUCCCGAGAGGUAUUUAUAGCAAACUAAUAUAAAACUAAUUCUUACAAAGAUAUUUGGUCUUUUUACUAACUUAAAAACUAAGGAAUCAUGUAAUUGGUGGUUUACAAGGAGUAUUUUGGAAUUUAGACAACAAAAAUCUAAUGGAAAAUAUCUCCCAAUGUCGGUAGCAAGCUUCGGGAGGCUUCCGGAGCCAUUUCGCAGGAGAAAAGUGAGGUCUGCGAAAUUUCGCAGACACCCAAGAGGGCUGCGAAAUUAUUUCGCAAGACCAAGCUGUCUUCAUAGGGCUACGAAGUUGGCUUCCAUCUUGAAGUUUCCAGCUCCCUUCUCGCGGCAUGGUUCGUGCAUCGUCAGAAGGAGAAACACCUUGCUGUACAAAAGUGCUGCGAAAUUCUCGCAACAAAAGGCCGAUUCCGCAACACUUUAGAGUGACUGGCUUGUAAUGGCUGCAACUUCUUCGUUUCAACUCCAAAUUGCACACCGUUUGAAGCAUUGGAUUGUUGACUUCCUGAGCUUUGAAAUGGUAUAUAGCUUGCAUCAUUUGGACUUCAGAAAGUGCUCCAAAAGUGGCUGCUACGACUGUCAUCAAGAAUAUGCUCCAUGACUGAUCCUCUUUGCUUUUUCUCCUUGCAAUCCGGAUUCACUCUUGGCAAUUGAAUUCUAAGCUUUGCCCAUGAUUCCUCAUAGUUCUCCUCAUUCUUGACUUGCUUUGGUGAUCAAAAUACUAACAAAAACACCAAAACUUGCACAAAGUGAUCAAAAUUGCUUUAAAGGAUCCUUAACAUGCCAAUUGAGUUAAAAGGCCUAAACUACUACUCAAAAGUGUUAAAAAGGAUUAAUUAAAGGCUAUCAAAUAGCACUUUUUGAGUAGUAAUCAAUGACUAGGCUAUCUAUACAUAUUUCAAUUUAUAUUUAUUAAGUACGAGUCACCUUGUGAGUAGAGCCCAAGUCACAUGUCUUACAUGAUGGGCCUAAAACACAUGAUGGGCCUAAGACACAUGUGGCCCAACAGCCCAAUGGGUAUGCUCUCCAACCUCCCAUCACAAGAGAGAAAACAGAAAAGUGGUUUCCUCCUCUAUUGCCUUAGAAGAACCAUAUUUCUUCAAAAUCAACAAUGGAUUCGCGUUUGUCUACAUUCUCUAAUCUAAUCGACAUGUUUUUUUUAUUAUUUAACAUGAGAUUUCUGGUUUUGGGUUGAUAAAGAAUUUGGUAAUCUUUAAAAAUGUUUUACAACACUUCUAUCUAUGGGGCAUGAUAUCUUUAUAGACUACGCAUCUGAUCAACUUUGUGGCAUGUCUCAUCCAACUUAUUUUAAUGCUUGUUUAUGUGACAUGAUACAAUGGAAUGGUAGUUAAAAACUCUUUUAUUUCUUUAAUACAAGAACACGUCUCUAGUCCAAAACAAAAGAAAACAAAUUGGAAACAUGUCUUUCCAGCCCUCAGGAAGGGAUUUAAACCGGAAAUAUUAACGAUACAUUUUCAAAGCAUACUUAAAGCAAACACUCCUCUCAUAUUACCAAUGCAACACGAUUCAAAAGCCCUUUUAUUCUACACGAAACUUCUUUCUGAUCCACAAGACAAAGCCAUGGACCUUCUGUGGGUCUUCGAUGGGAAGACCCCCACACAUGAUGUUCCCCUUUUACUCUAUACCAAGCUUCUUCCUCAUCUCCAUGACAAAGCCAUGGACCUUCUGUGGGUCUUUCAGAGAAGACGACACACUCUCCUUUUCCUUGCACCUCUUGGUCCAAGCGAUCAACUUGGGGCACUCCACCUCUAUGCUGAAGUUACCAAAGCUCUCAUACGCAUAAAACAAGGUUGAGAAAGUCACCAGAGCCACAUCCACAAACCCAAAUUUCUCACCACCAAAGUAAGGCUUCUCUCCAAGCUCUCCUUCCAAAAUCUUAAGGUACUCUAUGAAUUCAUUCUUGGCUGUUUCCUGCUCUUCUCCUUUGGUUGACCAUAUCCUCCUUCCAAGUUCAUAGAGCUGUGGAAAGUAAUGGAGUCAAAGAGAGAAAAGGCUUGUUUUUUUUGGAGCAUUUCAUCAAGUUUCAAACUUUCUGUAUAGUUGGACAAGUUUAUUAACGACCCUUCAGCAUAGAAAUCUCGUAUCCUAGGAAAAAUAUCAGAAUCAGCUGAAAGAAUGUAUCAUUUGCUAAAGUUUUUCCCCUCAAUUUGGGUUAAAGAAAUGAGAAGAAAGAGAUCAAAAAGACAGAACACAUAUUAAAACAACUGUUGUGCAAAAUGUUGAACAGAAGGAUAACAAAAAACCAAAAUCUGUUCUUUAAAAUCUGGUUUAUGUAUCCCCUUUCUUGGGGGAAAACGUAUUCUUGAGAUCUGCUUUUUUGGAUGGAACGAACAGACUUCGGAUUCAACAGAACAAAGAAAUAAAAACCCAUAUCAGAAAUGCAGAGUGGAGUCUUGUUGAAGAAACAGCAAAGAGAAUCAGUAAAGUUCUAGUUUGGGACACCAAAGCCAACAAAACUAAAUAUCAGAAGAGAAUAUGUGAAGAACCAGAAUUUUGGAUAAAUCCCUCACCAUAAUCAAAAUGUGAGUCAAUCGCCAUGAAUCAAUGGAAAAGAAUGCUUUAAAUCAACAGAAAAGGCAUACCUUCUUGUCUAUGUAGUCCGCCCAGAACCUGGCCUGAGCUCUCUGGUAUGGGUCACUAGGCAACAAGGGAGAUUUUUCGUUCCAAACCUCAUCAAUAUACUGAACUAUUAUCAUAGACUCACAAAUGGGCUUUCCAUUGUGGAUCAGAACUGGGAUUUUCUUAUGAAUCGGGUUCAUCUCAAGAAGCAGAGGACUCUUGUUGCUCGUGUCCUCCUCUCUAUAUUCAUACUUGAGACCCUUCUCUGCCAGGGCAACUCUGACCCUCAUACCAAACGAGCUAGGCCAGAAAUCCAACAAGAUAAUCUCGUCUGCCAUUGCUACUACUGUGAUUGAUAAGAUUCAAACUCAAGCAUUGAUGAACUCAAGGGAAAUUGUUAAGUAUUUAUAGCAAACUUCAGAGACGUGGGUUAGAUACUUCUAGGAGGUGAUGAUGCUCAUUCCCUAGCUUUCAUUUUCAUUUUCCUUAAUUAUAUUCUUAUCUCCGAUUCGUAGCUCUCCAGGAUUCCCAUAUUUUGAGUUUAUUUAUUUAUAAGCCAAGUGUUUUUAAUUAAAUAUAAUGCUUUCGAAAUUCUUUGAAAAUUAGAAAAAAUAGUCAUAUUUGAUCAUUUUAAUUUUACUACUUACUUUUAAAUCCAAAAUAGAAAGAAAUUUAGUGUUAUUUUGAAAAUUUAGUGUCAUUGUUACAUUUUUUAUUGCCAUUUUAUGAUUCAAAUUAUCCAUUUCUUUGAUGUUGCUUCUCCCUAUCCAUUUUCGACAUUGGGAUUAAAACUAUUCACUAAAAAAUUGAUUGAUAUAAAAUUACAUUAAAUUUAAAUUAAAUUCAGAUUGACGGAUUAUUUGUCACUAUGCAUGUCAUGUUGCUUGCAAAAACUAUCCAUUCGAUCUCCUUUGCGGUGGUGAUCGCGACAACAAAAACAUGGAAGGAAAGGAAAAACCUUAAUGUUGUUAGCAAGAAAUGAAAGAAUUGGGAGGUUGUGAAGUCUACUUAUGAUCUUAUGAUCUUGUCAAAUAUGAUCAUCAUACAAUACUUGGUAACAUUUAAUUAAAAUAUAUAGUAUUUUUGAGUGACAUUCCCUGCUUAUUACCAACAUAUGGUAGUCACUAAAACCAAUGUCUUUAGUAUAUUUCUUAAUUUAAAACAAUAAAAAGUUAUAAAAAAAUAAUAAAAUGAAAAAUAAAUUUAAAUUCAAUUAACAUUUCUUACAUGUUUCAACAAGACUAUCUCUUUUCUUUUCUUUUUUUUCUAUUCUACAUAAAGAUUGAAAUUUUUUUAUUAUAUUUGAUUUUAUUUUAUACCUUUGAACUAAAGAGAAUUUAGAUUUCUUUCCAUCUCUAUUUUUUUUCUUCAUUUAGUACUUUUUGUAAUCCAAUGGGCUAAAUAUAUUUGUUGCUAGAAAAUUUUACAUUCUCCGUAUUAAAAUUAUGAUCAUCACUACUAGCACUCAAGUAAAAUCUCUCACAAGAAAUAUGUGUAUUAUAAGAAACUAUCGGUUGUAGGAAUUACUCACUAAUUGGUUAAUAAGUAUGGCAAUCUUAUCUUAACACUCAUGGUAGGAUUUUACAUUCCAGUAUGGAAAAAAAACAAGUGACAAGAAAGGAUCACGUACGGAAGAUGCCCAAGCAAGUUCUUGUUGUUUGGUCUAUAUUUUUGGAAUUUUCUUUUUUCUUCUUUCAUGAUUGUGGGCUGUAGUAUAAAAACAUUACUUCUCAACCCCUUUUUCUUCUUUCAUGAUUGUAGCAUAGUUAGAAUCUUAAGAAUCCUUGCUUUGUUGCCUUCUCAUUUGUGAAAAUUUUCAAUAGUAUUAAAAACGAAAGUCAAUGGGUAUUAACGGUGUUACGAUAUUCUUUCCUUUUUUUAAUGGGUAUUGAUUUUGUCCUAAAUCAAACUUCCAAUUCAGACCAUUCAAAUGCAUAAUGAAAUCUAGGUCAUUGGGUCGGGCCGCCCAUUCCGUGGCUCGACACGCCACAAGGUCAGGCGGGGCCAUUACAGGCCAACACUGUAGCAAGCUGGGCUAGCAUGACCCAAAGGAGCAGGCCAUGCUAGGCCUAAAGAAAUAGCCCAUCGGCCCAUCGUGUUGGCCCACUUGGCCCUUUUAAAUUUCACUUUUUACUUUUAACUUUUUAUUACAUGUCAAAUGUCUAUAAUACCCAUCUCAACAACUAUAUUACGACUAGUUUGAGGGGUAAAAAAAGUAAAUCAAUAACUAUUUUUACUUUUUUUAUGUCAAACUUUAGAGGAUGAACUUAAAGAAGCCUUCAAGAAAUUGCAUCUCAAUGCAAACAAUGAUGUUCAAGAGAUUUAUGAUGAUUGAAGAUGAAAAAAUAAGAAUGAAGAUUGAAUAAGAAGACAAAAGUGAAUAUGAUAAUUGAAAAAUUAUAUGUUGUUCGUUUCUUUUAAAUCUAUUAAAUGUAGUUAAUUUUUAAAGGUUAAGUAAUGCAUAUGAUUGAUAGUUGGGUGGGUGUCAACCUGGAUGGGAUGUACUCAAACUAUAAUGACGCAAUUCUCACUUUUGUUUUUUUUUUCUCCUUAUUUUUUCAUGUAAUUUGUUGAAAUAUAGAAUAAAAGAAUUAUUUUUUUAUAUUUCAUUUCCUUUUAUAUUCCAUUAUUUUAAAUUUAUUGUUAUUUUGAUUUUAAAAAAAAUAAACAAAUUCAAAUAUAAUUUUUUUACUAUUUUUAAAAACAAAAAACUAACAUUUCUAUAAAUUUUACAAUUACAAACUCAAUAAAUAUAAAUGUAAAAAAUAAAAAGUAUAAUUAUUAGAAGUGUAUAAAAAAUAAUAUAUAUAAUUAUUAGAGGUGUUUCAAGUAACAAAAAGAAAUUUUAUUUAAUAUUAAGGAAAAAACUUAAGAAAAAAUGACUUAAAAAAUUAAAUUAAAAUUUUUAACAAAGUGAGUGGCCCAUGGGCCAUGGCCCACCGGCACAGCACGGCCUGACCCAGCACGACACGAUUAGCCCACGGACUUAUGGGUCAUGCCAAGCCACCUAUUUGGCUUGCAUGGGUCGGCCCAACCCAACACAUUGGCCCGUAAUGGCCCGAUCAAUAUUAGGCCAUGUCGGCCCAACACGACCCAUUGGGCAUCUCUAUAUACAAGAUUGAAAACCCUUCUUAUCAUGAGAUUUUUCAAAUCCGUUAUUUAUCUUUCAAAGUAAGACUUGUUUGCUAAAAAAAUUGCUCUCUUAGUCUUUAUUUUUGAACUAUCCAUAUCCAAAUAGGGGUUUCCUCCUUAUCUAAGGAGGAGAGAGCCUGAAGGACCAUCCUAGGUAUGGUGUAGUAGCUUGGAGAAGCAUCUAUACCAAAAUCAAAAUGAUAGUUCCAAAUGAAUAAGAUUCUCAUUAGCAACAACCAAUUCAAAUAUAUAAUCUUGGAAAAAUCUUUUCAUGAAAAUUUACUAAGAAUACCAAAACAUUUUUCUUUAGGUUUGAAUACUUAUUUUGGUAACCUUCUUAAUUAUAAAUUAUCUAUUAUGAAUUUUCAAAAUUAACUUAUUUUCUUUAAAUCCAAACCUUGUGCAAAAUAAGAAAAAUAUUAUUUUAUAAAGAUUUGGAAAAACAAGAGUUUUUUUAUUAAAAGAAAGAUUUUAUUCUUAGAGAUCUCGAAGAUCUAAGAAAAUUUUAAAUAAAAUUAAAAUCAUUAAGAAUUAAUUUUUAAAAGGAAUGGAAACUCUUAAUUCUUUUCUAACUUAUCUUUUCUUAAAAUAAAUUUCCUAACAAUACACAUUCCAAUUUAAAUAAGUUUUCCUAUUUUGAAAAACUCCAUCAAAAUUUAUAUCUAAUUAAGAAUACCAAAUUAUCCUAUUUUAGGUCACAUAUGCAAGUAAUAAAGAUAACAUAAAAUAAAAACAAGGAAAUAAUUAAAUAAAUAUUUCUCAUGAACUUUAGGGAUCCUAUUGCAUAUUUGGUAAUUAAAAAUUGGAUAAAAUUCAAAUUAUCAAAAUAUUCUUGCAACCAAAGAUUAGUUAGUAAAAAUUGAAAAAACUCUAAAAAGUUGAAUUUCCACAAAAAAAAAAAAAAAAAAAAAAACCUAAAAAAGAAGCCCAAAAUCAAGCCCAAAUAACCGAAAACAAUUUGGCCUGAACUCAAUUCAGAAAUAGCAUGCUCUUUGCACAACCUUACUACAAUUGACUAUAUAUUCCUCAUUUCAACUCCGAAUAGAAAAUUGUUUGAAGCAUUGGAUUCCUGACUUCCUAAGCUUCAAAAUCAUAUAUGAUUUGUUCCAAUUUUGAGUCAAAUUAGGAUCUAAAUCAAGAACUUCCAAGAAUCUUUCUUUUUUCUUAAGUCACCAUAGGAUCUCAAAAAUGAAAAUUUAAGAAUUUUUCCUUUCCUUUUGGGUCACCAUAGAUGGAUGAAAAAAAACAAAUUUUUUUACAACCAAAAAAAUAAAAAUAAAAAUCUUAUACCCCUCAUGGGGUGUACAACCCAACCUAGAGAAUAAAAUAGCAAAGAUCAUAUCCAUUCAUAUUCAUUCAUUCAAUUGAAUUAAUAAAAGCAUUUCAUUGAUUCAUCCUUAGGGUCUAUGAGAUGAAUAAAAAAACAACCCUGCAAAAUAGAUGUGAGCGCAACUUAGAAUAAAUCUAGCAUGCAAGUGUAGACCUUCCAUUUGUUCCAUUAGCACAUGCCCUAUUAAGUGCUCUUUUCAUACUUUGCAAUAGUCUCCUUUGGUGGCCCAUUUUCUACUCACACAACUUACCUUUUUUAGCCAUCUCAAAGACUCUAGUUGAGAGAUUUAUCUAGCCCCUCAUUGUGAGUGACCCUUGGCAACCCCAAGUUAGAUCUAGGAUUUUCUUUUUCUCUUUUUAUAAUAGCUCCUUUUUAAGUGCUCCUUUAGGACAACAUACUUAGACAUAUUCAAGUACACUUCUUAGGUCACUUAAACACACCCUAGGUCACCUAAGCACCUUCUACCUUAUAUAGACUCACUCUAGGUCACUUAGGCACUUUAUAAACUCACAUUAGGUCAAUUAGGCACUUUUAUGAUCACCUUAGGCCACUUAGGCACUUUUCUUAUCACUUUGGGUCACUUAGCACUUUUUUUUAUCACCUUAGGUCACUUAGGCAUUUUUUUUUAUUAUCUUAGGUCACUCAAGCGCAUUUUUGAUCACCCUAAUCCACUUAAACACAUCCUAGGUUACUUAAGCACUUUUCUUAUCAUCCUAGGUCACUUAAGCCCAUCUAGACACAUCUAGCCCAUUAAGACACACUCUGACUUAUUUAGACAUGCCUUAGUUAAUCUAGGCACAUCUAACCUAUUUAGACAUACCUUGAUCCAUAUAAGCCUAUUUGGUUCAUCUAGGCACACUUAGCCCAUCUAGGCACACCUGACCCACUUAGGUACAUACAUACUCGUCUAAGCACACACCGGUCCAUCUAGGCACACACCAGCCCAUCUAGGCACACCUUGACCCAUCUAGACACACCCUGGCCCACCUAGGGUUACUUGAGCCCACCUAGGUCACCUUUUAGGUAAUUUUUGCUUGCAAGACAUCUUUUUCUAUUUAGUAAUUUAUUUUAUUUAUUAUUUUGUGUAUUUUCUUUCUUUGUUUUUUAGUUUUUUUUUUUUUUUUAUAUUAACAUUGUAACACCUUUUUAUUCAUUUAUUAAAUCUAAUAUUUUUUGUGCUUUUGUAGGGAAAAGUUUGGAUAGGAAAGGAUCCUCUUUUGGAGAGAGAGAACUAGCCAUCUUUGAAGAUCACAAACAACCUCCUGAUAAGAUGAAAAGUUUUAGCUAUAUAUAGGGACUAGUUUUGAAAACUUGAAGAUAUACAAAUAAUGAAAGAGGUGCAUCACAUUAAGAGUCUAGAGAAGAAAGGUUUUUUUACAUAAGAAUGUAAAAAGAUAUGGAGGUAAGAGGGAUUUGGAAUAUAGUUGGUUGCUACCUUGGUUUUGGAAAGAGAUACUCAGCCAUAAUGGGCUCUUAGAAAGUCCUUGAAAGGUUAGAAUUCCGCAUAGGGAUUUUGAGGUUUUUUUUAUUUUUUAUUUUUAGGGGAUUAUGCUGGUUUUCUAGAGGGAAUAUCCAACAAUGUAAAAAAGAGGAAUCAUGUAGCGGUUUUUUUGGGAAGGAAGAUUUUAACAUGCAAAAGGGAGGUUCAGUUGCGGUCUUUGAAAUAAAAUCAUUCAGAGCGUGUGACGAACGAAAAAAGGAGAUUCGGUCCGUGGUGAGGAUGAGAGAUACAGUCCGCGUUUUGAAGACGUUUCGGGAGGGUUUUGAAAGAAUAUGGAGAUAGAGAGAUAUUCAACUCAUUUUGGGAGCACAUUCAGGCCGUGUUCUGGGGAUAUUCAGAGCGUGUUUUGGAGUCACAUUCAAGCCGUGUCUGAGAGUAAGAGGGAGCGUGUUUUCGAGGGUCACAUUCAGUCUGUGUUUUGGGAUCAUUGAGAACACGUUUUGGUUCCCAUUAGUAUGCAUCUAGUACAAAUUGAACCUACCAAUUCGCCAAUUAUGAGUUGGGCGCUUUAACCAUUCAGCCAUGGAUGCUUAGUGGGGAUCCUCGUACAUGGUGAAUAACCAAAUUCUAAUUGAAAUGAAAUCUUUAGGAUAAAUCAAUGUAAUUUAGGAGGAAUAAUGAAAGGACAUCAAUUCAAAUCUUGGAUUUUCAAAUUGAGAGAUAUUGAGAGAGAUCAAUAAUUCUCACUAUUUCUUAGAUUCAUGGACCCAAUUCACUUCAGUGGGAUAUUUCAUUCAUAUUUUUUUCCACCAAGAGAGCACAUUCAGGCUGUGGUCUGAGGGGAAGAUAAGAGAAGGUAAGAAAGGUAUCAUUUGGACAUUGUUUCAUUUUGAAAAUUUGUUUUGACUUUGUUAGUUUUUUGCGGAAUUUUGGAAUUAGGAUUAGAGAUAAGGGUGAUUUCUUUGAAAGUUUGAAUGAUUUUAAUAUCUGGACCUUUUGCUUUUAUUCAUGUUAUUUCAUUAAAAGCUUCAUCUUGAAAAUUUUGGUUAUGCUUUAAAUUUUUUUGGUUCUGAUUCAUGUUAUUAGAAUGUUAUUUCAUUAAAAGUUUCAUCUUGAAAAUUUUGGUCAUGCUUUAAAAUUUUCUGUUUAUGAUUUAUGUUAUUAGAAUGUUAUUUUAUUAAAAAGUCCCAUCUUGAAAAGUUGGUUAUAUAAAAAUUUGGUUAGGUUUUAAAUUUUUCGGAACAUAUUUCAUGAUAUUAGAAUGCUAUUUCAUUGAAAGUCUCAUCUUGAACAUUUUGAUUAGGUUUUAAUUUUUCUAGUUACUAUUCAUCUUAUCAAAAUGCUAUUUUCUUAAAAGUCUUAUCUUGAAAAUUUUGGUUUGGUUUUAAAUUUUCUAGCUAUCAUUCAUGGUGUUAGAAUGCUAUUUUAUUAAAAAUCUUACCUUGCAAAGUUUGAUAAUUUUAACGUUUAUAGGUUAUUCCCAUACUAUCAAAAUUUUCAUGUUUCAAUGAUUAGUUCUUAGGGUUUUUUUAUAUUCUCUAUUUAUUAUGCAUGUUAGUUGAUUGGGUUAUUGGAUUAAAUUGGCAAUGGUAGUUUUUAGGGGUUUUAGAUUCUCUUGUUACUAUGCAUGUUAUUUGAUGGGUUUAUUAGAUUAAAAGUUCUUAUCUUUGGAAACGGUAGUUCUUAGGUUUUUAGAUUUUUCUUGUUAUUAUGCAUGAUUAUUUGAUUGGGUUGUUGAAUUAAAAGUUGUCAUAUUUAGAAAUGGUAGUUCUCAAGUUUCUAGAUUUUGAUGUUAUUAUGCAUAUAAUUUGAUUGGGUCGUUGAGUUAAAAGUUCUCAUCUUUGGAAGAACCAAAUGAAUCAACCCAAGCUCUAAAGAAAAAUCUAAUAAAAAAUUCUUUUGAACUUUAAAAUGGGUUGGAGUUUCCUAGGAAACAAACACACCCACUCUUUGAAUGGAAGAGGAACUCAAUGGAGUUUGUCUGACUGUUGUAGGGGAGGUGUUCCCCUAACCCUAAAAAUCAAUUUUUGGUUCAAAUAGGUAAGAAAACCCUUAGGAAAUGUAAAUUUACAACCACAUGAAGUAUCAUUCUUAAUGCUACUUCAAUUUUGAGUCAAAUAAAUUUGAGUAAAAAUAAGACCAAAAUACCUACCAUGUCCUUGACUAAUUCAAAGGUCAACCUAUUCCAUAUAUUAAUGAACAACAAAUAAAGAAUGCUUGCGAUUUCUCAAAUAAUUCAAAGGCAAGACUUGACUCAAAGGAGUCAAAUGACACAUUAUUUUCUCAUAUGCAUCAUGACAAUAUUUGACACACAGAGUCAAUUGGCAUGUCUAUAUCAAUUUUUUUUUUAGUGCAAAAUGGAAUGGUGGUUAAGAACUUUUUUACCUCUUUAAUACAACUAAUACAAACAAAGCAUAUAUCAAAGUCUCACAAGAAAAAGCAAGGUAAAGCUCAUAAGCUUAUUGUGUGAACAAGUUGACAAAACAUGAAGGCCAAAAGUUUUGGCAUUACGAGGUCCAUUGGGAGGGCCCUACAAAUGCACAUUACAUUUGACCCAAAUUCUUCAAAUUUGCUUUUGAAAAGUUUAUCCAGUUAAAAUGACUACUAGCAUUGAAUAUAAAUUAAAUCAUUUAAGAUUAUCUUUUGCCAAACAUAUUAAUUAUAAAAUAAAAAAUCGUUAUAAAAGUGAUUUAAAAACCAUGCCCUAUCACAUUCUAUUCAUGGAGAAUGAUGUAAUCAUGCAACAACUAAAAAAUCCAAAAAAAAAUUUAAAGUUUUAAAUUUAAAAUUUUAAAGUACAUAGAAAAAUUAAUUCUAGAAACAUGUAUUUCAAUAGUGAAAUUAUCAAAAUUUUAAAAUUACACUGUAACCCUCGAUCUCAUUUCGCAAUUAAUUACUGCAAAAAAAUUUUAUUUUUUUCUUUUUACUUUAAUGUGACAAGUUAAAGAGCAAGUCAUUGUUGUCUUUUAAAAAACGAAAAGAAAAAAAAAUUGACUCAUGGUAACCAACCAUGUCAUAUGAUUUUUCUUUUUUCUUUUUCCUCUCCUUCGUAAUAUCUUUACCUUUCUGUUUCUUAAUUUCUAAUGUGUUGACUUCAUGAAAUCUUUUUAAUUUCAUUUUUCAUUAUUUCAUCUUCUACAUUUAUCGAUUUCAAUUAUUUAUGGAUAUUCUAGACACAAAAUAAAAAUAUAUAAUAAAUAAUUAAUGAAAACAAAUUUAAUAUACAAAUAAAUUCAUAAUGAACAAAUUUAGAAGCUUAGGACAUAAGAUUUUCUAUAUUCCUCCUAAAUAAAAUAUCUAUUUAUUUUAUAAUCUUAUUGCAUUGUCAUAUUAUUUUAUUGUUUAUAUUUUUAAAAAAAUUGUUAAAUUUUUAUGUGAAAGCACCUUUGAGUAGUAAUCAUAUUCAUUUAACCCAAUUAAUUCAUUAAGGUCCUUGGUAAUUGGUUUUAACCAUUUUGUGGCAAGUUUACAUGUUUUUAUCAGCUUAUGAAUCAAUUCAAGCAUGCCAAAUGAUGGAGGAGCUACUUGGACAAGUUAUGGCAAAGCCUUUGGAAGCUCAAAUUCAUGAAGAACCAAGCUUUGGAGCUCCAUAGCCCUUUGCCAAAGUCGUUCAAAGUAUGCAAGGAAAGAACAAUGGAAAAGAGGAAAAGCAAGCAAAGUGAAGAGAAGUAAAGAGGACAGCAGCUGCAAUCUUCUUUCGCACUUUUGGAGUACUUCCCGAAGUCCAUUUUUUACAUAAUAUAUACCAUUUCAAAGCUCUGGAAGUCAAGAAUCCAACGCUUCAAACCGUGUACGAUUUGGAGCUGAAAUGAGGAAGAUAUGGCCUUCGAAAGCCAACUGCUCCAGGUUAUGCGAAAAUUUCGCAUAACACCUUCAAAAUUCGCAUAACCCAUGCGUGUUACGUUUUACACUGAGAAUAUAUACAGAGCUCUCUCGUUUCUCUUUUCUCUUUGCUAUUUUAUUUUCUUGGAAGCCAAACAGCCUCUGAGGGCUUUUCCUCAGAGGAUGAUUGGCUAAAACUUUUAGUUUCUCAAAGUAUGGAUGUUAUGUGAUGACUUGGAUGCAAUCACAUGGAAAUUUCUCGCACCCGGAAGGUAAGGUAGUCGUUUUUCAUUAAAGGUUAAUUAAUGCAAAGUUUGGUUUUUAUUUCCUUUGGACAACUUCCAACGGCCAAUACUUGAUAAGCUUUUGGAUUUCUAUCCAUUAGUUAUCUCCUACGAGCUAUUGGAAGGUGAGGUUUUCAAUUCCAAGUUUUGCAUUAAUCCGUUAGAACCAAUUUCAAUGGCCAUUGAAAGGUGAGUUUAUCACUUGGAAUGACUUUGAGUUGCCAAUAUUUGGUAAGCUUUUGGCUUUAGACCAUUAGUUAUCUCUUACGAGCCAUUCAAAGGAAGUCUAAGGUGAAUAACAAUUGAUGAAAUUCACUACCAUCUGUUUUGCCAUUUUAAAGGAUUAAAACUUGAUUUGCUAAAUCCAUACCGGUUCGGGAAGCAAGCAUCACCAUAGUUGCAACCCCAACUCGAGGAGCCUAUCCUAAGAUUUCCAAUUUGCAUAAGAGCCAGAGCAUAGCUCUCCUAUCUUUGAGAAACUUGUUUUUACACCCUUUCAUUUUAGUCUUUAAUGUUAGCUUAGAUUAGUUUAAAUCUUUCUAAAACAUUUACAUCUUCUUUUAAAGCUAACAUCCAUAAGAAAAUCACCUAUUUUCCUAAUUUGAAUAUCACUAGUGUUUGCGAAAACCCUUCCCAGUGAACGAUCCUAGAACCACUAUGCUAUAGUAGCUUGGCUACUUUAGUAAUAGUAUUCAAGGUAUAAAUUUUGUUGAUACGCCUUUAAAGCUAAGCUACCAUGAGUCGCAUCACAAAGCCCACAAAACUCAAUAUCAGAAGGGAACGUGUGAAGAAACCCAGCAUUUUGGACAACUCCCUCGCCAUAAUCAAAAUCUGAGUCAAUCGCCAUGAAUAAAUGGAAAAGAAUGCUUUCAAUCAACAGCAAAGGCAUACCUUCUUGUCUAUGUAGUCCGCCCAGAACCUGGCCUGAGCUCUCUGGUAUGGGUCACUAGGCAAAAGCGGAGAUUUAUCGCACCAAACCUCAUCAAUAUACUGAACUAUUAUCAGAGACUCACAAAUGGGCUUUCCAUUGUGGAUCAGAACUGGGAUUUUCUUAUGAACUGGGUUCAUCUCAAGAAGCAAAGGGCUCUUCUUCCACAGGUCCUCCUCUCUAUAUUCAUACUUGAGACCCUUCUCUGCCAGGGCAAGUCUGACCCUCAUACCAAACAUGCUAGGCCAGAAAUCCAACAAGAUAAUCUCGUCUGCCAUUGCUACUAAUGUGAUUGAUAAGAUUCAAACUCUUUAAGUAUUGAUGAACAGCACGGGAAAUUGCUGAGUAUUUAUAGCAAAUUUCAGAGAGUGGGUUAAACCCUUGGAUACUUCUAGGAGGUGGUGAUGCUCAUUCCUUAUCUCAGCUUUCAUUUUCAUUUUCCAUUCUAUCUCGGUUUCGUAUCUCUCCAGAAUUUGUGAAUUAUGGAAACGUUUGUUAUGGCAUGGUAAAAUAUAGAAGCGUCCCGAUAGUUGGUUGCUUCCACGUCAUCUCAUUGCUUUGAUCAUUCCACAUCAUCGCUUUCGCCAGCCCUGUCAAUUAAGUACACUGGUCCUCUGCAUAAUUUCCACCACAAAAAUGAUGUUGCAAGGAAAAGAAAUGAUAUUGUAGGGAAAAGAAAAUAGAACUUGUAUAUUUUUAGAUCGACAAGUCACUAUUGGUCCCUUCCUUAGUUCUUAGAUUCCUGAAAUUAAAUAAAUAUUUAAACUUUAUGUGUAUUAUAAAUAUUUAAAAUUUCAGUGGUGAUUGUAUUUUUAUCUAAGAUCUAUUUUUUUUUAAUUUGAAUAAAUUAAGUAUUGUUAAAUAUUUAAAUUUUUUAUAUUUUAAUUAUUAGUAAAUGUUAAUAAAUAUUAAAUAACUGAUCUUUUACAUUACAAAAAUAUUUAUAAAAUAUAAUAUUUUAUUUCUUGUUAAAUUAGUUUGCAAUCCAACACAUUUUUGAAUAUUUAAAUAUCAUAAUUCAUUAACAUAUUAAAAUUUUAUAAUAAAUAAUUAUGUAAUUGAUAAGAAAUUGGUAGUUUGAUAAUAAGUAUAAUUAUGGGGUAUUUGGUAAAACUCAAUAAUUAUUACUUAAUGACUUAAGUUGAUUUUAAGUAAAAUUAUAUUUAAGUUAUUGACUUAAAACUUAUUACUUAAUUUUUAAUUUAAAUAUUAAGGUUGUUUAAUAAAAUUAAUUUAAAAUUUAUUCUAAAUCAUCAAAUUGAUAUACUUACCCCCAUAAAUUAUAAUGAGGAUAAAUGAGAUCGAGUAACAAUGGAAGUUGUAUAAUAACAAAAAAAAUCGUGGAACUAAGAUAAAUGAGGGUAAAAAGAUAAAAUGAAAACAUGGAUUUAAGAAUAAAUUAAUUAUUUUUACUUAUUAGUUAAAGUUGUUUUUUACUUUAAGUCAUACCAUUAAAUUAUUUUACCAAUUAUAUUUAAUUUAUUUAAUAACUUGAAUUAAGUUAUUAAGUUGAUUUACCAAUACCCACUUAGACUUGUUAGAAACUAUUAGAACUUUUCUAAGUUAGUAUAUGUUUAGAUUUGAAGAUUUGUGAUUGAAAUAUGUAUUCUUUUUAAAAUUAAUUCAUUGAUUUUUGGAAUUUUAUCUCCAAAGGAGUAUCAACUUUUAAUUUAUAUUUUUUAAAAUUAUUAAUUCUAAUAAAUAUUUAGAUGAAUGUGAAUUAUGCUUUAGAAUUUUGAUUAAAAAAAAUCUUAUUAGAAUUGCUAACUAUUUUUAUUUUUUAUAAAGCUGAAUUUUUAUUAAAUAUUUUUCGAAUUUAAAUUUUAUGAUUUUUAGUAUAAUUUAUUUUUAUUUUUGAAUGAGUAAUCAAUAAUAAUUUGUGGAAUUCAAUUUUAUUGAGAAUGGGAUAAAUUAUGGGGUAAAAAUAAUGGAAACAUGUGGGGAUUUGAAAUUUUGUAAAUUUAUCUUUUAGCUAUCAAUUUAUGAGAAAAUUUUAAAUCUGAUUUUUCUUUAAAAAAAUGAAAAAUGAAAAUGAAAAAAAAAAACAAACAAAAAAUCAAAUAUAUUUGAUGCUUUUUGUAAAUGACAACUUUGUUAAUUUAUAAUAAAUUUAUUUCUCACUCAAAUUAUAUAAAAUUAACAUAGUUUAACUAUUUUUUAAAACAAGUUAUCUAUUCUUUUUUAAAGGAAUUUAGUUUAAAUUUUUGUGAAAAUUUGUAUUUAAGCAAGUACUCUUAAUUAAUGAUUAAAAGCUUUUUUAUUUUUUACUUUUUCCCCAUAAAUAAUUAAAUAUUAUAAUUAAUCCUAGUUUUUUCAAACUCUUAUAAAUAGGAGACUUGGGUCAAUGAAAUGGAUACCUCAAAGUUAUUUUAGAACUCUAUCUCUUCUCUAAUUCUAGUCUCUCCAAAAGAAAACUCUUAUUAUAAGUUUUUGUAUAAGAUUCAAACACUAAAAGGACAAACUUAUUCUCAUAAAAUAUCUUUUUUAUCAUCUAAAAGGUAUGUGAUAAACUUCUACUUUUAUAUUAUUUUCUAUUUAAUUUAUCCUUUCGAUGAAGAAACUAGAAAAUAUUUUUUUUUAUAGACAAAAAUUAUGAAAAAAAAAUUGCAACUAGAAGUUAUAAAAAAAAAAUGUAAAAUAUGUACAAUUGUAUAGCCAAAGGUUAUAUGAGAAAUUAUAAAGUUAUAAAAAUAUAAAGAAUGACUUACAUGUAAUUUCUAAUUUCUUUUAAUCAUAAUGAUAUAACCAAAUGUUACACAAAACAAAAUUGUAUUGUCAAAAGUUAAAUAAUGAAUAUUUCAUAGCCUAAAGAUGUAUACAAAUUUGCACAUUUUUGUUAUGAUAAAAAUAAUCCAUAGCCAAAAACUAUGUAAGCAAUCAAUUCGUACUUUUUAUUUUGUUAAUGCUACAUGAUGUUCAUGCAUUUUUUUUUUACCAUAUUUAUAAUAAUCCUUUAGCAAUAAAAUAUAACAAAAUCUUAAAUCAUUAUGCUUUUAUUAAUGAAUAUUAACCUGAUAAAAUAUUGUUAGAUAAUUUUAUUCAUUUAUUUUGGUAAAUUGAAAUAUUAUUCUAAUUAAAUUAUUUCAAAUAUAGUUUUCAAAUAAUGUCAAAUCUUACCAAGUUUGAGUUUGUUACAUUCCCUAUUUCGGGCAAAACUAUUUAUCUAGAUUCUAAAUGCUAAAAUUCACCUAAACGAUAUGAAUCUUGAAUAGACCAUUAAAGAAUAAAAUGAGGCAUCCUCACAAGAUCGCACUAGAGCAUUAAUAUUCCUUCAUUAUCACAUUGAUGAAGGAAUAAAAGGUGAAUUCCUUACAAUCAAAGAAUUUUCAUUCUUUGAAAUAAUCUAACGGAAUGAUACUUUGAUCCUUUGGAAUAAUAUAACAAAAUGAUAUGGCCACCACGAGAUUAUAAUCCUUCCAAAAGAACAUCAUGAUUGGAUGCACUUGAGAUUACAAAAUUUCAAGUUUGUCAAUGACCACAACUCGACUUUAUUCAAAAGUUGUUCACAAUUUAUAUGGAGAAAAAAUCAUUAAAGAAUAUAUCCUUGAAAAGACAUUUACUAUUUUCCAUGCCUCGAAUGUACUCCUAUGGCAACAAUAUCAAGAGCAUAAUUUCACUAAAUAGUUUGAAUUAGUUUAAUGUCUUCUUAUGGCUAAACAAAAUAAUGAACUUCUACUAAAGAAUCAUCAAUCUCAUACUAUUAGGUCUAUGUCAUUGCUUGAAGAAAAUGUCACAUCCGUCCAAGCUCCUAGACAUUGAGUUGGACUUGGACAUGAACAAGGCUAAGGACACAGUCAUGGUCGUGGUAAACAUAAUUCUUGGUACCAUGGUAAUUAUAGUCAUUAGAAUAGAAAAAACAAUUCAAACCAUUAGAAGUGGAAUAAUUCAAAGGUACAACCUAAAAAGGAUAUAUAUAUAUAUAUAUAUAUAUAUAUAUAUAUAUAAUCACAAAACAAACAUGAUAGUAAGAAUGAAUGCUAUAGAUAUGGUAUGAAAAGACACUAGUCAUGUACCUAUCAUAUUUCCAUAUGUUAAAAAAAUUGUACAUAGGUUUUAGAAAUGCCCAAUCGGGUAAGGGAAAGCCUCAAACAUUCCAACACUUCCUUAUGUUAAUAUUUAAAUCCUAAUAAGGAUGUAUAUUGUCAUGGUUCACCUUAAAAAAAUUGCAUGUAUGUUUCUUAAGGAUGUAUGUAGGAUUUAGAAAUGACCUACGACGAACAGGAAGGCCUCAAAUUCAUUAUGAGGCUUCUAUAAUUUAAUAUUUAGACCCAAAUAAGAAUGACUGGAACUAUGGUCCACCUUAAAAGAAAAGGUUUUUUUUUUUUUUUUUUUUAAGAAUUUACAUACUUUUCUUAAGAAUGUAUGUAUUUUUCUUAAGGAUGUACGUAGACUUUGAAAAUAACCAACGAGGAAUGGGCAGCCUCAAAAUUAUUACAAGGCUUCCAUAAAUUAAUAUUAAAACCUAAAUAAGGUGAAAUAAGGUCACAAUCUGCUUUUAAAAAAACGCACAUAUUUUGUUUUUUUAAGAAUGUACAUGUUUUCCAUAAAAAUAUAUGUAUUUUUUCUUAAGAAUGUUCUUAAGGUUUAGAAAAACCUAACAAGGUAAGGAAAGACCUCUAAUUCAUUCUCAGGCUUCCAUAAGUGAAUACCUAGACCUAAAUAAGGUCAAAUAGGAUUAUAGUCUUAAGAUAGAGUUCUUAAAAGCAUAACAUGGUGUAUUAAAUUUGAAAUUCAUUAUUUAUUUAAUGAUGUUCCCAUUUCACUUUUAUCUAUCUUUAUUCCAUGUAUUAUAUUUUAUGAGAAGUCUUGUCAGCAUCUUUUGCAUUGUACAUGACUUAGGUGCAUUAAGAGUUGCACAGAAGAUCUUUAAGCCAUGGGUUCCUUGCAAAUAAUUGACUUGUUCACAACCAGUUUAUGGGUCUAGGCAACCCAUUAGAAGUUGUAGUGCACCACCUCUUAAUUAGAGGGAUGGUUGGUCUCCGUUAUCGGGAUGAGUUUCCCAUGGUGAGUACACUACUGUGUAUGAUUUACACAUUAGACAAGACCUACGAUGAGUCAUGACUUAAUACUAUCAAGUAGUCAUGACCUCACCAAGCUACUUCAUUGUGUUAUCUCUCAACCUUGAGAGAAUAUCGAGAAAAUUAGCAAUGAAUUUUACCUAUGAGUGAGAUUGUAAGUUGAUCAUAUAUUCCCUAUGGAUUGGGUCACUGUUGAUGGAAGUCAGUAACAAUAGGUAUUCUUAAUAGACACCAUGAUAUCUCAUGGGAUUGAGACAACAUGUCCCCUUGGGUGAUCCUAAGGGGAUGUGUUCAUGGAAACUAUGGCCAUAAUAGUUCCUUAAGUAGAACUUGACAUAGGCUCUUUGAGAGCUAAGACAUGUCAAUUGAAUAUACAAUAGGAGGAUUCGUAACUCAAGGAUAGUAGAGGUAGUCUUGAAAGGUUGAUAGCUUUCACCUUGUUAGGCUAGAACACCAGUUCAUGGGGAGACUGAACACAAUGGAUACUAGGUCACAGACCCGAGCACGUAGUGUCUCGUUGUUAUUUACAUAAGAUAUUGGAGUUUAGUUUAUUCUUUGUAAUAAGAUGUUGAAUCAACUUCAUAAUUGGAUCCUGAGGGAGUUAGUACUCUUAUAGAUCCUAAUGGUCCCUGCUCUGAGCUUAUAUAUCUUUUUGGCAUAGUUAUGAGUGUCGAAUUGACUCUAGGUUCACUUUUGUGCAUAAGGGCAUUUUGGUAAUUAUGCAAGAUUGCAUAAGGGUAAGUGAACAAAGUCUCUAGAUUGAGCUAAUUAAUUAAUUAGUAGGCCCUAUUGGGUUAAUUAAUCAAUUAGGAUCCAUUUUGGGCUAAAUUAAGUUACCCAAACCCAUGUGGGCUCAAGUCACUUAAGCCUAGUUAGGAACCCUAUAAAUACCCCCUAGGGGUUAGAGUCUUCAUCACUUUUGUCUUCCACCAUUUAGAGAGAAAGAGGGCAAUAGCCUCCACCUUUCUUUCUUCCCUAUCGAAAGUGUGCCAAGAAUAAAGUUGAGUCAUUAGGCAAAAGACCAUGGGUUUACAAGACUUCCAACAACUUCAAUGUCAUCUUCAACACUUGGAAUUUAAGGUUUGAAAUAUCCAAACCUAAAGGUUGCACUUUAACCCUAAAGAUCAAUUUUAAAAAAUAAAUAAAUAAAUUGGUAUUGUUUCCAUUCCUUAGAUCUACUAUGCCAAUACACAAUUCGCUUGAAAAAAAUGUAAGUAUUUUCUUCAAAAUAUAUAUAUUUGUUAAGAAUGUAUGUAUUUUUGUAAAAGAUGUACCUUAGGUAGGGUUCCACCAUGUUAAAUGAGGUUUGGGAAGCUCUCAAAUACAUUUCGUAGAGUACAUAAGCCAAAUCUUAGACCCAAAUGAGUGUGAAUCUAUCAUGUUAAGUUGAAAUCAAAUGUACAUAUUUUUCUUAAGGUGUUAUAUUUUUCUAAAAAAUGAACUUGUGAGUGUUUAGCUAGGUUGGAAAUUCCAAAAAAAAUUCCAAAGGGUCCCCUAACUUGGUUUACCAAUCCCUCUUUGGACUACUUGACCUUUGAAGAUUAAGACUUUGCUAAGAGGUCGAGGUAUGUAGCUGAAUCUAUGGUGAUUGAAUGUGAAUCAACCCUAUUUUUUCAUUUUUAAAUGAGUAAAGAAAGCUAAGAGAAAUAUUGUUGGUGCAAGGCUUUUGUUCCCUUGUUUCUGGAUCGAUCCAGGUAUAGGGGCAAAUCGAUCCAACUAACCUGUUUUUCAGAUCAAUUUUCAACAUUUGGAUUAAGGUUUCACUCUCAUUUAAAAUCAAAUCUCCCCCAUUUUUGGAAGUGGUGACUGUAGUAUCCGUGAGAGAGUUUUUUCUUUCCUCACUAUUUAGAGGGUGUUUACCUAUGAAGAAAAUCCAUCCAAGUUUUCCAAGAAUUUUUUUUUAAAAUGGAUUUUCUGAAAAUGAACAUGGGUUGAUUUCUAAAACAUUCAUAUCUCGUUCUCUUGGUUUUGUGCAAAAACCCAUUUUCUUCUUGUCUAAAUUCAAGAGGAAAUCGAGCUUGGUGCCAAACUCCAAGUGUGCCCCGAAAGAAGAAGCUAAGAAGCUGAAAAUGAAUGUACUAGUCAAGUGGUUUGGGAAAGAUUGGUUGGUUUGAGCAAGGUAAAACUUUGUAUUCAGAUUUUAUUUUUCAUAGUGGAUGUUUUCAAUCAGUAAUAGGCCCAUGGUUUUUUAUCUCUUCGGAGAUUUUUCAUGUAAAUUUAUGGUGUCUCAUUGUCUCUCUUUCUCUUCUUAGCAUCAGUUUUCAGUUUCAACAAUUUAUUAUAAUUUUGAUUGUCUACUAUUUGAUUGAAUGAUGAAGAGAAAUGACUAUGAAUCAUCUUUGAAGCUGUUUCUAAUUGUUAAUCAUUGAUAUUUUGAGGUAUAUUGAUCUUGCUUUUAUCAGAAUUUAGUUUAAGUUGAUUUGGGUUUGGGAGCGUUAGAUCAUGUGCAUGUGAAUUACAUUUGAAUAUUGUUGGGGAGUGUUGUUGCAUUCAUAUAUGCAUGUGAUUUAUAAUUUGUGUUUUUGAGAUUGUGUGAAGAGAAGAAAAAUAUUAAAAAAGUUUUAAGGUUUUCUAAUUUGAGUUGAGAUUUUGUUUAAUUAGUCAAAACACCUAUUCAACCUCCCUUAGGUGUAUUCUAUUGAGAUUCACCUUUUCAAUUGGUAUGAGAGAGGGUUUUUAAAGCAAAAAUCAUUUUCAAUCCUUAAAUCUCAAUCAUGGAAUCUCAUUAAGAGGGAGCUUCCAUUAGGAGACCACCAUUCUUAACCAGUGAAAAUUAUUCUCAUUGAAAAGUGAGAAUGCAAUAUUUUCUCAAAAUGCAAAGUGACAAAAUUUGGAAUGUCGUUGAAUUUGGUUAGUCUCCACCUAAGGUGUUAGAUAGAGAAGGUAAACUAACAAAUGUUAUCAAGCCAAAAUUGGAAUGUGAUAGAAGUGAAAAUGAAGCAAGUGAGAAUAAAGCUAGAGCCAUGUACUCCAUCUUCAAUGCCAUUAGUACGAAUGAAUUUUGUAGGAUUGCCACAUGCACUUUGGUUAAAGAAGGCUUAGGAUAUCCUCCAACUGACUCAUGAAGGAACUAAUGUUGUGAAAAUGUCCAAGCUUCAAAUGUUGACAUCUAGGUUUGAGACCAUUAGGAUGAAUGAUCAUGAAACUUUUGGAGAAUUUCAUGCAAAAUUGAUGGAUAUAGUGAAUUCUAACUUCAAUCUAGGUGAAUCCAUCUCUAACUGUAAGGUGGUUAGAAAAAUUUUAAGAUCUCUUCCAGAUAGAUUUAGAGCUAAGGUUACCGCCAUUGAAGAGUCUAAGGAUGUGGAUUCCUUGAAGAUAGAUGAACUUGUAGGUUCUCUCCAAACCUUUGAGAUGAUGCUUGUAUCACCUAGAAAAGCUAAGGGAAUUGCUUUAAAAGCUAUUAAAGAAGAGUCCCUAAGUUCCGAAAGUGAGGAUGAUGAGAAAAUGUCAAAGGGUGAGCUUACUAAGUUUACUAAAAAAAUUAAGAAGUACAUGAAAUUCAAAAAAUUCAAGAAAGAAUCAAAUGAUGGUAAAAAUGGAGGAACUCUAUUAGAAAAAAAAAAAAGAAUAUGGAGAAAUGUGUGAAAAAAGAGUUGGAGAUUGAGUGCUUUAAAUGUGGAGGAAAUGGGCAUUAUGCCGCCAAAUGUCCCUCAAAGAAAAAAAAAAUGAAAGAAGGUCAUGCAAGUCACUAGAAGCAACAUAGAAUCUUGGCAAUCAAGUGAAAAAGAAUCCAAUGGAAGUGAAGAAUACACUAACUUCAUAGCCUUUGCUGCAAGUGUCAAUGAGAAACCACUUAAGAAAGAGGUCUUAAGUGAGUCGUGAGUCAAGUGACUCCAAUGAUGAUGACAUGAAUUUUGACACAGCAUAUGAGACUUUGUAUAAGGAGUGCUUGAGCCUUAAACAAGACCAAGUCAAGUGGAAGGCUUCUAAGAAUAUUCUAAUCAAUGAGAUUGAUGUCUUGAAGGGAGAAAAGAAGGCUUUGCUUGACAAAAUUGGAUUUCUUGCAAAUGAACACUUGGAAGUGAAAAAAAAAAUAUUAUGUAUUGAAAAGUGAAUCAAAUGUUCAAGGAUGAGUUUAAGUCUUAAGAAGGAAGAAUCACAUCCUAGCUCUAAGAGACUUAAUGAGUUUAUCAAUUUAGGGCGUAAAUCUUUUGAUAAACAAGGCUUAGGAUUUGUUGAUGCAAAUACUACUCCAAGUAGUGGUAAAACAAUUUUUGUUAAGCCUUGUGAAAAAUAAUAUCCUAAGAAAACUCAUUCUCAAAUCAAGUUUCAUUGCAAUCAUUGUGGCAAAAUGGGGCACACUUUUGAUAGAUGUUGUGCAAGAUUGUUUGAUAAUUUUCAAAGGAAGUUGACCAACCUAAUGAAUGAAUGUUAUUCUUUGAAGAAUAGGUUAUUGAAUGAGAACAAGAGAGUGUCCAAGAAGUGCUCAAAGAUCCCUCAUAAUGGUGAGUUGAAAGGAAGCACUUUGAAUGAAAAGACAAGUCUCAAAUGUUAAACAAAUUUGGGUGUGAAUGAAUGAGUUGAAGUGUUUUGUUGUCCAUACCGCACUUAGAGCUAGUGAGUCACACUCAUGGCAUCUUGAUAGUAGAUGUUCACAUCAUAUGACUAGAAAUAAAUCUUUGUUCACUUCAUUCAUUGAAUUUCAUGGAGGAAAUGUGACAUUUAGAGAUGGUAAUGUGGCUAGGGUGAAAGACAAAGGUACCAUUUGUGCCCCUAACAUUCCUAAUCUUGAAGAGGUCUUAUAUGAAGGUUUAAAGGCUAACUUAAUUAGCACAAGCCAAAUGUGUGGGAAUGAGUUCAAUGUAAAAUUUUCACAAACUUUUUGCAAGGUGUUUGACUUGAAUGAUGUAUGUGUGAUAAUUGGCUUGAGAACUUGUGAUAAUUGCUAUGUUGUUAGUAAAAAAUCUCCUUCAUCCUCUUCUCUCGUGUGUAGAAGUUCUAAAAUUGCAUAUGUUAAUCACUUGUUGCAACAUAGAUUGUUGCAAAAUGAAAAAGAGCAUCCCAUUGUAAAAGUUAGGAUUGGUGGGGGGGAUUUGAUGAUGCCAAUGUUAUUGAUAGGCUAAAGAACCAUGUUCUUCAUUAUAGACAAAAAUAUGUGGACAUUAAGCAUCACUGCAUUCAAGACUUGGUAGAAGACAAGGUUGUUUACAAGAGGUUUACCCUAUAGAGAGUCAAAUUGCUAACAAUGUUACUAAACCUUUGGACAUUUCUAGGUUUGAAUCACUUAGGAACCCCAUAGGUUUAUAUACUCUCUGUUUAACUACCUCUAGAACUUGUCUAGGACUCCUCUUGCAUAUCCUUGAGUCCUAGUUGUCUUCCUAAGUUCCCAAAUAUCAUCAACUUGAUGUUCUUUUUGUUUUGGUUCAAUAUUUUCUCCAUUUUUCAUAAAUUUUCAACAAUUGUUGAGUUCAUGAGAGUGAUAUGCUUAUUCAUUUUGUUUAAAAGUUAAAUUAAAUCAUAAUGAUCUUAAAAGCUUCAAGAUGUAUUUAUCUUCAUGGCUUGUUUGAUAAACAUGAUAUUGAAUCCUUGCUAUUUUGAUUUGGUUAGAUAAACUACAAAUGAUUAGCUUCAUUUCUAUUAAGUGAGUAAGAGCUCAUUGUUGGACCUUGUGUUUGCAUAAUGGUGAAUAAUGCACUUUAAAGUCUAAAUGUAAACUUAUACCCAUUUAAUGAGCUUUAAAGAGUGAGUAAAGACACCUGGAAUAUCCUUGAGAGGUUGAGAUGAUCAAUCCUUGAUUGUUUGUCCUCUCUUUGAAAUUAAAUUUGUUUAAAAAUGAAAAAGAAAAGAAAAAGAAAAUAUGAAGUUUCCCGAAAUGGAUAUGGCUAUGUGGAAAUGUUUCAAGAAUUAAAAAGCCUCAAUUGCAAGAGUGGGACAUCCCUUAUGUUGUUAUGUUGUAAAGGCAUCCUUCGAGAUCCUCAAGUCAAAAAUUGAUCUUAAGGGUAAAACAUAAAGCUUUGUAUUACUUUCAAUGCUAAAUGUGAAAAGCAAAUAGUGUAUGAAUUUUAUUAAAGGGAUGUGAUUAGGUCAUGUUAAACAGAAAUCUAGCCAAGAGAGAUGCAAAUUGACUUUGAUUACUAAUCAAAAAGUACUCUUUUAUAGCUUGAAACUAACUGUUUUAAACACUUUUUGAGUAGUAGUUAAUACCGUUUAACUCAAUUGGCACAUUAAGGAACCUAGCAAGGGUUACUAAUAAGUUUUUCGCAAGUUUUGGUGUUUUUUGUAGCUAUUUGAUCAUUGAAACAAGCCAAGAAUGAGGAAGAAUUUUGUGAAAUCCAUGGCAAUGUAAGUUAAAGCUCAAAUACAUGAGGAAUCCAAGCUUUAGAGCACUUCAUAGCCCUUUGCCAAGCCAAUCAAAGAUGUAAAGAAGAAAACCAGAGGAAGAAAUCCAACAACCAGCAUUUCCGCAUGGUUGUGCGAAAUUUCGCACACCAUGCAAAACCACUUGAGGCAGCCAAAGAAUUUCGCACAACAUGCGAAAUUUCGCAUGGUAUGCGAAAUCUUCCUGUGCACCGACUCCGUUAGAUUUUUAUCUCUAGAUAUUUUGUGUAAUUUCCUAUUUUCUCCUUGUAAUCAACUUCGAUAUUUUCAUAUAUAUUUUUUUAUAUAUUUGGUGUGUGUAACAUCUUUUGAUAUAGACACACAGGGAUGUAAUCAGAGAACACUUGUAAAUUCCCCUUUAUAAGAAAUAUACAGAGCUUUUGCUCUACCUUUUCAUCUCAUUUUGUUUUCACUCUUCUUUCUAGCCAAACAACCUCUGAGGAUGAUUUAUCAAGGGAUGAGUGGCUAGGUUUUACGUUUCUUGGAGUGAUGGAAGCUAGGUGAAGGACCCGAAUGCAAAGAUGGGAGUUGUCCUUGCUUUAAAUGAAAGUAGUUGUUAACCAUUAAUGGUUUUUAUUUUAAGAUUUAGCUUUAAAUCCCUUAAAAGCACCUUGAAUGGCCAAUACUUGGUAAGCUUUUUGGAUUCUAUGGAUGCUUAUUGCUAGAUCCAUGGAUGUCUAUUAGUUAUCAUUUAUGAGCCAUUGGAAGGUGGUUCAAAGUGAGAGUCUUUAGUGUUUCAAGCCAUUAAUGGGAAGCAACUAUUAUUUUUCAUGAACCCUUUGGAUCAAAUCUUAAUAUCUAAAUAUAAAACCGGUUCGGGAAAUAACCAUCCUUUAUAUUAUUGUCCCCAAUGUGAUGAGAAGAUCCGGAAUCUCCCCCUUUGUCUAAGGAACCCGAUCCUAGUGACCUAAAGCUCUAAGAGACCUUUUCUUUGUAGUUAACUUCACUUAUUAUUUUUGCUUAACUUAAAAUCGAUCUUUGCAAUCACAAUUCCAUUUUCUUUAAAAGCUAAUUUUCAUAACGAAAAAUAUUAUUUUAUUUCCUUCACUAAAGUCAAUUGUACAAUGAAAACCCAUCCCUGUGGACGAUCCUAGAGCCACUAUACUAUGUUAGUUAUGCUACCCCAGUGUGAGGUGAUUUAGGUUUUAUAAAUUUUGUUGAUAACACCUAUCUGAGCCAGAGUCAAAUGGCAUGACUACAAUGGGGAUGAAUCAAAUGGCACCGUUGCCAGGGAGAUGAUGCCAAAGUACAUUGACAUGACUUUUGGUGAACACUUGUGAUCUUCAUCACAAGUUUGGUGAUUUUUCUUUUACUAAUUCUUUUUCUUUAUCUCUAUUUUAGCUUAUCUUUUAUUUAGUUUUCAGCUAACCUUAACUUUUUCCUACAAUUGUAUUUCUUUUGUUUUCUGUGUUUUUGUUUCAGUAAUUUUUAGUUGUGCAUGCCUUAUUGGAUAAGAGAUAUUGAGGGAAGACUUGUGAAGAUUGAAACUCCUCAAGAAACUGAGUUGGAAGUGUGCUUGAACAUCAUGAAUGUUCCACCUAAAGACCAAAAUAGCCAACAUGGUCAAGAGGAUAAUUUCAACGCAUACCGAUCCAUGAGGGAUCACAUGCAUCCACCUCGUAUGAGUGCACCAUCAUGCAUAGUGCCUCCCAUUGAGCGACUAGUAGUCCGACCUCACAUUGUGCCACUCUUACCUCCUUUCCAUGGGAUGGAAAGUGAGAAUCCCUACUCGCAUAUUAAGGAAUUCGAGGAGGUUUGUAAUACAUUCCAAGAAGGAAGAGCUUCAAUUAACUUGAUGAGGCUCAAGCUAUUUCCUUUCACCUUGAAGGAUCAGGCCAAGAUUUGGCUUAAUUCUCUAAGGCCAAGGAGUAUCCAAACUUGGACUGAUUUGCAAGCCGAGUUUCUCAAGAAGUUCUUCCCUACUCAUAGGACUAAUGGUUUGAAAAGGAAAAUUUCAAAUUUCUCGACUAAGGAGAAUGAGAAAUUCUAUGAGUGUUGGGAGAGGUACAUAGAACCUAUUAAUGCUUGUUCUCACCAUGGCUUUGACACAUGGCUCUUAGUGAGCUAUUUUUACGAUGGUAUGUCUUCUUCAAUGAAGCAACUCCUAGAAACUAUGUGUGGAGGAGACUUCAUGAGUAAGAAUCCGGAGGAAGCCAUGGACUUUUUGAGUUAUGUGGCUGAAGUUUCAAGAUGAUGGGAUAACCAAACGCUAGAGAAGUGGGAAGAAUGAAGUCUCAACCUAAUGCUAAGGGUGGGAUGUAUGUUUUGAAUGAAGACAUUGACAUGAAGGCAAAGGUUGCAGCUAUGGCAAGGAGAUUGGAAGAGCUAGAAAUGAAGAAGAUAUAAGAAGUGCAAGCUAUUUCUGAGACACCAGUGCAAGCUAUGCCUUGUUCCAUUUUUCAAUCUUAUGAGCACUUGUUGGAGGAGUGUCCUACAAUUCCAGCAAUGAGAGAAAUGUUUGGAGAUCAAUCAAAUGUUAUUGGUCAAUUCAAGCCCAAUAACAAUACUUCAUAUGGCAACACCUACAAUUCAAAUUGGAAGAACCAUCCAAAUUUCUCUUGGAAACCAAAGCCACCGCAGUACACACAACCUGCUCAAGCACCUCGGCAAGCCUCGAAUCUUGAACAAGUUAUUGUGAACCUUUGCAAGGUUGUGGGAGACUUUGUGGAAGAUCAGAAGUCCAUCAAUGCUCAACUAAAUCAGAGAAUUGACAGUGUGGAGAGUACAUUGAACAAAAUGAUGGAUGGGAUGCAAAAUGAUCUGUCUCAGAAGAUAGACAAUGUCUAAUACGCAAUCUCAAGGCUUACCAACCUCAACACAGUGCAAGAGAAAUUAAAGUUUCCUUCUCAACCUCAUCAAAAUCCCAAGGAUAUCCAUGAUGUGGAGGCUCAAGAGGGAGAAUCUUCAAAGGUAAGGGAAGUCAAAGCAGUUAUCACCUUAAGAAGUGGUAAAGAGGUUGAUCUGCCCACAUCCAAGCCAAAGCAUGACGAAGAGAGUGUAGCAGAAAAAGAAAAGAGUGGAGAAAAUAAAGGAAAGAGAAAAGGGAAAAGUACAAAGAAAGAUGACCAUGAGUCUAGUGUGGAUGAAGAACUCGAGAAGAAAGUGAUCAAGGAAGAUAUGAUGAAGAAACACAUGCCUCCAUCUUUCUCCUAAGCUUUGCAUGGCAUAAAGGGAACCAAUAAUGCAUCAGAAAUUUUUGAAGUGGUGAGGCAAGUGAAGGUCAAUAUCCCUUUGCUAGACAUGAUCAAACAAGUGCCGACAUAUGCAAAAUUCUUGAAGGACUUGUGCACUAUAAAGAGAGGGUUAAAUGUGAACAAGAAGCCUUCUUGAUUGAGCAAGUGCCAUCAUACAGUGCAAGUCUCCAGUGAAGUACAAAGAUCCGGGCUGCCCUACCAUCUCAGUGAGUAUUGGAGGGACUUGCGUGCAGAAAGCUUUGUUGGACUUAGGAGCAAGUGUAAAUUUGCUACCCUACUCUGUCUAUAAGAAGUUGGGACUUGGAAAGUUGAAGCCAACAUCCAUCGCUCUAUCUCUAGCAAAUAGAUCAAUGAAGAUUCCAAGAGGGAUGAUCGAAGAUGUCUUGGUUCAAGUUGACAAAUUCUACUAUCCAGUGGAUUUUGUUGUUCUUGAUAUGGAUCCAAUUGUCAAAGAAACUAAUUAUGUUCCUAUCAUACUUGGAAAACCAUUCCUAGCUACAUCAAAUGCAAUCAUCAAUUGUAGGAAUGGAGUCAUGCAACUCACGUUUGGCAACAUGACAUUGGAGCUCAACAUCUUCCAUUUGUGCCAGAAACAUAUCCAUCCGAAAGAAGAAGAAGGGUUAGAGGAAGUAUGCAUGAUUGACGCUUUAGUGGAGGAGCAUUAUGAUCAGAGAAUGCAGGAGGAUUUGAUUGAGAGUUUUAGGGAUCUUGAUGAAGGGUUACCUGAACCCUUAGAUUUGCUUGCUACCCUGCUCCCUUAGAGGAGAAGAGAAGAAAUUCUACCCUUAUUCAAUGAGGAGGAAACGCAAAGAACUGCUAAGGAGGAGUUCUCAAAGCUUAUUCUUAAGCCACUACCCACAGAGUUGAAGUAUGCAUACUUGGAAGAAGACAAGCAGUGUCUUGUUGUUAUAUCUUCAGAUCUUACCAUUCAUCAAGAGGAUUGUCUACUUGAAGUCCUUAGAAGAUGUAAGAAAGCAAUAGGCUGGCAAAUUUUUUAUUUGAAAUGGAUCAUCCCUUUAGUCUGCACCCAUCAUAUUUACAUGGAGAAUGAAGCUAAGCCAAUUUGUCAACCUCAGAGAAGGUUGAACCCUCACAUGCAAGAGGUGGUGCGAGUUGAAGUCUUAAGCUACUUUAGGCCAGUAUUAUUUACCCUAUAUCAGAUAGCCCAUGGGUGAUUCCUACUCAAGUUGUGCCAAAGAAGUCUGGGAUCACGGUGGUGCAAAAUGAUAAGAGAGAAGAUGUCUCUACGCGCCUCACUAUAGGUUGAAGGGUGUGUAUCGAUUACAGGAGGUUGAAUGUAGUGACAAGAAAGGACCAUUUCCCAUUGCCCUUUAUUGAUCAGGUACUUGAAAGGGUCUCUGGGCAUCCUUUUUAUUGUUUCUUGGAUGGCUACUCCAAGUACUUUAAGAUAGAAAUUGAUGUUGAAGACCAAGAGAAGACCACUUUCACGUGCCCAUUUGGCACCUAUGCAUAUAGGAGAAUGCCUUUCGGCCUAUGCAAUGCACCUGCAACUUUCCAAUGAUGCAUGUUAAGCAUUUUCAGUGAUAUGGUGGAGCAUAUUAUGGAAGUCUUUAUGGAUGACAUCUUCAUAUAUGGAAGUGCAUUUGAUUAAUGCUUAGUCAACUUAGAAGUUGUUAUGAACCGAUGCAUUGAGAAAGACUUAGUGCUUAACUGGGAGAAGUGUCAUUUCAUAGUACAAUAAGGGAUUGUCCUUGGGCACAUCAUCUCCAAGCAAGGCAUUGAAGUUGACAAAGCAAAGGUUGAACUCAUUGUCAAGUUGCCAUCCCUAACAAAUGUCAAAGGAGUAAGGCAAUUCCUUGACCAUGUCGGGUUCUAUAGGAGGUUUAUCAAGGAUUUCUCUAAGCUUGCAAGGCCUCUUUGUGAAGUAUUGGUGAAGGAUGCUAAAUUCAUAUGGGAUGAUAGAUGCCAAAGGAGUUUUGAAGAAUUGAAGUUAUUUCUAACAACCGCACCAAUAGUGAGGGCUCCCAACUGGAAACUGCCCUUUGAGGUAAUGUGUGAUGCCAGUGACUUUGGAAUAGGAGCUGUUCUUGGGCAAAGAGAAGAUGGAAAACCCUAUGUGAUCUACUACGCGAGCAAGACAUUGAAUGAGGCGCAAAGAAACUACACAACCACCAAGAAAGAAUUGUUAGCUGUAGUUUUUGCUUUGGAUAAGUUUCGUGCUUACUUGGUGGGGUCCUUCAUUGUGGUUUUCACUGAUCACUCUGCUUUGAAGUAUUUGUUGACUAAGCAAGAUGCUAAAGCAAGGCCAAUUAGAUGGAUCCUCUUGCUUCAAGAGUUCAAUCUCCAUAUCAAAGACAAGAAAUGAGUGGAGAAUGUGGUAGUAGACCACCUUUCAAGGCUAGCUAUCGCACAUAAUUCCCAUGGUUUGCCCAUCAAUGAUGAUUUUCCAAAGGAGUCUCUCAUGUUGGUGGAAGUUGCUCCUUGGUAUGCUCACAUUGCUAACUACCUAGUCAUAGGAAAAGUUCCAAGUGAGUGGAAAACACAAGAUAAGAAGCACUUCUUUGCAAAAAUUCAUGCCUACUAUUGAAAAUAGUCAUUUCUAUUCAAGUAUUGUUUCGAUCAAAUAAUAAGAAAGUGUGUUCUUGAAAAAGAGCAACAAGGGAUCCUCAGUCAUUGCCAUGAAAAUGCAUGUGGAGGCCACUUUGCUUCUCAGAAGACAACCAUGAGAGUAUUGCAAUCGGGUUUCUGUUGGCCAUCACUUUUCAAAGAUGCCCACACCAUGUGCAAGAGUUGUAAUCGAUGUCAGAGGCUUGGGAAGUUGACACGCAAGAACAUGAUGCCUUUGAACCCCUUUUUGAUAGUUGAUCUUUUUUAUGUUUGGGGCAUUGACUUCAUGAAACCUUUCCCUAUGCCUUUUGGCUACUCUUACAUCUUGGUGGGAGUAGAUUAUGUUUCUAAGUGGGUUGAGGCAGUCCCAUGCAAACACAAUGACCAUAGAGUGGUUCUCAAGUUUCUCAAGGAGAACAUCUCCUCAAGAUUUGGGGUGCCCAAAGCCAUAAUUAGUGAUGGGAGUACUCAUUUUUGCAACAAGUCUUGUGAAACUCUCCUAGCCAAGUAUGGGGUGAAGCAUAAGGUAGCUACACCUUACCACCCUCAAACUAGUGGGCAAGUUGAGUUAGCAAACAGGGAGAUUAAAAACAUAUUGAUAAAGGUGGUGAACACAAAUAUAAAAGAUUGGUUAGUCAAGCUCCUCGAUUCACUAUAGGUAUAUAGAACAACUUACAAGACCAUUCUCGGGAUGUCUCCUUAUCGCCUAGUCUAUGGUAAAACAUGUCAUCUCCCUGUGGAAUUGGAAUACAAGGCUUGGUGGGCAAUCAAGAAGCUCAACAUGGAUUUAAGCAGUGUUGGGUUGAAAAGGUUCUUAGACCUUAAUGAGAUGGAGGAAUUGAGAAAUGAUGCCUACAUCAAUUCAACAAUUGUAAAAGAGAAAUUAAAGAGGUGGCAUGAUCAGUUGAUUUCCCGCAAGGAUUUUAAAAAGGGAAAAAGAGUCUUGCUCUAUGACUCUAAGCUCCCCAUCUUUCCAAGCAAGCUAAAAUCAAAGUGGAUAGGUCCUUUUACCAUUCACCAAGUUCAUUCAAAUGGAGUAGUGGAACUACUCAACUCCAAUGGCACCAGGAGCUUUAAAGUGAAUGGCCAUCAUCUCAACCCCUUUGUGGAGCCUUUUUCUCGCGACAAGGAGGAAUUCAUCCUCCUUGAUGCACAUCAAGCUUGACAAGACCAGUUUUCUUAACGGACUUAGUCUUUCUAAAGACUAUUGAGUCCAUAUCUUUUUAUUUUAUUUUUUAUUUAAGAGUUUUCCUAUAUUAUUACUUGUUUUGAUUUUGAUUUCUCGUUUUAAUUUUAUUUUAGUUUGAUUUAACUUAGGUUUUUGAUGAUCAAUUGCAAAAGGGGCCUCAAAGCAGUUGGGUGUGUCCUUAAAGACUUCAAACAGAGGAAAAACCAAGAUAAUUCAAGCACCCUGCGAAAUUUUUGCAGGGCAUGCGAAAUUAAUGAAUCAUUUUGCAUGGGGUGAGAAAAUUUCGCACACCCUGCGAAUCAAUUUCACACACUAUACGAAAAUGAAAAGACCUUGCUAAAUCAUUUCAAACACUUUGCGAAAUUUUCGCAGAGCAUGCGAAAAAUUUUGCACACCCAACACCGUUUCGAAUGCUGUGCGAAACCCUAAGGGGUCUACAAAACCAUUUCGCACCUCCAAAGCCAUUUCGCACGCUGUGCAAAAAUCAAGAGGCGUUGUGCGAAAACGAAAAGUAGCCUUACUAUCCCUUUUUAAACCCCGAGCUCUAACUUCUCCAUUUCGCAAACACCAAACACCCUGCAAAUCCCUCAUUUUCCUCUACCACCUUGUGACCUCGUCCCUCUCCAUUCAACACCCCGUCCCGCACAUCUCAUUUUGAAGACUCGCACUCUGCGGCCCCUUCGAGCACGGCUCACUUUCCAUUUUCUACAUGGCGCUAACUCGAGGAGCCCUUCCCGCCCCUUCACCGAGACACACUCCGAGGCAGAGAGCCUCCUCUACUUAAGUGCCUAGUGAUUCUCCAUCUUAGGCCGCAGAGGCCUCGUGGAUUCCACCUCCUGAGAAUGGAGUAGCCAUUGGUCCUUCCUCUCCUGCUCCUCAGCGCAAAUAUGAGACAAAGAGACCACCUAUUACACCAAGGGCAACUACUUCGCUCCUUGAGAGUUCAGUAUGAUGUCCUCCUGCCAAGAGAGCCAAGACUUCAGGCCCAAGCGAGUCAUCCAGAGUUUCAUAGCCUAAGGCUCUUGCAGAUUCUGAGGUUCCUUCUGACUUAUCACCGGAGUCUAUUAUCUGACGCCCGAUGCUCACAGCACCACCCAUUAAGGGCAACUCAGAUUGCAGAGCAAGACCUUUCCUCUUGAAGCUAUAUUUUGAUCAAGAGGCCAUGCAACAGCAGCUUGAGCUCCGAGACUCUUACGGCCUACUGUAGAGGUACCACCUUGAGCACCUUAUAACUCUUUGUGAGUUCUUUUAUCCUAGAGUAGCACUAGACUUCUACCAGUCCAUGACUACUCUUGGCGUCCCGAGUCUUACUGUGAUUUACUUCACCAUUGAUGGACAUCAUGGUAUCCUCAAGGCUAGACAUAUUGUAGAGGCUUUACAAAUUCCUUUCAAGCCAGUGGAUCCAUCUGCUUUCCGCCAGUGGUCCUAGUAUCUCAGAGGGACAUGGUCCGCAUUUUAUCCAGGAAGACCUCUACAGAUUCGAUCCUUCUACGGAAGGAGCUUCCACCUAGGAUGCUCCUUGUAGAUAUGGUGCUACGCUCCAACCUCUUUCCCUUACAGCAUUUAGUACAGAGGCGAUGAGCUAUUUUGGACGCUUUAUUCUGUAUAUCGGAGGGCUUCUACUUUGGCCUGUUCCACUUGAUCAUGGCCUCCCUCAUCCACUUUGAGGAGAAGGUCCAUAGGAAGAAGCUUCAAAGGGCGGACACCAUUCCAUUACUAUUCCCGAGGUUGUUGUGCCAAAUCUUGGAGUAUAUGAGCUUUUCUAUUGAGCCUCGGCUCGAGCGUCACCGCCUUUGUCGAGAGUGAUUCACUCUGGACAAAUGGAAUCAAUUGACGGGCUAUUAUGCACCUCUAGGAGCCUUUCCUAUGGUAGCACCUCCAGUGCUCCUAGAACCAGAGCAAGGCGAGCUCCCGACAAAGACUGCACCACCAGUGCCCACACCUGAGGCUACUUCUACUGCUCCGCCUACGACUCUUACUGUUACACCAGUCGCGCCUACUACAUCCGAGCCUUCCAUCACCAUAUCGGCUUUAGAGUUUCGCUCCCGUGUGCAUACUUUUUAGACACUUACCACCACACAUGCUACUCUCUUUCAGCAAAUGGCUGAGAUGCGUGCCCAUCAGGACCAGCAGACUGCUAUACUUCGCCAGAUUCAGCAGCACUUGGGACAUCUACCUCUGCCUCAACCUGACCUUUCUGCAUCAUUAGAGCCUUUAGCUCCAGCUAAGGAUACUAUUCCACCUGAGGACACUACCACAGUAGAGGUCCGGAUUUCGCCACCUCAGAAGGCCACCACAGCUACACCAGAGGAUUCUUCAUUUCUACCUGAGGCUCCCACUACUUGAUCAUAAGAAAUCUCUUUAUCUUAUUGUAUUUACAUAUUAUAUUACUAAAGAUUUGUCCUUGUUUUGAUGCUUUAUAUUCAGGGUUGGAUGUAUUACCUGAUCAUAUCUCAUAUUGUACUUUCUCAUAUUAAUAUAUAGACAUCACAUUUUUUUAUUAUAUUUAAAAUUUUUCUAUUUAUUCUACUUGUCACUCUUUUGUUUUUUGACUCAUGUGGUUUCUCCUAUACGAAUCAGACUCCAUUUCAUUCAGGAGGUACCACUUCCUCCUUUUAUUUUCAAUUGCUCUUGAAACAUUGAGGGCAAUGUUGAUCUCAGUUGGGGGGAGAGUUAAGGAAGGAAUUUUUGUUAAUAAUGCUAGAUUAAUUUGUUAAUUUAGUUACUUUUUGCUUAAUUUUAAAAGUUUUUUACCCUACUCUUCAUGGUUAUUAAGGAAAAGUUCUCAAAAUGAAAUGGGAGAAAUCGAAUUCUUGCAUUUUUACUUGAAUCUUAGAGUUUGUAUUAUGCUUAUUAAAGUUGAUGAAUUAUUGAAACUCCUAUGGAAUUCAACCUUAUUUCUUCCACUUUAAUCUUAUCACACUAUGCACAUUAAGUUCCGAUUAUAAGACGAAAAACUAUCUCACCCCCUAAACUUAGGAAAAUUUCAACUUGGUACAUUUGACUUCAUUUUAAUAGUGUUGGGACACCUUAUAAAAGGCCAAUGAGCCUUCGAAAAAAAAAAAAAGAACAAAGUGUUUCGCUUGCCUUGAAACCCGAGCAAAGUCCGAGGGGUAUACGACGAAAGUCUUUAAAACCCGGUGCCCUAAGCCUUUAUUGGUUGGGAGUCACUGGCCUCAAUGCUCGUUACAAGAGUGAAUAGGUAGAGUUUAACAUAUUGUAGGUGCUUGGGUAUUGAAUUUCAAUCUCAAAAAUCCGGGGAAAAAUAUGAGGAGUUAGAGGUUGAAAAAUCCUUAAAGCUUGAUGCCCUAAACCUUGAUUGGUUGGGAGUCAUCAAUGGAUCCCCAUUACAUGGACACUUUAGAAAACAAUACCUUUAGCAUUGCACUCCUACAAUGAAAAAAAUUGUGAAAUAAAAGAGGUGUGUUCUUAGCCUAUUGGAGGUUGGUCAAGUUGCUAAGGUUUGAGAAAAAACUAGGUUGGGGGAGAGAAUAGUUUGACAUACUAUAAUCAGAAGCUAAUAAGCUUAACACUUAGAUUUUUGUGAAAAAAUAAGGUUUGAAUCUUUGGGAGUGGAAAUUCUUUUGUUGCUUAAAUUUGCAUAAUGCCUACUCUUUAUAAAUUGUAAUUUGGCAGGAGAUUUGAUAACUCUUGUUGAAGGUUGGGUUUUGCAUCUUUGAUGUUCCAUGAGAGAGUAUAAUCUGCAUCAUGCCACUUGAAAAUUUUUUGGAGUGAUUAGCAUGAUUUUGUAAAUUAUUUUACUAUUUAUUUUUCUUUAUCUCUCCUUCAUUGCUAAGGAACUAGCAAUAUGUUGGUUGGGGGGAGUGAUUACUGCUCAAAAAGUACUCUUUUAUAGUUUGAAACUAACUGUUUUAAACACUUUUGAGUAGUAGUUAAUACAUUUUAAUUCAAUUGGCACAUUAAGGAACCUAGCAAGGGUUACUAAUCAAUUUUUCGCAAGUUUUGGUGUUUUUGGUAGCUAUUUGAUCAUUGAAACAAGCCAAGAAUGAGGGAGGAUUUUGUGAAAUCCAUGGCAAUGUAAGUUAAAGCUUAAAUACAUGAAUAAUCCAAGCUUUUGAGCACUUCAUAGCCCUUUGCCAAGCCAAUCAAAGAUGCAAGGAAGAAAACCAGAGGAAGAAAUCCAACAUCCAGCAUUUCCGCAUGGCUGUGCGAAAUUUCGCACACCAUGCAAAACCACUUGAGGCAGCUAAAGAAUUUCGCACAACAUGCGAAAUUUCGCAGGGUAUGAGAAAUCUUCCUGUGCACUGACUCCGUUAGAUUUUUAUCUCUAGAUAUUUUGUGUAAUUUCCUAUUUUCUCCUUGUAAUCAACUUAGAUAUUUUCAUAUAUAUUUUUGUAUAUAUUUGGUGUGUGUAACAUCUUUUGAUAUAGACACACAGGGAUGUAAUCAGAGAACACUUGUAAAUUCCCUGUAGUAAAAAAUAUACAGAGUUUUUGCUCUGCCUUUUCUUCUCAUUUUGUUUUCACUCUUCUUUCUAGUCAAACAACCUCUAAGGAUGAUUUAUCAAGGGAUGGGUGGCUAGGUUUUACGUUUCUUGGAGUGAUGGAAGCUAGGUGAAGGACCCGAAUGCAAAUAUGGGAGUUGUCCUUGCUUUAAAUGAAAGUAGUUGUUAACCAUUAAUGGUUUUUAUUUUAAGAUUUAGCUUUAAAUCCUUAAAAGCACCUUGAAUGGCCAAUACUUGGUAAGCUUUUCAGAUUCUAUGGAUGCUUAUUGCUAGAUCCAUGGAUGUCUAUUAGUUAUCAUUUAUGAGCCAGUGGAAGGUGGUUCAAGGUGAGAGUCUUUAGUAUUUCAAGCCAUUAAUGGGAAGCAACUAUUAUUUUUCAUGAACCCUUUGGAUCAAAUCUUAAUUGCUAAAUAUAAAACCGGUUCAGGAGAUAACCAUCCUUUAUGUUAUUGUCCCCAAAGCGAGGAGAAGAUCCGGAAUCUCCCCCUUUGUCUAAGGAACCUGAUCCUAGUGACCUAAAGCUCUAAGAGACCUUUUCUUUGUAGUUAACUUCACUUAUUAUUUAUGCUUAACUUAAAAUCAAUCUUUGCAACCACAAUUCCAUUUUCUUUAAAAGCUAAUUUUCAUAAGGAGAAACACCAUUUUAUUUCAUUCACUAAAGUCAACUAUACGAUGAAAACCCAUCCCUGUGGACGAUCCUAGAGCCACUAUACUAUGUUAGCUAUGCUACCCUAGUGUGAGGUGAUUUAGGUUUUAUAAAUUUUGUUGAUAACACCCGUCUGAGACAGAAUCAAAUGGCAUGACUGCAAUGGGGAUGAAUCAGACUUAUUGGAACAUUAUCUUGAAUUUCUUUAGGAAGGAAGAGUAUCUUGAAAAUGAUUUUUGGCUCAUAAAUGAAUAUAGGUUUCUAAGUGGAAAUUAUUUAACAUUCUCACCGUUUUAUGGUGUCAUGAGUGAGUUUUUUUUAGCUUAAGCUUCCUUGUUAGAGUGUUGAUAAUCAUUUGUUUUUUACCUAUUCAUUUGAUAAAUUUGGAAAGUACUUCAAUCUCUAUGUUUAUUAAUUUUGUCUAUUGUUAAGUUCUUGGAAGCAUUUUUGUUCAAUGUGAAUCAAUUCUAACUCAUUAAUUGAAAGAUAAGUAUGUCAUCCUAUUGUAUCUCAUCUUUGGUCGAUCAAUUUUCAGUUUUUGGAAAGCUUAUUGGUGUAUUUCUUGUGAUUUUUCGAUAGUUUUUGCCUAAGUCAUUUUUCAAUUGGGUGUCGAUCGAUCUACUGAAUUUGUGGAUCGAUCCAUUGUGUGCACAAUGUAGUGACCGAGAGCCCUUGAAUGAAUCUUGGAUCGAUCCACCAAGAUCGAUACCACCUAGUCCUUGUCUCUCACACACUUAGCCAUUUUUUUCAAAUUUGGUCUAUUCAAACCUAUGUGACUAUGUAUCAUCGAGAGCACAAUUGAAAGCUGGAUCGAUCCACCCAGAUCGAUACCACUUAUGCAUUUGUGAAAAAUUCCAUUUUUGCCCCCAACUAGUUAUACUCAUAUGGUUUAAUGGAUAAGGGGUAUUUUCAUAAUUAAAAGUAAAAAAUUGAAAAUUUGAAAAAGUCAAAAUCCCUAAAUCAGUUUUUCCCAAUUCAUUUCUUUCAAAAACCCUAGGUUUUUUGUUCCAAAGAAGAGAACUUCUCUACUCUAAGCUUCUCUUUAGCCAUCAUUGUCAGUCCAUCAUUCCUACCACUACCAUCAAAAGUCUCUACCACUGGAAACCUUUAUCGUUAGACUUCCCUAUCUGGUGAGCGUUUCAAGUCUGGCCAAUCCCACUAGACAGCCUCGUCAAAUAGCCUAGAAUUGUUGUGUUGCUCAGCUCAUGUCGUCGGCCUGUGUGUCUUUUCUUAAUGCGUCGAUGUUUUAGAAAAUUGUCUUCUACAUAGUAUGUGUUGGCUAGGACCUCCUGUGUGCAUCACUAGAUUGUAUCUUGUGCAAUUAGGAUUUUGUUCCAACAGUUGGAAAUUCCAAUCUGCCCUUAGGACUGUGUUUUUCACCGCACAAUCAACACAACGCAAUCUACACUUCUGGAAAUUGUGUUCUACAUAGCCCAUUUCUCUUGUUUUUUGCUCUACUAUUUUCCAAUGUUCGUGUCUUUAAUGCAACUUAUUUGCAAGAGUUCUCAUUUUUGGCAACCAUUAUUGUUUGAUUUAUCCAUUCUUCUCUCUUCUAUUAGUCUCAUUUGGAUUUUUUAUUUUUUAUUUUUUUAUUUUUUUUAUAGAGUCCUCUCACAAUAGUUUUAAUAGUUUGAGAUUUCAUUUUUGCCUUGGAGUGUUCCUAGUUUCUAGGAAUGCUAAUCCUAGGCUUUGGUUAUUCAUUUUGAGUGGUCUUCAUACAUUUUCAUGCUUGAAAUCUAUUUUCAUGGUGAUAAAGCAUUUUUUGAAAGUUUUUAAUUGAAACCAUGUGAUAGGAUUUAGGAGGAGAUUCUUAUAUCCUGUGAUGGGAGUCAAGGGGAGAUUCUUGUAUCCUAUAUUUUUUUUUUCUAGAAUGUUGAUAUGGAUACUUGGUGAUAUGUGAAUAUUUGAUUUUUGGGUAUUUGACAUUUUUGUUGAAAAGUAGAUGUUUGUUGAUUUGGAUGUGAGAUAUUCUGCUAUUGAAUUCUCAUCCAUUUAUCUUUUUUAUUGGAUAGAAAAUGGGAGAUUAUGACUUUUUGUCUCCUAUUGGGACAAAAAGGAGAAAACAUUUUACAUGGAUGUUGAUAUGACAUGUAGUUGAUCAUGACGGUUUCUUUGUGUUUUGUUGCUUUGGAUAUUUGAUAUGUUGAUCAUGAUCACCUUUUUUGUAUAUCGAUGGAUAUUUGACACGUUUUUGAACUCAUGAAUGCAUAUUAACUAUCUUUAGACAAGUUAUUUUUGUGGAUAUAUGUGGAUAUUUGUGUGUCAAUUCAUUUGAAACUUAUGGAAUUGUCUUGGUAAUAUGUGCAAGUGCUACUAAUGUUUUUUCUUGAGAUUUAUUUACAGGAUUGGUAGUACCUUUGGUUAGGUUUUGAGUGAGUGAGUGAGUGGCCUUGUAUGAGAGUUGGGUGGGACUUACUUGUAUUCAUUCGUGUUGUAAAGGGUUUUGUCCCAGAAUUUCCAAAUGGGGAGAUUGUGAGUGUUUAGCUACGUUGGUAAUUCCAAACAAAAUUCCUAAGUGUCCCUUAACUCGGUUUACAAAUCCCUCUUCAAACUACUUGACCUUUGAAGAUUAAAACUUUGCUAAGAGACCGAGGUAUGUAGCCGAGUGUGUGGUGAUUGAAUGUGAAUCAACCCUAUUUUUUCAUCUUUAAAUGAGUUAAGAAAAUAGGGAGAAAUAUUGUUAGUGCAAGGCUUUUGUUCCCCUUAUUAUGGAUUGAUCUAGGUGCAGGGGCAAAUUGAUCCAACUAACCCACUUUUAAGAUCAAUUUUCAACCCUUAGAUUAAGGGUUUCUUUCUCAUUUAAAAUCAAAUCUCUCCCAUCUCUAGAAGUGGUGACUACAACAACUGUGAGAGAGUUUUUUCUUUCUUCACCAUUUUAAGGGUGUUUACCUACGAAGAAAAUCUAUUCAAGUUUUCUAAGAAAAAAUUUUUAAAAUGGAUUUUCUGAAAAAGAGCAUAGGUUGAUUUUUGAAACAUUCAUAUCUAAUUCUCUUGGUUUUGCGCAAAAACCCAUUUUUUUUCUUAUGUGAAUUCAAGAAGAGGCCGAGAUCGACCUUGGUGUAAACUCCAAGCGUGCUCUAAAAUAAGAAUGUGAGAAAGUGAAAGUGAAGGUACUAGUCAAGUGGUCUGGGAAGGAUUGGUUGGUUUGAGCUAGGUAAAACCUUGUAUUUAGUUUUUAUUCUUCAUAGUGGAUGUUUUCAAUUGGUAGUAGGGCCAUGGUUUUUGAUCUCUUCGAAAAAAUUUCAUGUAAAUUUAUGGUGUCUCAUUGUCUCAUUUUCUCUUCUUAGCAUCAUUUUUUAGUUUCAACAAUUUAUUAUAAUUUUGAUUGUAUAGUAUUUGAUUGAAUGAUAAGGAGAAAUGGCUAUGAAUCAUCUUUGAAGUUGUUUCUAAUUGUUAAUCACUGAUAUUUUGAGGUAUAUUGAUCUUGUUUUUAUCAUAAUUUAGUUUAAGUUGAUUUGGGUUUGGGAGUAUUAGAUCAUGUGCAUGUGAAUUUCAUUUGAGUAUUGUUGGGGAGUGUUGUUGCAUUCAUAUAUUCAUGUGAUUUAUAAUUUGUUUUUGAGACUGUGUGAAGAGAAGAAAAUAUUCAAGAAGUUUUAAGGUUUACUAAUUUGAGUUGAGAUUUUGUUUAAUUGGUCAAAACACCUAUUCAACCCCCCCUUUAGGUGUAUAUUCCACUAUUGAGAUUCACUUUUUCAGAACCUAUACUUCUACCGAGCUACAUGAAGUUUUGUAAGGCAUAAAAUACAUUUUGAGGCAUAUAUAAGUCAAAUCUUAUAUCCAAAUUAGGUUGAAUUGGGUCAUGGUUAACCUCAAAUCAAAUAUAUGCAUUUUUCUUACAAAUGUUUAUAUAUAUAUAUGCAUUUAAGAAUAUAGUUAUUAUUGUAAAGGAUGUACUUUUUCUUAAGAAUAUACUUAUUUUUGUAACAGAUGUACCUAGGGUUCUACCAUGCCAAAUUGGGUUUGGGAAUGCAUCAUGAGGUAUAUAGAAGUUAAAAUUUAGACUCAAAAUGAAUAAGGGAAUGAUUCAACUCAAAUCAGAUGUAAAUACUUUUCUAAACUUUUAUGCAUUUUUUUAAAGCAUGUACGCAAAGUUAUAUCAUGUUGAAUAGGGUAUAAGAAGACCUCAAAUGCAUUCCGAGACCUACAUAAGUGAAAUCCCACACCCGAAUUAGGUUGAAUGAGGAUAAGAAUCCCCAAUGAAAUGAAAUGUACAUGUUUUUAUACUAGAUGUACCUAUUUUUCUAAAUGAUGUACUUAUUUUUUUUAAAAGAUAUAUGUAUUUUAAGAAAUAUAAAAAUUAAUUAAAGAAAUGUUAAUACAAUUUUUAUGAAAAUAAUUUUUUUUCUAUUUUAUGUUUAUAAAAAAGUUAAAGAUUUUAACCUAGUAAAAAGUUAGAACCAUGAUCAAUUUUAAAUCAUAUGAAAAAUUAAAACAAAUGUUAAUAUGAAAGUUCAAAUUUUUACAUGCCCUUAUCAAUGUCUCAUCAAAUUUUUUUAGUACAAAAUGGAAUAGUAAGUGAAUACUCUUUUAUUUCUUUAAUACAAAAAAUACAAACCAAGCAUCUCUCAAAAUCUUGUUCCUUGCUCUUGAAUAUAAAGUAAGAUAAGCUCGUGAACUUAUUCACAGUAAAAGUUUUGCUAACCUACAGUCACGCAACACAUGAAGGCAUUAUUCGACUUUAUUUAGGCAUCGAACACAAUUCGGUGAAGCUACUAUAUGCCUUUUGAAGUGAUUUUCAUUUGUCAGCAACUUGUUGUGCAAAGCCAGCCACAAAAAGGAUCUAAUCCUUUGGGGACCCCUUCAUUUCCACAAGGCCAUCCAAUUCUUAUUCAGCUUUGUCCAGCAACUCUCUUCAAUCAGUUCGUAAGCCGACUUGGUAGUUGACAACGUUGACAUAAAGGCCAAAAAUAGUGGAGGAUUGUACAAGAGCACAUAGCACUAACCCAAAUUCUCAAAAUUUGCUAUUGAAAAGUUUUUAGCCUAUUUGGCCAUUUCAUUAAAAAAUAAUUUUUGUUUUUAAAAAUUAAAAAAAAACUAUUUUUAAAAAUUCAUAAAAUUGUUUGUUAGUUGUUUUCUAUUUGUAAUUUUUAAAAAUAAAGUGAAAUAAAAAACAUAUUUUAUAAAACAAAUAAAAAUUGUUUUCACCAAUUUUAAAAACAAAAGAAAAAUAUAGAGGAAUUAAAAAACUAUAAAAAGAAAAUUGAAGAUGAUAUCAUUCUUCUUUACCUCUUUCUACGAUCUAAUAUCGAUACUGAAAAUCUUCAAAUAUAAUAUUCUUUUAAAUUACAUGUGUUUUUAUCAAUUUCAUUUAAUUUAAGAAAAUUUUCAUUGAUAAAAUAAAUUCUAAAUCAAAUUAUACUUUAUACAUAAAAUUUACUAAUUUUUAAAAAUAACUUAAAAGUUAAAAACUGAUUUAGUUAGUACUAUAAAGUCAUGAAACUCACUAACAUUAGAAUGACAUACACCAAAAUUCAUUUGAAUGUCUUGGCUAGUUUUUUCUUUGCAUAUAAUCAUAUUUUUACAAUUUUUUUCACUUAGUAAAUAAUCACCAAAUCAAGUAUGACUUAAUGCGUUGAAUUUAUUAACAAGUCUAAGUAAUUCUAAAAAAUAAAUUGAAAUGCAAAUAGUGAUCCAAUUAAUACCAUAAAUUUAUGGACAAAAAUUGAACUUGAAUGACUUUAUUGUUUCCAAUUUUGUUUCAUUGGACAAAUAAACUUAAAAUUAAACCAAACUUAAUGUGUUGAAUUCAUUAAUAAAUUUAGUAAUUUCUAAAAAUAACUUAAAACUCAAAUAAUGAUGUAAUUAAUAUUAAAAAAUUUAUGGAUGAAAAUUGGUCUAAAACAACUUUAUUAUUUUUCUUCUACAUGGAAUCAUAUAUUCCCAAUUUUAUUUUACUAUAUAAAUAAACUCAAAAUUAAACAAGACUUAACAGUCUAGUAAUUUUUAAAUUAGAAUAAUAUUUGAAAUAAUUUAAUUAGAAUAAUAUUUUAAUUUAUUAAAAUAAAUCAUAAAUAAAUGAAUAAAAUUAUCUAACAAUAUUUUAUCAAGUUAAUAUUUGUUAAUAAUAAGGAUUUAAGAUUUUGUUAGAUUUUAUCGCUAUAGGAUUAUUAUAAAUAUGGUUUUAAAAAAAUGCAUGAACAUCAUGUAAUAUUAACAAAAUAAAAAUUACGAAUUGAUCGCUUUCAUAGUUUUUGACUAUGGAUUAUUUUUAUCAUAACAAAAAUGCGUAAAAUUGUAUACACCUUUUAGGCUAUGAAAUAUUCAUUAUUUAACUUAUGAGUGUACAAUUUUGUUUUGUCCAAUAGUAGUGCAAUUAAUAUUAAAAAUUUAUGGAUAAAAAUUGGGUUUUAAUGAGUCUACUUUUUUUCUAUACAUACUUAUUUAUUUAUAAAUUUUUUUAUUAAAGAAUGAACUUCAAAUCAAGUAAUUGAAUUUACUAAUAGGUUAAUUUUUUAGUUUUUUUAAAGUUACAACCUAGUAAAUAGAUCUAAUCACUAUAAGAAAUAAUAUAUGAAAACUAAUUGUAGACCCCAAAAUUUGUCAUAAUUUUAUUUUUACAUUGAUAUUGAGUUCAAUUUUAUCCUUAGAUUUAAAUUUCGAUUACAUCUUAAUUGUUUAACCCACUUACACUAUUUUUUUAUUUUUUUUAUUUUUUCUCUCCUCUCUCCUCUCUCUUCUCUCUUCCUCUUUCUCCUCAUUCUACCUAUUCCACCUACUUCCCUUACCCAUUUCCUUCUCGUCUAAGCCACUCCCCAUACCCCCUCCAAGUUUUUUUUUUUAAAUUUUUUAUCAUCUUUCUCUACUCUCCUCUCUUCACUUUUUUUUUCUCUCCAUCAUUUCUUCUUCGGGUUCCCUUCCAACACCACAACCACUCCACAACCCACAUACCAGACACGGUCGACUCCCCCAUCUCCUCUUUUUUUUUUUUUUCCUUUCCCCCAACUCUCACACACGACGGUCCCCAUUUUCUCUUCCAUUUUUUUUCUCUUUCCCACAGUCCUUCCCUCUACACUGCCAUUUUCCAAAGACUCCCAUUAUCACACGCUCCCCAUCUUCCUUCAUUUUCUUUUUUUUCUUUUUUUUUUCUCUUCCUUUUUCUUUUCUUUUCCCCUCCCCACACUCCAUAGCCACUACCGGCCCUCCACUGCCCGCCACUACCAGCAGCCACUGCCAACAACCACCACCCGCUACUAUCUGCCAGUCAUUGCCGGCUAGCAAUCCUACCAUCCAUAGUUCUAAAAAAAAUGGGUAAAUUUCCUUUUUACUUUAUUUUAUUUUCAUUUUUUUUAUCUUUAUAUUUUUAUUUUCAUUUGCAUAGUAAUUUAUUUAGACUUGGAUCUAUUGCUUAUUGGUUAUUUAUUUGGACUUAUUGGAUUGGGUUUGAGACAUUAUUUUCUUUGGUCAUGUAUAUUAUUAAUGUGGGUUUGUUAAUUGAUAUGAAUUUUUGACCCAUAAUGUGAGUAUGAAUUUUGGGCCCACAAUGUUGGUGGAAUUUGAUUGAUGACUUGAAUAUUUGAUAUGAGUUUGACCAAUUUGAACUAUUUAAUUUGGAUAUGGGACAAUUAUGAUGUAUAUUAAAUUAGGCUUGGAUUAUGAGAUAUUAAAUUUAGGCCUAAUUGAAUUUAUUUUAUUUUGUGAUAUUUUGGGCUUGGCUAAUUGUGUUGUAUUUUGGUUAUUAAUUUGAAAAUUUUGGAUUAAGAUUUAUAGCAUGUGAGAUGUUUUUGUUAGGUUAUAUUUGUUAAUUUAUGCCCAUUUUGAUUGACAAAAUUUAUCAGACUAAUUUGAAAUUUGAAUUUGAGUUUGAAUAUUUGUUUGGGAUUUUGUACAUCUUUGGAUAUUUACAUUUGAGCUAUUUUGUUUUUGCAUGGGUUUAUUUUGCAAAUUCUGUUGGCUGAAUACAAAUUUAUGACACGUGGAGCACGAAAUUUUAUGGAAGAAAGUGAGAAUCAAAAGGUUGUAGGAACACAUUAAACUUGUUAUAAGCUUAUUUUGGUACACAUUUUAUUUCCCACUUUUAUUUGAUUUUAUUUCUAUUAGUUCUUGUAAAUAUUCAUUUGUAUAUAUUUAUUGAGUGUGUACAGAAUUGAAUAUUUAACAAAUCAAAAUUUUCAUUUAAAUAAGAGGAAUAAUUCAGUAAAUAUGUUCUAAUAAAAUAAUAAUUUUAAAAUAUUCUUCUUCAUAAAAGAAAGUUUUUUUAUUAAUAAAAAUUCAUAAAAAUGCUUUUAAAAAAAUUCAAAAAAAAUUGUUUUUAAUAGAAUUUGAUAAAUUAUUUUUAAUAAUAAUUGUCCAAAAAUGUCUUUGUUUAAUAAAAAUUGUCCAAAAAUUGUUUUGUAAAUAAAGUUGUCCCAAAAAUUCUUUUGCAAAUAAAGUUAUAUUCUUUUUAAUAAUUUGUACAAGUCACUUUUCUUAAAUGAAAACAAAUUGAAAUACUUUUGUAAAUAAAAUUGUAAUUUUUUUGUAAAAGCGAGUAAAAAUCAUUUUUGUUACCAAAUUGAAAUUUUGUAAUAAAUUAUUUUGAUAUAAUAAGUGAAAAUAACUUUUUUGGAAAAUUAACUACAAAUUAAAUUGAAUUAAAUCAUUAAUUAAAAAUAAAUUGAAACUUCUUUUCUGUAAAUAAAAAAAAUUAAAAUCAUUAAUUUAAAAUCAUUUUUAAUAAAAUCCUUUGAAAUUUCUUGAAAAUUAUUUUUUUAAUAUUUUUUUAUUUAGUUCAAUAAAUCAUUUUGCAUAAUUCUCUUGUUAUUUAUUUUGUAUAUUCUUGUAAUUAGAUUUCAUCAUUAUUUUUAUGUAUAUUGAUUUUCAUCAUGACUUGCACAUACUCAUUUGCAUAAUUAUUUUUCUUGGUAUCCAUAAUUAAUUAAUUAAUCAUCGCAAUUUCCUUAAUUCAUUUAGUAGAGGUCGUAUGUAUACGAGCUUAGAGGGGUGUUACAACUCAUUACCAUACCUUCCCAAUAUGUAACGGAGGACUCAAACUCGAUUUUUCACAAACUUGUUUUUACUUCAAGAGUCACACUUAAGGUUUUUCUUUUUUAUUUUGUUUUUCCCUUAAAAAAUAAAACAAAAAUCAGUUGACUUCAAGUCUUUUUUUUAAAAUCAUAUUUUUCACCAAAUAAAUAAAAAAUGAGUCUCGCUGUCGAGUGGAGACGCACAUAAAAAACGUAGGUCCACACCAAUAUAUUAUACUAUUUUUUAAUUUAUUUAUAAUUUAAAACUAAUUUCAUUUUUUAUAAGACCUUAAUUAAAUUUCUAUUAAUUAAAUUUAGAAUAUUUUUACAAAAUCAACAUAGAAAAAUUAUUUAAAAAAAAAACCAACUUUAAAAUAACUUGCCAAACAUCCUUAUUUUAUAAAAUUUUUAAAACAUAUUUUUAUUUGUUUAACAUAAAAGCAACUUUCAAAAACAAACAUUAUGGAACGUGAUUGAACUUUUCUCUUAUUUCUUUUUCAUUUUCUUGUUACUUAAAAUGACCGACAAAGGAAGAUGAAUUAAAUUAUUGAAGAACAUCUUUUGCCAAACAUAUUAGUUAAAAAAAGUGAUUUAAAAAGCGGGCCCUAACCUAUUCUGGAGCCCAUGAUAUCUUUGUACGUUACCAUAAAAGGCCACACGCCACACGCCUCAGCAAACCCACCAACCCUCAGAAAGGGGUUUCAACUGCAAAUAGUAACCAUACAAUUUCAAAGCAAAAAGCCAAACACUCACAUAAAUCUAAUAUUACCACAGCAACACUACUAAAUAGUUAAUAGCCCGUGAUGUUUCCUUUUUAUUCUAUGCCAAGCUUCUUUCUCAUCCCCAUAACAAAGCCAUGGACCUUGUGUGGGUCUUCCAGAGAAGACGACACGCUCUCCUUUUCCAUGCACCUCUUGGUCCAAGCUAUCAACUUGGGACACUCCGCCUCUAUGCUGAAGUUUCCAAAGCUCUCAUAUGCAUGAAACCAGCAAGAGAAGGUCACCAGAGCCACAUCCACAAACCCAAUUUUUUCACCGCCGAAGUAAGGCUUCUCUCCAAGCUCUCCUUCCAGAAGCUUGAGGCACUCUAUGAAUUCCUUCUUGGCUGUUUCCUGCUCUUCUCCUUUGGUUGACCAUAUCUUCCUUCCAAGUUCAUAGAGCUGUGGAAAACAAUAAAGUCAAAGAGAGAAAAGGGUUAUUUUUUUGGAGCAUUUCAUCAAGUUUCAACUUUCUGUAUAGUUGGACAAGUUUAUUAAGGACCCUUCAGCAUAGAAAUCUCAUAUACUAGGAACAAUUUAAAUGAAGGGCCGGUGGAAGAAAAAUAUCAGAAUCAGUUGAAAGAAUGUAUCAUUUGCUAAAGCUUUUCCCCUCAGUGUGGGUUUUAGAAAAUGAGAAGAAAGAGAUCAAAGCAACAAAACAUGUAUUAAAAGAACUGCUCUGCAAAAUGUUGAACAUCAGGAUAACAAAAAAAAACCAAACACUGCUUUAAAAACUGGUUUUUGGAUCCCCUUUCUUGAGGGAAAAGGCAUUCUUGAGAUCUGCUUUUUUGGGUGGAAAGAACGGACUGAAAACCCACAUCAGAAAUGCAAAGUGGAGUCUUGUUGGACACACAGCAAGGAGAAUCAGUAAAGUUCUAGUUUGAGACCCCAAGGCCCGCAAAACUCAAUGUCAGAAGAGAAUGUGUGAAGAAGAACCCAGCAUUUUGGACAAAUCCCUCAUCAUUAUCAAAAUCUGAGCCAAGCGCCAUGAAUCAAUGGCAAAAAAAUGCUUUAAAUCAACAGCAAAGACAUACCUUCUUGUCUACGUAGUCCACCCAGAACCUGGCCUGAGCUCUCUGGUAUGGGUCACUAGGCAAAAGCGGAGAUUUAUCGUGCCAAACCUCAUCAAUAUACUGAACUAUUAUCAGAGACUCACAAAUGGGCUUUCCAUUGUGGAUCAGAACCGGGAUUUUCUUAUGAACUGGAUUCAUCUCAAGAAGCAGAGGGCUCUUGUUCCUAAG
RNAcentral lists this long non-coding RNA (284555 nucleotides) under Vitis vinifera (wine grape). Its description in RNAcentral is "long non-coding RNA (VVIN_LNC006593)". Lineage: Eukaryota; Viridiplantae; Streptophyta; Magnoliopsida; Vitales; Vitaceae. The record is from RNAcentral.